AUAAUUUUUUGGAGGUGCGGGCAGAGUGAUAGAACCAAAGUUUAGAUGCAUGAGUUUUUGCAUCUUCCAAAUAUCCUCUGGUGACUGAUCUAUGUAGCUAGAUGGCAUUUCUAGUGUUUGAAGGUUUAAAAGGGUGCAUAGCAGUGAAGGAAGGCAUUUGAGCGAAGGGAUAUUCAAUUUCAAAUACUUCAAAAGGAAUAAAUUUUCUAAUCCGGGUGGAUAUUGGUCCAGGACUGCAGAACCCAAGUUCAGUACCCGAAGGUAUUUGAACCUUUUAAAAAAAUUCUCGCAAUCUUUCGGAUUAAGAUGAUAUCUUUUUGGACUGUGAUUGAGAAAAGAUUGGAGAUACAUGUCAGAAUGUUCUAAAGAAAGGAACUCAAUCAAAUCAUCGACAAUGAAGCACCGUUUAACAUUUGCGGGUGGUUCCUCUUCCACGUCAUGCAUCCAGACAAAUCCCGUCUUCUUUGCCACCACAAACAAUGAAGUGUAGUAUACAAUACUUGGAAAAUAACACGAUUUAAUUGUGCCUCCGGCCCUUCUUUUACUCACUUGAAUGAAGCCGCGAUGGAUUAGUUCUUUCAAGUAAUGUUCGGCAGUUUCUUCACUGUUGUAUGGUAUGAAACCUUCAGCUACCCACAAAUGAUAUAAUUGCCUCGUGGAUAUCUCAAUGCCUGGAGGGAAGACACACAAAUAGAUGCAGCAGAUUUUCAAGUGAAAAGGUAACUCCAACACAGAACAAAUUCCAAUGAAAAUUGUCGGAAUCGUUUCGCCUUGAACAUAAUUUUCUAAUGGCAUACUUCCAUAGUGUAGGAUGAAAAAUUGCCAGGCUUCAUGCUUUAAUCUGAUCAAUGGUCCUCCAAUGAGCACCGAAUCAAGCCGAAUCUUCUCUCCAUUUUCCAUUUCAAGCGACGCAAGGAGGUCUGGAUCAGUGACUGUUAUCAAUACUCUGCUUCCAUUCUGAUUAUCAGGAAGAACUUCUUCAAGAUCAUCCCAUAUGUCAAUGUUAUCGCAGACAUCAUCAAGCACAAUAAAGUACUUCUUGUUUGUUAGGUAAUCUCAAAGAAUAGAUUCCUUGAAUUGAUAAUCUUCACCGAUAAUUACACUAACCCGAGAUGGAGGCAUCACAGACUUGAUUAUGUCAUCCAAUAUCUUGCCCAAAUCGUAGAAUACAGAAACCCUGACCCAAGCAAGACAGUCAAAAUAGAACCUGACAUGAUUAUUGUUGUAAGUAUCUGCAGCAAAAGCAGUCCUAUCGAAGCCACUGCUGUCGAGAAUUGCAACCACUGCAAGCCCAGAUGGUCCCUCAAUCAAUAGAUCAAACAACUUCUCUCUGCCCCUUUCAAAUUCACUGAUAUCGAGCCGAGGUUGUCCCUCAUUCAAUAGGCGAAUGAUUUCGUUACUUUUUUCACUGAUAUCAAAACCAUUGUCGCCGGGCGGAAGUUGUUGCAUCCGAUUUCUAAUAUCAAUGAUUUCACUGUGGACAUGAAGAGCCAUAUUAGUGCUGCUUUCACUUUCGUUUUCACUGUUUUGCUGCUGCAUUAUGUUGAUGAAGAAUCUGUCAAUGGCUUCCUCAGAUUCAUGGACAAAGUCAUUGAUGUGCACCAGAAUUUCCAAAAUAUCUGGUCUUUUAACGUCUUCUUCAUCGCUUUCUUCUAAGUCCAACAGUUGCAAAAAAGGAAAAGAUAUUUCGAAGUCAUCGAAUUCUUCUAGAAUGAGUUGAAACAAAUGCCGAGCCAUGUCAGCUUCAUAGUUUCCCAGAAGAGUAGCAGCAAUAAUUUCGGACUCCGUAAGAAGGUUUUGAAAAAGUGGGGUUAAAUUUGUUGAAUCUGGCAGCGGCAACGUGCCUUCUUCACCUGCUAACACCCUUUUCAACCUCUCACAAAUCAGUCGGAGGUGGAAUUCCAGCAUUUCUCCUUCUCUCCGUAGCACUCAAUUAGAAUUAUCUUCGAAUUCUAAUUUAAUUGACUAAGUAGUUAUAGCUAUUCUAUUGAUUAGGUCUAGCUAUUAUAUUCUAAAUGAUUAAUUGAGAGGUAUAGUUGAAAGAUUAAACACCAUGGAAGAAUUUGAAAGGAAAAUGCCAAGAAACUGUGUAAGUGGCUAAAUUCCACAAAUAUGACAUUAUUGCUCAUUUUUUAACUCAAAAAAAGGGUACGCAUUCAUUUAGAGAAAAGUCCAAGACGCGUGCUUUUUAAAAAGAACAGGUAUCCAACCUCUAUCUUAUUAAAUUACAACCAUGACAUAAUUGAUGGUGCUUAAAUCAAUUGUUUCUUUUUUAAUUUAAAGAAUUUUUCAUUAAAAAAAUAUUUUAAUAUCAAAUUGCCUUCAGUGGCGUAACUGCCUCAGGCCCAGUAACAGGACUAAUUAAAAAUUUUACAAUUUUUGGGCAUGGAAAUAGUAGUAUUAAACAUUAGAAAGGUAAGGUUGUUCUGUUAAAGAAUUGAUAUUGACAUAAUUUUAUUUUGGUUUUCGUGGAAAAAAAAUUUGUUGACAAGUAAGAAAAUAUUUUUAUUUUUUAAAAUUUAUUAUGCAUAUUUUAUCAUAUUAAAGUAAUUUUAAUAAUAAAUAGAAACAUAAUAUUACAAUAAAUAAAUUAUAGUUUAAAUUAUUUUGAAUAUUAUAAAAAAUAAUGUUAAUAUUAUUAAUAGGAAGACAUUUUGUUAAUUUUAAAAUCUUUUUAAUCCAAAGGUUUAUUUAAAAUCUCUAUAAUAAAUACAAAUAUAAGAUUAAAAUAAAAAUCAUAAUUUCAAAAUUUUAAUAUUAUUUUAAAUGUUAAAUAUACUUUAAUGUUAUUAGCCUACUACGUAGAUUUUAUUAUUUAUAUUAUAUUCGUAUUGAUUAAAAUUUUUUAAAGUCAAUUUUUUAGUUAGUACAUUCAAGAGGUAUCAUAGUUAAAGAAAAGAUUUUGGUGCAACUGUUUUAAAAUUUCAGGGUAUAAAUGAUAAUUUUUUUUAAAAUUUUAAGGAAGUAGGUAUUAUUUUUCCGACAAUUUAUUUUAUUUUGAGGGAAAUCCGAUGAGAAAUAUCAUCAGAGAACAUUAAUUUAACAUUCUUUACCUUUAUGAAAAAAGUGGAAACCAAGAACUAUUCAAAUUUUUUUUUUUUGUGUAAUUCAAAAAAUGCAUCCACCAAACAAGCUUAUCAUAAUUUUCCCACUUUAUUCAUUUUCGAUGCUUUUCAAAAGAGGUUCCUUUAAUCCAUCUAGCAUCUGCAGCCCCCACUAUUUUACAAAUCUCCAUCCCACAUCUACACUAUCAAAAAAGUUGAUGGAAAUUGAACCCAUUAAGUUAUGUUCAUUACUGGUCAUUAUCUUUCUAUGAGCCACUUAUUUUGAGCAUUAGCGAUCUUCUAAGGAAUCAUGCCUUUUCAGGAUCGUUUUCUUUCAUUUCCUUAUUGUAGUAGUUAAUUAAAUAAAGAACGAACAAGUGAACUUUGUCUAUUUCGAGGAAGAACUAGGUUUCCAACACUAGAGGAACUUUGAAGAAAAUUAAUUGGAAGCCUUUAUUCAUCUUUGAAGAAAAUUACGUGCCAAUGUAACCAAGGCUUUUAUUCAUCUUCGGACUAUGAAUUUAUACAAAAACAUUAACAGAAAAUAACAAAGACACAGCUAAAUGAUAGCAACAAGUGUUGAUUUAGUGGACCACUUCUACAAGUAAAUAAAAACUAAAUAUUUAUUUAAGGAGGGCUUUUGUUAGUAGAGUUUUUAUAAAUAGAAAUUUAACAAAAAAAAAUUAUAGUUAUUUAGUUGUCAAUGUCCAAAUUGAUGAAUUAUUGUUCUUUUUGUUAACAUGUGUUUGUUUUACUUAAUAAUAAAAGUUUAGUUUACAAUUACACCGGUGUCAAAUCAGCAGAGCAUUUUUGCAGCCAGUCACAUUAUACAUUAUAUACUAAUAGCAUCGGCAAGAGUUUUCGAUUGUUGCAACUUGCAAUGCACGCGAUGCGAGAAAAUGAGAAUCUUGUUUAAUUGCAAUAAUGACAAACCUAAUCCUUUCAUUAGGAGUAAAUUAAUAAUCGUUUGUUAUUAUUGAAUAUGUAUAAAGAAAGGACAAUUCUAUUCAUAGAUUCGACUUAUUUUUUGUUUAAAGUAAUUAAUCAUUCAACCAUCUUCAUUUGCCUCUGGCCAAUGCCCUUGUAGAUUAGUUGAAGCGUUUAUUACUUAAUUCAGAUAAUUACAACGUCCUUUUCGCUAAUUAAUUAUGAUUAUGAACAUUUUCAUAUAGCAAGUGGCAUUGUAGAUCUAAACUACGUUGCUAUUUCAAUACGUUAAUUAAGUGAUUCUCCUCAUUGUCAUCAACGUUAUAAACAGGAAUUGUGCAAACAGUACACAAUGCUGCAGCAAGGCGUGGGUGGCUAGAGUUUUGCAACCACCCUUGAGAUCCUGUGCUGCCAGUAGUAAAAGAAUUUUACGCCAAUUUGGUAAGCCCUGGUCAGCACAACAUUUGGGUAAGAAACUCACUUGUUCCAUUAGACUCUCGAGUUAUAAAUGUUUUUUAUAAUUUACCUGCUGAAAUUAAUUGUGAGUAUGCCAAGUUGCUUGACAAAUUGACCCCGCAACAAUGGAACACAAUUUUCACGACACUUACGGUAGAGGGUGCAUCGUGGGCUAAUGAGGAGGGGCAUGUAAUUAACAAGAUAGAUUUAAAACCCAUUGCUAAGGUGUGGGUGAAAUUUCUAAAAUCCAGGCUUAUGCCAACCACCCACACCACUACUGUUUCACAGGAAAGGUUGGUGCUGUUAUAUGCUAUUGUUAGAGGGCUUCCCAUAGAUGUGGGAAGCAUUAUCGAAAAAGAAAUUCGAGAUUGUGCCAUGAAAAACCACAAGGCUGCUGCCUUGUUAUUUCUUUCACUCAUAACCAGCAUAUGUGUAGUAUCAGGUGUUCGUCUUGAUGCAAAGGAUGAAAUUUGUAAUUAUAUUAUGGCUCCAUUUGGUAUAACUUUUUAAUUCGAACUUAUUUAAGGAGAAUUUUUAUUAGUAGAGUUUUUAUAAAUAGAGAUUUUACUAAAAAACAAAAAUUAUAGUUAUUUAGUUGUCAAUGUCCAAAUUGAUGAACUAUUGUUCUUUUUGUUAACAUGUGUUUGCCAGUCACAUUAUACAUUUUUGCAACUUGCAAUGCAAGCGAUGAGAGAAAAUGAGAAUCUUGUUUAAUUGUCAAUAAUGACAAACCUAAUCGUUUCAUUAGGAGUAAUUUCAUAAUCGUUUGUUAUAAUUGAAUAUGUAUAAAGAAAGGAAAAUUCUAUUCGUAGAUUCGACUUAUUUUUUGUUUAAGGUAAUUAAUCAUUCAACCAUCUUCAUUUGCCCCUGGCCACUGCCCUUGUAGAUUAGUUGAAGCGUUAAUUGCUUAAUUCAGAUAAUUACAACGUCCUUUUCGCUAAUUAAUUAUGAUUAUAUACGUUUUCAUAUAGCAAGUGGCAUUGUAGAUCUAAAUUAUGUUGCUAUUUCAAUACGUUAAUUAAGUGAUUCUCCUCAUUGUCAUCAAGUGGAAAAUAGCUCAAUUGUUUCCCUGCAUCGAUUUUCAUUGGUAAGUGAUUUCUUAUGAUAUUCGUUUGAGCUUUCCUUAUUAAAAAAGCUUGAGCCUUGAUCACCUAAUACUGAUAUCAAUUAACUUGUGAACGAUUUUGUAAUGAAAUUAGGAGUUAAAUAUAUAAGAUUUUUACGUGAUGAAUUUUGAUUUUUUUAAUUUUUUGAUGUAGUCAAUUUGCUAAUUUUAUAUAUUUCAUAUUCAACGGAAUUUGGGCACGGAAAGUUUGGAUUCUAAUAUUUAUAUAUUUAGCUUUAAUCAGCUUGACUUUAGCAAUCUUUUUCCCUCAUCAUUAAGGGAUUCAGAAUUAGAGAAACGCUAGGAAGAGGAAGAAAAUAACUUUGGAAGUAAGUAAGAGGGAAAAAAUUAUGAAAUUUGGAAUUAUUUUUUGUAAAGUAUGUUGCGUUUACUAAACUGGAAUUAGAAUGAGCUGAAAUCAGAAUGAAUAGGAAUGCGAAUGUGCUGAAAUCGGAAUAGGUAAUGAGAAUAAGAAUAAGUUGUUUACUUGAACUGUAAAAAUCAAAAUCGGAAUGAGCUGAAUUGCAAUUACUUUGUCUUGGAAUCGGAAUCGGAAUCGGAAUGAGUUAGAUUAUAACAAAUUACUGAAAAGUACUUAAUGAAUUAUUGUCAUAAUUAUUAUUUUAUAUUUUAAUUAUAGUGAUUAUUUAUUCAAAAAUUAUUAUUAUUAAUUAUUUCCAAUAAUAUAUUAAUAUGUUAAUUAAUUUUAAAAAUUAUUAAUUAAUUUAUUAUAAUAAUAUACUAAUUAAUUAUAAUUAUUAUUAUAAAAAUAUAUUAAUAAUAAAAUUACUAAUUUAAUUGUAAUAAUAUAUGAAUUAAUUAUAAUAAUUAUUAUAAUAGUAUAUGAAUUAAUUAUAAUAAUUAUUAUAAUAGUAUAUUAAUUAAUAAUAAUAAUAAAAAUAUAUUAAUUAUGUGAUUAUUUAUUCAAAAAAUAUUAUUAUUAAUAAUUAUUGUUAAUAAUGUAUCAAUAUACUAAUUAAUUAUAAUAAUUAUUAUAAAAAUAUAUUAAUUAUUAAUAAUAAAAUUACUAAUUUAAUAAUAAUAAUAAAAAUAUAUUAAUUAUGUGAUUAUUUAUUCAAAAAUUAUAAUUAUUAAUAAUUAUUGUUAAUAAUGUAUCAAUAUAUUACUUAAUUAUAAUAUAUUAAUUAAUUAUAAUAAUAUAUUAAUUAAGUAUAAAUGAGGACAAAGUGGGUAUUUUUAAUUUCACGAAGGGGCAAAAUGGUCAAUUCUAGUAAUGGGAGACUCACUCCCACCCUCUCCUUUGGGAAUGAGUCUCCCAUUCCUCAUUCCCAAAUUGUGGUGGGCCCCAUGAUUUUGACUCCGAUUUCUAACUCAAUUUUGCGAAGUAAACGCUACCAAUGAUUCCGAUUUCGGAUUCUGAUUCACUUAUCUGAGAAGUAAAAGCAACAUAAAUGUGUAUGAAUAAUUGAUACCUAUGAAUAGUUUUGGGAGUUUUAGCUAGGAGUCAUCUAUUGAAGAUGUUUAGCAAUUGAAGAUCUCUGUCUCAGUAGUUUUCCCAAUCAAAAUCAAGAAGCAAAAAAACUUGCCAUUUUUCUACUUGAUAAUUAAUUGAAAUUUAAGAAAAUACAAUGGCAUUUCAAUUAGAAUUGGUAAUUGUUUAUCUUUUUUCAUUGAUCAAAUUCUAAUCGUGAUCCAAUAGUUAUGGAUGAAGGAAAUAUUAUGAGAGGCGAUAGGCCAAGUGAAGACGUACCAGCAAAUUCAAAAUAGUCGGGAGGUGGACGUCCAGCAUAUCUCCUUCUCUCUGUAGCACCCAGAUGCAUUGUUAUUUGCUCCAAGAAAUGUUAAAAGGAUUGGCCCUAUCUCAAUGUGGUUAGUGGCAAGGGCGGAGACAGCAUAUUAAUUGACUGUGGGCUUACUCAACUGCGAUAAAAAAAAUUUAAAAAAUAAUAAAUAAUAAAUUUAAAAGAUUUAUCAUACUUCAAUAUAUGUUUAUAAUUAUCCUUUACGAGUUUUCAUACAUUGAUAACGUUGUAUUACAACUUCAUUAUCAAUAUUAUUGUGGGCUGUUUAAAAAUUUGAUUAAUAUUAAUAUUUAUAGGCUUGAUUUUAUUUUGUAAAGCCCAUCUCUUUUUAUUUGUUUUAAAAACUUAGAGUGUGAGAAUUUAAGUAUAAUUAUGUAUUAGGAACUUGAAUAUAAAUUAGUGGGGGCUUAGGAAAAAUUUAUUAGAAAUUUUUGGCAAAUCAAAUUAGUUAGUAAAAGAUUUUUUUUUUUUUUUUCAGUGGGGACUUAAGUCCCCACUGGUCCCAAGCUAGAUCCGCCACUGGUUAGUGGUGAAAAAUUAAACACCAUGGAAGGAUUUGCAAGGAAUAUGCCAAGAAACUGGCUAAGUUCCACAAAUAUGGCAUUAUUGCUCUUUUUUUUUUAAAGAAAAAUUAUACACGUUAAUUUAGCAAAAAGUCUAAGACACGUGCCUUUUGAAAAGAAUAGCUAUUACCAUGACACAAUCGAUGCGGCUGAAACCAAAAUUUUCUUUUCUUAAUGUAAAGUUUUUUUUUUAAAUAGAUUUUAAUAUCAAAAUGCCCUUCGAUGUUAUUACUCUCACAAGCCCUGUAACAGGAGUAAUAAAAAAGUUUAGAAUUUUUGGGCAUGAAAAAAGUAGUAUUAAACAUCAGCAAGCAAAGGUUGUUCUGUUAAAGAAUUGAUAUUGACGUGAUUUUAUUUUGGUUAUCGAGAAAAAAAUAUAUUUGUUGACAAGUAAGAAAAUAUUAUUAUAUUUUACAAUCUAUUAUACAUAUUUUAUUAUAUUAAAUAAUACUAAAUAGAAACAUAAAAUUAGAAUAAAAUAAAUUAAAAUUAAAAUUAAAAUUAUUUUGAAUAUUAUGUAAAAAAUAAUGUUAAUAUCAUUGUUACUUGUAAAAUAUAUUUAGCCUAAAGAUUUAUUUAAAAUUUUAUAAUGAAUAAAAAUAUAAAAAUAAAUUAAAUAUCAUAGUUUAAAAUCUUAAUAUUAUUUUAAAUAUUAAAAAUACUUUAAUGUAUCUUAAUAUUAUUUUAAAUAUUAAAAAUACGUUAAUGUUAUUAUUCUACUACACAUGUUAUAUUAUUUAUAUUAUAUUUGUAUUAAUUAAAAAUUUUAAAGUCAACUUUCUAGUAACUAUAUUCAAAGGUAUUAUGGUUAAAUAAAGGUCUUAGUGUUUCUUUUUCAAAAUUUGAGGGUCUACAUGAUAAUUUUUCCAAACCCUAAGGUAUAGGAGUCCUUUUUGUCAAUAAUUUAUUUCACUUUUGAGAGAAUACGAUGAGAAAUAAGAUCAGAGAAAUGUCAAUUUAAUGUUCUCUAGCUUAAUGAAAAAAAAAUGGAAACCAAGAACUAUUCAAUUUUGUAUUUUUUGUUUGUAAUUCAAAAAAUCCAUCCGCCAAACAAGAUUCACGCAUUUAUGUUGUCAUAAAAUGAAAAAACAGUUUGUGAAAAAAUGGCACCAAACAUACCCUUAAUGUCCCACAUGAUUUCUUAUGAAGCCCAUAUUAGAUAUAUUUAUACAUUUUACUGCAUUUAGGACAUGUUUGAUAGCCUGCAUUAUAUAGGAUAAAAACAUAAUUUUGUAUUAAAUUAAUGCACACUCACGUUUGGCGCUAAAAGUAACUCCAGCCGCAUUGCAUUAAUGGGCUGCUACUGCGGCAAUUGCCGCACUAGCUUGCCUCUUUUUCUUUUUAAUUUUAUUUAUAAUAAUAAUAAUAAUAAUAAUAAUAAUAACAUAAUAUAACUUUUAUUUUAAUAUAAUAUUAAGUAUAAUUUUUAUUUUUACAUUAUAAUUAUUGAUAUAAAUUAAUAAAUUUAUUAUUUAUUAUUCAAUAAUAUUAUAUUAUUAUUUUUUUAUUUUUACAUUAUAAUUUAUUAGUAAAUUUAUAAUUUAAUAUAAUUAAUGAUAAUAGAAAAUAUCAUUACAUGUACUACAAAACUCUUACUUGGAUUAUUUAACACAAUUUAUUUUAUUCGUGAAUAUGUUAUAACAAUUGUAUCACUUUAUUGUUUUGUUAUUAUUUUGUGGUAUGUAUAAAUUUUUAUUCUAUUAUUCAAAGAUGACUUUUGAACUAAUCUUAUAGGUUUUAACUAUUUAUUUAUGUUGUUAUAUUAUUAGAGAUUAUUUGAUUAAAUUAUUUGCUUCGAUCUUUAUUUUACAGGUCAUAUAUUUAGAAAUUACUGAAAAAUAAAUGUUCUACUUCCAAAAAAUUUAAGGCUAUAAGCUCGAUCUUUAUGAAUAAUUGUGAUAUUUUUUAACAUUUACACUAAAAAAAUUGUUAAAUUUCUAAAAUUUAAGACUUCUAUAUUUAGUAUUUUUCCAAUUACUAAUAAGUAUUAUUUUCUAAAUAUAUAAUUUAAAUUAAUCACAAAAAAUUAAUACAGUACAGUGCAAUAUCAAAUAUAAUAUAAUUAAAAAUUAUACAGUACAAUGUAGCACCAAAUAUUGUACAAUAUUAUUAUAAAAUAGUACUGAUGCAAUACAAUAUAAUACAAUAUAGUGUGCCAAACGCACCCUUAGAGUGUGUUUGGAACAUGGGAUUAUAGGGUAUUAAAACACUGUUCACAUUAGCUUAAUACCAAUAUCAUGUUUGGAAAGAAAUUUUAAGGGAUUAAAGGGGGGUGAGCUAAUGCCAUAACUGCGCCAUUAGUGUCUUGGUUUUUUUUUAAAUAAUAAUAAAAAAUAUAAAUUCCUAAUUUUAUGUAAUAUUAUAUAAUAUUAAUUUUUAUUUUCUUUGAUCUUUACAUUAUAGUAAUUAAUAUAAGUUAAUAAAUUUAUAAUUUAUUAUUCAUAUUUUAAUUUUUAUUAUAUUAAAAAUAUAACUAAAUAAUUUAAUUUUAAUUAUAUAAUAAUUAAUGUAUAAAAUUGAUUAAUAUUUAAUAAGUUAAUACAACUAGUAAUAAGUGCUUAAAUAAUAUAUAAAAAUAAAAAUAUAACAUAAUAUUACAUUAUUUAAUUAUAUUACAAUAACUAAUAUAUAAAAAUUGAUUAUUAUUUAACAAUUUAAUAUAGCUAAUAAUAGAUACUUAAAUAAUAAUUUAAUAUAACUAAUAAUGAAUAUUGAUAUAUGAAUAUAUUUAAAUAAUAUUAAUACCAAUAUAUAUAAUAAUAUAAAAUAUUAUUACAUGUACUGUAGUAUUCUUACUUGGAUUAUUUAGCGCAAUUUAUUUUAUUAGUGAAUAUGUUACAACUAUUGUAUCACUUUAUUAUUUAAAUUAAUCAAAAAAAUUAAUACAGUACAAGAUAGCACUAAACAUUGUAUAACAUUAUUAAAAUACAGUGUUAAUGCAAUACAAUAUAAGACAAUACAUCUAUAUUAAAAUAAAAUAAAAUAAUUUAAUUUAAUAUAAUACAGUAUGUCAAACGCACCUCGUAUAUUUUAAUUUCAAAAGAAGUUGGUCCUUCCGUUAUUUAUAAAAGAUAACUUUAUUUUCAGAUUACCACUAAACUCUGAAGUAGAAUUGGUGUAAUGUUAAGAGAGAGUAACACAGUUUUCCAUUACCAUCUUUGAAAAUAGAAAGAUAUGGAUCAGUGUAUUUAAGAGUUAUCGUGAAAAUCAUACAGUUCAAUUCCCUGACACAUAUAUUUAUGAGCAUAUGCCAAAAGAAUAAAUAGAUAGAAAGUAAAUUUACAAUCCUCACUUCCUCACAAUUGUUAAAAUGAAGAUGCAUUACAACUGUGAACUGUCACUAUUUUAGCCUUUUUUAUUUUUUACUUUUAGUUAUAGUGCGAUGGAGACAGUGAACAUCAAGGAUGAGAAUAAAAGUUAAAGAUGACCCACCCACUUUCUUUUUAAAGUGCUCUGCUCAAAGACAAACUUCCUCUGGCUAAUUAAUUUAGAUGUGAAGAGAGAAUAAAGUCCUAGAUGCCUUCUGAAAUUAGAAAUACAUUUUAUAUGCUUUAAUUAUGAUUAUUUGGUAGACUAUAGACCUAAAAGACAUGUUAGAUUAUAAAACAGUGCGAUUAAAAAAAAAAGAGUAUUUGUGACGUCAAAUAACAAUUGGUAACUAAAAUCCAAAAUAUUUGAGUUGUUAAAAGCAAAUAAAAAAAAAGAAGGUAAGAGUGAUGCAGAAACACAAUAUUAGCUUAUCUUGAUUUUCCCACUUUAUUCAUUCUCGAUGCUUUUCAAAACAAAUUCUUCUAAUCUUUCUGGUGUCUGCAGCCCCUUGUCACGGGACGAGAGGUUUCGAGCCCGUGCGGUACUCUCGCAUCCCAUACUGCGAGAGUAAACCUAGUGGAAGUGGCACAAUAUCGACUGGUUUCACCCUGUCUUGGGCUCAUCAGGAGAACGGCUCCAGUUCCCAACCAGUGUGUGAAGAGCUUCGCCUAAACCCCUCUUCAACGUUAAGUCCUUGACUAGCGACAAGCUCCCCAAACUCAACCAGGUUGGCCUGCCUGAACUCCAAGAAAUCUAGGAUCAUUGUAUUCCCCACACGACGCCCCUGAAGCACGUCUCCUACAAUCAGCACAACCCUUAUCGAUACCAGCGUACAAACGCAUAUCUUCGGCGUCACAAUUGCAGUCCGUGACACCCUGCUCUUGUUAUAAAACUCCACCCCAAAUCUACACUACAAACAAGUUGAUUGAAAUUAAACAAUUGCUUUUUGAAGUGGACCCAUUGAGUCGUGGUCAUUACUCGUCAUUGUCUAUUUUUUCUAUGAGCCAUUUAUUUUGAGCAAUAGUGAGCUUCUCUGAACUACUCCAAUUAUUGAUGUAACUCCAGUGGCUGCAUCCAUAGUUGAAUAUAUGACAGUAUUAGCUCUUAUUUGAGAAUAUAGGGGGAUCUUUCUUUGUUUCUUUGUUGCAGUGUUCUAGUUUAUAGUCUUGCUGUUAAUGAAUUCACUGAGGCAUUAUUAAUUUAAUUUCAGUGAAGUAAUUAUGGAUGAAAAAUAAAUAAAGGAUAACAGAAUAGAGCUGAAGUGCUGAAUCGGCUAUUAAAGAAAGUGUCACGUGAUCACAAUCACACUGAUGCACAACUCUCUCUAUGUACUCCAAAUUCAGCCAAACCAUACAUGCCUCAACAAAAUUAAACCGUAGUUCUCAUCACUACAGUAAAUGAAGCCCACAAAGACAGCUGAAAUGGAAAAUAUUGACUAUUGAAUGGAUCAAUGCUGAAUUACACUUGAAAUGGGAAGCUUGGCUGCGGUUACGAUGUUUCCCCCUCUGAUUUUUCUCCAAAACAAAUUCCGUUGUAAAUAAUAUUCAAUGUAGCAACACUUUAUUCAGCAAAGAAAAUACCUAAUUUUUCAACUAACAAAUUCUCUUGUCUAAACUAAAAAAACUCACAUCUCUCCAAUCUAUCUACAAAAUAUUGGAGAUGAGAGGUGAUUUGUCAACUCGAUAAAUAAAUUCAUGCAUAAUGUUACCAAUAAUGAUAAAUUACUUAAUAAUUCUUAUAAAGAAUCAUAAAUAAGGAACAUUAACCAUUUUACAGUCUAUUACAUAAGUAAGAUUAAUCUUAUAAUAAGUUAACUUAUAACGUAAUAAAUAUUUCAAUUCAUAAUUAUUUAAGAAGUCACUUAACAAUAAAAUAUUUUUUUAUUUAAUUGAUCAUGUCAUAUAACGUUAUCUAAACUCCUGACGAUAUUAUUAUUACUCACUUUUCUCAAAAAAACAUGACUAACGUUUAGAGAAAAGUCAUGCCUUUUAGAUAGAUAGAAUAUGAUUACAAGCUAUCCAUACUUUAUCUUACCAUGACAAAAUUGAUGGUGAUUAAAUCUAUUUUUAAAAUAGAUUUAAUGCACAAACAUGAUGACUUUUGCCAAAAAUUAGUUUCAGAAGAUAACUAAAUUAAGUUGCAAAGGAGCUUACUUCAAUUUCUAAGCUUUUCAAUCAUGAUUCCUCCAUGCCUUCCUCUGAUACCAUUUUGUUACGUGCCAACGUAAUUGACCUUGUAAUUGGUUUGUAUAAGGAAUGAAGCCCUUUCAAGAUCGUUUCUUUUGUGUCCAUAUUGUAGUAGACUAGUAGUCAAGUAAAUAAAGAGUGAAUAACUGAAUUUGGUCUAUUUCGAAGAAGACUAUGGCCUCCACACUACAAGAAAAUAGGCGAUAGAUAACGGGAAAUAACCGUCAUAAAAGGUGGUGUAUGACAGACAGUUUAUUCGUCAUCUAUGUCACUGUCAUUAAUUUAUGACAGAAUAUUUUCCGUCAUGAAUUCUUGAUGUUAUUUUACAAUCAUAUAUCCAUCACACAAUAUUUUAAUGAGAAAAAAUAAUUAAAUAAAAUUUGAAUUUAUUAAAAUUUUUGCUCUAUUUUUUAAUUUUUUGGCGGAAAAUUAAAUUGUCAUUUGUAAAUUUCUUAUUCAAUUUUGGUGGAAAAUUUUUUUAUGACAGACUUUAUGAUGUGUAUUUCCCAUCAUAAAGUUAAUUUUUUUAAAUUAUAUUGUGAUUAUAGUUUAUUUCUGAAUUCCUGUUUACAAAUUUAAUUAAUUAAUAAAAAAUGAAUAUUGUCAAAAAAUAAAAAAAUAAUAGUAACUAAAAUCCAUUCAAUCCAACAAAUUAAUUUCAAAAUAAAUACAUCUAAUAUUCAAUGUCAUUACCACUAAUACAUAAUAAAACAUCCCAAAUUAAAAAAAAGAAUGUCAAAAUAUAAAACAAUAGUUAAAUUCCAAUUAAAUUCCAAGAAAUGUAAUUCAAAUUCCGGACACCGAGCCAAGCUCCCCAGCAAAACUUCCAAAGAUUAAUGGAAAUAUUCCAAUAGCAAGACUUCCAGAAGCAAUACCCUCUUCCAGUGGCAAUACAUUGACUAAUCUUUGAAGCCAUGACUCCUCAAGCCAAUGCCAAAAAUGUGUGCAAAAUUAAUGCUCUAUCCACAAAAAUUUCAGUCUAUAUUGGUAAGAAGAAACAUGAAGAAACAAUUACCUCAGCAUCAUCGUCAUUGGAAGCCAAAUCAGCUGUAAAGACCACAAAAUGUUUGGUUAGAACUAGUGGAAGUCUUACUCUAAAACUUUUAAUUUUUGAAUUUCGAAAGAUCUAGUAAUGACAAAGAUUCUCAUAUCCAGUGACCAAGUUUUGAAAAUUAGAAUACGGAAUAACGUCAACUAAAUUCACUAAUAUAGGGUGCAUUUGAGAUUGAGGUUGGACAGCUGUAGCUUAAAAGCUACAGUAGUAAAGUGUUUGGUAAACACUAGUUGCUGUAAUUUAAAAACUAUGUUGAUAUGAUUUUUCACUUGUAUAAUGGAGAAUCUAUUUUUUUAAAUAAUUAUGUCAAAAUUAUUAUUUAAAAUUUAUAUUUACUACAUAUUAUUAAUUUUUGUUUCAUAGUCACAGUUUUUUUUCCACAGCAGUUGUAAAGCUACAUCACCUCAAUCCCAAACGCACCCUAAGCUAGAGGAAUCCCUAGUUGAUAUAGCACACAUGCACACAUGAUAUGCAUGCAUCAGAAUACACAAUAAUAAAUUAUCUCAAAGUCAAUAAGAAGCCAAAACUAGAGAUAAACCUUUAGCCACUAUAAGGAAGACUGAUAUUUGCAGUGUGAUUACAAUAAACAAACAGAAACUUCACUACCCAUAAGUAAAGCAAAAUAAAUAAAGGAUAAUAACUAACCAAGAAAUGGAAAAGCUCACAUUCUCUGAACACGCACCCCAAAAAGAAAGAAAGAAAUAAAUGUUCCCAUUGGAUCUGAAGCACAAGCAAUCCACUGACAUCCUUCUAUAAUUAGGUAAUUUAAAGGGGUUAAGCUCACAUCUUUUACGGAAGCAACAAGAGAAUUAACAACAUUCCAGAGGAUUUAGGGAAAAACCACGAGGCAAGAAAAAAGAAAGAUCCUUCUUCAAUCUAGAUAUCUUGACACUGCUCACCAUCUACAGCAGUCUGGGGCUUAAAAAGCAUGAUCUCUCCCCCCCUCUGGCACCAUUUUCUCUCAUGUGAAUCUGUCAUUGCCCGUAGAAACAAACCAGAACUGCAUAAAUUCUCUUAUCUUCCAGCAGCUUCUUUUCUCCAGAAAUAGGCACAACUAUUUGACAUGGAAACAAUUUAUCUAACAUGGCCACCUUUAAAGACAAAGACAUACUAAGGACAUGGUUUUAGAUACGGAUACAAGAAACAAUCACAAAAUGUAAAAUCUAUACAUAUGAUAUUAAUUUCCAAUGGAUACAGCACUUCAUUCUUUGACUUAACUUCAUUAGAUUACUAGGUUUGAUUAGGUUAUACACACAUUUAUUCAUUUAUGGUUUUCAACCUAUAAUCUACAUGCACUUAGAAUGAGAGGUACCUAUAAAAACAAGUUACCAGAAAACAAUACAGCUAGAAAACAUUAAAACAUUAAUCUAAGCAGUUCUAUAGGUUUAACUAACUGCAGGAAAAAACCGUUGAUUUUGUCCGUCGGAUUAUUGAGAUCCUAAUUCUGGUAAAAAGAAAAUGAGAUAAUAGAAAAUCAAAAAUUAAAUAGACACAAAAUGAGAAAUCAAGAUCAUACGGCAACUAAUAUAUAGCAUGGGCUGCAGCUAACAAGCAAUAUAAGCCAUGAUAUUAUGCCAGAUACAAAAUUUUGAGAUCCAAGAGAGAUCAAGAAGCAUGAAUAUUGAAAGAAGUGAGUGCAGAAGGAUAAGAAAUCAGGUUGAUAUUCUUCAUACUUUGGGUCAACACGUAGUGAUGCAAUAAACUUGUAAUUAGCUUCAAGUGUAUAGGCUACCAUGUCAACAUUUCCGAAAACACACAAGAUUGUGCUGGAUUCAUAUAUAGUACAUAUAUAAAAAAACAAUCUGCUUCUAAACUUCAUGAGAACAUCGAAUAAUGAACUUACAAUUUGAUCCCUCAUCAUCUUCAUCGCACCAUUUGUUCCAAUCAACCUUAAUGUAAGGUGCUGGUUUCUCUUCUGACUUGAGUAGCCUUUUCCACCAACCUUUCUCUUCUUUUUGCACCGAGCAUAUUAUGUUCCUUAAGCCAACUUUAGUCUUACAUUUCUGCACCACCAGCAACAAAAUUCAAAGCAUUACAAAAGAGGUAUAUUUAGCCGCUCUUGACUCGAGUGAGAGAACAGGAUAAACAGCCUAGGUAUAUCCACAUCCAUGUUAUGAGAUUAAUUAUGCAACAACUAACUUUAAUAUAAAGUUUGUGCUCCAACAAAGACUAAAAUGUUUGUAAUUGUUAUGCUUCCGGAGCUAAAAUGUUUCGCAAACACUCACUUUUACUCUGCAGCUAAUAUCUAGCACCCAGCCACACAAAGUCCGUAGUCUUUGUCUCAACUUUGUCUGAGGCCAAUGUAAAUCCAAUUUGCACAAGCUCUCUAUGCACCACAGCUCUUCUGGAAGCUUUCUCAAGUACGCACAAGGGUUGACAAUUAAGCUUUCAAGUUUUGGUAUUGCUCCAGCCCCCAUCGUCCACUCAUCUAGCCAAUACAUUGAUUUCAGGCGCAAAACCUUAAGUUCCGGAAAGCCACCCGAGCAAGCACAGGCCAGCUUUCUUCCUAAAUACAAGCUCUGCUUCAGUUUCAGCACUUGAAGGCGUGGAAGCUUUUUGAUAAGGAAAGGGAGCCACGGAGGUCAACAAAGGUUCAUAAGCCUAACUACAGAUACGAGGGCUUUGUUUGAACAUUCGUAAGUCUCAUGCAGCCAUGCAUGCGGUCAUGCAUGUUGCAUGCAAUACCAUGCAAGACUUAUUUACGCAUGGAUUAAAGAGUAGUCUGUUUCUAGUUUUUUAUUUAAGAUUGCUCAGUUAUUUAAAUUGAUUUUAGCCGUGAAUUGUGGCUACAAAUCCUUAGUAGUGUUUGUAUUAACUACUAUAAAUAAGCUCCAGCAAUUAAUAAAAGGAUUAUGCAAAAAAUUAUCUCAAAGUACUAUUCUUGGUCGUUUUCACCGUAAGUAGAACAACGUAAACUUAGCUAUUGUUGAACGUUUUUGAUUGGGACCUAUCACUUUUCCAGCCUUGGCAUGGGAUCCUCCAUUAGCUCAGUAUUUGAUAAGCUCAGUUGGGUCAGACUUGGAGGAAAUUGGUAUUCAGACAGGACCGUCCGUGAGAGCUUGCUUUCAUUCACCAGCUUCAAGCAUUCAAGUUUCUCUAGUUCGCAUAGGCUUUUGGAAAUCCCAGAUUGAUAGUAACUCAAAUCUCCAGACACUCUAAGAGUUUGAAGAUUAGGUAGUCUGCCCAAUAUAGCUGGAGUGCAACUACUAGGGUGUAAGGCUGAUAUGAAAAUGAGAUUUUUCAGAGAGCUGGAAUAAUUUUUUGGAGGCGCAGGCAGAGUGAUGCAACCGAAGUUUAAAUGCACGAGUUUUCGCAUCAUCCAAAUAUCCUCUGGUGAAUGAUCUAUGUAGCUUGAUGGCAUUUCUAGUGUUUGAAGGUUUAAAAGAGUGCAUAGCAGUGAAGGAAGGCAUUUGAGCGAGGGGAUAUUCAAUUUCAAAUACUUCAAAUGGAAAAAGUUUCUAAUCCGGGCGGAUAUUGGUCGAGAAUUGCAGAACCCAAGUUCAAUACCCCAAGGUGUUUGAACGUUUGACGAAAAUUCUCGCAAUCUAUCAGAGCGAGAUGAUCGCUUUCUGAACUGUGAUUCAGAAAAGAUUGGAGAUAGAUGUCAGGAUGUUCUAAAGAUAAAAACUGAAUCAGAUGUUCCAAAAUGAAGCACCGUUUAACAUUUGCCAGUGGUUCCUUUUCCCUUUCAUGCAUGCAGACAAAUUCCGUCUGCGCUGCCACCAAAAACAAUGGAGUACAUAAAAAACUUGGAACAUAACACGCUUUAAUUGUGCCUCCGGCUCUUCUCUUACUCACUUGAAUGAAGCCGCAAUAGAUUAGUUCUUUCAAAUAAUGCUCGGCAGUUUCUUCACUGUUGUAUGGUAUGAAACCUUCAGCUACCCACAAAUGAUAUAAUUGCCUCGUAGAUAUUUCAAUACUUGGACGAAAGACACACAAAUAGAUGCAGCAGACUUUCAAGUGAAAAGGUAACUCCAUCAAAGAAUAACUGUGUCUCUAAAUUGUCGGAAUCGCUACGCCUUGAACAUAAUUUUCUAAUGGCAUACUUCCAUAGUGUAGGAUGAAAAAUUGCCAGGCUUUAUGCUUUAAUCUGAUCAAUGGUCCUCCACUGAGCACUGAAUCAAACCGAAUCAUCUCUCCGUUUUCCAUGUCCAACAGCGUAAGGGGGCAUGGAUCAGUGACCAAUAUCAAUACUCUGCUUCCAUUCUGAUUGUCAGGAAGAACUUGUUCAAGAUCAUCCAAUACAUCGUCACUCUCUUCACAGUAAUCAUCAAGCACAAUAAAGUACUUCUUGUUUGUUAGGAAAUCUCGAAGAAUAGAUUUCUUCAAUUGAUAAUGUUCACCGAUAAUUACACUAACCCGAGAUGGAGGCAUCACAGACUUGAUUAUGUCAUCCAAUAUCUUGCCAAAAUCGUAGAGUACAGAAAUCCUGACCCAAGCAAGGCAGUCAGAGAAUUGCAACCACUGCAAGCCGAGGAUGUCCUUCAAUCAAUAAAUCAAACAACUCCUCUCUACCACUUUCAAAUUCGUUGAUAUCAAGCCGAGGUUUUCCCUCAAUCAAUAAGUGAAUGAGUUUGUCCCUUUGUUCAGUGAUUACGAAACCAUUGUCGCCGGGUGGAAGUUGUUGCAUCCGAUUUCUAAUAUCAAUAAUUUUACUGUGGAGUCCAACAAGAAGAGCCAUAUUAGUACUGCUUUCACUUUCUUCUUCACUGUUUUGCUGCUGCAUGAUGUUGAUGAAGAAUGUGUCAAUGGCUUCCUCAGAUUCAUGGACAAAGUCAUUGAUGUCCUUCACAAUUUCCAGAAUGUCUGAUCUUUUAACGUCUUCAUCGCUUUCUUGUAAAAAAGCCAAAUAUAUUUCGGAUUCAUCGAAUUCUCCUCUAAUGAGUUGAAACAAAAGCCGAGCCAUGUCAGCUUCAUAGUUUCCCACCAGAGUAGUAGCAAUGAUUUCUGACUCCGUAAGAAGGUUCUGAAAAAGUGGAGUCAAAUUUGUUCAAUCAGGCAACGUUAACGCGCCUUCUUCACCUGCUAGCACCCUUUUCAACCUCUCACAAAAUAGUCGGAGGUUCACGUCCACCAUAUCUCCUUCCCUCCGUAGCACUCAGAGAAGAUUGGUCCUAUCUCAAAGUGGUUAGUGCUGUAAAAUUAAACACCAUGGAAGAAUUUGAAAGGAAUAUGCCAAGAAACUGGCCAAGUGGCUAAAUUCCACAAAUAUGACAUUAUUGCUCAUUUUCUCUCAGACACGUGAUACACGUUGAUUUAGAGGAAAGUUCAAGAAUUUUGCUUUAAAAAAAAAAAUUGAUGGUGCUUAAAUUAUUAUUUUUUUAAUUUAAAGAGUUUUGCUUUUAAAAAAAAAUUAAUAUCAAAAUGCCUUCAAUGUUAUUACUGCCACAAGCCCAGUAACAAAACUCAUUAAAAAUUUUAGAAUUUCUGGCCAUGGAAAGAGUAGUAUUAAACAUCAGAAAGCAAAGGUUGUUCCGUUAAAGAAUUGAUGUUGACAUAAUUUUAUUUUGGUUUUCGGGAAAAAAAAAAUAUUUGUUGGCAAGCAAAGAAAAUAAUUUUAUACUUUACAAUCUGCUAUACAUAUUUUAUCAUAUUAAAGUAAUUUUAAUAUCUAUCAAAAAAAUAAAUUUAAUAAUAAUUGGAACAUAAUAUUACAAUAAAUAAAUUAAAAUUAUUUUAAAUAUUAGGAAAAAAAUAUUAUUAAUAGGAAGAUAUUUUGUUAAUUGUAAAAUCCUUUUAUUCCAAAUAUUUUAUUUAAAUUUUUUAUAAUAAAUAAAAAUAUAAAAUUAAAAUAAAUAUCAUAAUUUAAAUUUUUUAUAUUAAAAAUAUUUUAAUGUUAUUAGUCUACUACAUAAAUUAUAUUAUUUAUAUUAUAUUCGUAUUGAUUAAAAUCUUUUAAAGUUAAUUUUAUAGUUACUAUAUCCACAGGGUAUUAUAUUAUAUUUAAGAGUAAUUUUUUCAAAUUUUAGGAUUGCAGAUGUCCUUCUUCCGAUAAUUUAUUUCACUUUUGAGAGAAUCCAAUGAGAAAUAUGAUAAGAGAUGGUCAGUUUAAUGUUCUCUGCCUUUAUGGAAAAAAAGUAAAAAGUAAAAACUAUUCAAUUUUGUACUUUUUGUGUCCACCAAAUAAAUUUUACACAUUUAUGUUGUCAUAAAACGAAAAAAAAGGGUUUGCCAAAAAAUGGUACCAAGCAUACCUUUAAUGUCCCACGUGAUUUCUUAUUAAGCCCAUAUUAUAUAUAUUUAUACAUUUUAUUGCAUUAAACAUUUUUAUUAUAAAAGAAGUUGGUCCUUCCCCUAGUGAUAAAAGAUAAAUAUGAUAAUGUUUGAGAUGGGUUUAGUCUUUUAUAUUUGCUGAGUCCAGUGGGUUAAAGAAUUAGAGUAAAGCAUCUGGGCAUUCUUUCAUGCAAAACUAAAAAUCCUGAAAAUAGUUGGCUUUAACUGAUUAAGACAAGCUUGGUCGAAUUGAGUUGAACUUCAUAUAUAAAAGCCAAAUAUAUUGCGGAUUCAUCGAAUUCUUCUCUAAUGAGUUGAAACAAAAGCCGAGCCAUGUCAGCUUCAUAGUUUCCCACCAGAGUAGUAGCAAUGAUUUCUGACUCCGUAAGAAGGUUUUGAAAAAGUGGAGUCAAAUUUGUUAAAUCAGGCAACGUUAACGCGCCUUCUUCACCUGCUAACACCCUUUUCAACCUCUCACAAAAUAGUCGGAGGUUCACGUCCAGCAUAUCUCCUUCUCUCCGAGAAACUGUGUAAGUGGCUAAAUUCCAGAAAUAUGACAUUAUUGCUAUUUUUUUAACUCAAAAAAAUGGUACGCGUUCAUUUAGAGAAAAGUUCAAGACGCGCGCCUUUUGAAAAAUGGUACCCGUUCAUGUAGAGAAAAGAACAGGUAUCCCAAUCGGUAUCCAACCUUUAUCUUCUUUAAUUACCACCACGACAUGAUUUUUUUUUUUUUUUUUUGAUGACAUGAGACUAUUGCUUAAAUUACAACUCAAAUUACAACUCAUAUUACAUGAGAGUAUAAUUGAUAUGUACAAUCAUAUAUACAUACUGAGAUCUAUUGACAUUAAUGCUGAUAUGACACUGCUCAGAUUUUUGUAACCCUCUCAAAUAUUCGAGGGACGUCAAACUCCUAUCCUGGGAGAAAGACUGCCUUCACUCGAGCUCUGUGGCUCCAAGGAAGGAAAUAUAAAUUAAACCUCUACAAUGCGACUGCGGAGGCUCGAACCCCUUCCCUCACAUAUGUGAGGGAGUGGCUCUAGCCACUUGGGCUAGCCCAAGUGGUUCCACGACAUGAUUGAUGGUGCUUAAAUCAAUUGUUUCUUUUUUAAUUUAAAGAAAUUUUCAUUAAAAAAAUAUUUUAAUAUCAAAUACCCUUCAAUGGCAUAACUGCCGCAAUCCCAGAAACAGGAUUAAAUAUUUUUUUUUUUUUGAAUUUUUGGGCAUGGAAAGAGCAGUAUUAAAAAUCAGAAAGCUAAGGUCGUUCUGUUAAAGAAUUGAUAUUGACAUAAUUUUUUUUUGGUUUUCGGGGGAAAAAAAAAAUUGUUGACAAGCAAGAAAAUAUUUUUAUAUUUUACAAUUUAUUAUACAUAUUUUUUUUUUUUGGAUCAAUAAUGGGCUCUAAAAGAGCUAAAGCACCAGUAAACGGGAGUGGGCAACCCCAGACACAUCGUUAUGAAGAAUACUCUGUAAAUUAGGAGGAGCAACAGUAAGUAACUGCAAUCCUAAAGGACAAGACAAAUUAAAUGAGGCCAGAAAAUCUGCUGCUAUGUUUGCUUCUCGAUAGAUGUGGUUCACUUUCACGACCCAGUCCCUGCUGAUCAGCUCACGAAUGGCAAGGAUAAGAGAAUGAUGCUCAUUAACAGGAGUGGUCGGAUUCUCCAAGAUUUGAGAUUUAUUAUACAUAUUUUAUCUUAUUAAAGUAAUUUUAAUAAUAAAUAGAAACAUAAUAUUACCAUAAAUAAAUUAAAGUUUAACUUAUUUUGAAUAUUAUAAAAAAUAAUUUUAAUAUUAUUAAUAGGAGGACAUUGUAUUAAUUUUAAAAUUUUUUAACCCAAAGGUUUAUUUAAAAUCUUUAUUAUAAAUACAAAUAUAAAAUUAAAUAUAAUAAUUUAAAAUUUUUAAUAUUAUUUUAAAUAUUAAAAAUAUUUUAAUGUUAUUAGUCUACUACAUAGAUCAUAUUACUUAUAUAAUAUUUGUAUUAUUAAAAAUUCUUAAAAUCAAAUUUUUAGUUAGUAUAUUUAUGAGGUAUUAUGGUUAAAAAAAAAACCUUAUUAUUACUUUUUAAAACAUUGAGGGCCUGCGUGAUAAUUUUUUCAAAAAGAAAAUGCUUGGUAUCUAGGAGGGUUAGAGAAACAGGACUACCAAAAUCUCUCACCCUUUUUUAAUUAAAAAAAAUUAAAAUAUCAAUAAAAAAAAUAAAGAAAAUAGAAUUUUAUCUGCUCCUUACUCCAUUUUUGUAACUCUCUCACCAUCUCUGUCGAGCAGCCCUCUCUUUCACUGUCUCUCACUAUUUCACAAUCUCUCUCUCACUCACACAGUCCUUUAGAAAAGCCCAAAAUAGGCCCAAUAAGCCCAUAAUUAAAAUAAUCGAAUCGAAUUAUUUCAAUUAAUCGAGUAUUUGAUUAUUUCGGUAAUUUGAUUAAUCGCGAUUAUGAUUUUAAAAUAAUCGUAAUCGAACGAUUAUGAAAAAUUUAGUAAAAAACCGAAUUGAACCGAACCGCACCCACCCCUACAUAAAAGAACAACAAUUACUUGUCAUUUUCAAUUUUUUCUAUAAGCUAUUUAUUUUGAGCAUUAGUGAUCUUGUCUGGACUACUCCAAUUAUUGACGUAACUCCAGUGGCUGCAUCCACUGGAAAAAGUGGAUGAGAACAUUUUUUUUUUUCAUAAAGGUAACUACUCCAAUUAUUGACAUAAUUGAUGGUGCUUAAAUCAAUUUUUUUUUUUAAUUUAAAGAAUUUUGCUUUAAAAAAUAAUUAAUAUCAAAAUGCCUUCAAUGUUGUUACCGCCACAAGCCCAGUUAGAGGACUCAUUAAAAAUUUUAGAAUUUUUAGGCCUGGAAAGCGUAGUAUUAAACAUCAGAAAGCAAAGGUUGUUAUGUCGAAGAAUUGAUGUCGACAAAAUUUUAUUUUAGUUUUCGGAAAAAAAAAAAAAUUUGUUGACAAGCAAGAAAAUAUUUUUUAUACUUUACAAUCUGCUAUACAUAUUUUAUCAUAUUAAAGUAAUUUUAAUAAUAUAUGGAAACAUAAUAUUAUAAUAAAUAAAUUAAAAUUACUUUGAAUUAUUGAAUAUUACAAAAAGAUAAUUUUAAUAUUAUUAAUAGGAAAACAUUUUUAAUUGUAAAAUCUUUUUAAUACAAAAAUUCAUUUAAAAUCUUUAUAAUAAAUACAAAUAUAAAAUUAAAAAAAUAUCAUAAUUUAAAUUUUUUAAAAUUAUUUAAAUAUUAAAAAUACUUUAAUAUUAUUAGUCUACUACAUAAAAUAUAUUAUUUAUAUUAUAUUCGUAUUGAUUAAAACGUUUUAAAGUCAAAUUUUUAAUUAGUGUAUUCAAAGAUACAAAAGAUUUUAGUAUUAUUUUUAAAAAAUUUCAGGAUAUGAAUGAUAAUUUUUUCAAAUUUUAAAGAUGUAAGAAUCUUUUUUUCUGAUAAUUUAUUUCACUUUUGAGAGAAUCCGAAAACGUUAAUUUAACAUUCUUUACCUUUGUGAAAAAAGUGAAAAUCAAGAACUAUUCAAUUUUGUUUUUAUUUGUAAUUCAAAAACUUUAUUCAUUUUCGAUGCUUUUCAAAAGAGACUCCUCUAAAUCCUUUUGGUGUCUGCAGCUCCUGCAAUUCUCAUAAAUCUCCAUCCCACAUCUACACUAUCAAACAAGUUGAUGGAAAUUCUUAUCAAAAAAAAAAAAAAAAACAAGUCGAUGGAAAUUGAUCAAUUACUUUUUGAAGUGGACCCAUUGAGUCAUGUUCAUUUCUGGUCAUUGUCUACUCUUUCCAUCAGCCAUUUAUUUUGACCAUUUGCGAUCUUAAAGGAUAUGAGAACGUAGCUGAAGUGCUGAAGGGGCUAUUAAAGAAGAGUGUCACUUGAUCACAAUCACAUUGAUGCACAACUCACUCGUGGCAAAUUUCGACUAUACGUUCUGCAAAUUCAGCCAAACCAUACAUGCAUGAACAAAACUAAAAUGUAGUUCUAAUCACAACUGCAGUUAUAAUGUUUACCCCUCUGAUUUUUCUCCAAAACAAAUUCAGUUCAAAACAAUAAUUAAAUAGCCACAUUUUGUUCGUCAAAAUAAAUGCCCAAAUUUUCAAUUAACAAAUCAUCUUCUCUAAACUAAAAAUCCCACAUCUCUAAAAUCAAUCUACAUAAUGUUGGAGAUGAGGGGUGAAUUGUUAACUCAGUAAAAAAAACUCAUGCAUAAUAUUACUAAUAAUAUAAAAUAUAUAUUAAUCAUUAUAAAGAAUCAUAAUUAGAAAAAUUAAUCAUUUUAUAAUUUAUUACACAAGUAAGAUAAAUCUCAUAAUAAGUUAUAACAUAAAAAAAACGUUAUCAAUAUAUAAUCAUUUAAGAAGUCAUUUAACAAUAAAAUCGUUCUUUAAUCAGUUGGUCAUGUCACAUAGUGUCAUCUAUAUUUACGGUGAUAAUAUUAUUACUCAGUAUUAUCAAAAAACAUGAUUUAACAUUUAGAGGAAAUUCUUGCCUUUUAAAAAAAACAUGUAUGCAACAACUACCCAUGCUUUAUCUUACCAUGACAAAUAUUUUCUCAAUGAAAGAAAAUUUUUUAAAAAUUGAUUUAAUGCACAAAUAUGAUGAUUUUUCCAAAAAUUAGUUUUGGAAAACAUAGUGAGAGAAAAUAGUGACGAUUAUUGUUUAGAUGUAUAAAUAGCCUAAACAUAAUCCUUAAUACCAAUAUCCUAAUGCAUCUUAUCAUCUUUCAUGAUAUUCUUUCAUUUAUGUCCAUUGGUUCAAGAUUUGAAUUUGAUCAUUAAAUCAUGUUCAAUAAUAUUAGAGAUUCUAACAAAUGAGUACCAACUUAAAUCCCAAUGUUAUGUGUCAUUGACCAAUUUUGUGUCAUUUUGUUAUUAACUAGGUGAUGAAUUUGUAGUUGAUAAAAUCACUUAAAAAUAUCUUAAAAAUCAAACAAUAGUUUGCUUAAUUUUUCCAAGUUAACUGCUCAAGAUGCUCUAUUAUAAAUAAUAACCUAAUUAUAUUCAUAAAAAAUGAUAUUUUUUUUGUGGUGUUGAUAAUGAGAUUAUCAUUCAACAUUUUAAAAUGUGAAAACAUAUGGAAGAUGGUUGUAAAUUGAUUGAAUGAAAACAUUUCAGUGAAGUCUCAAAAAUUUGGUACUUGUUGUCUUAUCGAAAGUUUUCUAAAUUAUAUUCGUGGCACAGCCACUAUCCAAACCAUACAAGUCCAAAGCUAUCCAAACCAUACCUGCAAGUCCGGGGCUUAAAUGGAGUACUUCUAAGCAAAAAAACAUUGACUAAAAUAGAAUAUAUACAUACAGACACACAUACAUACCAGCAUAUUCAAAAUAGCAAAAGGAGUGCAAAAGUUCAAGUUUGUAGACAACAUUGCAACCAUAGCAUGUUUAUAGCAAAUCCUCAAAAUCUGCUAAAUAAAACAAUGCCCUGUCUCAUGAAUCAAUGCUGAAUUAAAAUUGAAACUGAAAGUCUGGAUGGUUUUGUUUGUUGAGAAUGUCAAAUAAAACGGCAUUGAAGGAAGUUUUCAAAGGCAGAAUCCGCACUUGUCAAAGGGAUGAUCUGCACUUGUCAAAGACACUAUCCGCGCCGAACGGAUCGACACAUUUCCUUCCGUAUUCACAUAUGUAAUCUUUGAAAAAAUAUAGCUUCUGCAUCUAUAAAUAACGCUCAGUGUAUAAUGUUUUAUUCAAGAAAUAAAAACAAGUUUCUACAUGGUAUCAGAGCCAUGAAUGCGCUCAAGUUUCUUCAAGUUUCGCUGCUCUGUUUGUCACAAAAACAGAGGAAACCAAUUAAAUUCGUCCCACAACCAUUUUUUCCACCAUUUUCUUCCUUAAAAUCAUUCCUAACAUUACAGAAAUCCAUGCCGAUCAAAAAACAUGAAAGACAAAUUACACAUGUGCAGUAACCAAUGAUCAUAUUUCGUUACUGUCAAACACAAUGCAUCUGAGCAAAACAUUGGAAGCCAACACCAGAAUACAUAUGAAUAAACAAUUAAAGAUAGAGAAAAAAGGCUUAAACCUUGGGGGGAAAAAGUGAAAAAACAUGAAAGACAAAUUACACAUGUGCAGUAGCCAUCGAACUUAUCAGUGACAGCUGCAUCCAUUACAUUGCUCCAACAACACAAUGGCAAACCACCAGUUUCAAAUUGAGGAUAGCUAUCGAGAAUGAGAAAGUGUCCAAAACGUCAUAAAUAGACAUGUUCCGAUUGUGCAUAAUUUACAUUAUAGGCAAAUAUUCUUAUACCAUCAAAGGCAAAACAUGACACUAACAAUUGAUCACCCCCCCCCCCCCCCCCCCAACAACAAAAAAAAGGAAAAAAACAAUACAGAAAAGAUUGAAACAGAUAAGGCUACACUGAGCACAGGAUGCCAUGAAACAUAAUCCAGGAACCAAAUUAAUAAAAAAGGAAGCCAAACCAUUAUUUAACAAUCUGUUUUGUAUUUGGGAAAGUCUGAUAAAAUCUACUUGGGGAUAAUUAGAGAACCUCAACUAUUAAUCACACCUCAUAAAUGAACUAACAUUAAACAUCUACCAUCCCAACGUCACACAAACAUUCUCUACACUUCUGAACCUAAUACUUCCAUCUUCAAUUGGGGUUUUUUUUUCUUUUUCUUUGGGGGGGGGGGGGGGGGGGAUUGAAAUGCUGAUUUCGAAUCACUAACAGUAAAAUUGGAAGCUCAUGAAAAAAUAGUUUUAUCUCAAAAUUACAUCUCGAUAUAAAUUCUCUUUUCAUUUCCUUCAACUUUCUAAUUAAGCUUAAAAAAUGUACCUUCAACCACAAAGGGGUUUAAAAUUUAAAAUAUAAAAAAUAAAUUCAGAUAACAAUAAUUAAUUUAAUUAAAAAUAUAAAUAGAGUUACAGAGAAAGAGAAAAUAGAGAAAGACGUAAUGUUGAGUCCUUUGGCGCAAGUCUCUUCAUAGGUCCGAACCAUUUCUUCGGGCGUGGGUUUCGGGUCUUUAGGAUACUCCAUAGUGAUAAGCCAGUGAUUGUAAUCGCAACCCUCGAACAGAAUCGUGUCGGGUGUGAUCUCGUCGCCGUCCUUAUACAAGUGGUACGUCUUGUUAACCGACGGCGUAGACGAGAGGGAGAUCGUCGGGGACGAUCUGAACGGCCGAGAUUGGAUAAUGAUGGAGGAGGAGAAGAUUAGCGAUGACGACGCCGAUGAAAUGGAAGGGUUUACCAGAGGAGUGGAUGCGAAGAAUGCAGGGACGGCCGCAAAGAGAGAGCGGCGGAGAGCGGCGACGGACGGUAGUGACCAGCGGAGGCGGAAAAUGGCGGUAUGGGCCAUUGCUUGCGCGUCGGUGAGUGUCUCGAGUGAGAGAGUGAAGGGUUUUGGGAAAUGAAAAAUGCAAAUGUUUGAUUUUGUUGCUAGAAACUUCUUCUGCCGCUGCCUUUUAUUUUCGCUAUAAUAAUAAUAAUUUGUUAAUCAAAUAUUUUCUUAAAAAAGAUAAAUUUCUACAACAAAAUUUAUAUUAAAUCAAAUUGUAAAAAUGUCUAUUAGGGUUAAUUUCUCCUUAAUAUUAUUAUUAGUAGAUGUAGAUUUUCGAAUUAGUCUUGAUAUAUUUCAGAGUUGUAUUAUAAAUGUAUAUGUAUCUGGAUUGCAAUUAUAUUUUUAAAAAAUAUAAUUUUUUUAAUUAUUGCACAAUAAAUGUAAAUAGUAUCUAUAAAAUAAUAUUAUUAGGACUACGAAAAAAAUAUUAUUUUAGAGAAGUUAUUUAUUUAUUAUUGAAUGAAUAAAAAAAUUAGUUUGGCAUUUUUAUAACCUCCUUGAAGGUUUUACGAUAAACAUAAAUCUACUGAGAAAGUGGGAAAAAAAAAAGAAAAUGCAUAUAAAAGUAUGAGUUAUCAGAUAAGAUUAAAACUCACCCAAUUCAAUCCAUCAGAUUCCGUAAGGAUAUAACUGGAUGUCAUACCGCCACUCCAUAUCCUCGAAAGUCCGUAGUCCUUGUCUCAACUGUGUCUGAGGCCAGUGUAAGUCCAAUUUGCGCAAGCUCUUUAUGCACCACAGCUCUUCUGGAAGCUUUCUCAAGUAAGCACAUGGGUUGACAAUUAAGCUUUCAAGUUUCGGCAUUGCUCCAGCCCCCAUCGUCCACUCAUCUAGCCAAUACAUUGAUUUCAGGUGCAAAACCUUAAGUUCGGGAAAGCUACUCAAGCCAACACAAGCAAGCUUUCUUCCUAAAUACGAGUUCUGCUUCAGUUUCAGCACUCGAAGGCGUGGAAGAUUUUCCAGAAUUGGCAUGGGAUCCUCCAUUAGCUCAGUAUUUGAUAAGCUCAGUUGGAUCAGACUUGGGGGAAAUUGGUAUUCAGACAGGACCAUCCGUGAGGGCUUGCUCUCAUUCACCAGCUUCAAGCAUUCAAGUUUGUGGAGUUCGCAAAGGCUUUUGGAAACCCCAGAUUGAUAGUAACUCAAAUCUCCAGAUAUCCGAAGAGUCUGAACACUAGGUAGUCUGCCCAAUAUAUCAGGAGUACAACUGCUACGGUUUAAAGCUGAUAUGAAAAUGAGAUUUUUCAGAGAGCUAGAAUAAUUUUUUGGAGGUGCGGGCAGAGUGAUAGAACCAAAGUUUAGAUGCAUGAGUUUUUGCAUCAUCCAAAUAUCCUCUGGUGACUGAUCUAUGUAGCUAAAUGGCAUUUCUAGUGUUUCAAGGUUUAAAAGGGUGCAUAGCAGUGAAGGAAGACAUUUGAGCGAAGGGAUAUUCAAUUUCAAAUACUUCAAAAGAUAUAAAUUUUCUAAUCCGGGCGGAUAUUGGUCCAGGACUGCAGAACCCAUGUUCAAUACCCGAAGGUGUUUGAACUUUUUACAAAAAUUCUCGCAAUCUAUCAGAGCGAGACGAUCGCUUUCUGAACUGUGAUUCAGAAAAGAUUGGAGACGCAUGUCAGAAUAUUCUAAAGGAAAGAAGUCAAUCAGACGUUCCACAAUGAAGCACCGUUUAACAUUUGCCACUGAUUCCUCUUCCAUGUCAGGCGUCCAGACAAAUCCCGCCUUCUUUGCCAGAAAAUACAAUGAAGUGUAUACAAAACUUGGAACAUAACACGCUUUAAUUGUGCCGCCGGCGCUUCUCUUACUCACUUGAAUGAAGCCGCGAUGGAUUAGUUCUUUCAAGAAAUGGUCGGCAGUUUCUUCACCGUUGUAUGGUACGAAACCUUCAGCUACCCACAACUGAUGUAAUUGCCUCCUGGAUAUCUCAAUACUUGGAGGGAAGACACACAAAUAGAUGAAGCAGACUUUCAAAUGAAAAGGUAACUCCAUCACAGAAAAAAUUUGUCUCCAAACUGUCGGAAUCGCUUCGCCUUGAAGAUAAUUUUCUAAUGGCAUACUUCCAUAGUGUAGGAUGAAAAAUUGCCAGGCUUCAUGCUUUAAUCUGAUCAAUGGUCCUCCAAAGAGCACUGAAUCACGCCGAAUCUUCUCUCCGUUUUCCAUUUCCAACGACGCAAGGAGGUCUGGAUUAGUGACUGUUAUCAAUACUCUGCUUCCAUUCUGCUUAUCAGGAAGAACUUCUUCAAGAUCAUCCCAUAUGUCACUGUCAUUGAAGACAUCAUCAAGCACAAUAAAGUACUUCUUGUUUGUCAGGUAAUCUCGAAGAAUAGAUUUCUUCAAGCGAUAAUCUUCACUGAUAAUUACCCUAGCCCGAGAUGGAGGCAUCAAAGAAUUGAUUAUGUCAUCCAAUAUCUUGCCAAAAUCGUAGGCUAUAGAAACCCUGACCCAAGAAAGACAGUCAAAAUAGAACUUGACAUGGUUAUUAUUGUAAGUAUCUGCAGCAAAAGCAGUCUUAUCGAAGCCACUGCUGUCGAGAAUUGCAACCACUGAAAGCCCAGAUGGUCCCUCAAUCAAUAGAUCAAAAAACUUCUCUCUGCCCCUUUCAAAUUCACUGAUAUCGAGCCGAGGUUGUCCCUCAUUCAAUAGGCGAAUGAUUUCGUUACUUUUUUCACUGAUAUCAAAACCAUUGUCGCCGGGUGGAAGUUGUUGCAUCCGAUUUCUAAUAUCAAUGAUUUUAGUGUGGAGUCCAACAAGAAGAGCCAUAUCAGUACUGCUUUCACUUUCGUUUUCACUGUUUUGCUGCUGCAUUAUGUUGAUGAAGAAUCUGUCAAUGGCUUCCUCAGAUUCAUGGACAACGGGAUUGAUGUCCUCCAGAAUUUCCAAAAUAUCUGCUGUUUCAACGUCUUCUUUAUCGCUUUCUUCUAAGUCCAACAGUUGCAAAAAAGGCAAUGAUAUUUUGGAGUCAUCGAAUUCUUCUCUAAUGAGUUGAAACAAAUGCCGAGCCAUGUCAGCUUCAUAUUUUCCCAGCAGAGUAGUAGCAAUAAUUUCGGACUCCGUAAGAAGGUUUUGAAAAAGUGGAGUUAAAUUUGUUGAAUCAGGCAAAGUUAACGUGCCUUCUUCACCUGCUAACACCCUUUUCAACCUCACACAAAACAGUCGGAGGUGGAGUUCCAGCAUAUCUCCUUCUCUCCGCAGCACUCAGAGGUAUAGUUGAAAGAUUAAACACCAUGGAAGAAUUUGAAAGGAAUAUGCCAAGAAACUGUGUAAGUGGCUAAAUUCCACAAAUGCGGCAUUAUUGCUCAUUUUUAACUCAAAAAAUUGAUACGCGUUCAUUUAGAGAAAAGUCCAAGACGCGUGCCUUUUGAAAAGAACAGGUAUCCCAAUCGGUAUCCAACCUCUAUCUUAUUUAAUUACUAUCAUGACAUAAUUGAUGGUGCUUAAAUCAAUUGUUUCUUUUUUAAUUUAAAGAAUUUUUCAUUAAAAAAAUAUUUUAAUAUCAAAUUGCCUUCAGUGGCGUAACUGCCUCAAGCCCAGUAACAGGACUAAUUAAAGAUUUUACAAUUUUUGGGCAUGGAAAUAGUAGUAUUAAAUAUUAGAAAGGUGAGGUUGUUCUGUUAAAGAAUUGAUCUUGACAUAAUUUUAUUUUGGUUUUCGUGGAAAAAUAAAAUUUGUUGACAAGCAAGAAAAUAUUUUUAUAUUUUAAAAUUUAUUAUGCAUAUUUUAUCAUAUUAAAGUAGUUUUAAUAAUAAAUAGAAACAUAAUAUUACGAUAAAUAAAUUAAAAUUUAACUUAUUUUGAAUAUUAUAAAAAAAAUUUUAAUAUUAUUAAUAGGAAGACAUUGUAUUAAUUUUAAAAUUUUUUAACCCAAAGGUUUAUUUAAAAUCUUUAUUAUAAAUACAAAUAUAAAAUUAAAUAUCAUAAUUUAAAAAUUUUAAUAUUAUUUUAAGUAUUAAAAAUAUUUUAAUGUUAUUAGUCUACUACAUAGAUCAUAUUACUUAUAUAAUAUUUGUAUUAUUAAAAAUUCUUAAAAUCAAAUUUUUAGUUAGUAUAUUCAUGAGGUAUUAUGGUUAAAAAAAAAAAAGACCUUAUUAUUACUUUUUAAAAAAUUGAGGGUCUGCGUGAUAAUUUUUUCAAAAAGAAAAUGCUUGGUAUGUAGGAGGGGUAGAGAAACAGGACUCCCAAAAUCUCUCACCCUUCUUUAAUUAAAAAUAAAUAAAAUAUUAAUAAAAAAUAAUAAAGAAAAUAGAAUUUUAUCUGCUCCUUACUCCAUUUUUGUAACUCUCUCACCAUCUCUGUCGAGCAGCCCUCUCUUUCGUUGUCUCUCACUAUUUCACGAUCUCUCUCUCACUCACACAGUCCUUUAAAAAAGCCCAAAAUAGGCCCAAUAAGCCCAUAAUUAAAAUAAUCGAAUCGAAUUAUUUUAAUUAAUCGAGUAUUUGAUUAUUUCGGUAAUUUAAUUAAUCGCAAUUAUGAUUUUAAAAUAAUCGUAAUCGAACGAUUAUGAAAAAUUUAGUAAAAAAACCGAACUGAACCGAACCGCACCCACCCCUACAUAAAAGAACAUCAAUUACUUGUCAUUUUCAAUUUUUUCUAUAAGCUAUUUAUUUUGAGCAUUAGUGAUCUUGUCUGGACUACUCCAAUUAUUGACGUAACUCCAGUGGCUGCAUCCACUGGAAAAAGUGGAUGAUAACAUUUUUUUUUUUUUCAUAAAGGUAACUACUCCAAUUAUUGACAUAAUUGAUGGUGCUUAAAUCAAUUUUUUUUUUAAUUUAAAGAAUUUUGCUUUAAAAAAUAAUUAAUAUCAAAAUGCCUUCAAUGUUGUUACCGCCACAAGCCCAGUUAGAGGACUCAUUAAAACUUUUAGAAUUUUUAGGCCUGGAAAGCAUAGUAUUAAACAUCAGAAAGCAAAGGUUGUUAUGUCGAAGAAUUGAUGUCGACAAAAUUUUAUUUUAGUUUUCGGAAAAAAAAAAUUUGUUGACAAGCAAGAAAAUAUUUUUUAUACUUUACAAUCUGCUAUACAUAUUUUAUCAUAUUAAAGUAAUUUUAAUAAUAUAUGGAAACAUAAUAUUAUAAUAAAUAAAUUAAAAUUAAAAUUACUUUGAAUUAUUAAAUAUUACAAAAAGAUAAUUUUAAUAUUAUUAAUAGGAAAACAUUUUUAAUUGUAAAAUCUUUUUAAUACAAAAAUUCAUUUAAAAUCUUUAUAAUAAAUACAAAUAUAAAAUUAAAAAUAUCAUAAUUUAAAAUUUUUAAUAUUAUUUUAAUAUUAAAAAUACUUUAAUAUUAUUAGUCUACUACAUAAAAUAUAUUAUUUAUAUUAUAUUCGUAUUGAUUAAAACGUUUUAAAGUCAAAUUUUUAAUUAUUGUAUUCAAAGGUACAAAAGAUUUUAGUAUUAUUUUUUAAAAAUUUUAGGAUAUGAAUGAUAAUUUUUUCGAAUUUUAAAGAUGUAAGAAUCUUUUUUUCUAAUAAUUUAUUUCACUUUUGAGAGAAUCCGAAAACGUUAAUUUAACAUUCUUUACCUUUGUGAAAAAAGUGAAAAUCAAGAACUAUUCAAUUUUGUUUUUAUUUGUAAUUCAAAAACUUUAUUCAUUUUCGAUGCUUUUCGAAAGAGAUUCCGUUAAAUCCUUUUGGUGUCGGCAGCUCCUGCUAUUCUCAUAAAUCUCCAUUCCACAUCUACACUAUCAAACAAGUUGAUGGAAAUUCUUAUAAAAAAAAAACAAGUCGAUGGAAAUUGAUCAAUUACUUUUUGAAGUGGACCCAUUGAGUCAUGUUCAUUUCUGGUCAUUGUCUACUCUUUCCAUCAGCCAUUUAUUUUGACCAUUUGCGAUCUUAAAGGAUAUGAGAACGUAGCUGAAGUGCUGAAGGGGCUAUUAAAGAAGAGUGUCACUUGAUCACAAUCACAUUGAUGCACAACUCACUCGUGGCAAAUUUCGACUAUACGUUCUGCAAAUUCAGCCAAACCAUACGUGCAUGAACAAAACUAAAAUGUAGUUCUAAUCACAACUCCAGUUAUGAUGUUUACCCCUCUGAUUUUUCUCCAAAACAAAUUCAGUUCAAAACAAUAAUCAAAAUAGCCACAUUUUGUUCGUCAAAAUAAAUGCCCAAAUUUUCAAUUAACAAAUCAUCUUCUCUAAACUAAAAAUCCCACAUCUCUAAAAUCAAUCUACAUAAUGUUGGAGAUGAGGGGUGAAUUGUUAACUCAGUAAAAAAAACUCAUGCAUAAUAUUACUAAUAAUAUAAAAUAUAUAUUAAUCAUUAUAAAGAAUCAUAAUUAGAAAAAUUAAUCAUUUUAUAAUUUAUUACACAAGUAAGAUAAAUCUCAUAAUAAGUUAUAACAUAAAAAAAACGUUAUCAAUAUAUAAUCAUUUAAGAAGUCAUUUAACAAUAAAAUCGUUCUUUAAUCAGUUGGUCAUGUCACAUAGUGUCAUCUAUAUUUACGGUGAUAAUAUUAUUACUCAGUAUUAUCAAAAAACAUGAUUUAACAUUUAGAGGAAAUUCUUGCCUUUUAAAAAAAAACAUGUAUGCAACAGCUACCCAUGCUUUAUCUUACCAUGACAAAUAUUUUCUCAAUGAAAGAAAAUUUUUUAAAAAUUGAUUUAAUGCACAAAUAUGAUGAUUUUUCCAAAAAUUAGUUUUGGAAAACAUAGUGAGAGAAAAUAGUGACGAUUAUUGUUUAGAUGUAUAAAUAGCCUAAACAUAAUCCUUAAUACCAAUAUCCUAAUGCAUCUUAUCAUCUUUCAUGAUAUUCUUUCAUUUAUGUCCAUUGGUUCAAGAUUUGAAUUUGAUCAUUAAAUCAUGUUCAAUAAUAUUAGAGAUUCUAACAAAUGAGUACCAACUUAAAUCCCAAUGUUAUGUGUCAUUGACCAAUUUUGUGUCAUUUUGUUAUUAACUAGGUGAUGAAUUUGUAGUUGAUAAAAUCACUUAAAAAUAUCUUAAAAAUCAAACAAUAGUUUGCUUAAUUUUUCCAAGUUAACUGCUCAAGAUGCUCUAUUAUAAAUAAUAACCUAAUUAUAUUCAUAAAAAAUGAUAUUUUUUUUGUGGUGUUGAUAAUGAGAUUAUCAUUCAACAUUUUAAAAUGUGAAAACAUAUGGAAGAUGGUUGUAAAUUGAUUGAAUGAAAACAUUUCAGUGAAGUCUCAAAAAUUUGGUACUUGUUGUCUUAUCGAAAGUUUUCUAAAUUAUAUUCGUGGCACAGCCACUAUCCAAACCAUACAAGUCCAAAGCUAUCCAAACCAUACCUGCAAGUCCGGGGCUUAAAUGGAGUACUUCUAAGCAAAAAAACAUUGACUAAAAUAGAAUAUAUACAUACAGACACACAUACAUACCAGCAUAUUCAAAAUAGCAAAAGGAGUGCAAAAGUUCAAGUUUGUAGACAACAUUGCAACCAUAGCAUGUUUAUAGCAAAUCCUCAAAAUCUGCUAAAUAAAACAAUGCCCUGUCUCAUGAAUCAAUGCUGAAUUAAAAUUGAAACUGAAAGUCUGGAUGGUUUUGUUUGUUGAGAAUGUCAAAUAAAACGGCAUUGAAGGAAGUUUUCAAAGGCAGAAUCCGCACUUGUCAAAGGGAUGACCUGCACUUGUCAAAGACACGAUCCGCGCCGAACGGAUCGACACAUUUCCUUCCGUAUUCACAUAUGUAAACUUUGAAAAAAUAUAGCUUCUGCAUCUAUAAAUAACGCUCAGUGUAUAAUGUUUUAUUCAAGAAAUAAAAACAAGUUUCUACAUGGUAUCAGAGCCAUGAAUGCGCUCAAGUUUCUUCAAGUUUCGCUGCUCUGUUUGUCACAAAAACAGAGGAAACCAAUUAAAUUCGUCCCACAACCAUUUUUUCCACCAUUUUCUUCCUUAAAAUCAUUCCUAACAUUACAGAAAUCCAUGCCGAUCAAAAACAUGAAAGACAAAUUACACAUGUGCAGUAACCAAUGAUCAUAUUUUGUUACUGUCAAACACAAUGCAUCUGAGCAAAACAUUGGAAGCCAACACCAGAAUACAUAUGAAUAAACAAUUAAAGAUAGAGAAAAAAGGCUUAAACCUUGGGGGAAAAAGUGAAAAAACAUGAAAGACAAAUUACACAUGUGCAGUAACCAUCGAACUUAUCAGUGACAGCUGCAUCUAUUACAUUGCUCCAACAACACAAGGGCAAACCACCAGUUUCAAAUUGAGGAUAGCUAUCGAGAAUGAGAAAGUGUCCAAAACGUCAUAAAUAGACAUGUUCCUAUUGUGCAUAAUUUACAUUAUAGGCAAAUAUUUUUAUACCAUCAAAGGCAAAACAUGACACUAACAAUUGAUCACCCCCCCCCCCCCCCCCCCCAACAACAAAAAAAAGGAAAAAACAAUACAGAAAAGAUUGAAACAGAUAAGGCUACACUGAGCACAGGAUGCCAUGAAACAUAAUCCAGGAACCAAAUUAAUAAAAAAGGAAGCCAAACCAUUAUUUAACAAUCUGUUUUGUAUUUGGGAAAGUCUGAUAAAAUCUACUUGGGGAUAAUUAGAGAACCUCAACUAUUAAUCACACCUCAUAAAUGAACUAACAUUAAACAUCUACCAUCCCAACGUCACACAAACAUUCUCUACACUUCUGAACCUAAUACUUCCAUCUUCAAUUGGGGGUUUUUUUUUUCUUUUUCUUUGGGGGGGGGGGGGGAUUGAAAUGCUGAUUUCGAAUCACUAACAGUAAAAUUGGAAGCUCAUGAAAAAAUAGUUUUAUCUCAAAAUUACAUCUCGAUAUAAAUUCUCUUUUCAUUUCCUUCAACUUUCUAAUUAAGCUUAAAAAAUGUACCUUCAACCACAAAGGGGUUUAAAAUUUAAAAUAUAAAAAAUAAAUUCAGAUAACAAUAAUUAAUUUAAUUAAAAAUAUAAAUAGAGUUACAGAGAAAGAGAAAAUAGAGAAAGACGUAAUGUUGAGUCCUUUGGCGCAAGUCUCUUCAUAGGUCCGAACCAUUUCUUCGGGCGUGGGUUUCGGGUCUUUAGGAUACUCCAUAGUGAUAAGCCAGUGAUUGUAAUCGCAACCCUCGAACAGAAUCGUGUCGGGUGUGAUCUCGUCGCCGUCCUUAUACAAGUGGUACGUCUUGUUAACCGACGGCGUAGACGAGAGGGAGAUCGUCGGGGACGAUCUGAACGGCCGAGAUUGGAUAAUGAUGGAGGAGGAGAAGAUUAGCGAUGACGACGCCGAUGAAAUGGAAGGGUUUACCAGAGGAGUGGAUGCGAAGAAUGCAGGGACGGCCGCAAAGAGAGAGCGGCGGAGAGCGGCGACGGACGGUAGUGACCGGCGGAGAGCGGAAGAUGGCGGUAUGGGCCAUUGCUUGCGCGUCAGUGAGUGUCUCGAGUGAGGAGUGAAGGGUUUUGUACUUUUGUUUAGGGUUUUGGGAAAUGAAAAAUGCAAAUGUUUGAUUUUGUUGCUAGAAACUUCUUCUGCCGCCGCUUUUUAUUUUCGCUAAAUAAUAAUAAUAAUUUGUUAAUAAAAUACUUUCUUAGAAAAGAUAAAUUUAUAGAACAAAAUUUAUAUUAAAUCAAAUUGUAAAAAUGUGGAAUAGGGCUAAUUUCUCCUGAAUAUUAUUAUUAGUAGAAGUAGAUUUUCGAAAUAGUCUUGAUAUAUUUCAAAGUUGUAUUAUAGAUGUACAUGUAUCUGGAUUGUAAUUAUAUUUUAAAAAAUAUACAUUUUUUUUCAUUAUUGCACAAUAAAUGUAGAAAGUGUCUAUAAAAUAAUAUUAUUAGAACUAUGAAAAUAUAUUAUUUUAGAGUAGUUAUUUAUUUAUUUUUGAAUAAAUAAUUUAUUAAUUUAUUAAUUUAUUGAUAAAUUAAUAAAUAUUAAUUUAAAGAGAGAUUUUUUUUUUUGGGGGUUUUUAAGAAGAGUUUUGUUGGUAUAUGUACAAACUUAUAAAGAAAUACAAAAAAUGCUUCCUCAAGUCAAUAGUAUUUACUUUAAUUCAUAAUAGUAUAGUUUAAUCAAGAAACUUAUAAUUAUACUAUAUCUUUCUUUCUUUGUUCUAUUUGGUGGGACAUUGUGAUAAAUCAUUGGAUUAAAAUGCAUUUCUAAAUGAAAACUUGUUAAAACCUAAUUUAUUUGGGAACGACAUUUUAUUUGUCAGUCGUAUUUCUCAACUUCGUAAGUUAUUUCUAAUUUAUCGGUCUCUAUUGGUUCUCUUAAGUACCUAUUUGGCAUGACUUAUUUAAUAGUAAUAAGUGCUUAUUUAAUCUCAUAAGUUUUUUCCCUCUCUGACAAUUGAGUUAGGGGGUCAAACUUGAAAGUAUCUUAAAAUUAGACAACAAUUUAACUAUUUUUUUUUUUUUAGAUAACUGCUAAUAUGCUCUAUUAGACAAUGAUGAGUGAUAACCUAGGUGUUUGCAUUUAAAGGGAUACUUUUUGUGGUGUUGAUAAAGAGGUUAAGUAUGAUUCAACAAUUUAAAAUAUGAAAACAUAUGGAAGACGGCCGCAAUUAAAUUAAUUGUAUGAAAAUAUUUCAAUGAAAUUUUAAAAAUUUAGUAUUUGUUAUCUUAUCGAGAGUUUUUUAAAAUUAUAUUACUACUUGAACUUGACUGCUUUUGUAUUUAAUUCCUACCGUUGCCAUUGCUUCUACUCAAAAGCCAUUUAAGUUUGUGUAAGCUACGUAUAGUUUGAACAACAAUUUACUCAUGAAUUGUUGUUCAUAAUAGCAUCAGUGCAUGCAUCAUUUUAAUGAGAAAGAAUAUUCUAAGAACGAAAUUGAACGUGGGAGGUAUCGGGAAGGAAUUGGAAUGGAAUAAUAUCGAUUCAUAUAGAUACAGAAGAAAAAGUUCUCUAUUGAUUCAAAUGCUGUGCCUAUGGGAUAAGGAUAGAGAAAGAGGAAAAAACCGAAGCCAGAAAUGUACACGCAUGAGGAACUUUUCCUAGAAGAUUGAUAUUUCUUUGACUAGCAAACCAUACAAGUCCAAAGCUAGCCAAACCAUACCUGCAAGUCGGGGGUUUAAAUGGAAUACUUCUAAGCAUAAAACAUUGAUUAAAACAGAAUACACACAUACAUACCAGCAAAUUCAAAAUAGCAAAAGGAGUGCAAAAGUUCAAGUUUGUAGACAACAUUGCAACCAUGGCAUGUUUAUAGCAAAUCCUCGAAAUCUGCUAAAUAAAACAAUGCCCUGUCUCAUGAAUCAAUGCUGAAUUAAAAUUGAAACUGAAAGUCCGGCUGGCGUUGUUUCCCUCUCCAAUUUUGCCUACAUAAGUGAAAAUAAGAAUAAUAAAUGAAAAUCUGCUUUUACGGUUCUUAUUAGAUAGAUAAAAGGGGGAUCUUUCUUUGUUUCUCUGCUGCAAUGUGUGGCUAUCCCACUCUGUUUUGCCACCCAAGCUGAGUCUAUGCUGAGACAUAAUUUUGACAUCAGAAGCAAUCUCAAUUAGUUUGGCACUUUUAAGCAAUCUCAUAUUUUGCUCACUUGAAGGUUUUACGAUAAACAUAAAUCUACAGAGAAAGUGGGAAAAAAAAAAGAAAAUGCAUAUAAAUAUAUGAGUUAUCAGAUAAGAUUAAAACUCACCCAAUUCAAUCCAUCAGAUUCCGUAAGGAUAUAACUGGAUGUCAUACCGCCACUCCAUAUCCUUGAAAGUCCGUAGUGUUUGUCUCAACUCUGUCUGAGGCCAAUGUAAAUUCAAUUUGCGCAAGCUCUUUAUGCACCACAGCUCUUCUGGAAGCUUUCUCAAGUAAGCACAUGGGUUGACAAUUAAGCUUUCAAGUUUCGGCAUUGCUCCAGCCCCCAUCGUCCACUCAUCUAGCCAAUACAUUGAUUUCAGGUGCAAAACCUUAAGUUCCGGAAAGCUACUCAAGCCAACACAAGCAAGCUUUCUUCCUAAAUACGAGUUCUGCUUCAGUUUCAGCACUCGAAGGCGUGGAAGAUUUUCCAGAAUUGGCAUGGGAUCCUCCAUUAGCUCAGUAUUUGAUAAGCUCAGUUGGAUCAGACUUGGGGGAAAUUGGUAUUCAGACAGGACCAUCCGUGAGGGCUUGCUCUCAUUCACCAGCUUCAAGCAUUCAAGUUUGUGGAGUUCGCAAAGGCUUUUGGAAACCGCAGAUUGAUAGUAACUCAAAUCUCCAGAUAUCCGAAGAGUCUGAACACUAGGUAGUCUGCCCAAUAUAUCAGGAGUACAACUACUAGGGUUUAAAGCUGAUAUGAAAAUGAGAUUUUUCAGAGAGCUGGAAUAAUUUUUUGGAGGUGCGGGCAGAGUGAUAGAACCAAAGUUUAGAUGCAUGAGUUUUUGCAUCAUCCAAAUAUCCUCUGGUGACUGAUCUAUGUAGCUAGAUGGCAUUUCUAGUGUUUCAAGGUUUAAAAGGGUGCAUAGCAGCGAAGGAAGGCGUUUGAGCAAAGGGAUAUUCAAUUUCAAAUACUUCAAAAGGAAUAAAUUUUCUAAUCCGGGUGGAAAUUGGUCGAGAACUGCAGAACCGAAGUUCAGUACCCGAAGGUGUUUGAACUUUUUACAAAAAUUCUCGCAAUCUAUCACAGCGAGAUGAUCGCCUUCUAAACUUUGAUUGAUAAAAGAUUGGAGAUAGAUCUCACCAUGUUCUAAAGAAAUGAAGUCAGUCAGAUGUUCCAAAAUGAUGUAGCGUUUAACAUUUGCAAAUGGUUCCGCUUCCAUUCCAGGCAUCCAGAGAAAUUUCGUCUUGUCUGCCACCAAACCCAAUGAAGUAUAUACAAAACUUGGAACAUAGCAAGCUUUAAUUGUGCCGCCGGCUCUUCUCUUACUCACUUGAAUGAAGCCGCGAUGGAUUAGUUCUUUCAAGUAAUGUUCGGCAGUUUCUUCACCGUUGUAUGGUAUGAAACCUUCAGCUACCCACAACUGAUAUAAUUGCUCCGUAGAUAUCUCCAUACUUGGAGGGAAGACCAACAAAUAGAUGCAGCAGACCUUCAAGUGAAAAGGUAACUCCAUCACAGAAAAAAUUUGUCUCCAAACUGUCGGAAUCGCUUCGCCUUGAAGAUAAUUUUCUAAUGGCAUACUUCCAUAGUGUAGGAUGAAAAAUUGCCAGGCUUCAUGCUUUAAUCUUAUCAAUGGUCCUCCAAUGAGCACUGAAUCACGCCGAAUUUCCUCUCCAUUUUCCAUUUCCAACGACACAAGGAGGUCUGGUUCAGUGACUGUUAUCAAUACUCUGCUUCCAUUCUCAUCAUCAGGGAGAACUUCUUCCAGAUCAUCCCAUAUCUCACAGUCAUCGAAGACGUCAUCAAGCACAAUAAAAUACUUCUUGUUUGUUAGGUAAUCUCGAAGAAUAGAUUCCUUGAAUUGAUAAUCUUCACCGAUAAUUACACUAACCCGAGAUGGAGGCAUCACAGACUUGAUUAUGUCAUCCAAUAUCUUGCGAAAAUCGUAGAGUAGAGAAACCCUGACCCAAGCAAGACAGUCAAAAUAGAACUUGACAUAGUUAUUAUUGUAAGUAUCUGCAGCAAAAGCAGUCUUAUCGAAGCCACUGCUGUCGAGAAUUGCAACCACUGAAAGCCCAGAUGGUCCCUCAAUCAAUAGAUCAAACAACUCCUCUCUGCCCCUUUCAAAUUCACUGAUAUCAAGCCGAGGAUGUCCCUCAUUCAAUAGGCGAAUCAUUUCGUUACUUUUUUCACUGAUAUCAAAACCAUUGUCGCCGGGUGGAAGUUGUUGCAUCCGAUUUCUAAUAUCAAUGAUUUCACUGUGGAGUCCAUCAGGAAGAGCCAUAUUAGUGCUGCUUUCACUUUCGUUUUCACUGUUUUGCUGCUGCAUGAUGUUGAUGAAGAAUGUGUCAAUGACUUCCUCAGAGUCACGGACAAAGUUAUUGAUGUCCUUCAGAAUUUCAAAAAUAUCUGCUGUUUCAACGUCUUCUUCAUCGCUUUCUUCUAAGUCCAACAGUUGCAAAAAAGGCAAAGAUAUUUUGGAGUCAUCGAUAUCUUCUCUAAGGAGUUGAAUCAAAUGCCGAGCCAUGUCGGCUUCAUAGUUUCCCAGAAGAGUAGUAGCAAUAAUUUCGGACUCCGUAAGAAGGUUUUGAAAAAGUGGAGUUAAAUUUGUUGAAUCUGGCAGAGGCAACGUGCCUUCUUCACCUGCUAACACCCUUUUCAACCUCUCACAAAACAGUCGGAGGUGGACGUCCAGCAUAUCUCCUUCUCUCUGUAGCACCCAGAGGUAUUGUUUUUUGCUCCAAGAAAUAUUAAAAGGAUUGGUUCUAUCUAAAAGUGGUUACUGGUGUAAAAUUAAACGCCAUGGGAGAAUUUGAAAGGAAGAUGCCAAGGAACUGGCGAAGUGGCUAAAUUCCACAAAUACGGCAUUAUUGCUCAUUUUUAACUCAAAAAAUUGAUACGCCUUCAUUUAGCGAAAAGUCCAAGACGCUUGCCUUUUGAAAAGAAGAGGUAUCCAUAGAUAUCCAACAUUUAUCUUAUUUUAAUUACUACCACGACAUGAUUGAUGGUUGUUAAAUCAAUUGUUUCUUUUUUAAUUUAAAGAAAUUUUCAUUAAAAAAUAGUUUAAUAGACACAUAAUAUUACAAUAAAUAAAGUAAAGUUUAAAUUAUUUUGAAUAUUAUAAAAAAUAAUUUUAAUAUUAUUAAUAGGAAGACAUUUUGUUAAUUUUAAAAUCUUUUUAACCCAAAGGUUUAUUUAAAAUCUUUAUUAUAAAUACAAAUAUAAAAUUAAAUAUCAUAAUUUAAAAUUUUUAAUAUUAUUUUAAGUAUUAAAAAUAUUUUAAUGUUAUUAGUCUACUACAUAGAUUUUAUUAUUUAUAUUAUAUCUGUAUUGAUUAAAAUUUUUUAAAGUCAAUUUUUUAGUCAAUAUAUUCAAGAGGUAUUAUAGUUAAAGAAAAGAUUUUGGUGUUAUUUUUUGAAAAUUUUAAGGUUUAAAUGAUUUUUUUUUUAAUUUUAAGGAUGUGGGUAUUAUUUUUCCGACAAUUUAUUUUAUUUUUGGGGAAUCCGAUGAGAAAUAUCAUGAGAGAAGGUUAAUUUUACAUUCUUUACCUUUAUGAAAAAAGUGGAAACCAAGAACUAUUCAAUUUUGUAUUUUUUGUUUGUAAUUCAAAAAAUGCAUCCACCAAACAAGCUUAUCUUGAUUUUCCCACUUUAUUCAUUUUCGAUCCUUUAAUCCAUCUAGCAUCUGCAGCCCCCGCUAUUUUCACAAAGAGUAAUGAUACAGCCACAAAUUCUUGUACAAAUUUAUUUUGUAUAAACUGACGUGGCAUGAUAAGAUUGGUUGAAUUAAAUAUCACUUGGCCCACAUGAUUUGUUUUUAUUAUUUUAUAUUUUUAUUCAACCAAUGAAUUAAUGCCACGUCAGUUUGUACAAAAUAAAUUUGUACAAGAGUUUGUGGCUGUAUCAUUACUCUGUCAAGAAUCUCCAUCCCACAGCUACACUAUCAAACAAGUUGAUGGAAAUUGAACAAUUGCUUUUUGAAGUGGACCCAUUAGGUUAUGUUCAUUACUGGUCAUUGUCUAUUCUUUCUAAGAGCCACUUAUUUUGAGCAUUAGCGAUCCUAUCUGGACUACUCCAAUUAUUGAUGUAACUCCAAUGGUUGCAUCAACAGUUGAAUGUAAGAUAGUGUCAGUUCUUUUUUGAGAAUAUAGAGGGAUCUUUAUUUGUUUCUCCGUUGCAGCGUAUUAGUAUAAAUUUCUUGACCUUACAGUUCCUACAGUCUUCCUGUUAAUGAAUUCGCUGAGGCAUUAUUGAUCCAAUCUCAGUGAAGUAAUUGUGGGUGAAAAAAAAAUAAAGGAUAAGAGAACGUAGCUCAAGUGCUGAAUUGACUAUUAAAGAAGAGCGUCACCUGAUCACAAUCACAUUGAUGCACAACUCACUCGAGGCAAAUUUCAUCUAUAUAUACUGCAAAUUCAGCCAAGCCAUGCAUGCAUGAACAAAACUAAAAUGAAGUUCAUAAUCACAACUGUAAUUAGAGCUACAAAAGGUGGCAAACCAUACAUGCAUGAACAAAAUUAGACAUAAAUUGAAGCCACAACAUUAAUUGAAGCCACAAAAGCCAGCAAAUCCAAAUGAAAACUUAAAAGGAAGAUCUUAUCGAAGUUUGUCCCCAAAAGACAGCGGAAAUGAAAAAUAUUGACUAUCGAGUGGAUCAAUGCUGAAUUACAUUUGACCUGGAAAGCUUGGCUGCAGUUGCGAUGUUCCCCCUCUGAUUUUCCCUAAAACAAAUUCAGUUGUAAACAAUAACUGGAGUAGCAACAAUUUAUUCAUUAUAGAAAAUACCUAAAUUUUCAACUAUCAAAUCCUCUUGUCUAAACUAAAAAACUCAUAUCUCUAAAAUCUAUAUACAAAAUGUCAUAAAUGAGGGUGAUCUCUCAAUUCGGUAAACAAAUUCAUGCAUAAUAUUACCAAUAAUGAUAAAUUACAUAAUAAUUAUUAUAAAGAAUCAUAAAUUGGAAACAUUAAUCAUUUUAAAAUCUAUUACAUAAUAAAAAUAAAUCUUAUAAUAAGUUACGUUAGAACAUAACAAAUAUUUAAAAUGAUAUAUAUAAUUAUUUAAGAAGUCUUUUAACAAUAAUUUUUUUUUUCUUUUUCAGUUGAUCAUGUCAUAGCGUUAUCUAAAAUGCUAGCGAUAUCAUUAUUCCCCACUUUUCUCAAAAAAAAGAAAAAGAUAAAGAAAAAAGAAAUAUGAUUAACGUUUGGAGAAAAGUCAUGCCUUUUAAAAAGAAUAUGUAUACAAUACCAAUUCAUACUUUAUCUUACCAUAAAAAAAUUGUUUAAAAUAGAUUUAAUGCACAAAUAUGAUGACUUUUGGCAGAAAUGAGUUUCGGAAAUAUUGGGAUGAAAACCAUAUUGGUUCAGACUUAAAAUUACUUAAUAAAAUUACUUAACUACCAUUUAAUAAAUAAAAAUCAUAUUAGUUGAAAGUUAAAUUAAGAUUUAAAUGUUGAGAUAUCUAACGUUACUCAAUCAGAAUAAACAAUAAUCAAUUCAAAUUAUGACUAUCAUGUAGAAGCAAAUGUUUAUGCUUGGGUCUUUUACUUCUUGAAUUUGAUUGGAAAAAUUUCUGAGACAGGGAAGUGAGUGUUUUGGAUAAUAUUUUUCGGGAUUGAAACCACAAGUUGGUCGAGGAAAAUAAUUUUGGACAAAUUUUUAUUAUAUUGUAGAACCUUUUUGGUUCCUUUUGUGUCGGCAGCCCCUCACUAUUCUCUUAACCCUGAGUUUUGAGAUAGAAAUUUCCCGAACUCCAACCCCACAUCCACAGACAAGUUGAUUGAAACAAUUGCUCUUGUAAUUAAGAGGAUGAGUUAGGGUUCAGUUCUUAUCAUUGUCUGUUAUUUCUUUGAAUCAUUAUCUUAGUUAAUUACAUCAAUUGUUUCUUUUCUUAAUUUAAAGAAUUUUUCUUUUAAAAAAAUAUUUUAAUAUCAAAAUGCGUUAAAUGGUAUUACUGCCGCAAUCCCAGUAACAGGAUUAAUUAAAAAAAUAUUCUUAGGAAGAUAUUUUGUUUAUUGUAAAAUCUUUUUAACCCAAAGGUUUAUUUAAAAUCGUUAUAAUAAAUAAAAAUAUAAAAAAAAAUAAAUAUCAUAAUUUAAAAUUUUAAUAUUAUUUUAAAUAUUAAAAAUACUUUAAUGCUAUUAGUCUACUACACAGGUUAUAUUACUUAUAUUAUAUUUGUAUAAAUUAAAACUUUUAAAGUUAAAUUUUUAAUUACUAUAUUGAAAAGGUAUUAUGGUUAAAAAAAGUUUUGGCAUUUGUUUUUUGAAAAUUUGAGGGUCUGCAUGACAAUUUGUCCAAAUCCUAGAGGUAUAGGUGUCUUUUUUUUUCGAUAAUUCAUUUUACUUUUGAGGGAAUCCGAUGAGAAAUAAGAUAAGAGAAACGUCAAUUUAACGUUCUCUAGGGAAAACCAAGAACUAUUCAAUUUUGUAUUUUUUGUUUGUAAAACAAAAAACAGUUUGCCAAAAAAGGUACCAAACAUAUCCUUAAUGUCUCACAUGAUUUCUUAUUAAGUCCAUACUCGAUAUAUUUAUACAUUUUAGGUAUUUUAGUUAUAAAAGAAGUUGGUCCUCCCUCUGUUUAUAAAAGGUAACUUUAUUUCGAGAUUACCACUAAAGUCUUACAAAGAAUUAGUGUAAUGUUAAGAGAGACUAACACAGUUUUCCAUUACCAUUUUGAAAAUAGAAAGAUAUGGAUGUGUGCAUUUAAUGGUGCGUUUACUUGCCGGAUUGGGGAAUCAGAAUCUGGAAUCAGAAUGAUUGAUGGUGUUUACUUCACAAAUAUGGAGCAGGAAUCGGAAUUGGAAUGGUGGGGCCCACCACUAUUUGGGAAUGGGAGAUUGAUUCCCAUGGGGGAAGGUGGGAAUGAGUCUCUCAUUCCCUGGAUUGACCAUUUUGCCCUCCCUCAAAAUUAAAAAUGCCUACUUUGUCCUCUUUUAUAAUUAAUUAAUAUAAUAUUAUAAUUAAUUAAUUAAUAUAUAAAUAUUUUAUUAACUAUAAUUAUUAAAAAUUAUAGUUCUUGAAUAAAUAAUCACAAUAAUUAAUUUAUUAUUAUUAUUGUUAAUGAAUUAAUAUAAUUAUUACUAUUAAUUAAUAUAUUAAUAUAUUAUUAACAAUAAUAUAUUAAUAAUUAUUGUUCGUGAAUAAAUAAUCACAAUAAUUAAUAUAUUAUUAUUGAAAUUAAUUAAUUAAUAUACUAUUAUAAUAAUUAUUAUAAUUAAUUCAUAUAUUAUUAUUAAUUAAUUAAUAAAAUUAAAAUUAUUAAUUAAAUAAAUAAUAUAAUUAUUACUACUAAUUAAUAUAUUAAUAUAUUAUUAAAAAUAAUUAUUAAUAAUUAUAAUUUUUGAAUAAAUAAUCACAAUAAUUAAUAUAUUAUUUUAAUUAAGUAAUUAAUAUUAAUAUUAUUAGUUAAUAUAUUUUUAUAAUAAUUUUUGAUAUAGUUAUUAUAAUUAAUUAAAAUUUUUUACAAUUAAUUAAUAUAUUAGUUAAUAAUAAUUAUGACAAUAAUUCAUUAAGUACUUUUUAGUAAUUUGUUACAAUCUAAUUCAUUCCGAUUCCGAUUUCAAGACAAAGUAAACACAUUAAUGGCAAUCUAGCUCAUUCCGAUUUCGAUUCUUACAGUUCAAGUAAACAACUUAUUUUGAUUCCCAUUACCUAUUCCCAUUCCAGCCCAUUCUCAUUUCUGCCCAUUUCAAUUCCAGCUCAUUCCGAUUCCAGUUUAGUAAACGCAGCAUAAGAGUUAUCAUGAAAAUCAUACAAUUUAAUUUCCUGAAAUAUAUAUUUUAUUCACAUGUGCCAAAAGAAUAAAUAGAUAGAAAGUAAAUUUACAAUCCUCACUCCCUCAUAAUUGUUAAAGUGAAUAUGCAUUACAACUGUGAACUGUCACUACUUUAGCCCUUUAUUUGUUUUUUCAAUUAUAGUGUGAUGGAGACAGUGAACAUUAAGGAUAAAGUGCUCUGCUGAAAGCCAAACUUCCUUUGGCUAAUUAAUUUAGAAGUAAAGCAGAGAAUAAAGUCCUUGAUGCCUUCUGAAAUUAGAAAUACAUUUUAUAUGCUUUAAUUAUGAUUAUUUGGUAGACUAUUGACCAAAAGACAUGUUAAAGUAUAAAACAGAGCGAUUAAAGAAAAAAAAAAGGAGCGUUUGUGACGUAGAAUAACAAUUUGUAAGCAAAGUCCUAAUUUGAGUUGUCAAAAAGCAAACAUAACAGAGAAGGUAAGAGAGAUGCAAAAACAGAAAACUAUUAGCUUAUCUUGAUUUUCCCACUAUAUUCAUUUUCGAUGCUUUUCAAACGAGAUUCUUUUAAUCCUUCUGGCGUCUGCAGCCCCUGCUCUUCUUAUAAAUCUCCUUCCCACAUCUGCACUACGAACAAGUUGACUAAAAUUAAAUAAUGUUGGAGACGAGGGGUGAGCCGUCAACUUAUUAAAAAAAACUCAUGUAUAAUAUUAUCAAUAAUAUAAAAUAUAUAAUAAUUAUUAUAAAGAAUCAUAAAUUAGAAAAAUUAAUUAUUUUACAAUUUAUUUCUUAAGUAAGAUAAAUCUCGUAAUAAGUUAAGUUUAAUGUAAAAAAUAUUUUCAAUUUAUAAUCAUUUAAGAAGUCAUUUAACAAUAAAAUCUUUUUUUUGAUCAGGUGGCCAUGCCAUAGAGUAUCAUCUAUAUUCGUGGUGAUAUUAUUAUUACUCAAUAUCCUCAAAAGACACUAUUUAACAUUUAGAGAAAAUUUCUGCCUUUUAAAAAGAACAUGUAUGCAAUAGCUAGCCACACUUUAUUUUACCACGACAAAAUUGAUAGUGAUUAAAUCAAUUUUCUCAAUUAAAGAAAUUUUUUUUAAAUUGAUUUAAUGCACAAAUAUGAUGAGUUUUUGCAAAAAUUAGUUUUGGAAAAUAUAGUGAGAGAGAAUGGUGACGAUUAUUUUUCAGAUGUGCAAAUAGCCUAAACAUAAUCUCUAAUACCAAUAUCCUUGUGCAUCUUAACACCUUUCAUGAUAUUCUUUCAUUCAUAACCAUUUGUUCAAUAUUUGAAUUUGAUUAUUAAAUUAUGUUCAAUAAUGUUAGAGACCCCAACAAUUGGGUACCAACUUAAAUCCCAAUGCUAUGUGUCAAUGUAACAUAGCAAAAUCCCAUUAACAAAUGUUGUGUCAUUUAUCAUUAUUGAAUGAAUAAUUCGUUAAUUUAUUGAUAAAUGAAAAUUUAUUAAUUUAAAGAGAGAUUUUUUUUUUUGGUUUUAAGAAGAGUUUUGUUGGUACAUGUACAUACUUAUAAAGGAAAAACUUGUAAUUAUACUAUAUCUUUCUUUCUUUGUUCAGUUUGGUGGGAUAUUGUGAUAAAUCAUUGGAUUAAAAUGCAUUUCUAAAUUGAAACUUGUUAAAAUCUAAUUUAUUUGGGAAACGCAUAUUAUUUGUCAGUCGUACUUCUCAACUUAGCAAGUUAUUUCUAACUUGUCGGUCUCUAUUGGUUCUCUUAAAACUAAUAGUCUCGUAUCUCCCGCAUUUGAUAUCUUGCCAUUACUGUUGGCAUUAACAUGUUACCUGAGAUUGGGAUUCAUUAAAAUCCUCAAUGUAAUCGGUGGAACGAAUGGAUUUCUUCUGUUCACCAAUCCACCAAAAUUUCUGUAAUUAAAUUCAAAAGUCAAGAUCUAUGCUUAUAAUCUAUUCAACAGCUAAUAUUCUAUUUUAUAUUUACUUAAAUAUGAAGAGCUAUGCUUGUAGUUAACUUCAAAUGUGAUCGAAGCAGCCUUACAUCUAUAUAUUACUUAUGCCCAACCUUUUUUUUUGACUUCAUAUACAUUCUUUUCAUGUUAUUUACUCUUUUUUCCCCCUCUCUGACAAUUGAGGUAGGGGGUCAAACUUGAAAGUAUCUUAAAAUCAGACAAUAAUUUUUUUUUUUUAAAGAUAGCUACUAAUAUGCUCUAUUAGACAAUGAUAAGUAAUAACCUAGUUGUUUGCAUUAGAAAUGAUAUUUUUUGUGGUGCUGAUAAAGAGGUUGAUUAUGAUUCAACAAUUUAAAAUAUGAAAACAUGUGGAAGACGGCCGCAAUUAAAUUGAUUGUAUGAAAAUAUUUCAAUGAAAUUUUAAAAGUUUAGUACUUGUUAUCUUAUCGAGAGUUUUUUUAAAUUAUAUUACUACUUGAACUUGACUGCUUUUGUAUUGAAUUCCUACCGUUGCCAUUGCUUCUACUCAAAAGCCAUUUAAGUUUGUGUAAGCUACCUAUAGUUUGAACAACAAUUUACUCAUGAAUUGUUGUUCAUAUUAGCAAUUUGAUUGAAAGUGCGGCUGCACUAAUUUUCUAGAUGAAUUUUUUCCUACAUGCUUGUUCUCGUAUGACCCAAAAUCCUACUACAUCAGUUGUAUUAGAAAUUAAUCAACUGGGUUACAAUUAUGCAUCCCCACCAAUAUUUAAGCAAUUUAAUUACAGAAAUAUUUCUUGAGGAAAGAAACUCAUAUCGCCACUAGGCUUGUAAUGAGGCUCAUUUUUAUGAAUCUGGAUGGCAUUAGAUAUCUCUACGAAUAUUGGUGGGAGUAGAUCGCAGAUCUCUGGGCUAUACUACAAAGUUUAUGUACGUUGACUCUCAAUAAAUACAAACGAUUCUCUGAUAUGAUUCAAACAUCAGUGCAUGCAUCAUUUUAAUGAGAAAGAAUAUUCUAAGAACGAAAUUGAAGGUGCAAUCAGCAGCUAAAAUGAAGCCAGAAAUGUACAUGCAUGAGGAAUUUUUCCUAGAAGAUUGAUAUUUCUUUGACUAGCAAACCAUACAAGUCCAAAGCUAGCCAAACCAUACCUGCAAGGUGGGGGUUUAAAUGGAAUACUUCUAAGCAUAAAACAUUGAUUAAAACAGAAUACACACAUACAUACCAGCAAAUUCAAAAUAGCAAGAGGAGUGCAAAAGUUCAAGUUUGUAGACAACAUUGCAACCAUGGCAAGUUUAUAGCAAAUCCUCGAAAUCUGCUAAAUAAAACAAUGCCCUGUCUCAUGAAUCAAUGCUUAAUUAAAAUUGAAACUGAAAGUCUGGCUGACGUUGUUUCCCUCUCCAAUUUUGCCUACAUAAGUGAAAAUAAGAAUAAUAAAUGAAAAUCUGCUUUUACAGUUCUUAUUAGAUAGAUAUAAAUGGAUCUUUCUUUGUUUCUCUGCUGUAUUUUGUGGCUAUCCCACUCUGUUUUGCCAGUCAAGCUGAGUCUAUGUUGAGACAUAAUUUUGACAUCAGAAGCAAUCUCAAUUAGUUUGGCACUUUUAUGACCUCCUUAAAGGUUUUACAAUAAACAUAAAUCUACUGAGAAAGUGGGAAAAAAAAGAAAAUGCAUAUAAAAAUAUGAGUUAUCAGAUAAGAUUAAAACUCACCCAAUUCAAUCCAUCAGAUUCCGUAAGGAUAUAACUGGAUGUCAUACCGCCACUCCAUAUCCUUGAAAGUCCGUAGUGUUUGUCUCAACUCUGUCUGAGGCCAAUGUAAAUUCAAUUUGCGCAAGCUCUUUAUGCACCACAGCUCUUCUGGAAGCUUUCUCAAGUAAGCACAUGGGUUGACGAUUAAGCUUUCAAGUUUCGGCAUUGCUCCAGCCCCCAUCGUCCACUCAUCUAGCCAAUACAUUGAUUUCAGGUGCAAAACCUUAAGUUCGGGAAAGCUACUCAAGCCAACACAAGCAAGCUUUCUUCCUAAAUACGAGUUCUGCUUCAGUUUCAGCACUCGAAGGCGUGGAAGAUUUUCCAGAAUUGGCAUGGGAUCCUCCAUUAGCUCAGUAUUUGAUAAGCUCAGUUGGAUCAGACUUGGGGGAAAUUGGUAUUCAGACAGGACCAUCCGUGAGGGCUUGCUCUCAUUCACCAGCUUCAAGCAUUCAAGUUUGUGGACUUCGCAAAGGCUUUUGGAAACCCCAGAUUGAUAGUAACUCAAAUCUCCAGAUAUCCGAAGAGUCUGAACACUAGGUAGUCUGCCCAAUAUUUCAGGAGUACAACUACUAGGGUUUAAAGCUGAUAUAAAAAUGAGUUUUUUCAGAGAGCUAGAAUAAUUUUUUGGAGGUGCGGGUAGAGUGAUAGAACCAAAGUUUAGAUGUAUGAGUUUUUGCAUCAUCCAAAUAUCCUCUGGUGACUGAUCUAUGUAGCUAGAUGGCAUUUCUAGUGUUUCAAGGUUUAAAAGGGUGCAUAGCAGUGGAGGAAGGCAUUUGAGCGAAGGGAUAUUCAUUUUCAAAUACUUCAAAAGAUAUAAAUUUUCUAAUCCAGGUGGAAAUUGGUCGAGAACUGCAGAACCGAAGUUCAGUACCCGAAGGUGUUUGAACUUUUUACAAAAAUUCUCGCAAUCUAUCACAGCGAGAUGAUCGCCUUCUGAACUUUGAUUGAUAAAAGAUUGGAGAUAGAUCUCACCAUGUUCUAAAGAAAUGAACUCAGUCAGAUGCUCCAAAAUGAUGUACCGUUUAACAUUUGCAAAUGGUUCCGCUUCCCUGUCAGGCAUCCAGAGAAAUUUCGUCUUGUCUGCCAUCAAACCCAAUGAAGUAUAUACAAAACUUGGAACAUAGCAAGCUGUAAUUGUGCCGCCGGCUCUUCUCUUACUCACAUGAAUGAAGCCGCGAUGGAUUAGCUCUUUUAAGUAAUGUUCGGCAGUUUCCUCACCGUUGUAUGGAAUAAAGCCUUCAGCUAUCCACAACUGACAUAAUUGCCUGGUAGAUAUCUCAAUGCCUGGACGGAAGACACACAAAUAAAGGCAGCAGACUUUCAAGUGAAAAGGUAACUCCAACACAGAACAAAUUCGACUCAAGAGUGUCAAAACCACUUUUUCAUCCAUAUAAUUUACUAAUGGGGCACUUCCAUAGUGUAGGAUGAAAAAUUUCCAGGCUUCAUGCUUUAAUCUGAUCAAUGGUCCUCCAACAGGCACUGAAUAAAGCGGAAUGAUCCCUCCAUGCUCCAAUUCAAAAAAGGUAAGGAGGAAUGGAUCAGUGACCAAUAUCAAUACUCUGCUUCCAUUCUGCUUAUCAGGAAGAACUUCUUCAAGAUCAUCCCAUAUGUCACUGUCAUUGAAGACAUCAUCAAGCACAAUAAAGUACUUCUUGUUUGUCAGGUAAUCUCGAAGAAUAGAUUUCUUCAAGUGAUAAUCUUCACCGAUAAUUACCCUAGCCCGAGAUGGAGGCAUUAAAGAAUUGAUUAUGUCAUCCAAUAUCUUGCCAAAAUAGUAGCCUAUAGAAACCCUUACCCAAGCAAGACAGUCAAAAUAGAACUUGACAUGAUUAUUAUUGUAAAUAUCUGCAGCAAAAACAGUCUUAUGGAAGCCAUUGCUGUCGAGAAUUGCAAUCACUGAAAGCCCAGAUGGUCCCUCAAUCAAUAGAUCAAACAACUCCUCUCUGCCCCUUUCAAAUUCACUGACAUCAAGCCAGUGUUGUCCCUUACUCAAUAGGCGAAUGAUUUUGUUACUUUGUUCAGUGAUAUCAAAACCAUUGUCGCUGGGUGGAAGUUGUUGCAUUCGAUCUCUAAUAUCAAUGAUUUUACUGUGGAGUCCAACAAGAAGAGCCAUAUUAGUACUGCUUUCACUUUCGUUUUCACUGUUUUGCUGCUGCAUGAUGUUGAUGAAGAAUGUGUCAAUCGCUUCAUCAGAUUCAUGGACAAAGUGAUUGAUGUCGUCCAGAAUUUCCAAAAUGUCCCGUCUUUUUACGUCUUCAUCAGUGUCUUCUAAGUCUAACAGUUGCAGACAAAGCCAAGCCAUUUCAGCUCCAUUGAGUUGUUCUCUAAUGAUGCGUCGAAUCACACGACGAGUCAUGUCACCUUCAUAGUUCCCGAGCAGAGUAGUAAUAAUUUCAGUCUCCGUAAAAAGGUUUUGAAAAAGCGGGGCUAAGUUUGUUGAAUCAGGCAACGUUAACGUGCCUUCUUCACCUGCUACCACCCUUUUCAACCUCUCACAAAAUAGUCGGAGGUGGACGUCCAGCAUAUCUCCUUCUCUCUGUGGCACCCAGAGGUAUUGUUAUUUGCUCCAAGAAAUGUUAAAAGGAUUGGUCCUAUCUCAAAGAGGUUAGUGGUGUAAAGUUAAACACAAUGGAAGAAUUUGAAAGGAAUAUACCAAGAAACUGUGUAAGUGGCUAAAUUCCACAAAUAUGGCAUUGUUGCUCAUUUUUAACUCAAAAAAAUACACGUUAAUUUAGCGAAAAGUCCAAGACACGUGCUUUUUGAAAAGAACAGGUAUCCCAAUAGGUAUCCAACCUUUAUCUUAAUCAAUUACUACCAUGACAUACUUGAUGGUGCUUAAAUCAAUUUUUCUUUUCUUAAUGUAAAGAUUUUAUUUUUUUAAAACAGAUUUUAAUAUCAAGAAAAAAUAUCACUCGUAUAUCCUUAAAUGACACUUGUAUCAAACGUACUACAACACUUUUAACAUGUAUCACUUGUAUACCUUAAGUUGACAAAUUGUGUCUACCAUCCACCAAACCGUUAGUUGCCGUUUGCAAGCGCUGACAUCAUAAAGGUAAUCUAGUCUUUUCAAAUGGAAGAAACUUUGAUUAAAAAAACGACAUGUCAUCCCAUUUACCUCGUAAAAAAUGACAUAUCAUAUGAUAUAUAUUGACAAAAAAUGACAUGUCAUCCCAUUUAUCGGAAGAUGAUGUCAUCUAUGUGAAACAACGUUGUUUCAACGGGACUAAAAAAAAAAUGAUACUCCACAACCGAAUCGACUCCUCCAAACUUUAACUUGAAUAUUUGAAGAUCUACUCAUCCAAGCUCCAACUGGAAUUUUUUAUGGUAUAAUAUGUUGUUAAUAAUUUUUUAUGGUAUAAUAUGGAUUAUUUUUUAUGGAUAAUUGUUAAUAAUACGUACCAUUAAUAAUUCAUUUUUUAAUAAAAAAUGUAUUGUUAAUAAAAAAUAAAAAAUAUAUUGAAAAUUUACGUUAAUUUUUUGGGCAAAUAUGUAUUUUUACCUUAUUUUGAGUUUCAAGGGCGAAAUAGUCAAUUUGUCAUAAUUCUGUUAACUUUCUAAUGGUAGCUAACAGUUUGGUGGACAGCAGACACAUUUUGUCAACUUAGGGUGUACGAGUAAUACAUGUUAAAAGUGCUGCAAUACGUUUGAUACAAGUGUCAUUUAAAGGUAUAUGAGUGAUACAUGUUAAAAGAGUUGUAGUACAUUUGAUACAAGUGUCAUUUAAGGGGAUAUAAGUGAUAUUUUCCCUAAUAUCAAAUUGCCUUCGAUGUUUUUACAGCUACAAGCUCAGUAACAGGAUUAAUUAAAAAGUUUAGAAUUGUUGGGCGUGCAAAGAGUAGUUUUAAACACCAGAAAGCAAAGGUUGUUAUUGACAUAAUUUUAUUUUUGUUUUCGAGGGAAUUUGUUUUUUUUGUUGACAAGAAAAUAGUAUUAUAUUUUACAAUCUAUUAUACAUAUUUUAUCAUAUUAAAGUAAUUUUAAUAUUAAAUGGAAACAUUAAAUUUAAAUUAAUUAAUUAAAAAUUGAAUUAUUUUGAAUAUUAUGUAAAAAAUUAUUUUAAUAUCAUUAAUAAGGAGAUAUUUUGUUAAUUGUAAAAUAUUUUUAACCCAAAUAUAUAUUAAAUUUUUUAUAAUAAAUACAAAUACAAAUAUAAAAAUAAAAUAAAUAUCAUAGUUUAAAAUUUUAAUGUUAUUUUAAAUAUUAAAAAUAAUUUAAUGCUAUUAGUCUAUUACACAGGUUAUAUUAUAUUUGCAUUAAUUAAAAGUUUUAAAGUCAAUUUUCCAGUUUCUAUAUUCAAAGGUAUAAUGGUUAAAAGAAAGUUCUUGGUGUUUCUUUUUAAAAAUUUGAGGGUCUUAAUGAUAAUUUUUCUAAAUCGUAAGGGUAUAGGUGUCUUUUUUUCCGAUAAUUUAUUUCACGGGUAUCCAAUAAGAAACAUGGUAAGAGAACGUCAAUUACUUAUCAUUUUCUAUUUUUUCUAUGAGUCAUUUAUUUUGAGCAUUAGUGAUCUUAUCUGGACUACUCCAACUAUUGAUGCAACUCCAGUGGCUGCAUCCACAGUUAAAUAUAUGAUAGUGUUAGCUCUUAUUUGAGAAUUUAGAGGGAUCUUUCUUUGUUUCUCUGUUGCAAUGUGCUAGUAUAAAUUUCUUUACCUUAAAAUUUAUAUAGUCUUGCAGUUAAAGAAUUCACUGAGGCAUUGUUGAUUCAAUUUCAGUGAAGCAAUUGUGGGUGAAAGAUAAAUGAAGGAAAAGAGAACAGAGCUGAAGUGCUAAAUUGGCUAUUGAAGAAGGAUGUCACAUGAUCACAAUCACAUUGAUGCACAACUCUCUGGAGGCAAAGUUUGUCUAUAUGUACUCUGAAUUCAGCCAAGCCAUACAUGCAUGAACAAAAAUUAAACCGUAGUUCUAAUCACAACAGUAAUUGAAGCUACAAAAGCCAGCAAAUCUGAACGAAGACUUAAAAGAAAGAUCUUAUUCAAGUUUGUCCCCAAAAGACAGCUGAAAUGAAAAAUAUUGACUGUUGAAUGGGCCAAUGCUGAAUUACAUUUCAAAUGGAAAGCUUGGCAGCAGUUACAAUGUUUCCCCCUCUGAUUUUCCUCCAAAACAAAUUCAGUUGUAAACAAUAACCGAAGUAGUAAUAAUUUAUUCAUCAAAGAAAAUGCCCCCAAGUUUUCAAUUAAAAAAUCCUCUUGUCCAAACUAAAAGAACUCAUAUCUCUAAAAUUUAUUUGCAAAAUGUUGGAAAUGAGGAGUGAUCCGUUAACUCUGUAAAUAAACUCAUGCAUAAUGUUAACAAUAAUGAUAAAUUACAUAAUAAUUAUUAUAGAGAAUCAUAAAUUGGAAACGCUAAUCAUUCUACUAUUAUAUAAGUAAGAUAAAUAUCAUAAUAAGUUAAGUUAUAAUGUAAUAAAUAUUUGCAAUAUAUAAUUAUUUAAGAAGUCAUUUAACAAUAAAAUAUUUUUUUAUCCAGUUGAUCAUAUAGCGUUAUCUAAACUCUUGACAAUAUUAUUAUUACUCACUUUUCUCAAAAAAACAUGAUUAACUUUUAGAGAAAGUCAUGUCUUUGAGAAAGAAUAUGUAUACAAGCUAUCCAUACUUUAUCUUACUGUGACAAAAUUGAUGGUGAUUAAUUGUAUUUUUUAAAAUAGAUUUAACGCACAAAUAAGAUGACUUUUGGCAAAAAUUAUUUUCGGAAGAUAUAGUGAUAGAAAAUAGUGAUGAUAAUUAUUGUUUAAAUGUGUAAAUAGCCUAAGCAUAGCCCGUAAUACCAAUAUUCAUUUGCACCUUGAAAGAAACUUAGUUCUAUAUUGUUUGGCAAGCAAGAAAGUAAAGGAAAAUGAAAGAGAACUCUAAAGAACCUUUUUUAUUAUACUCAGAUAUCUCAACUUAAUGAAUACUGAUUGACAUUUAUACUAAGCUACAAUCUUCACUACACACACGAGUUUGUAACAUCACAUAACCAUUUGCUGCAUAACUAACUUUACACAUCAGCUCAACCAGCUAACUAACUUUGACAGGUCAGCUCAGUGAGUUGAUCUGCUACAACCAGCUACACAGCAACAGCAUGCUCUGCUCCAGCUAUACAGCAACAUCAUGCUCUGUUCCAGCUUUAUCCGCUCUGCUUUGCUCUGCUCCAGCUUUGACAGGUCAGCUCAGUGAGUUGAUCUGCUACAACCAGCUACACAGCAACAACAUGCUCUGCUCCAGCUAUACAGCAACAUCAUGCUCUGCUCCAGCUUUAUCCAAUUCACUAACAUCCCCCCUCAAGCUAAAAUGUUUAGGAUGAACAUUCAGCUUGCUUCUGAAGUAACUGAAUUGUUUGAAAGUAAGAGCCUUAGUUAACACAUCUGCUGUUUGAUCUGGACUAGGCACAUAGCAUACUGCAACCUCUUUAGCAGUGACCUUAUCUCGGAUAAAAUGUAUAUCCAAUUCAACAUGCUUAGUCUUAGCAUGAUAAACUGGAUUAUAAGCUAAAGCAAUUGCUCCUUGAUUAUCACACCACAUUAUAGGAGUGGAGCUUAAUGUGAUACUAAGUUCACCAAGUAAGGAUUUAAUCCAGGUAACCUCUGAAGCAGCAUGGGCAAGAGAUCUAUACUCAGCUUCUGUGCUGGAUCUGGAAACAACAACUUGUUUCUUUGACGACCAGGAAACAAGAUUAGGACCUAGAUAAACAGCAAAGCCAGCCACUGACUUCCUAUCAUCAUGAUCACAAGCCCAAUCAGAAUCUGAAAAACAAUGUAAUUGCAGAGCUCCUUGAUUGUAGAAAUGCAGCCCCAGAUGGAUAGUGCCUUUUAAGUACCUCAAUAACCUUUUACAUGCUUCCCAAUGUUGAGUUCUAGGACUGGAAAGGAACUGACUUAACUUGUUUACAGAGAAGGCAAUGUCAGGUCUGGUAAGAGUAACAUAUUGAAGAGCUCCUAUAACACUUCGAUAUUGAGAAACAUUUUCAAGUGGCUCUCCUGAGUCUUUGGUGAGAUAAAAGCCUGUAGACAUUGGAGUUGGCACAGGACUGCAGUCUGUCAUGCCAUGUUUAUCCAGAAUAUUAGCAAUGUACUUUGCUUGUGUCAAGGAAACCCCUUGUGAAGAUUUGCUGACUUCAAUCCCCAGAAAAUAGUGAAGUUCCCCCAGGUCUUUUAAAGCAAAAGCUUGAUGCAUAUGCUGGAUAACUUGUUGAAUUAUGGAUGGACUGGAACCAGUGAUGAUAAUAUCAUCAACAUAGACCAAAACAACAGUUAGAUGACCACUGUUCCAGGCAUAAAAGAGAGAGUUAUCAGACCUGGAAUGCUGAAAAUGCCACUUGGAGAUCAUUGCAUCCUUAAACCUAUCAAACCAGGCUCUAGGAGCUUGUUUUAAGCCAUACAAAGCCUUAUUUAGCUUGCAGAUAUGAUUAGGUUUAGUUGAAUCAACAAAACCUUGAGGUUGAGCCAUGUACACAUCUUCAAUUAAAAUGCCAUUUAGAAAGGCAUUGUUAACAUCCACCUGCCUUACAACCCAGUGACUCAAUACUGCUAAGCUAAGAAUAACUCUAACAGUGGAGGACUUAACCACUGGACUGAAGGUUUCUGUGUAGUCAAUCCCAUGUGUCUGAUGAAACCCUUUAGCCACAAGCCUGGCUUUAUACCUUGAAACUGAACCAUCUGAGUUAUACUUUACUCGAAAUACCCACUUGUUGCCAACUAUCUUCACUGGAGUAGCAGGUAAGACUAAAUCCCAGGUGUGAUUGGUUUUAAGAGCUAGAUACUCUUCUUGCAUAGCUUUAUACCACAUAGGAUCAGAAAGUGCUUUGGAAACAGAGGUUGGUUCUGACUUCUGAGCUAGUAAAGCUGACAAGUAGAUCUUGGGCUUGAAGAUACCUGCUUUUGACCUGGUUAUCAUUGGAUGACCAGAUGAUGCAGGUUGUGACAAGGUAUGUGGAGGUGAAUGAUGGGAUGGUGAAGAAGGAGAAGAAGAAGUGGAAUUGAAAUUAUCAGAAAAGUAAACUGGAGUAGAAUUUGGGAAGGAAAUAGAAGCAUGUGACUGAGAAUCAUUAAGAAGAUAUUCUGAUGAUGCUGCUAAAGGUGCUUGUAACUGAGUAACAAAAGGAGUAGAAGAAUUAAAAGAAGACUCAGAAUGAGUUGAUGACUGACAGUUUGAAGAAACUGAAGAAAAAUCUGUUCCUGACUCAUAAGGAAAAGAACGUUCAUAAAAGGUUACAUGAUUUGAAAUAUAGACCCUCCCAGAAGAGUGAAGACACUGAUAUCCCUUGUGUUGUGAACUGUAGCCAAUGAAUAUACAUCUAGCUGUUCUGAAAUCAAACUUAUGUCUAUUGUAUGGUCUGAGUGUUGGAUAACAAGCACAGCCGAAAAUUUUAAGUGUUGAAUAAUCUGGUUGGGAAUGAAACAACUUUUGAAAAGGAGAAAUGCUGUUUAGAACUGGAGUUGGAAGUCUGUUUAUCAAGUAGACAGCUGUAUGGAAUGCAUUCCACCAAAAUUUGAGUGGUAAAUGUGCUUGAGCUAAUAAAGUCAGUCCUACAUCAACUAUGUGUCUAUGUUUCCUCUCAAUUUUUCCAUUUUGAUGAUGAAUGUGGGGGCAAGGAUGUCGAAAAUGGAUGCCAGAAGUGGUGAGUAAUGAUGAAAAUGUUCUGAACUCCCCUCCCCAGUCAGUUUGGACAGUUUUGAUGGAAAGUUGAAGAUGCUUCUCAAUGAAUAUUUUGAAAUUGGUAAAAACUUCAAGAGCAUCAGAUUUUGCUGAUAAGGGAAAAAUCCAGGUAAACCUACUGUAAUCAUCUAGGAUUGACAAGUAGUAAUUAUAUCCUUGGGUAGAACAAACAUGAGAAGGGCCCCAAAGAUCUGCAUAUAUCAGUUGUAAAGGUGCUGAAGUUUUUGUUUCUACUGAAUCAAAAUGCAGCAUGUGAUUUUUACCAUAUUGGCAUGCUGAACAAAAUUUCAAACUGUCAACUUUAUUAAAAGCAGUAGAGUUGUUACAAGCUUUGAGAAUGGUUUUGAGAGUAUAAGAUGCUGGGUGUCAUAAUCUUCUAUGAAGAAGAUUUACAUCAAUAGAACCCUUUACAACAACUGACAGACAUGACUUUUUAUUCAACUCAUAAGAGCUAACAGUAGAGAGCUGAGCAGAAUUAAAAACAGGAGAACAAGCAAAAAGAGACUGAAUUUUGUUUUGACCAACUGAACUGAGAAAGACUGAAUGAACAGCAGCAUGAGAAGAGACUUUAUACAAGCUGUUGUGCAAAUUUUAAUGUACUCGCAAGCGCACGAAUCUAUUAUAGUAUAGAUCAAUGGUGACGAGUGUCGAUCCCACGAGGAGGUAGAUUUUAAUUGUGUAUAGAAUUAAUUUUGCAAAUGGUUGAUUGGAUUUGUAGUGGAAAUGAUUAGGAAUAUGCUAAAACUUAAAUUAAAAUGGCGAGAAUAAAUUCUAAAAUUGGAAUUGCAAUGGCGAGAAUAAAUUGAAGAGAAAUGUAUUGAAAUGACGUACUUGGGUAUCUGGAUCCGUAUCAACAUGCAUCAUGGGCUAAAUAAUCCGUAUUAAUGCCAAUUAAAUCAUGAGGGGGGAAUCCACACCUCAUGAACCACGCUCUAAUCAAUAUGGUGCUAAGGGCUUAUCGUGCCAAAUAAUAAUAACCUUAUACUAGAGAGCCGGUGUAACCAAGGCGGUAUCUAGACAAGAUCAGUAUUAUUUGUCGACGAUAAGUCAAAUCAUCCACAAAAACUAGAGGGGAAAAGAAAAUAAAUUUACCAAAUAAAGCCCAUGACACAUGUUGAGACUUCACCUUCAACCCAAGCUUGAAAGGAAAUUAGCUACUCAUAAUUGAACUAGGGGCAAAAUGGGAAUUUAUUAAAAUACAAAGAAAAUACAAGAUGGAGAGGGAAUUACAGAAAAUGGAUCCCAAAAAUGGAUUCAGAGAUAUCAAAUUAGGGGGGGAGGCCCAUUUUUUAUAGAUACAUGGAGUAAAUCAUGGCCAUCGGAUUAAAAACAGUUUGGACGCUCAGGAUUGCGCCACGUCAUCAGUCAACAGUCAACGGUUUGACCACGCGGAUGAACAGUAACAUGGUUUGGUUGAAAAUAAUCCUGUGUGAUGCAUACACCGUACGCGAGAUUUUUCGUCCACUGAUAUGCUGCCACGUCACCAUCAACAGUACAUAAGAAUUUUAGUCCAACAGGAUCGUGACACCUCAUCAGUCAAUGCCACAUCAUCGGUCAAUGCCACGUCAUCGAUCCGUCUAUGUGAACAGUGUCGUGAACAGUAACGUAGACAGUACCGUAUACGUGAAUAGUACCGUACAUGUGAAUAGUGCCAUUUUUCCUUUUAUGCUCCUCCUAAGGUUUUCGACCGUCCUGAGUUCAAAAGUGAUGUCCGUUUUGCCGUCUGAUCUCUCCUUUAUUGUGAAAUGACUAUAAUGCCCCUAAAAUACAUAAAAUACUUAAUUAAAAUAACACACACGUAAUUACAUCACAAGAGGGUUAAAUACAUAAAAGUAAGGGUUGUUAGUAAGACUUGAAACGUAAAAUGACGGUUUUCUCCUUUAUAAAUAUGCAUUUUCUAACACUCAACACAAGCCACCUUUAGCAACACCUUCAAGUAAAAUUUUCCCUGUGUUCCUGGCCUUUAUAAAACACAAAUUACCAAGAAAUUCAACAGUAACUGGAUUGUCAGCCAACAAUUUUGAGAUGCUAAGCAAAUUCUUAGUAAUAAAAGGGACAUGAAGAACAUGGUUAAGAAAUAAGGAUUGAGAAGCUGAAGUAUUUAGCACAACUGACCCUACAUGUGUAAUAGCUAAUGCAUUUCCAUCUCCAACAAAUAACCUUUCAGUACCAGUGUAAACUUUUGAAUCCAGAAGCUUACCUAGAUCAUUGGUAAUAUGAUUUGUUGCUCCACUAUCAAUAUACCAGGAAGGAUCUUCAAUGUGUUCAGGUGGGAGUGAAGAAGACAUAGCAGAGGAGGAGGAAGCACUUGACUGUUCCAGAUUAUUAUGUCCUAGACAGAAACAAAAUUAGAUGAUCCAGGGUUGAAUGAGAAAUAAGCAGAUGGGUUGCUUUCUGGAUAUACUAUAUUUCCUUGAUAGCCAAAACCCCUGGGGGCAUUACCAAAACCAACAUUUUGUCCAAAACCAGCAUUUGAACCAAAACCUCCAAAACCUCUUCCACUAUUACCAUUAAAGGCUCUUCCUCGACCAUAUUGCCCUUGAUUAAAACCUCUGCCACCAUUCAUAUUACCUCUACCAUGGUUCCUCUGUGGAACAAAAGAUGAGUUGUACCUAUUUCUGCAUUUAUAGGCUGCAUGACCAGGUAUGAAGCAAAUUUGGCAAACAACUUCAGAGAAAUUACUAUUAUUAUUAAACUGACCAUAUCCAUAUCCAGAAUUAUUACCACCUCCAGAGUUAUUUCCAUACUGUUUCUGAAAAUUUCCAUUAUUCUUUCCAGCAUAUGAGUUCUUCUGAACAAUAUUUGCUGUCAUGUUAUGCAUCACAUCACCAGCAAUUUUUCCUUUCUUUUGCUCAACUCUAUUUUCAUGAUUCAACAGCAAAGAAUAUAGUUCAUCUAAUGUUAUCUUUUCACCUCGAGCUAACACAGCAGUGACUAAAGAUUCAUAAUCUGAUGAAUCAAGACCAGUUAAUACAUGCAUCACAAGAUCAUUUAACUCAACAGGUUUUCCAGCUAGAGCUAAAGUAUCAGCUAUACGUUUUACUUUUACAAAGUAAUCAGACAUAUGCAUUGCACCUUUCUUAAUAGUUUGAAUCUGCAUUCUAAGUGUUUGAAUUCUAGCUUGUGAUUGAGAGAUAAACAUACUAGCAAGAGUCUCCCAAAGCUGUUUUGAGGUUGUUGAGUCAAUCACAGUAGCAAGCAGAUUUUGUUGUAUCAAUGACAUCAUCCAACUCAGCAGAAGUUGAUCAGCCUUCAUCCAAGCUACGAACUCUGGAUUAACAGAUCUGGAUCCAGAUUCAGUAACAGAUCUGGAUCCAGAUUCAAUUAAGAUUUCAGCUCCAUUGUUGUUGCCAGAAGAAAGAAACUGCUCAGGACAUUCUCGAUCACCAUUGAUAAAACCUUCCAAACCAUUUCCUUUGAUCGAAGCUAGAAUUUGUGUGCGCCACAAAAUAUAGUUGUUUUGAUCUAGCUUUACAGGCGUAACAAAACUAAAAGAGUUGUUGUUUUGAACUGUAUUUGCCAUUUAUGGCUCUGAUACCAUGAAAGAAACUUAGUUCUAUAUUGUUUGGCAAGCAAGAAAGUAAAGGAAAAUGAAAGAGAACUCUAAAGAACCUUUUUUAUUAUACUCAGAUAUCUCAACUUAAUGAAUAUUGAUUGACAUUUAUACUAAGCUACAAUCUUCACUACACACACGAGUUUGUUACAUCACAUAACCAUUUGCUGCAUAACUAACUUUACACAUCAGCUCAACCAGCUAACUAACUUUGAUAGGUCAGCUCAGUGAGUUGAUCUGCUACAACCAGCUACACAGCAACAGCAUGCUCUGCUCCAGCUAUACAGCAACAUCAUGCUCUGCUCCAGCUUUAUCCGCUCUGCUCUGCUCUGCUCCAGCUUUGACAGGUCAGCUCAGUGAGUUGAUCUGCUACAACCAGCUACACAGCAACAGCAUGCUCUGCUCCAGCUAUACAGCAACAUCAUGCUCUGCUCCGGCUUUAUCCAAUUCACUAACACACCUUCAUUUGUGUUAUCACAUUUCAUGAUAUUCUUUCAUUUAUGACCAUUGUUCAAGAUUUUAAUUUGAUUAUAAACUAAGUUGCAAGGGAGCUUACUUCAGUUUCUAAGCUUUUCAAUCGUGAUUCCUGCAUGCCAAACGUAACUGACCUUAUAAUUGGUCUGUAUAAGAAAUCAAGCCCUUUCAGGAUCGUUUUCUUUUUCUCCCUAUUGUAGUAGUCAACUAAAUAAAGAAUGAACAACUAAACUUGGUCUAUUUCGAGGAAGACUAAGGCUUCCAAUACUAGAUGAACUUUGAAGAAAAUUAAUCCGUUGUUUUUAUUCAUCUUUGGACUAUGAAUUUAUACAAAGACUUUAACAGAAAAUAACAAAGACACAGCUAAAUGAUAGCAAUAAGUGCUGACUUGGUGGACCACUUCUGCAAGUAAAUAAAAACUAAAUAUUUAUUUUGACUAUAACAACAACUACGCUGAUGAAUAGGAUUUCACAGCAGCCACGUGACAACUAAUUUCUCCUUAAUAUUAUUAUUAGUAGAAGUAGAUUUUAAAACUAGUCUUGAUAUAUUUCAAAGUUGUAUUAUCAAUGUAUAUGUGUCUAGAUUGUAACUAUAUUUUAAAAAAUAUAAAAUUUUUAAUUAUUGCACAGUAUAUGUAGCAAAAUAUCUAUAGAAUGAUAUUAUUAGGACUAAGAUUUUUUUUUAUUUUAGAUAAGUUAUUUAUUUAUUAUCGAAUGAAUAAUUUAUUAAUUUACUGAUAAAUGAAUAUUUAUUAAUUUAAAGAGAGAUUUUUUUGGUUUUAACAAGAGUUUGUUUGGUAAAUGUACACACUUAUAAAGAAACAUAAAAAGUGGUUCCUCAAGUCAAUAGUAUUUGCUUCAAUCGCAAUGGUUCAUAAUAAUAUAGCAUAGUUAGGAAAUUUGUAAUUAUAUUAUGGCUCUGUUUGGUAGUAAAACUCAUUUAAGUAGAGUUGUUGUUAAUAGAGCUUUUAUAAAUAAAGCUUUUACUAAAAAAAAUUUAGUUGUUUGCUUGUCAAUGUCCAAAUUGAUAAACUUUUGUUCUUUUGUUAAGAUAUGUUUGUUUUACUUAAUAAUAGCAUCGGCAAGAGUUUUCGAUUGUUGCAACUUGCAAUGCACGCGGUGAGAGAAAAUGAGAAUCUUGUUUAAUUGUCAAUAUAUAAUGACAAACCUAAUCCUUUCAUUAGGAGUAAUUUAAUAAUCGUUUGUUAUAACUGAAUAUGUAUAAAGAAAGGAAAAUUCUAUUCAUAAAUUUCGACUUAUUUUUUGUUUAAAGUAAUUAAUCAUUCAACCAUCUUCAUUUGCCUCUGGCCAAUGCCCUUGUAGAUUAGUUUACUUAAUUAUGAUUAUAUACAUUUUCAUAUAGCAAGUGGCAUUGUAGAUCUAAACUAAGUUGCUAUUUCAAUACCAGCAAAUUCAAAAUAGAAAAGGAGUGCAACUAUUCAACUUUGUAGACAAUAUUGCAACCAUGGCAUAUUUAUAGCAAAUCAUUGAAAUCUGCUAAAGAAAACAAUGCCCUGUCUCAUGAAUCGAUGCUCAAUUAAAAUUUAAAUUGAAAGUCCGGCUGGUGUUGUUUUCCUCUCCAGCGAAAUAAGAAUCAUAAGUGAAAAUAGGCUUUGACAGGUCUUAUUUCUUUGUUUCUCUGCUGCAAUGUGUGGUUAUCCCACUCUGUUUUGCCACUCAAGCUGAGUCUACGUUGAGACAUUAUUUCAGUAUUGAGGUAACAAUAAUUUCGGACUCCGUAAGAAGGUUUUGAAAAAGUGGAGUCACAUUUGUUGAAUCAGGCAACGUCAACGUGCCUUCUUCACCUGCUAACACCCUUUUCAACCUCUCACAAAAUAGUCGGAGGUGGACGUCCAGCAUAUCUCAUUCACAUUUGUUGAAUUUGCAUGGAAUUUGCAAGGAGUAUGCCAAAGAAUUUGCAAGGAAUAUGCCAAGAAUUUGCAAGGAAUAUGCCAAGAAACUGGCCAACCCGCUUAGCUUAAUUCCACAAAUAUGACGUUAUUGCUCAUUUUUCUCUCAAGCACAUAAUACACGUUCUUCGAGACGCGUGCCUUCUGAAAAGGACAGGUAUCCAACCUCAUCUUAAUUACUACCAUGACAUAAUUGAUGGUUGCUUAAAUCAAUUUUUUCUUCUUUUUUUUUUUUAAUUUAAAGAAUUUUCCCUUAAAAAAAAUUUAAUAUCAAAAUGCCUUCAAUGUUAUUACUGCCGAAAGCCAAACUUCCUUUGGGUAAUUAAUUUAGAAGUGAAGCAGAGAAUAAAGUCCUAGAUGCCUUUUGAAAUUAGAAAUACAUUUUAUAUGCUUUAAUUAAUCAAUUCACUGAGGCAUUAUUGAUCCAAUCCCAGUGAAGUAAUUGUGGGUGAAAAAAAAAUAAAGUGCUGAAUUGGCUACUAAGAAAGAGUGUCACUUGAUCACAAUCACAUUGAUCCACAACUCACUCGAGGCAAAUUUCAUCUAUGUGUACUGCAAAUUUAGCCAAACCAUACAUGCAUGAACAAAAUUAGGCCGUAGUCCUCAUCACAACAUUAAUUGAAGCCACAAAAGCCAGCAAAUCCAAACAAAAACUUAAAAGAAAAUGCUUGGUAUAGAGAAGCACGAGAGAAAGACGAGAAAAACAAUGAAGAAAGUGGUAGAGAGAGAGUGAGUGGGUAGAGAGAGAGCAAAAUUCUCUCGUCUUUCUCUCGUGCUUCUCUCUCUCUAUCACUACUCAAACUUAAAAGGAAGAUCUUAUUCAAGUUUGUCCCCAAAAGACAGCUGAAAUGAAAAAUAUUGACUAUUGAGUGGGUCGAUGCUGAAUUACAUUUGACAUGGAAAGCUUGGCUGCAGUUGCGAUGUUCCCCCUUCUGAUUUUCCUCCAAAACAAAUUCAUUUGUAAACAAUAACGGAAGUAGCAACAAUUUAUUCAUUAUAGAAAAUACCUAAAUUUUCAACUAUCAAAUCCUCUUGUCUAAACUAAAAAACUCAUAUCUCUAAAAUCUAUAUACAAAAUGUCAAAAACGGGUGAUCUCUCAAUUCGAUAAAUAAAUUCAUGCAUAAUGUUACUAGUAAUGAUAAAUUACAUAAUAAUUAUUAUAAAGAAUCAUAAAUUGGAAACAUUAAUCAUUUUACAAUAUAUUACAUAAUAAAGAUAAAUUUUAUAACAAGUUAAGUUAGAACAUAUCAAAUAUUUUCAAUAUAUAUAAUUAUUUAAGAAGUCUUUUAACAAUAAUUUUUUUCUUUUUCAGUUAAUCAUGUCAUAUACCGUUAUCUAAAAUGCUGGCGAUAUUAUUAUUCCUCACUUUUCUCAAACAAAAAAGAAAAGAAAAAAGAAACAUGAUUAACGUUUAGAGAAAAGUCACGCCUUUUAAAAACAAUAUGUAUACAAUAGCAAUCCAUACUUUAUAAAAUUGAUGGUGAUUACAAAGAAAAAUUGUUUAAAAUAGAUUUAAUGCACAAAUAUGAUGACUUUUGGCAAAAAUUAGUUUCGGAAAUGUUGGGAUGAAAACCAUAUUAAUUGAGAAUUAAAAUUACUUAAUAAAAUUACUUAACUACCAUCUAAUAGAUGAAAACCAUAUCAAUUGGGACUUAAAUUAAGAUUUAAAUGUUGAAAUAUCUAGCAUUACUCACAAUAACCAAUUCAAAUUAUGACUAUCAUGUAGAAGCAAAUGUUUAUGCUUGGGUUUUUUACUUCUUGAAUUUGAUUGGAAAAAUUUCUGAGAUAGAGAAGUGUUUUGGAUAAUUUUUUCGGGAUUGAAACCACAAAUUGGUAGAGGAAAUUAAUUUUGGACAAAUUUUUCUUAUAUUGUAGGACCUUCUAGUUGGAGUAGUGAUGGCUUUGUCUUCAUUUUUGGUUCCUUUUGUGUCAGCAACCCCUUACUAUUCUCUUGACCCUGAGUUUGAGAUAGAAAUUUAUCAACCUCCAACCCCACAUCCACAAACAAGUUGAUUGAAACAAUUACUCUUUUAAUUAAGAGGACCCAAAUGAUUUAGGUUUCAGUUCUUAUCAUUUGUCUAUUAUUUCUUUGAAACAUUUAUUUUGAGCGUUACUGAUCUUAAUUAUCUGUAUUUCUCCAAUUAUUGAAGAAUUUCAAGUGGCCACUUUUUCUCCUUUUUAUAUAUGUUUAUUUUUUGGAGUGAUCAAACGGGUGAAAAAUCAAGUAUUCGCUGGUCUGUAGUUUAGCCAACGAUGGCUGAUCCACACAGUUGAUUAUAUGAUACUAUUAGCUCUCAAAAUCUUUCUUAUUUGAGAACAUAAAUUGCCCAUUGAAGUUAAACUAUGUUACCCAGCUCCAUGCACAUACAUUAAAUGUUUAGGUAGUUUUACAAAAUGAUAACAGCAUGCCAAAACUUGAUGUUGUCAUAUUCGACAUUUCAAAUUGAAAAAUAUGCAAGCAAUCUUCAGUGACCAUUACGUUUUUAUUGAAUAAUUUAAAUGGCCAGUAAAUCAACAGUCCGUGAGUUUUAAAUCUGUUAUGACUUAAUGUAUCUUUCUGUAUUCGUACACAGGUUAUAUUAUCAUAGUUUAAAAUUUUAAUAUUAUUUUAAAUGUUAUAAAUACUUUAAUGCUAUUAGUCUACUACACAGGUUAUAUUAUUUAUAUUAUAUUUGUAUUAAUUAAAACUUUUAAUGUCAACUUUCUAAUUACUAUAUUGAAAAGGUAUUAUGGUUAAGAAAAAGUUUUGGCAUUUCUUCUAAAAAAUUUGAGGGUAUGCAUGACAACACUACAAGAAAAAUGACCUACCAUGACAGUCCUCUGUGUGACAGUUUUUGGUCUGCAGAGCUACUACGAUAGAUGGAUGAUAAAUUUUUUUUCUAUCAUUCAUUUAUGACAUACUUGUGAUAGAAAUUUCAUCUAUCAAGCACUUAUGAUAGACUGAUGAUAAAUUAUUUGGUUAUCAAGAAGUAAUGACAAGUUUGUGAUAUAAUUUAGAUCAUCAAGUAGCUUUUUUAUUUUGACUUUAUUUCACAAGGUUGACUGAAAAUUUUAAAAUGAAUGAAAAAAAUAAAUAAAGAAUAAACGGUACCGUUUGGAUUAAAAGUUUCUCUUUGGACAAGAAACGACACCGUUUAGAUUGAAGCUAAAUAAAAACAAAACCCUCUUCAGUUUUCACUAAUCGAAUUUUUUUUCCCUAAGUGUCGGCACUCUCACUCACUCUCGUCUCUCGCUCAGUCAUUCUCGUCAAUCUCACACUCACAAAGCCCUUUUCACCCGAAAUCCUUGCAUGGGCACUGAACCACUGCCGCCAUUCUCUUGUAUUUGACUAUCAAUUUUGGCUCUCACCGAGAACUAUAUGGAAUACCCACCAAACGCAUGUGCUUCUACUAUUGAAUUUCAAUACCCUAACUGAGAGCCCACGCUCACCCACUAUUGUAACCGUUCGAUCAAUACAGGUAAAUAAUAUUUCUAGUGUUGUGUUCCAUUUCAAUUUUAAUGUUCUUGUCAAACUCGAACCCUAUAUAUGUAAACUUAAAAACCCUAGAUGUGUUCUUGUCAAAUUCGAACCCUACACACCUAAAUCUUGUAAAACCUAGAUGUUUUCUUGUCAAAUUUGAACCCUGUACGUGUAAAACUUGAAAAUCCUAGGUGUGCUCUUGUUAAAUUUGGAUCUAUUUGAUUGGUCUUCUAUGUUUCUUUAUUUAUGGAAUUUUAAACAUUUAUUUGAUUUUUUUGGAAUUUAAUUAUUAUAGUUUUAUUGUUAAAUUAAUUUGAUUUAGGCUGUAAAGAUCCUUGCCAAUUUAAUCGUGAUGGGUGUUGGGAUAUUGUCUAGGCUGCUUUAUCUUUGGGGUUUUCUAAUAACUAAUUUUUUUUUUUCACUUUUUUGUGGAUGCAUGGAACUAUAUAUAUAGAUAAUUCUCAAAUUCGUUCACUGUGAUGCAAAGUCUUUUUUUUUUCAAUUUCAUUGGUUAAAUUCACUAAUUCGUUGAAAUUAGUGGUGAUUGUGGGCCGAGUCGCAUGUGCAGGAAGUGGUGUCAGGUCUGGGCGCACAUUGAGUCAUGCACUUGGUGGGCAAUUGGUAUUGUUUCUAUUGUGUGUGUUGGAAAUAAUGUCAAUAUCAUCCAACCAAUGUGUGUUUCUAGUGGCUGUUUUUGCACCGAGCAGAUAAUUUAUUAUUACAUCAGAGUUCCCCAUCCCUUGUUUCUCUUUUGGGUAAUGCAGGUAUUGACUAGUUCAUUUCCAUUUUCAUUUGUCUUGAGGGAAUGUUAUCAAUUUUUCGAUCUUACAAGAUAUUGAUUGAUACAUAUGUGUACAAUACAUUAAAAAUCAUUAAACAUUUUGCUCUUAGUUACAAUUUUGAAUGAAUGUCACAUGGAAAGAUCCUCUAAGAAUAUCAAUAGUAUUGUGGUUUCUACUCAAUUUCCACUCUCCGCACUCAUAUGAGCAUGGUUUGAAUCUCAAGCCUUUUGUACCAUUCAAAAAUUUAUACCAAUUAACAACAUAGCUUGCUAGCACCACAAAUUGUUUCAACUCCAAGGCAGAGAAUUCCUAGAAGAUAUAUACAUAUUGAUAUAUACUUGCAUGUAGCCGUAUGCUCACUACCUUCGAAUUGGGGAUAUAGUCACUAUUUUUGUAUUCCCUCCAAGUGUUUGAUAAAAAGCAUGAAUGAAUCUUGGCUCUUUAAUUGUUGCAGGCCAUUUCUACCUAUGAGGAGCAAAGGAAUAUGAAGCUUAUUAUAUUCAUUCACAAAGCAAAGCUGAUAUAAUUCAUGGCAAAGCUUGAUGAGGUGUUGUAUUUAAUCUUGCUCAUGAGAUCAAUUACCUAUCUUGUUGGACUUUAUUCUUGUAAUUAAGGUCCAUCCAAAGUUGAUGGCUUGUUUGUCAGAAAGAUAAUCUGAAGGCUAUGAUUGAUUACUUGCGGGCCGAUGGAAAUGUCUCCAUGAUUGGUUUAUGAGGUUGUUAAAUUACUAAAUAGGUAUAUUUACUUUUCAUGAGCUUUAUCUUCGUUUUUCCAUUAUGGAAAUGUCUCUAUGAUUGUAACUUUUAACACGUGGAACUCUUGAACCCUAUGUUUAGUUAUAUACUUAUAUUGGGACUUGUAUAAAUUAAUAUGAUGGUUUUAUUAUUAUUAUUAUUAGUAGUAGUAGUAGUAGUAGUAGCAGCUACAAAAGAUCAAAAGAACUUAAAGGUGUGGCUUGUGGCUUUCUUGCUGUUUGGGCUUUAACUGCUGCCUCACUUGUCAUUGUUGCUAAUCUGGUGUGCCACGUCCAUUUCAGUGUAAUUACAUAAGUUAGUUUGCUUGAUUAAUUAAUUAAUUAGUUAGCGGAUUGAAUAGCCAGAGUACUACAUUUUGCAUAGGUCUGAUGCUGGAUGAAUUUUCAUGUCUUGGCUUUGGGGCUGCUGGAUUUUGCUGCUGGAAGACUAGAUUUUGCAAUUUUGUUGCUGGAAGACUACAUUUUGUGUAGGUUUGUUGCUGGAUGUUGCUGAAUGCGGAGUACUUUGCUUGGUUUUGGAUUGGCCUUUGUUGUCUAUUGGCUCGACUUUGGAAUAUGGAUUAACUAAUGUAAUGUACUUUGGAUAUUUUUAUGGUUAAUAAAGUUCACUAAUUUAGUUCAUUAGUUUUGGAUUUAAUUGCAUUUAGUAAUUUAUUUUCUUUCAUAUAAUUUUAAUAAUUUUAAUAAUUUUAAUUUUUAAAUUUCAUAAUUUUUAUUUUAAAUUAAUAAAUAAAAUAAAUAAUCAAUUUUUUCAAAAAAAAUGUGAUAGAAAAUACUAGUCAUACACACAAUUGAUAUCCCAAAAAAAAAUACAAUCCAAAAAUUUCUAAAAAAAUGAAAAUAUAAAAUAAAAAAAUAAUUUCCCUCUUCUAAGUAGUAUGACAUAAUUAUGAUAGGUAAAAUCUAUCACAACUUGUGACGCGAUUUUAUCUGUCAUCUUUUCUUGACGCUGACUAUAAUGACAGUAAGGAUAACCGUCAUCUACCCCCUAAGAUGACAGUUUUUACCUAUCAUAAUAGGUCAUUUUUCUUGUAGUGCAAUUUUUCCAAUUCUAAGGGUAUAGGUUUGAAAAUUUAACGUUAUUUAACUUAAUGAAACAAAAGGGGAAACCAAGAACUAUUCAAUUUUGUAUUUUUUGUUUGUAAUUCAAAAAAUACAUCCACCAAACAAGUUUUACACAUUAAUGCUGUCAUAAAACGAAAAACAGUUUGCCAAAAAAUGGUACCGUCACAUGAUUUCUUAGUAAGUCCAUAUUAGAUAUAUUUAUACAUUUUAGGUAUUUUAGUUAUAAAAGAAGUUGGUCCUCCCCCUAUUUAUAAAAGAUAACUUUGUUUCGAUAUUACCACUAAACUCUUACAUAGAAUUAGUGUAAUGUUAAGAGAGAGUAAUGCGGUUUUCCAUUACCAUCUUUGAAAAUAGAAAGAUAUGGAUGCGUGCAUUUAAGAGUCAUCGUGAAAAUCAUACAAUUCAAUUUCCUGACAUAUAUAUUUAUGCACGUAUGCCAAAAGAAUAAAUAGACAGAAAGUAAAUUUAUAGUCCUCACUUCCUCACAAUUGUUAACGUGGAGAUGCAUUACAACUGUGAACUGUCACUACUUUAGCCUUUUUUUUUUUUAAUUAUAGUGUGAUGGAGACAUUAAGGAUGAGCAUAAUAGUUAAAGAUGACUCAUUUCUCAUUUUCUUUUUAAAGUGCUCUGCUGAAAGCCAAACUUCCUUUGGCUAAUUAAUUUAGAAGUAAAGCAGAGAAUAAAGUCCUAGAUGCCUUCUGAAAUUAGAAAUACAUUUUAUAUGCUUUAAUUAUGAUUAUUUGGUAGACUAAAGACCUAAAAGAUAUGUCAAAAGUAUAAAACAGAGCGAUUAAAGAAAAAAGAAAAAAAAAACAGAGUAUUUGUGACGUAGAAUAACAAUUGGUAAAUAAAUCCUAAAUAUUUGAGUUGUUAAAAGCAAAUAUAACAGAGACGGUAAGAGAGAUGCUGAAACAGAAAACUAUUAGCUUAUCUUGAUUUUCCCACUAUAUUCAUUUUCGAUGCUUUUCAAACGAGAUUCUUUUAAUUCUUCUGGUGUCUCUUAUAGAUCUCCAUCCCACAUCUGCACUACGAACAAGUUGAUUAAAAUUAAAUACUGUUGGAGAUGUGGGGUGAGCGGUCAACUUGGUAAAAAAACUAUGUAUAAUAUUGUUAAUAAUAUAAAAUAUAAAAUAAUAAUUACAAAGAAUCAUAAAUUAGAAAAAUUAUUUAUUUUACAAUCUAUUUCUUAAGUAAGAUAAAUCUCGUAAUAAGUUAAGUUAUAAUGUAAAAAAUAUUUUCAAUUUAUAAUCAUUUAAGGAGUCAUUUAACAAUAAAAUCUUUCUUUUUUUGAUCAAUUGGUCAUGCUACAGAGCAUCAUCUAUUCGUGGUGAUAUUAUUAUUACUCCGUAUUCUCAAAAAACACGAUUUAACAUUUAGAGAAAGUUCCUACCUUUUAAAAAGAACAUGUAUGCAACAACUACCCAUACUUUAUCUUACCACGACAAAACUAAUAGUGACUAAAUCAAUUUUCUCGAAUAAAGAAAAAUUUCUUAAAAUUAAUUUAAUAUACAAAUAUGAUGACUUUUUGCAAAAAUUAGUUUUGGAAAAUUAGUGACAGAAAAUAGUAACGAUUAUUGUUUAGAUGUGUAAAUAGCCUAAACAUGAUCCCUAAUACCAAUAUCCACGUGCAUCUUAACACCUUUCGUCAUAUUCUUUCAUUCAUGGUCACUGGUUCAAGAUUUGAAUUUGAUCAUUAAAUCAUGUUCAAUAAUAUUAGAGAUCCCAACAAUUGAGUACCAACUUAAAUCCCAAUGCUAUGUGUCAUUAACAAAUGUUGUGUCAUUUAUAAUUAUUGAAUGAAUAAUUCGUUAAUUUAUUGAUAAAUGAAAAUUUAUUAAUUUAAAGAGAGAUAUUUUUUUUUUGGGUUUUAAGAAGAGUUUUGUUGGUACAUGUACAUACUUAUAAAGAAAUAAACUUGUAAUUAUACUAUAUCUUUCUUUCUUUAUUCAGUUUGGUGGGAUAUUGUGAUAAAUCAUUGGAUUAAAAUGCAUUUCUAAAUUAAAACUUGUUAAAAUCUAAUUUAUUUGGGAAGCGCAUAUUAUUUGUCAGUCGUACUUCUCAAGUCUCAACUUAGCAAGUUAUUUCUAACUUGUCAGUCUCUAUUUGUUCUCUAAAAGCUAAUAGUCUCGAAUCUCCCGCAUUUGAUAUCUUGCCAUUAUUGUUGGCAUUAACAUGUUACCUGAGAUUGGGAUUCAUUAAAAUCCUCAAUGUAAUCGGUGGAACGAAUGGAUUUCUUCUGUUCACCAAUCCACCAAAAUUUCUGUAAUUAAAUUCAAGAGUCAAGAUCUAUGCUUAUAAUCUAUUCUAACAGCUAAUAUUCUAUUUUAUAUUUACUUAAAUAUGAAGAGCUAUGCUUGUCAUUAACUUCAAAUGUGAUCGAAGCAGCCAUACAUCUGUAUAUUACUUAUUCCCAACCUUUUUUUUUGACUUCAUAUACUUUCUUUUCAUGUUAUUUACUCUUUUUUUCCCCUCUCUGACAAUUGAGGUAGGGGGUCAAACUUGAAAGUAUCUUAAAAUCAGACAAUUUUUUUUUUUUUUAAGAUAGCUGCUAAUAUGCUCUAUUAGACAAUGAUAAGUAAUAACCUAGUUGUUUGCAUUAGAAAUGAUAUUUUUUGUGGUGCUGAUAAAGAGGUUGAUUAUGAUUCAACAAUUUAAAAUAUGAAAACAUGUGGAAGACGGCCGCAAUUAAAUUGAUUGUAUGAAAAUAUUUCAAUGAAAUUUUAAAAAUUUAGUACUUGUUAUCUUAUCGAGAGUUUUUUUAAAUUAUAUUACUACUUGAACUUGGGUACUUGUUAUCUUAUCGAGAGUUUUUUUAAAUUAUAUUACUACUUGAACUUGGCUGCUUUUGUAUUGAAUUCCUAGCGUUGCCAUUGCUUCUACUCAAAAGCCAUUUAAGUUUGUGUAAGCUACCUAUAGUUUGAACAACAAUUUACUCAUGAAUUGUUGUUCAUAAUAGCAAUUUGAUUGAAAGUGCGGCUGCACUAAUUUUCUAGAUGAAUUUUUUCCUACAUGCUUGUUCUCGUAUGACCCAAAAUCCUGCUACAUCAGUUGUAUUAGAAAUUAAUACUGGGUUACAAUUAUGCAUCCCCACCAAUAUUUAAGCAAUUUAAUUACAGGAACAUUUCUUGAGGAAAGAAACUCAUAUCGCCCCUAGGCUUUUAAUGAGGCUCAUUUUUAUGAAUCUGGAUGGCAUUAGAUAUCUCUCCGAAUAUUGGUGGGAGUAUAUCGCAGAUCUCUGGGCUAUACUACAAAGUGUAUGUACGUUGACUCUCAAUAAAUACAAACGAUUCUCUGAUAUGAUUCAAAACAUCAGUGCACGCAUCAUUUUAACGAGAGAGAAUAUUCUAAGAACGAAAUUGAAGGUGCAAUCAACAACUAAAAUGAAGCCAGAAAUGUACACGCAUGAGGAAGUUUUCCUAGAAGAUUGAUAUUUCUUUAACUAGCAAACAAUACAAGUCCAAAGCUAACCAAACCAUACCUGCAAGUCCGGGGCUUAAAUGGAGUACUUGUAAGCAUAAAACAUUAAUCAAAACACAGUAUAGACACACACACACACCCCUACAUACAUACCAGCAAAUUCGAAAUAGAAAAAGGAGUGCAACUAUUCAAGUUUGUUGACAAUAUUGCAACCAUGGCAUAUUAAAGCAAAUCCUUAAAAUCAGCUAAACGAAACAAUUCCCUGUCUCAUGAAUCGAUGCUCAAUUAAAAUUGAAAUUGAAAGUCCGGCUGGUGUUGUUUCCCUCUCCAGGUUUGCCUACAUAAGUAAAGGGAAAUGAGAAUCAUAAAUGAAAAUCUGCUUCGAUCACUGUUCACAAAUCACUGUUCACAAAUCCCUAAUUCAAAAAUUACUGUUGAUUAUCGUUUUACAGCAGCGCCUCAGCUCCAGCCUUCACCCCGCAACGCAAGCAGCAGCCAGCGCGAACCAGUCGCGCCCAACGCAAGCCCCAGCAACCCAGAUUGUUAGCUCCAGCCGCGCGCAACGUAGCUGAGCAGCAGCAGACCAGCAGCGCGAACCAGCUCUCGCGCGCAACACAACGCGAACGCAGCAGUGCGUAGAUGCAGCCCAGCAACGCAGCGCGAACCAGCAAUGCAGCCUCACCAGCGCGCAACGCAAGCCCCCGCACGCGCAGCACCAGCAUCCCGUUUCUCGCAGCGCAGCAGCGCGCAACGCAGCGCAGCACCCGCAAAGCAAGCCUCACCAGCGCGCAACGCAAGCCCGCAACGCAGCAACGAGCACGCCCUGCAACGCAACCAGCUUACGCCUUGUAUUCCAGCCGGGUAAAUCGAAAUCCGUGAGUACAAUUAUUGUAACAAUGCCGAAGAGGAAAGCAUCCACUUCCAAGUCAUCGAAAAAGACACCCAUCGCAAAGAAAUCUAAGAUUGCCGCUCCCACUACGGUUCCAUGGAACACAAUUUCAGAUUCACGCCAAGCCGUGAGACAAAGAUCGAAGCAUGGAAAAGGCAUGAGUAUUUUGCCACUUGCGGAAUCCAAUCUCGAAGGGUGCCUUGCAUUCGCGACUCAACAAGAGAAAGAGAGGUACAAAGAUAUUUCCACGGGCAAAAUACUUCCAGCUAAGAAUUUUUGGAUAUGUCUAUGUUUGAAAGAACAUGUGUGGUUGAAUUCAAGGAGGGGAGAUUUCAGUUUACUGAACCAGGACCCACUCAACUUCCGAAGAAGCUUUAUGCUAGGAGUGGUGCUACCUCUGAUGACGAGUUUGACGACGACACUGCUGCCCCGCCAACUAUUCCUUCUACAUCCGCACCACCUUUGAGCAUUCAAUUAGAGAAAAUGGAGCACAAGCUGAACAAGAUGGAGCAGAAUUUGGCCGCAUACUUCGAGAGUGUGGGAUUUACCCCACCAUUUCCGCCAAGCCCAUAGACGUUAUGUGGAUCAAAGCUCACAAUUCAGGGAAGUUUCUUUUUGCCCUUAAUCCUUUAUCCUUACGCUUUAAUUUUUAUGUGAGCUUUGAUUAUCUUACAUUGGGGACAAUGUAAGUUCUUGGUGUGGGGGAGGGAUUUUUGCAUUAUUGAUGUCUGGAAUUAUUGUUUUCACUCUACUUAUUUUUUUUUUUCACUCUACUCAUCCUUAAAUGAUUUUGGAGUUAGUAUGCUUUAUAUAUUAUUAUUUUUUCUUUUCUUUUAUUUCUCACAACUUUUUUUUUCCCAUCUAUCUCAAAUUAUUUACAUCUAUUUUUAUUCUAUCAUACUGUUUCAUCGCUCACAUUUUAUCUUUCACUUUUCAUCUUUCUCACUUCUUAUCAUUUUUACCUUUCCUUUUAUAUAUCACCCAUACCUUCUUCUCAUUCUACACCACUAUUGAUGGUUGAUUCAUUUGAAGAGUGUACAUGAUUUGAUGGCAAAUUUACCAACUUUGUGAGGAUUUGAGCCUAUGAGCAACCACUUUGCUCUAAUAUUUUUGUUAUGUGAAUAUCAAUCUUAGUUUGUUUAUUCUAGAACUUGCUUUGUUAUGCAUGUUGAAGCCGCAUUACGGGAUUUUAUGCACUAAAAUGAUAAGGGCAAACCCUUUUCCAUUUUUCUAUUCUCGCAUUUUUUUUCUCUACCCGAAGAUCUUUAUUUGCUAUCUUUGUUUGAGCCUUAACAAUUACCCAUCUAAUUCUCUCCGUCUACUUAACCAUUUUUCUUCUUUUUUUUGAGCCUCAAUUUAAGGAGAUUUUUGGACUCAUUGUGUGGAUAUAUUUUGUUGCUUUUUCUACCUUGUAAUAAAGUUUCUCAAUUAGAUCAACAAGCAUUAUGCUUGAAUUAAAUUGUGCAAGGUUCGUUUCUUUUGUUUGAUUCAAAAACAAAAACAAAAAAAAAAAAACAAAAAACAAAAAAAAAAAAGAAAAAAAAAGAAAAAAAAAAAGAAAAAGAAAAAUCACAAAAAAAAAACAAAAAAAAAUGUUUACAUUCUUGGUGACUUAAGUAGAAAUAAGCAUUUUGAUAUCAUAAGUUCAUUCAAUGAGUUCAUUUUUCUCGUUUUAAUCUCUUUUUCUUUCGUAAACCUUUCUUUUUCAUUUAACCCAUUUAACCCCAUUACAACCCUCUUAAGACCCUUAGAUUUUUGCAUUUUAUUCAUGUUUUGUGGAUUGAGAUGUGAUAUAUGAGCAAGCUUAUGGUAAUAGCAUUCUUUGAUUUGAUUUGAGUGGAUAAAUGACACCCUAAAAACUUUGAGUGCAUGGAGUGAAGUUAUUGAGAGGGCUAUUAAAUCUUGUUGCACUUGAAUUUUGAAUGGAUCUCCUUGGUGGUUGAAUGUUCUUAUUCUAUCUUAUGAAAUUCUAUGCUUUAAAAUCCUUGUCUCUCGAAUGUUAAUCGACUUAAUUUCUUGAGGUAUGCUUUCUUAAAAUUGUUUUUGGAUGAGUUGAGAUGAGAAUUGAGUGGAGAUUUGAGAUUAAUCUUGAGUUAUAUGCUUGAGGACAAGCAUCAUCUUGGUGUGGGGGAAUUUGUUAGAGUGCAAUUUAUGCACUAGUUUUGCAUUGUUUACUUCCCUUAAUAUCGAUGUUUUACACUUAAUAAUAAUGUUUUACUUGUGUUUUACUUUUGUAGGUGCAAUUCUAUUGAUUGGUGAUAAAAUUGAGCUAAAAGAUGAUGUUUAAGGAGGAUUGUUCUCUUGGAGAAAUUAUGAGCGUCGAAAGAACUUUGUUGAUAAGGCGUGGGCGCGUGCUGUCAACUGCGGACCUGCAGUUUUUAGUUUAACGUGUUUUGUAUUUUUGGUUAUUUUUGUAAUUACGAAUUUAAUAUUUCAGAUAUUAGUAUUUUAUUUUAAAUAGAAUUCUAAAAGAGAAGAGAGAGAGAGUAUUUAAGGGAGGAAUCUAUUGUGAAAAGGGGGAUUUGGAUUGGAGAAAAAGAAAGAAACCCUAGAUCUAAUUUUUCUCUUCUCUCUAUGAAGAACUAAACCUAUUUUUCUGGUUGAAGGAUAAUGACGCUUUGAUUCAUCACUACUGUGAGAUUUUUCUUAUGCUUUAAUUGUUUUAUUACUUUUUGGGUAUUUGUUUAUUCUCUGAAUUAGUUUCAUGAUUAUGUUUGUUAAUUAGGUAAUUGUCCACUAUUUAAUUAUCAACUUAAUCUAUUGUCAAUUAAAGGAUUCAUCGUAUGAAGAAUUUAAUGUUUGUGACAAAUAACAUAGCAGAGAGUUGUGUUGUGAGAAUAAACAAUCUAAUUUAAAUGAAUCAUCAUAUGUGUUGAUUAGGAUUUGGGUCUCUCUGGUUUUUCAGGCUGUCAAUUGAUUAAAUCCUAUGAUCGUAUCAAGGGUUGUCUAUUGAUUAGGGAAAUAUCCAACGGUCGUACCUUGGUUAUCGACUAGUUAAGGAGAGAUUGGCUAUUAGAGGGUCUCAAUAGCUAUAACCGGUCUAUUCAUAAGUAAUAAUAAUAUAUAUUUGAAUCAAUGAUCAGUAGUCGAAUCAAGCUGAGUUAAUUCCUUCAACCAGAGCUUUCUCCAAUUUGAAUUACAACUUUAAUUUGCAUUUUGUAUUUAAUUUGAUUUUUAUUAUUGUCUACAAUUCCCCCAUUUUAUGUUUUACGUUUCAAAAGGAUUUAAAUAAUUACCGAUCUCUGUGGACACGACCCUGCUCAAUCACUAUACACAAUUUAUUUAGAGUAGGAAUUUAUUUUUGUUGGCUUCGACACCCAUCAGUUGAUUUGUGUUGUUUAUUGCUAGAUUUCGCAUAAUUGUUUGCUGAUUACUAGAACUGGCUCUGUUUGGAUCUGAUACCAUGUUUAAAAACAUAAAAAAUCACUGAUCAGUUUGUUUGGUUGCUAAGAAAAUUUGCUCUGUUUGCUGAGAAAGUUUCAAAGAAGAUUCUCGAUUUUUUUUAUUUCAUCUUUCUUACUUCACGAAUGAUUACAAACACACCUUUUAUACACAACUCAACUAGCUAACAGAAAGAAAGCUACAAAACAGAAUCUCAGUAAGCUUAACUAAUUUUGCUGAGCUGGCAUUACACACUUAACUAACUUCGGCUAACUAAAUUCUCACAUGUGCUAAGCAUGAGCAGACUGUUUGUACACAUUAUGUGCUUCUUUAACACAAUGGAGUUUUAAAAAUUUGGUACUUGUUAUCUUAUCGAAAGUUUUCAAAAUUAUAUGAAUGUUCAAACUUAGCCCCUCCCGGCACUGCCACUGCUUCUACGUGAAAGUCAUUUAAGUUUGUGUUAGCUGCCUAUAGAUUGAAUAACAAUUUUACUCCGGAUUUUUUGUCCAUUAUGAAAAUUUGAUUGAAAGUGCGGCUGCACUAAUUUUCUAGAUGAACUUCCCUACAUGUUUUUUCUCAUAUGACCCAGAAUACUGCUAUAACAAUUGUAUUGGAAACUAUUCAACUGGGUUACUAUUCUACAUCCCCACCAAAAUUUAAACAGUCGACAUUGUGGAAAGAAACUCAUUUCGCCACUAGGCUUUUAGUGAGGCUAAUUUCUCUGAAUUUGGACAGAGUAGAUUUCUAAGCUAAUGCUUGGAAGAUCUCUGGCGAUAUUACAAAGUGCAUGUACAUUGAGUCUUAAUAAAUAUAAACGAUUCUCUAAUAUGAUUCAAAACAUCACUACAUGCAUAAGUUAAUAAGAGAAAAAAUUAUAAGAUUAUUUAUGCAUCACCAUUUAUAGUUGCACCCUCUCUAAUGAAAUUGAAGGUGCAGCCAGCAAUUAAAAUGAAGCAGAAAUGUACAUUGACCCUUAAUAAAUAGAAACUAAGGCGUUAUCGAUUCAACUUCAGUUGAUCAAUUGCGGGUGAAAGAUAAAUAAAGGAUAAGAGAAUAGAGCUGGAGUGCUAAAUUGGCUAUUGAAGAAGGGUGUCACAUGAUCACAAUCACAUUGACGCACAACUCUUUGGAGGCAAAUUUUGUCUAUGUGUACUCUAAAUUCAGCCAAACCAUACAUGUAUGAACAGAAUUUAAACCGUAGUUCUCAUCACAAUAGUAAUUGAAGCUACAAAAGCCAGAAAAUCUGAACAAAAACUUAAAAGGAAGAUUUUAUUCAAGUUUGCCCCCAAAAGACAGUUGAAAUGAAAAAUAUUGACUAUUGAAUGGGUCAAUGCUGAAUUACAUUUCAAAUGGAAAGCUUGGCAACAGUUACAAUGUUUCCCCUCUGAUUUUCCUCCAAAACAAAUUCAGUUAUAAACAAUAACUGAAGUAGGAAUAAUUUAUUCAUCAAAGAAAAUACCCUAGUUUUCAACUAACAAAUCCUGCUAUCCAAAUUAAAAAAACUCGCAUCUCUAAAAUUUAUUUGUAAACUGUUGGAAAUGAGGAGUGAUCUGUCAACUCCGUAAAUAAACUCAGGCAUAAUAUUAAUAAUAAUUAUAAAUUACAUAAUAAUUAUUAUAAAGAAUCAUAAAUUGGAAACGCUAAUCAUUCUACAAUCUAUUAUAUAAGUAAGAUAAGUCUCAUAAUAAGUUAAGUUAUAAUGUAAUAAAUACUUUCAAUAUAUAAUUAUUUAAGAAGGCAUUUAACAAUAAAAUAUUUUUUUUUCUAUUCGGUUGAUCAUAUAGUGUUAUCUAAACUCUUGACGAUAUUAUUAUUACUCACUUUUCUAAAAAAAAAACAUGAUUAACGUUUAGAGAAAAGUCAUGCCCCUUAAAAAUAAUAUGUAUACAAGCUAUCCAUACUUUAUCUUACCAUGACAAAAUUGAUGGUGAUUAAAUCUACUUUUAAAAUAGAUUUAAUGCACAGAUAUUAUGACUUCUGGCAAAAAUUAGUUUUGGAAGACAUAAUGGUAGAAAAUAGUGAUGAUCAUUAUUUAAAUGUGUAAAUAGCCUAGGCAUAGCCUGUAAUACCAAUAUCCAUUUGCCUUUAUUUGGAUUAUCACAUUUCAUGAUAUUCUUAUAUUUAUGACCAUUGUUCGAGAUUUGAACUUGAUCAUAAAUUAAGCUGCAAGAGAUUUUACUUCAGUUUCUAAGCUUUUCAAUCGUGAUUCAUCCAUGCCUUUCUUGGAUACCAUUAUGUUACGUGCCAAUGUAACUGACCUUGUAAUUGGUGUGUAUAAGGAAACAUGCCCUUUCAAGAUUGUUUUCUUUUGUUUCCUUAUUGUAGUAGUCAAAUAAAUAAAGAACGAACAAUUGAACUUGGUCUACUUCGAGGAAAACCAAGGCCUGCAAUAUUAGAUGAACUUUGAACAAAAUUAAUCUACUGCUUUUAUUCAUCUUUGGACUAUGAAUUUAUACAAAGACUUUAACAAAAAAUAACAAAGACACAACUGAAUGAUAGCAACAAGUGCUGACUUAGCGGACUACUGCAACAACUAAAUAAAAACUAAAUAUUUAUUUUGACUGUAACAACAAUUGCCCUGAUGAAUAGGACUCCACAGCAGCCACGUGACAACUAAUUUCUCCUUAAUAUUAUUAUUAGUAGAAGUAGAUUUUCAAACUAGUCUUGAUAUAUUUCGAAGUUGUAUUAUUAUCAAUGUAUAUGUAUCUAGAUUGUAACUAUAUUUUAAAAAAUAUAAUUUUUUUAAUUAUUGCACAGUAAAUGUAGAAAAAUAUCUAUAAAAUAAUAUUAUUAGGACUAAGAAAAAAAUAUUAUUUUAUAUAAGUUAUUUAUUUAUUAUUGAAUGAAUAAUUUAUUAAUUUAUUGAUAAACGAAUAUUUAUUAAUUUAAAGAGAGAUUAUUUUGGUUUUAAGAAGAGUUUGUUUGGUACAUGUACACACUUAUAAAGAAACACAAAAGGUGCUUCCUCAAGUUAAUAGUAUUUGCUUUAAUCGCUAUAGUUCACAAUAAUAUAGCAUAGUUUGGAAAAUUGUAAUUAUACUAUGUCUACGUUUGGUACAAUUUUUCAAGAAGAACUUAUUUAAAUAGAGUUUUUGUUAGUAGAACAUUUAUAAAUAAAAUUUUUACUGAAAAAAUUUAAGUUAUUUGGUUGUCAUUGUCAAAAUUGAUGAACUUUUGAUCUUUUGUUAACAUGUGUUUUUUUUACUAAAUAAUAAAUGUUAGGUUACAAUUAUUUUCAAUAGUUUUUGAAGGAAUCAAGUUAUGAAAUUUUUAUCAAUGAACUUUCAAUAUGUCAGCAUAUGGUCUGUAAAAUUUGAGAGUUUUCCAAUGAGGGAAUAAUUUAUUAAAAAUAAGAGAAUAUGGAUUGUUCUGUUUUAAGGGCCGAUUAUUGAGGACAUUUGAGGUUGAGCUUAGGAGAUGUUUAAAUUGAGAUAUUUGAGGACAUUAUGUUAGCCUAAAGGGCUACACAUAAUGUAAUUUUGAUGAUAACAAACAUGUGUCUUAAGUAAAAAUAAUAAAUAUUGUAUUUCACAUUUUCACUAGUUUUUGAAGGAUAAUAUUUAUGCAAGUGAAUCAAGUGAAAUCAAGAUUGAAGAUACUCAACGGACAACGGCGACAUCAAGAAUAUAGUUUAGAGCUCAAUGAACAAAUUAGUGCGAUAAAUUCUUGUAAAGCCGGUAUGAUUUAAUUGAUGCAUGAUUUAGCAUUUGAGAAGCUCAAGAGAUUAAUUUAAUUAAAUACUUUUCAUAAACUAAAAGGUUUUAUUUUUAUAAAGUAAAGUAUUUUGUGGAUUUGAGUAAUUUGGACUUAAAUGCUAAGAUUUGAAAUCUUUGAUUUUAAUAAGUAUUAAAUUUCGGAGUUGGACGUUUUGAUAAACAUUUGAAAUGUUUUGGGUCAUACUAUAAUUUAUAAAUAUUUUGGACUAAAGUGAAAGGUUUUGAGAACUUUGAAAAAUAUGGGUAUUAUGUUGAAAAGGACCUUUGUGCGAACUAAAAAUUUCUUUGGGGCCAUAUCAUAAUUUCAGAAAGUUUGGGAAGACAACUACUCUUAGGAAGUUCUGAAAUUGGACCUAUUUGCAAAGUUUUAUGACAUUUUGAGCCAUAGUAUAAUUAUAGAAAGUUUUGAGCCAAAGUAUAAUUUUAGUGAACAGUGUUACUAUAGCAAUUCAAAAAUAACGGUAAUAUCACUGUUCCUGAGCGGCUAGCCGGAUAAAUCAAGCGGCUAACUGCUUGGGCGAGGGAAUUUGCCUAUAACGGCUAGUUUUCAGGCUUUAACUAUAAAAACUCAGCUCAAACUUCAUUCUAAGUACUAAUGCAUGCAAAUAUAAGAUCAUACAACAUAUAUUGAGCUUCCAAAAUGCAAAUCAUCAUUGAUUGAAUCAUUGUUGAGCUAUUAGUUGCAUAUCCACUCUUAAAGAGAGUUUUUGUUGUAAUUUUCAUUUCUUAUCAAAUUGUGAGUGUGUGAGUGUGUAAGUGUGGGAAACACUUGGGGUGAAGAGAUUGGGGAGAUAAUCUCUUGGUUGUAAAGGUUCAUUGACACCUUGGAAGUCAAUUGUAAAAACUUGAACCCUUGAGAGGCUUGGAUAGUGAAAUCCUCGAGCAUGGUUGGCUUGGAGGCGUGGACGUAAGCAGGGAUUGCCGAACCACGUAAAAAUCCGCGUGUUUGUUUCUCUCUUCCCUUGCUCUUUUAUUUUUACGCUUGUUUGAAUUUAUUGUUCUCUAUUUCAUUAAGGCGUUAGAUUGAUUUAUUGUGCGAAUUGUAUUGCAUUAUUUUUAAAAACUCAAUUCACCCUCCCUCUUGGGUUGCAUUACUUGCAUUUACAUUAGAGUUUAUGAUUGAGACUCGAUUAUAUCUUAUGAGAAAUUUAUUGAUGAUUUUAGGUUGAUGAUAACAGUACGCAUUUGUUACAUGAGGAUGCCAAGAGGUAAGUAAACUAGACUUAAAAACGAAUCACAAUAAACAAUAUAUAUGUUUGACUUGUAUGAAAAGUCUAUUUUGAUAUGUACGAAUAUAGAUUUAUAUGUCUCUACUCAUGUGUUUAUGUGAUGUGUUGUUAUGUAUUGGGCGUGAUUAUGUACAUAGGCAUAUGUAUGUGUGAUGGUUCAUUGUCAUGAGCACGAAAAUGCAUUGAGUUUUCUAUGAAUGAAAAGUGGAUUUUAGCAAAUGAGAUUUCUCUUUUAUGAGAUUUUGCAUUGGGGGCCACCUCUUGAGGGCCAGAGUGCCGCAAAGUACCACGCACAACACAAAGUGCCACAUUGCAGGAUACGUAUUUUAUUGAAAGGAAAUAUGAAAGUUUGAAAGCGACAGAAAGAGAUUUUUAUGAAUUUGUUUUACAGUAUUUCCAAAAGAUCAUGGCAUAGCAUCCAUCUACAUUAUGUAUAAGUAUGCAUGUUUGCUUAUUGAGUUUUGUACUCAUUAUAGUUUAUUAUGAUUCAGUUUCCAGAAGUCAGGAUUGAUUCGUGAUGAGUGAGAAGAUGAAUUUAAAUUGAGGAUGGUAGAUGGUUUGGCUAAAUUUUUAAGUUAUUCCGCUGGCUUUUGUAUUCGAGGCUCGAAUUUUAUCGGUUGUAAAGAGUUAUUUAAAUUCAUAUGUGAGUUGUAGUCAGAUUUGCCCUCGGAGUUCGGGUUGGGGCGUUACAGAUGCAGAAACAGAAAACUAUUAGCUUAUCUUGAUUUUCCCACUAUAUUCAUUUUCGAUGCUUUUCAAACGAGAUUCUUUUAAUCCUUCUGGCGUAUGCAGCCCUUGCUCUUCUUAUAAAUCUCCAUCCGACAUCUGCACUAGGAACAAGUUGAUUGAAAUUAAAUAACAUUAGAGAUGACGGACGGUUGAGCCGUUAACUCGGUAAAAAAACUCAUAUAUAAUAUUACUAAUAAAAAAAAAUAUAAUAAUCAUUACUAAGAAUCAUAAAUUAGAAAAAUUAAUUAUUUUACAAUCUAUUUCGCAAGUAAGAUAAAUCUCAUAAUAAGUUAAGUUAUAACGUAAAAAACAUUUUCAAUUUAUAAUCGUUUAAGAAGUCAUUUAACAAUAAAAUCUUUCUUUUGGUCAGUUGGCCAUGCCACAGAGUAUCAUCUAUAUUCGUGGUGAUAUUAUUAUUACUCCGUAUUCUCAAAAAACUUGAUUUAACAUUUAGAGAAAAUUCCUACCAUUUAAAAAGAACAUGUAUGCAGCAGCUACCCAUACUUUAUCUUACCCCGACAAAAUUAAUGGUGACUAAAUCAAUUUUCUCGAUUAAAGCAAAAUUUUCUUAAAAACGAUUUAAUGCACAAAUAUGAUGACUUUUUGCAAAAAUUAGUUUUGGAAAAUAUAGUGAGAGAAAAUAGUGACGAUUAUUGUUUAGAUGUGUAAAUAGCCUAAACAUAAUUGCUAAUACCAACAUCCACGUGCAUCUUAACACCUUUCGUGAUAAUCUUUCAUUCAUGGUCACUGGUUCAAGAUUUGAAUUUGAUCAUUAAAUCAUGUUCAAGAAUAUUAGAGAUCCCAACAAUUGAGUUCCAACUUAAAUCCUAAUGCUAUGUGUCAUUGACCAAUAUUGUGUCAUUUUUUGUUAACUGGGUGAUGAAUUUCUAGUUGAUAAAAUUACUUAAAAAUAUCUUAAAAAUCAGAUAAUAGUUAGCUUAAUUUUUUGAAGCUAACUGCUCAAGAUGCUCUAUUAGAAAUGAUAACCUAAUUAUAUAAAAAAAAAAAUGAUGUAUUUUUUUCGGUGUUGAUAGUGAGAUUAUCAUUCAACAUGUUAAAAUAUGAAAACAUAUGGAAGAAGGUUGUAAAUUGAUUGAAUGAAAAUAUUUCAGUGAAGUCUAAAAAAUUUGGUACUUGUUAUCUUAUCGAAAGUUUUCUAAAUUACAUUCGUGGCACUGCCACUGCUUCCAUGUGAAGGUCAUUAAAAUUUGUGUUAGUUACCUAUAUGUUGAAUAAUAAUUUUAUUCAUGAAUUGUUGCUCAAUAUAGCAGUUUCUAGAUGAAUUUUCCUACAUGUUUGUCCUCAUAUGACCUAGAAUGCUGCCAUAUCAAUUGUAUUGGAAAUUAUUCAAGUGGGUUUGUGCUCUAUACCCCCACCAAAAUUUAAGCAAUCUACAGAACAUUCCUUGUGGAAAGAAACUUAUUUCGCUACUAGGUGGGAGUAGAUUUCUAAGCUAAUGCUCGGCAGAUCUCUAGGCUAUACUAAAAAGUGUAUGCACUUUGACUCUCAAUAUAUACGAGUGAUUCUAUGAUAUGACUGAAAACAUCAGUACAUGCAUGAUUUUAUAAGAAAGAAUAUUCUAAAAUUAUUUAUGUAUCACCAUUUGAAGUUGUACCCUCUCGAAUGAAGGUGCAAUCAGCAACUAAAAUGAAGCCCGAAAUGUACACGCGUGAAGCAGUUUUUCUAGAAGAUUGAUAUUUCUCAAACUAGCAAACCGUACAAGUCCAAAGCUAGAAAAAGGAGUGCUUCUAAGCAGAAAACAUUGAUUAAAACAGAAUGCACACAAACAUACCAGCAAAUUCAAAAUAGAAAAAGGAGUGCAACUGUUCAAGUUUGUGGACAAUAUUGCAACCGUGGCAUAUUUAUAGCAAAUCCUUGAAAUCUGCUAAAUAAACAAUGCCCUGUCUCAUGAAUCAAAGCCGAAUUAAAAUUGAAAUUGAAAGUCCGGCUGGUGUUGUUUCCCUCUCCAGUUUUGCCCACAUAAGUGAAGGGAAAUGAGAAUCAUAAACUAAAAUCUGCUUUUACAGUUCUUAUUAGAUAGAUAUAAAGGGAUCUUUCUUUGUUUCUCUGCUGCAAUUUGUGGCUAUCCCACUCUGUUUUGCCACUCAAGCUUAGUCUACGUUGAGACACAAUUUUGACAUCAGAAGCAACCUCAAUUAGUUUGGCAUUUUUAUGACCUCCUUGUACGUUUUACGAUAAACAUAAAUCUACUGAGAAAGUGGGAAAAAAAGAAAAUGCAUAUAAAAGUAUGAGUUAUCAGACAUGAUUAAAACUCACCCAAUUCAAUCCAUUAGAUUCCGUAAGGAUAUAACUGGAUGUCAUACCGCCAUUCCAUAUCCUCGAAAGUCCGUAGCCUCUGUCUCAACUCUGUCUGAGGCCAAUGUAAAUCCAAUAUGCGCAAGCUCUUUAUGCACCACAGCUCUUCUGGAAGCUUUCUCAAGUAAGCACAAGGGUUGACAAUUAAGCUUUCAAGUUUUGGCAUUGCUCCAGCCCCCAUCGUCCACUCAUCUAGCCAAAACAUUGAUUUCAGGUGCAAAACCUUACGUUCCGGAAAGCAACCAGGGCCAACGCAGGCCAGCUUUCUUCCUAAAUACGAGUUUUGCUUCAGUUUCAGCACUUGAAGGCGUGGAAGCUUUUCCAGCAUUGGCAUGGGAUCCUCCAUUAGCUCAGUAUUCGAUAAGCUCAGAUGGCUCAGACUUGGAGGAAAUUGGUAUUCAGACAGGAUAAUCCGUGAGGGCUUGCUCUCAUUCACCAGCUUCAAGCAUUCAAGUUUGUGCAGUUCGCAUAGGCUUUUGGAAACCCCGGAUUGAUAGUAACUCAAAUCUCCAGAUAUUCUUAGACUUUGGACAAGAUAUUCUUAGACUUUGGACAUUUGGUAGUCUGCCCAAUAUAGCUGGACUGCAACUACUAGGAUGUAAGGCUGAUAAGAAAAUGAGAUUUUUCAGAGAGCUUCAAUAAUUUUUUGGAGGUGCGGGCAGAGUGAUGCAACCGAAGUUUAGAUGCAUGAGUUUUUGCAUCAUCCAAAUAUCCUCUGGUGAAUGAUCUAUGUAGCUAGAUGGCAUUUCUAGCGUUUGAAGGUUUAAAAGGGAGCAUAGCAGUGAAGGAAUGCAUUUGAGCGAAGGGAUAUUCAAUUUCAAAUACUUCAAAAGGAAUAAAUUUUCUAAUCCGGCUGGAUAUUGGUCGAGAACUGCAGAACCCAAGUUCAAUACCCGAAGGUAUUUGAACUUGUCGCAAUCUAUCAGAGCGAGAUGAUCGCUUGCCGAACUGUUAUUCAGAAAAGAUUGGAGAUACAUGUCAGAAUGUCCUAAAGAUAAAAACCCAGUCAGAUCUUGGGCAAUGACGCACCGUUUAACAUUUGCCACUGGCUCCUCUUCCCUGUCACGCAUCCAUACAAAUUCCGUCUUCUCUGCCACCGAGCACAGUAAAGUAAAUUCAAAACCUGGAACAUAAAACGCUUUAAUUGUGCCGCCGGCUCCUCUUACUCACUUGAAUGAAGCCGCAAUGGAUUAGUUCUUUCAAGUAAUGUUCUGCCGUCUCCUCACUGUUGUAUGGUAUGAAACCUUCAGCUACCCACAACUGAUAUAAUUGUCUCGUAGAUAUCUCAAUGUCUGGACGGAAGACAAACAAAUAGGUGUAGCAGACUUUCAAGUGAAAAGGUAACUCCAUCACAGAAUAAAUUUGUCUCCAAAUUGUCCGAAUCGCUUAGGCUUGAAGAUAAUUUUCUAAUGGCAUACUUCCAUAGUGUAGGAUGAAAAAUUGCCAGGCCUCAUACUUUAAUCUGAUCAAUGGUCCUCCAACGAGCACAGAAUCAGGCCGAAUCUUCUCUCCAUUUUCCAUUUCCAACGACACAAGGAGUUCUGGAUCAGUGACUGUUAUCAAUACUCUGCUUCCAUUCUCAUUAUCAGGGAGACCUUCUUCGAGAUCAUCCCAUAUCUCACUGUUAUCGAAGACAUCAUCAAGCACAAUAAAGUACUUCUUGUUUGUUAGGUAAUCUCGAAGAAUAGAUUUCUUCAAUUGAUAAUUGAAAGAGUUUGUAUAUAGUGUUUGGUUUAAGAGAAACUAACAAGAAAAUAAAAGAAAAUCAUAAAGAACCAGAUCUGAAAAUGAUCAUAUUCUCAUUUUUUGACUAAUGAUUACAACUUGUUAUUUAUAGUAAAGAUCAGAGGCGUCACGUAGCUUGUCAGUUUGUUGGAUCUAAUAUGCAUGCAGUACAGUUCGUUAUCUUUGCUGCUGAGCUGGAUAACUAACUCAACACACGUAAGCAUCAGCAGCUCCAUUUAAUCAGAUGCUCUCAUCUAUACCAUAUUAUCAUACUCUAUAACAUCCUCCCUCAAGCUGAACUGACCUGGAUGGACAUUCAGCUUGCUUCUUAGAUAGUGAAACUGAUUGAAGGUUAGUGCCUUGGUAAGAACAUCGGCAUUUUGGUCUUCACUGGGAAUGAACUGAACUGUAAUUUGCUUAGCUGUUACUUUGUCUCUGAUGAAGUGAAUAUCAAGCUCAACAUGCUUAGUUUUAGCAUGAUAAACAGGAUUGUGAGCUAAAGCUAUGGCACUUUGAUUAUCACACCACAUUAUGGGGGCUGUGACAAGAUGAAUAUGUAGCUCUUUCAGUAAGGACUGAAUCCAAGUAACCUCAGCUGUAGCUUGAGCCAAAGCUCUGUAUUCAGCUUCAGUGCUUGAUCUGGAAACUACUGCCUGUUUCUUAGACGACCAAGAAACCAAAUUUGAACCAAGAUAAACAGCAUAACCAGCCACUGAUUUGCGAUCAUCCUUAUCACAUGCCCAAUCUGAGUCACUAAAACAAUUUAUCUGCAUAGUGCCGUAAUGAUAAAAAUGUAAUCCAAAAUGAAUUGUUCCUUUCAAAUAUCUAAGAAGCCUCUUACAAGCCUCCCAGUGCUCUGCUGUUGGUGAAGCUAAAAACUGACUAAGUUUGUUUACAGAGAAAGCUAUUUCUGGCCUAGUGAGAGUCACAUAUUGUAAAGCUCCAACUGCACUUCUAUAUUGAGAACUAUUUGAAAUAACACUUCCUGACCCCUUUGUAAGAUAAUGACCAGUGGCCAUGGGAGUAGGAACUGGACUGCAGUCAGCCAUAUUGUGUUUGGCUAGAAUAUCAGCUAUGUAUUUAGAUUGAGAGAGAUAAAUUCCAGAUGCUGUUUUGGUAACUUCUAUCCCAAGAAAAUAACUCAAUUUGCCCAGAUCCUUCAAAGCAAAAGCAUUUUGCAUAUUGGUAAUCACUUGCUGCACCAUUUGAUCACUUGAGCCUGUUAUGAUUAUAUCAUCCACAUAGACAAGAACAAAAAUUACUUGAUCACCUAUCCACUUGUAGAAAAGGGAGUUGUCUGACCUUGAAUUUUGGAAACCCCAUUUCACAACCAUAGCAUCUUUCAGUCUCUCAAACCAUGCCCUGGGGGCUUGUUUUAAACCGUAGAGAGCCUUUUUCAACUUACAGACAUGAAGAGGUCGAGAUGGAUCAAUGAAGCCCUCUGGCUGCCCCAUGUACACAUCUUCAACUAAUAUGCCAUUCAAAAAGGCAUUAUUCACAUCCACUUGUCUGAGCUCCCAUUUAUUCAUAACUGCCAAACUUAAAAUAACUCUGACUGUGGAUGCUUUAACAACUGGACUGAAUGUUUCUGUGUAAUCAACUCCUUGUGUCUGAUGAAACCCCUUAGCCACUAACCUGGCUUUGUAUCUAGAAAUGGUUCCAUCAGCAUGAUAUUUUAUCUUGAAUAUCCAUUUGUUACCAACUACCUUAACUGGUUCACUUGGCAAAACCAGAUCCCAUGUAUGAUUAUUCUGAAGUGCUUGAAAUUCUUCUUGCAUUGCCUUAAACCAUUUUGGAUUAGAUAAAGCAGCUGAAACAGAAGUAGGUUCUGAAGGUAUGGCUAGUAAAGCAGCUAAAUAAGAUUUAGGCUUAAAUAUACCAGCCUUGGAUCUGGUUAUCAUGGGAUGACCUAUAGGUGGUGCAGCAGGUAAUAUAUGAGGAGGAGAUUGUGUAUGAUGUAUAGGAUGUGUAUGUGAUGUCAAAGUAGAAGAUGAAGAGGAGGUUGAAGAAGGAGAGAAUACCUGUGGAGUGUCAGCAGGUAGGUAAUCACUUGCUAGAGAUUGUUGCAGGGGGGAUUGUACUUGUGGGAUUGGAACAAGAGUAACUUUGGACUCUGAAGAAAUAUCUGAGGGACUGCAAGACUGAGCAAUGGAAGAGAAGUCUAAUCCAGAUACAUAUGGAAAAGAUUGUUCAUCAAAGAUGACAUGAUUGGACACAUACACACGACCAGAUGAAUGAAGACACUGAUACCCUUUAUGAGAAGAGCUAUACCCAAUAAAAACACAUCUGUUUGAUCUAAAACUGAGCUUGUGUCUGUUAUAAGGUCUGAGAUAAGGAAAGCAAGCACAACCAAAGACCCUAAGAGAGACAUAAUCUGGUACUUGCUGAAAAAGUUUUUGGUAAGGUGAAAUGUAUUCAAAGUUGGUGUGGGUAGUCUGUUAAUAAGGAAUACAACAGUAUGAAAGGCAUUCCACCAGAACUUAAGUGGUAAAUUAGCUUGAGCUAACAGAGUGAGGCCAAUGUCCACUAUGUGUCUAUGUUUUCUCUCAAUUCUUCCAUUUUGAUGAUGGAUAUGUGGACAAGGAUGCCUGAACUGAAUUCCAAACUGAGUGAGAUAUGAUGCAAAGGUUCUAAACUCCCCUCCCCAAUCUGUUUGAACUGUUUUGAUGUGUUGUUGUAAGUGUUUUUCAAUAAAAGAUUUGAAUUCUGUGAAAACUUGGAGUGCAUCUGAUUUGGCAGUCAAAGGAAAAAUCCAUGUGAAUCUGCUAAAAUCAUCUAAAAUGGACAAAUAAUAUAUAUAGCCUUGAGUGGAUGCAACAUGUGAUGGUCCCCACAAAUCAGCAUAUAUAAGUUGUAAUGGUGCUGUUGUUUUUGUUGGAAUAGAUCCAAAAUGUAAAAGGUGACUUUUACCAUGUUGACAGGCAUUGCAAAAGUUUGGAGUUUUAUUGAGUACAUUGAAACUAUUACAAGCUUUCAAUACAGAUUUGAGUGUGUGUAAGGCAGGAUGUCCUAGCCUUUUAUGGAAAACAUUGACAUCGACUGAGCUAGUAUUGACAGCCAAGGCUGAUUUACACAGCAAAUGAUGAGACAAAGUACUCUUACUUAUUUCAGGAGAAAUAUCACUAGACAAAGGAGAAUGAAAAGCAAACAAAGACUGAGGUUUAUUGGAAGAAAGUUGACAAGACAAGGCUGAGCUAGUUUCAGAGACUUGAGCUGCAGAUUGGACUUGAUACAAUCCCCCUGUUGCAAUUCCUCUAAGCAAAGUGAUCCCUGAGUUCCUGGCCUUGACAACACAGACAUUUGCAAAAAACUCAAGUGUCACAUUAUUAUCUACUAAGAGCUUUGAAACACUGAGUAAAUUUUUCUUAAUAUUUGGAACAUGAAGAACAUGGUUUAAACACAAGGGUUUAUUUGCAGUAGUAGCUAGCAAUACUGAUCCAAUAUGCUGAAUAUGCAAUGCAGAACCAUUCCCAACAAGCAAUUUGUCAGUUCCAACAUAUGGCUUGAGAUCCAGUAAUUUACCUGGGUCAUUUGUGAUGUGGUUAGUAGCACCACUGUCAAUGUACCAAGCUGGAUCUUCAAUCAUCUCAGGUGCAUGAGCUGGAACAGGGACUGAAGGAGAUCCAGAGUAAUCUCCAGUAGGAGCAAAAGCAUGAGCAGGAGAGUAACCACCAUGAGAAUUAGAUGGUUGAUAAACAUUGAAAGCAGCUGGAUCUGAAUACAUCAAAUGGCCUUGAUAACCAGGUGCUCUUGGUAUGUUGAAAUUACCAAACUGAGAGUUACCAAUUCCAGCACCAUAUUGAGGAUUAAGAUUUCUACCAAAAUUACCAAAAUUUCCAUAAGCCAUAGAAGACCUAUUGCCAUUAGCAUAGCCAAAACCUCUACCAUACUGCCUCUGACCAGGCCUAAAAUUUCCAUUAAAACCACCUCUUCCUUGAUUUCUUGAAGGAACAAAAGCUGAGUUAAACCUAUUCCUGCAUUUAUUGGCACCAUGACCAGGAAUGAAAUAGAUCUGACAUACAAUUUGUGAGAAGUUACCAUCACUAGAUCCAGCUCCAGAAUUAUAACUUCCUCCAUACGAUCCAAUGUUAAACUUCUGAUUACCACUAGUGUUUUUACUAGGAUUGAACUGCUUUUGAGCAACAUUAGCUGACAAGUUAUGUGUAACAUCACUUGCAAUUUUUCCUCUCUUUUGUUCCACAUGAUUUUCAUGACUCAAUAACAAUGAAUAAAACUCAUCAAGACUGAUAUUAUCUCCUCUAGCUAACACAGUAGUAACUAGUGAUUCAUAAUCAGAGGAAUCCAAUCCAGUCAAAACAUGUUGAACGAAAUCAUUCACUUCAACAGGUUUUCCAGCUAAAGCCAAGCUAUCAGAUAUCCUUUUCAUUUUUGCAAAAUAAUCAGUUAUGGACAUCGAGCCUUUUUUAAGAGUUUGGAUUUGCAUUUUUAGAGGCAUUAUUCUAGCUUGUGACUGGGAAACAAACAUACUUGUAAGUGUAUCCAGCAGCUCCUUUGCAGUUGAGCAGUGGAUCACAGUUGUCAACAGAUUCGGCUGAAUAGAUGAGAGCAUCCAGCUCAGAAUCAAUUGAUCCGUCUUUAUCCACAUUGUGUAAGCUGGAUUGAUCUCUUGAUUCUCUGUUCCAGUUGAGAAACCAGCAGCAGAGCUUAUAGCAGAGAAAAAUUUUCCCGGACAGACUUGAUUUCCAUUGAUGAAAUCUUCUAAACCAUUUCCUUUAAUGGAUAUGAGAAUCUGAGUUCGCCAAACAAUGAAGUUAUUAUGAUCUAGUUUUAUCGGAGUAAUAAAACUAUAGGAUCCAGAAUUUUGAUUCGAAUUUGCCAUUUGUUAGCUCUGAUACCAUGAAAGAGUUUGUAUAUAGUGUUUGGUUUAAGAGAAACUAACAAGAAAAUAAAAGAAAAUCAUAAAGAACCAGAUCUGAAAAUGAUCAUAUUCUCAUUUUUUGACUAAUGAUUACAACUUGUUAUUUAUAGUAAAUAUCAGAGGCGUCACGUAGCUUGUCAGUUUGUUGGAUCUAAUAUGCAUGCAAUACAGUUCGUUAUCUUUGCUGCUGAGCUGGAUAACUAACUCAACACACGUAAGCAUCAGCAGCUCCAUUUAAUCAGAUGCUCUCAUCUGUACCAUAUUAUCAUACUCUAUAACAUCCUCCCUCAAGCUGAACUGACCUGGAUGGACAUUCAGCUUGCUUCUUAGAUAGUGAAACUGAUUGAAGGUUAGUGCCUUGGUAAGAACAUCGGCAUUUUGGUCUUCACUGGGAAUGAACUGAACUGUAAUUUGCUUAGCUGUUACUUUGUCUCUGAUGAAGUGAAUAUCAAGCUCAACAUGCUUAGUUUUAGCAUGAUAAACAGGAUUGUGAGCUAAAGCUAUGGCACUUUGAUUAUCACACCACAUUAUGGGGGCUGUGACAAGAUGAAUAUGUAGCUCUUUCAGUAAGGACUGAAUCCAAGUAACCUCAGCUGUAGCUUGAGCCAAAGCUCUGUAUUCAGCUUCAGUGCUUGAUCUGGAAACUACUGCCUGUUUCUUAGACGACCAAGAAACCAAAUUUGAACCAAGAUAAACAGCAUAACCAGCCACUGAUUUGCGAUCAUCCUUAUCACAUGCCCAAUCUGAGUCACUAAAACAAUUUAUCUGCAUAGUGCCGUAAUGAUAAAAAUGUAAUCCAAAAUGAAUUGUUCCUUUCAAAUAUCUAAGAAGCCUCUUACAAGCCUCCCAGUGCUCUGCUGUUGGUGAAGCUAAAAACUGACUAAGUUUGUUUACAGAGAAAGCUAUUUCUGGCCUAGUGAGAGUCACAUAUUGUAAAGCUCCAACUGCACUUCUAUAUUGAGAACUAUUUGAAAUAACACUUCCUGACCCCUUUGUAAGAUAAUGACCAGUGGCCAUGGGAGUAGGAACUGGACUGCAGUCAGCCAUAUUGUGUUUGGCUAGAAUAUCAGCUAUGUAUUUAGAUUGAGAGAGAUAAAUUCCAGAUGCUGUUUUGGUAACUUCUAUCCCAAGAAAAUAACUCAAUUUGCCCAGAUCCUUCAAAGCAAAAGCAUUUUGCAUAUUGGUAAUCACUUGCUGCACCAUUUGAUCACUUGAGCCUGUUAUGAUUAUAUCAUCCACAUAGACAAGAACAAAAAUUACUUGAUCACCUAUCCACUUGUAGAAAAGGGAGUUGUCUGACCUUGAAUUUUGGAAACCCCAUUUCACAACCAUAGCAUCUUUCAGUCUCUCAAACCAUGCCCUGGGGGCUUGUUUUAAACCGUAGAGAGCCUUUUUCAACUUACAGACAUGAAGAGGUCGAGAUGGAUCAAUGAAGCCCUCUGGCUGCCCCAUGUACACAUCUUCAACUAAUAUGCCAUUCAAAAAGGCAUUAUUCACAUCCACUUGUCUGAGCUCCCAUUUAUUCAUAACUGCCAAACUUAAAAUAACUCUGACUGUGGAUGCUUUAACAACUGGACUGAAUGUUUCUGUGUAAUCAACUCCUUGUGUCUGAUGAAACCCCUUAGCCACUAACCUGGCUUUGUAUCUAGAAAUGGUUCCAUCAGCAUGAUAUUUUAUCUUGAAUAUCCAUUUGUUACCAACUACCUUAACUGGUUCACUUGGCAAAACCAGAUCCCAUGUAUGAUUAUUCUGAAGUGCUUGAAAUUCUUCUUGCAUUGCCUUAAACCAUUUUGGAUCAGAUAAAGCAGUUGAAACAGAAGUAGGUUCUGAAGGUAUGGCUAGUAAAGCAGCUAAAUAAGAUUUAGGCUUAAAUAUACCAGUCUUGGAUCUGGUUAUCAUGGGAUGACCUAUAGGUGGUGCAGCAGGUAAUAUAUGAGGAGGAGAUUGUGUACACACUGAUCCAUGUACAACACAUCUCUUGAUUAUCUGUGUGUGUGCUGCUCAUCAAUGAUUAACAAGAUACAGUAGUUUUGUGAAGUCUCAUGUCUUGUGUUACAAAAUUUUGUGAUGGAAAGAAGGAAUAAUUCAACUAAAAAAAAAAAACACACGCGCGCAGCACACACACAGAGGGCCGCAACUAGCCCUUGAACCCCUAUUGAACUCGCACAAGAUACUAUUGAACUAAAUUCAAAAACAGCUGUUAAUAGCAUCUUAAAAUAUGGGUUCUAUCCAUACUCCCACCUGAAUCAUUUCUUGCGGCAUGACUCAAAAAUAACAAUAAGCCUGUCGCACCGAUAACUCAUUAGUGCAAUUUUUUUAACUCAAAAAAUUGAUACGCGUUCAUUUAGCGAAAAGUCCAAGACGCUUGCCUUUUGAAAAGAAGAGGUAUCCAAUAGAUAUCCAACCUUUAUCUUAUUUAAUUACUACCACGACAUGAUUGAUGGUGCUUAAAUCGAUUGUUUCUUUUUUAAUUUAAAGAAUUUUUCAUUAAAAAAUAUUUUAAUAUCAAAUUGCCUUCAAUAGCGUAACUGCCGCAGGCCCAGUAACAAGAUUAAUUAAAAUUUUUUGAAUUUUUGGGCAUGGAAAGAGUAGUAUUAGACUUCAGAAAGCUUAAGGUUGUUAUGUUAAAGAAUUGAUAUUGACAUAAUUUUAUUUUGGUUUUCGGGAAACAAAUUAUUUGUUGACAAGCAAGAAAAUAUUUUUGUAUUUUACAAUUUAUUAUACAUAUUUUAUCAUAUUAAAGUAAUUUUAAUAAUAAAUAGACACAUAAUAUUACAACAAAUAAAGUAAAGUUUAAAUUAUUUUGAAUAUUAUAAAAAUAAUUUUAAUAUUAUUAAUAGGAAGACAUUUUGUUAAUUUUAAAAUCUUUUUAACCUAAAGGUUUAUUUAAAAUCUUUAGAAAUCUCCAUCCCACAUCUACCCUAUUAAACAAGUUGAUGGAAAUUGAACAAUUGCUUUUUGAAGUGGACCCAUUGAGUUAUGUUCAUUACUGGUCAUUGUCUAUUCUUUCUAAGAGCCACUUGUUUUGAGCAUUAGCAAUCCUAUCUGGACUACUCCAAUUAUUGAUGUAACUCCAAUGGUUGCAUCAACAGUUGAAUGUAAGAUAGUGUUAGUUCUUUUUUGAGAAUAUAGAGGGAUCUUUAUUUGUUUCUCCGUUGUAGCGUAUUAGUAUAAAUUUCUUUACCUUACAGUUCCUACAGUCUUCCUGUUAAUGAAUUCGCUGAGGCAUUAUUGAUCCAAUCUCAGUGAAGUAAUUGUGGGUGAAAAAAAAAAAUAAAGGAUAAGAGAACGUAGCUGAAGUGCUGAAUUGACUAUUAAAGAAGAGCGUCACCUGAUCACAAUCACAUUGAUGCACAACUCACUCAGAUCAUUACAACGUCCUUUUCGCUAAUUAAUUAUGAUUAUAUACAUUUUCAUAUGGCAAGUGGCAUUGUAGAUCUAAACUACGUUGCUAUUUCAUUACGUUAAUUAAGUGAUUCUCCUCAUUGUCAUCAGCGCUUUUUGGGCAUGGAAAGAGUAGUAUUAAACAUUAGAAAGCAAAGGUUGUUCUGUCAAAGAAUUGAUAUUGGCAUAAUUUUAUUUUUGCUUUCGAGUAAAAAAAAAAAAAUUGUUGACAAGCAAGAUACUGUUUUUAUAUUUUACAGUCAGUUAUACAUAUUUUAUCAUAUUAAAGUAAUUUUAAUAAUAAAUGGAAACAUAACAUUACAAUAAAUCAAUUAAAGUUUAAAUUAUUUUGAAUAUUAUAAAAAAUAAUUUUAAUAUUAUUAAUAGGAAGAUAUUUUGUUUAUUGUAAAAUCUUUUUAACCCAAAGGUUUAUUUAAAAUCGUUAUAAUAAAUAAAAAUAUAAAAACAAAAUAAAUAUCAUAAUUUAAAAUUUUAAUAUUAUUUUAAAUAUUAAAAAUACUUUAAUGCUAUUAGUCUACUACCCAGGUUAUAUUACGUAUAUUAUAUUUGUAUAAAUUAAAACUUUUAAAGUUAAAUUUUUAAUUACUAUAUUGAAAAGUUAUUAUGGUUAAAAAAAGUUUUGGCAUUUCUUUUUGAAAAUUUGAGGGUCUGCAUGACAAUUUGUCCAAAUCCUAGAGGUAUAGGUGUCUUUUUUUUUUUUCGAUAAUCAUUUUACUUUUGAGGGAAUCCGAUGAGAAAUAAGAUAAGAGAAACGUCAAUUUAAGGUUCUCUAGGGAAAACCAAGAACUAUUCAAUUUUGUAUUUUUUGUUUGUAAAACGAAAAACAGUUUGCCAAAAAAGGUACCAAACAUAUCCUUAAUGUCUCACAUGAUUUCUUAUUAAGUCCAUACUCGAUAUAUUUAUACAUUUUAGGUAUUUUAGUUAUAAAAGAAGUUGGUCCUCCCUUUGUUUAUAAAAGGUAACUUUAUUUCGAGAUUACCACUAAAGUCUUGCAAAGAAUUAGUGUAAUGUUAAGAGAGAAUAACACAGUUUUCCAUUACCAUUUUGAAAAUAGAAAGAUGUGGAUGUGUGCAUUUAAUAUUGCGUUUACUUGCUGGAUUGAGGAAUCGGAAUCUAGAAUCGGAAUGAUUGAUGGUGUUUACUUUGCAAAUAUGGAGCAGGAAUCGGAAUUGGAAUGGUGGGGGCCACCACUAUUUGGGAAUGGGAGAUUGAUUCUCAUGGGGGAAGGUGGGAAUGAGUCUCCCAUUCCCUGGAUUGACCAUUUUGCCCUCCCUCAAAAUUAAAAAUGCCUACUUUGUCCUCUUUUAUAAUUAAUUAAUAUAAUAUUAUAAUUACUUAAUUAAUAUAUAAAUAUUUUAUUAACUAUAAUUAUUAAAAAUUAUAGUUCUUGAAUAAAUAAUCACAAUAAUUAAUUUAUUAUUAUUAUUGUUAUUUUAAUUAAUUAAUUAAUAUACUAUUAUAAUAAUUAUUAAUAUAAUUAAUUUAUAUAUUAUUAUUAUUAUUAAUGAAUUAAUAUAAUUAUUACUAUUAAUUAAUAUAUUAAUAUAUUAUUAACAAUAAUAUAUUAAUAAUUAUUGUUCGUGAAUAAAUAAUCACAAUAAUUAAUAUAUUAUUAUUGUAAUUAAUUAAUUAAUAUACUAUUAUAAUAAUUAUUAAUAUAAUUAUUAUAAUUAAUUCAUAUAUUAUUAUUAAUUAAAUUAAUAUUAUUAAAUAAAUAAAUAAUAUAAUUAUUACUACUAAUUAAUAUAUUAAUAUAUUAUUAAAAAAUAUUAAUAAUUAUAAUUUUUGAAUAAAUAAUCACAAUAAUUAAUAUAUUAUUUUAAUUAAGUAAUUAAUAUUAAUAUUAAUAUUAUUAGUUAAUAUAUUUUUAUAAUAAUUUUUAAUAUAGUUAUUAUAAUUAAUUAAUUUUUUUUACAAUUAAUUAAUAUAUUAGUUAAUAAUAAUUAUGACAAUAAUCCAUUAAGUACUUUUUAGUAAUUUGUUACAAUCUAAUUCAUUCCGAUUCCGAUUUCAAGACAAAGUAAACACAUUAAUGGCAAUUUAGCUCAUUCUGAUUUUGAUUCCUACAGUUCAAGUAAACAACUUAUUUUGAUUCCUAUUACAUAUUCCCAUUCCAACCCAUUCUCAUUUCUGUCCAUUCUCAUUUCUGCCCAUUCCGAUUUUAGCUCAUUCCGAUUUCAGUUUAGUAAACGCAGUAUAAGAGUUAUCAUGAAAAUCAUACAAUUCAAUUUCCUGAAAUAUAUAUUUUAUUCACAUGUGCCAAAAGAAUAAAUAGAUAGAAAGUAAAUUUACAAUCCUCACUCCCUCACAAUUGUUAAAGUGAAUAUGCAUUACAACUGUGAACUGUCACUACUUUAGCCCUUUUUUUUUUUUCAAUUAUAGUGUGAUGGAGACAGUGAACAUUAAGGAUAAAGUGCUCUGCUGAAAGCCAAACUUCCUUUGGCUAAUUAAUUUAGAAGUAAAGCAGAGAAUAAAGUCCUAGAUGCCUUCUGAAAUUAGAAAUACAUUUUAUAUGCUUUAAUUAUGAUUAUUUGGCAGACUAAAGACCUAAAAGAUAUGUCAAAAGUAUGAAACAGAGAGAUUAAAGAAAAAAGAAAAAAAAAAAAAAACAGAGUAUUUGUGACGUAGAAUAACAAUUGGUAAAUAAAUCCUAAAUAUUUGAGUUGUUAAAAGCAAAUAUAACAGAGACGGUAAGAGAGAUGCAGAAACAGAAAACUAUUAGCUUAUCUUGAUUUUCCCACUAUAUUCAUUUUCGAUGCUUUUCAAUCGAGAUUCUUUUAAUUCUUCUGGUGUCUGCAGCCCCGGCUCUUCUUAUAAAUCUCCAUCCCACAUCUGCACUACGAACAAGUUGACUGAAAUUAAAUAAUGUUGGAGAUGAGGGGUGAGCCGUCAACUUGUUAAAAAAAACUCAUGUAUAAUAUUAUCAAUAAUAUAAAAUAUAUAAUAAUUGUUACAAAGAAUCAUAAAUUAGAAAAAUUAAUUAUUUUACAAUCUAUUUCUUAAGUAAGAUAAAUCUUGUAAUAAGUUAAGUUAUAACGUAAAAAAUAUUUUCAAUUUAUAAUCAUUUAAGAAGUCAUUUAACAAUAAAAUCUUUCUUUUGAUCAUGUGGGCAUGCCAUAGAGUAUCAUCUAUAUUCGUGAUGAUAUUAUUAUUACUCAGUAUCCUAAAAAAAACACGAUUUAACAUUUAGAGAAAAUUCCUGCCUUUUAAAAAGAACAUGUAUGCAAUAGCUAGCCAUACUUUAUUUUACCACAACAAAAUUGAUGGUGAUUAAAUCAAUUUUCUCAAUUAAAGCAAAAUUUUAAAAAUUGAUUUAAUGCACAAAUAUGAUGAGUUUUUGUAAAAAUUAGUUUUGGAAAAUAUAGUGAGAGAAAAUGGUGACGAUUAUUUUCAGAUGUGCAAAUAGCCUAAACAUAAUCUCUAAUACCAAUAUCCAUGUGCAUCUUAAUACCUUUCAUGAUAUUCUUUCAUUCAUGGCCAUUUGUUCAAGAUUUGAAUUUGAUUAUUAAAUCAUGUUCAAUAAUGUUAGAGAUCCCAACAAUUGAAUACCAACUUAAAUCCCAAUGCUAUGUGUCAUUAACAAAUGUUGUGUCAUUUAUAAUUAUUGAAUGAAUAAUUCGUUAAUUUAUUGAUAAAUAAAAAUUUAUUAAUUUAAAGAGAGAUACUUCUUCUUUUUUUGUUUUAAGAAGAGUUUUGUUGGUACAUGUACAUACUUAUAAAGAAAUAAACUUGUAAUUAUACUAUAUCUUUCUUUCUUUGUUCAGUUUGGUGGGAUAUUGUGAUAAAUCAUUGGAUUAAAAUACAUUUCUAAAUUAAAACUUGUUAAAAUCUAAUUUAUUUGGGAAACGCAUAUUAUUUGUCAGUUGUACUUCUCAACUUAGCAAGUUAUUUCUAACUUGUCAGUCUCUAUUGGUUCUCUAAAAGCUAAUAGUCUCGAAUCUCCCGCAUUUGAUAUCUUGCCAUUACUGUUGGCAUUUGUUAAGUAUAGCUGAAGCUGGUGACGUGUAUAAGCUGCUGAUGAAGCUGCUGAGUUGGCUGGCUGGUGAUGUGUAUAAACUGAAGGUGCUGAGCUGGAUUGGGUUGUUGUUCACACCAACUAAAGAUGUAACAGAUUAUCCAGCUGGCUUGUUAUGAUUGGAAGUUAGAUUAGUUUGUUAAUACAGCAAACAAUGAGCUCUGUUUUGGUAGUUAGUUUUGAGUGUAACUAUAAAUACUGGCUAACAUGUUUUCAGUGUUAAGCUUGAGUUUUAAUCAAUAAAAAUCAAUUCAGUUAAAGUUUCUUUGUUAACUUUCUUUCACUUUCUCACUUGCCAAACAACCUAUUAAUUCUAAAAUGGUAUCAGAGCUUGCACCUAUGUCAGGAUCUAAUCAUAUAGCUUCCUCAUCACUUUCAUUCAAUUUUGUUCAACCUAUAAAACUCGAUAGAUCAAACUACUUGGUGUGGAAAGCUCAAGUUAGAACAUCGAUCAUUGCUAAUGGACUUGAGAGCUUCAUCAAUGGUGAGAGUGUAUGUCCAAAAUGUUAUCUCAUUGAUUCUAUUCAAGAACUUCAAAGAUCUGGAGCUGAAACAUCACAGAAGCAGGAAAAUCCAGAGUAUAUCUUAUGGAUGAAAACUGACAAACUUCUGCAGAGCUGGAUGCUUUCGUCAAUGGUGGACAAUGUAUUAAUCAUGGUGAUCAAUUGUGAAACAUCACUUGAACUUUCGGAGAUGCUUGCUAGAAUCUUCAUGUCACAAUCCAAAGCGAGAUAUCUGCCUUUGAAGAUGCAGAUUCAAUCAACAAAUAAAGGAUCUCUCUCCAUCAGUGAUUACUUCAAAAGGAUGAAGAAAAUUGCUGAUAGCUUGGCCAUUGGAGGUAAUCCAAUUACUUCGAAUGAACUGAUUAUUCACUUGCUUACUAGAUUGGAUGAAAACUAUGAAUCCAUAGUCACAAAUAUACUUACUAGACUGGAAAAAGAGAGACUUACUGCUGAAGAGGUGUACUCUAUGUUACUUAGUCAUGAAACUAGGUUGGAAAUGAGCAAAGGAAAAUCACAUAAUGAACCUCUGCAUGAUAUGACAUCAAAUUUUGCUCAGAAAGGCCAAGGUUAUAAUACUGGUCCUGGAAGAGAUGUUGUGUGUCAAAUCUGUUACAUUCCAGGCCAUGGAGCUUAUAAGUGUAAACAUAGAUUCAAUCAAGGGUUUAUUCCUAGAAACAAAGGCUUUGGUGGUUUCAGGCCAAGAGGUGGAGGUCAGAAUUAUAGAGGAUUCCCUAGAAAUAAUCAGAAUUAUUUUGGUAGAGGUUCUGGAUACAAUAGUUCUGCUUUUGGAUCUGGAUUCAGACCUAACUUUCCCAGGCAAGCCGGACCUACUGGACCUUUCUUUGGCUAUGUUGCCUAUCAGAAUCCAGGAUUCAUGAAUCCUCAAGGUGCCUUUGACUUUCCAAGUGCAAAUGGUGAUUAUACUGGUGUUCCAACAGCAAACAUGUAUGUUGGAAAUUAUGGCAUUCCUCAUAAUGUCUCUCCCUCUGCACAAUUGGCAAACUUCAGCAAUGUAGCUGAUUCAGCCUGGUACCUUGACUCUAGAGCAACAAAUCACAUUGCUCAAGAUGCAGGUAUACUUUCUAAGUGCUCAACUUACCAUGGCCUUGAAAAACUACAUGUAGGAAAUGGUAUGGGGCUGCCUGUUCAUAAUGUUGGUUUUGUUGCUGUUAAAACCUUGACUACAACACCUAUAUACCUAAAUCAUGUUCUGCAUGUCCCUAAAAUUACUAAAAACCUUAUCAGUGUUUCCAAAUUGCUUGCUGAUAACAAUGUUUUUAUUGAGUUUUACAACCAUGUUUGUUUUGUUAAGGACAAGAAUUCAAGAAUCACAUUGCUCAAGGGGAUUGUUAGAGGAGGUCUUUAUCAAGUUUCAAGCUUAAAUACAGUCUGUGAUAACUCCAGUUCAGUGUUCCCAGUGUCAACCACUUCUGAGUUUGUUUUUACUUCAAUAAGUACAUUCCCAGCAACUCCAGUGUCUAUGUUUACUCAACUAAGUUCAUUUGAUACUAAGUUUCACUCUUGUAUGCUUGUAAAUAAUUCUCAAAUCAAUAAGAAUGUCCCUGUGGCUCACUUUGCUUCAUAUAACAAGCCUAUUGAUUAUAGUUUACUGCACAAAAGAAUGGGUCAUCCAACUACUCAUGCUUUAAAACAGAUCAUGAAAUGCCUGAACUCAAAUUUUAUUCUUCCCAAAGAUUUCACAACACAGUUCUGUGAUGCCUGUCAACUAGGCAAGUGCCAUACGCAGCAUUUUCCCUCCAUAGAAACUUCAACCACUCAGCCCCUUGAAUUACUACAUGCUGACCUUUGGGGACCAGCUCCCAUUACCUCUUCACAAGGUUACACCUACUAUCUAUCUAUCUUAGAUGACUACACUCGAUACACUUGGAUUUUUCCUCUCAUUGCCAAAUCCAAAACCUUGUCAGCCUUUAUUGAAUUCAAAAACAUGAUUGAAAACUGCCUGAACUUGAAAAUUAAAUGUUUACAAACUGAUUGGGGUGGAGAAUUCAGGCCUUUUGUGUCAUAUCUUUCUAACCAGGGUAUACAAUUUUGACAUCCCUGCCCUUAUAUCCAUCAUCAACAUAUUACCUGAGAUUGGGAUUCAUUAAAAUCCUCAAUGUAAUCGGUGGAACGAAUGGAUUUCUUCUGUUCACCAAUCCACCAAAAUUUCUGUAAUUAAAUUCAAGAGUCAAGAUCUAUGCUUAUAAUCUAUUCAACAGCUAAUAUUCUAUUUUAUAUUUACUUAAAUAUGAAGAGCUAUGCUUGUCAUUAACUUCAAAUGUGAUCGAAGCAGCCUUACAUCUGUAUAUUACGUAUUCCCAACUUUUUUUUGACUUCAUUUACUUUCUUUUCAUGUUAUUUACUCUUUUUUCCCCCUCUCUGACAAUUGAGGUAGGGGGUCAAACUUGAAAGUAUCUUAAAAUCAAACAAUUUUUUUUUUAAGAUAGCUGCUAAUAUGCUCUAUUAGACAAUGAUAAGUAAUAACCUAGUUGUUUGCAUUAGAAAUGAUAUUUUUUGUGGUGCUGAUAAAGAGGUUGAUUAUGAUUCAACAAUUUAAAAUAUGAAAACAUGUGGAAGACGGCCGCAAUUAAAUUGAUUGUAUGAAAAUAUUUCAAUGAAAUUUUAAAAAUUUAGUACUUGUUAUCUUAUCGAGAGUUUUUUAAAUUUUUCUACUUGAACUUGACUGCUUUUGUAUUGAAUUCCUAGCGUUGCCAUUGCUUCUACUCAAAAGCCAUUUAGUUACUCAUGAAUUGUUGUUCAUAAUAGCAAUUUGAUUGAAAGUGCGGCUGCACUAAUUUUCUAGAUGAAUUUUUUCCUACAUGCUUGUUCUCGUAUGACCCAAAAUCCUGCUACAUCAGUUGUAUUAGAAAUUAAUCAACUGGGUUACAAUUAUGCAUCCCCACCAAUAUUUAAGCAAUUUAAUUACAGAAACAUUUCUUGAGGAAAGAAACUCAUAUCGCCACUAGGCUUUUAAUGAGGCUCAUUUUUAUGAAUCUGGAUGGCAUUAGAUAUCUCUCCGAAUAUUGGUGGGAGUAGAUAUGCUACAAAGUGUAUGUACGUUGACUCUCAAUAAAUACAAACGAUUCUCUGAUCUGAUUCAAAACAUCAGUACAUGCAUCAUUUUAAUGAGAAAGAAUAUUCUAAGAACGAAAUUGAAGGUGCAAUCAGCAGCUAAAAUGAAGCCAGAAAUGUACACGCAUGAGGAAGUUUUCCAAGAAGAUUGAUAUUUCUUUGACUAGCAAACCAUACAAGUCCAAAGCUAGCUAAACCAUACCUGCAAGUCGGGGGUUUAAAUGGAGUACUUCUAAGCAUAAAACAUUGAUUAAAACAGAAUACACACAUACAUACCAGCAAAUUCAAUAUAGCAAAAGGAGUGCAAAAGUUCAAGUUUGUAGACAACAUUGCAACCAUGGCAUGUUUAUAGCAAAUCCUCGAAAUCUGCUAAAUAAAACAAUGCCCUGUCUCAUGAAUCAAUGCUGAAUUAAAAUUGAAACUGAAAGUCUGGCUGGCGGUGUUUCCCUCUCCAAUUUUGCCUACAUAAGUGAAAAUAAGAAUAAUAAAUGGAAAUCUGCUUUUACAGUUCUUAUUAGAUAGAUAUAAAGGGAUCUUUCUUUGUUUCUCUGCUGUAAUUUGUGGCUAUGCCACUCUGUUUUUCCAGUCAAGCUGAGUCUACGUUGAGACAUAAUUUUGACAUCAGAAGCAACCUCAAUUAGUUUGGCAUUUUCAUGACCUCCUUGAAGGUUUUAUGAUAAACAUAAAUCCACUGAGAAAGUGGGAAAAAAAGAAAAUGCAUAUAAAAGUAUGAGUUAUCAGAUAAGAUUAAAACUCACCCAAUUCAAUCCAUCAGAUUCCGUAAGGAUAUAACUGGAUGUCAUACCGCCACUCCAUAUCCUCGAAAGUCCGUAGUCCUUGUCUCAACUGUGUCUGGGGCCAGUGUAAGUCCAAUUUGCGCAAGCUCUUUAUGCACCACAGCUCUUCUGGAAGCUUUCUCAAGUAAGCACAUGGGUUGACAAUUAAGCUUUCAAGUUUCGGCAUUGCUCCAGCCGCCAUCGUCCACUCAUCUAGCCAAUACAUUGAUUUCAGGUGCAAAACCUUAAGUUCGGGAAAGCUACUCAAGCCAACACAAGCAAGCUUUCUUCCUAAAUACGAGUUCUGCUUCAGUUUCAGCACUCGAAGGCGUGGAAGAUUUUCCAGAAUUGGCAUGGGAUCCUCCAUUAGCUCAGUAUUUGAUAAGCUCAGUUGGAUCAGACUUGGGGGAAAUUGGUAUUCAGACAGGACCAUCCGUGAGGGCUUGCUCUCAUUCACCAGCUUCAAGCAUUCAAGUUUGUGGAGUUCGCAAAGGCUUUUGGAAACCCCAGAUUGAUAGUAACUCAAAUCUCCAGAUAUCCGAAGAGUCCGAACACUAGGUAGUCUGCCCAAUAUAUCAGGAGUACAACUACUAGGGUUUAAAGCUGAUAUGAAAAUGAGAUUUUUCAGAGAGCUAGAAUAAUUUUUUGGAGGUGCGGGCAGAGUGAUGCAACCGAAGUUUAGAUGCAUGAGUUUUUGCAUCAUCCAAAUAUCCUCUGGUGACUGAUCUAUGUAGCUAGAUGGCAUUUCUAGUGUUUCAAGGUUUAAAAGGGUGCAUAGCAGUGAAGGAAGGCAUUUGAGCGAAGGGAUAUUCAAUUUCAAAUACUUCAAAAGAUAUAAAUUUUCUAAUCCGGGUGGAUAUUGGUCCAGGACUGCAGAACCCAUGUUCAAUACCCGAAGGUAUUUGAACCUUUUAAAAAAAUUCUCGCAAUCUUUCGGAUUAAGAUGAUUGCUUUUUGAACUGUGAUUCAGAAAAGAUUGGAGACACAUGUCAGAAUGUUCUAAAGAAAAGAACUCAAUCAGAUCAUCGUCAAUGACGCACCGUUUAACAUUUGCCACUGAUUCCUCUUCCACGUCAUGCAUCCAGACAAAUCCCGUCUUCAUUGCCACAAUAUACAAUGAAGUGUAUACAAAACUUGGAACAUAACACGCUUUAAUUGUGCCUCUGGCUCUUCUCUUACUCACUUGAAUGAAGCCGCGAUGGAUUAGUUCUUUCAAGUAAUGUUCGGCAGUUUCUUCACCGUUGUAUGGUAUGAAACCUUCAGCUACCCACAACUGAUAUAAUUGCUCCGUAGAUAUCUCAAUACUUGGAGGGAAGACAUACAAAUAGAUGCAGCAGACUUUCAAGUGAAAAGGCAACUCCAUCACAGAAAAAAUUUGUCUCCAAACUGUCAGAACCACUUCGCCUUGAAGAUAAUUUUCUAAUGGCAUACUUCCAUAGUGUAGGAUGAAAAAUUGCCAGGCCUCAUGCUUUAAUCUGAUCAAUGGUCCUCCAAAGAGCACUGAAUCACGCCGAAUCUUCUCUUCAUUUUCCAUUUCCAACGACGCAAUGAGGCCCGGAUCAGUGACUGUUAUCAAUACUCUGCUUCCAUUCUCAUCACCAGGAAGAAGUUCUUCGAGAUCACUCCAUAUCUCACUGUUAUCGAAGACAUCAUCAAGCAAAAUAAAGUACUUCUUGUUUGUUAGGUAAUCUCGAAGAAUAGAUUUCUUCAAUUGAUAAUCUUCACCGAUAAUUACACUAACCCGAGAUGGAGGCAUCACAGACUUGAUUAUGUCAUCCAACAUCUUGCCAAAAUCAUAGAAUAUAGAAACCCUGACCCAAGCAAGACAGUCAAAAUAGAACUUGACAUGGUUAUUAUUGUAAGUAUCUUCUGCAAAAGCAGUCUUAUCGAAGCCACUGCUGUCGAGAAUUGUAACCACUGCAAGCCGAGGGCGUCCUUCAAUCAAUAAAUCAAACAACUCCUCCCUGCCCCUUUCAAAUUCAUUGAUAUCAAGCCGAGGUUGUCCCUCACUCAAUAGGUGAAUGAUUUCGUUACUUUUUUUACUGAUAUCAAAACCAUUGUCGCCGGGUGGAAGUUGUUGCAUCCGAUUACUAAUAUCAAUGAUUUUACUGUGGAGACCAGCAAGAAGAGCCAUAUUAGUACUGCUUUCACUUUCGUUUUCACUGUUUUGCUGCUGCAUAAUGUUGAUGAAGAAUGUGUCAAUGGCUUCCUCAGAUUCAUGGACAAAGUCAUUGAUGUCCUUCACAAUGCCCAAAAGGUCCGCUCUUUCAACUUCUUCUUCAUCGCUUUCUUCUAAGUCCAACAGUUGCAAAAAAGGCAAAGAUAUUUUGGAGUCAUCGAAUUCUUCUCUAAUGAGUUGAAAGAAAUGCCGAGCCAUGUCAGCUUCAUAUUUUCCCAGCAGGGUAGUAGCAAUAAUUUCGGACUCCGUAAGAAGGUUUUGAAAAAGUGGGGUUAAAUUUGUUGAAUCAGGCAGCGUUAACGGGCCUUCUUCACCUGCUAACACCCUUUUCAACCUCUCACAAAACAGUCGGAGGUGGAAUUCCAGCAUAUCUCCUUCUCUCCGUAGCACUCAGAGGUAUAGCUGAAAGAUUAAACACCAUGGAAGAAUUUGAAAGGAAAAUGCCAAGACAUUAUUGCUCAUUUUUUAACUCAAAAGAUUGAUACGCGUUCAUUUAGAGAAAAGUCCAAGACGCGUGCCUUUUGAAAAGAACAGGUAUCCCAAUCGGUAUCCGACCGAUAUCUUAUUAAAUUACAACCAUGACAUAAUUGAUGGUGCUUAAAUCAAUUGUUUCUUUUUUAAUUUAAAGAAUUUUUCAUUAAAAAAAUAUUUUAAUAUCAAAUUGCUUUCAGUGGCGUAACUGCCUCAAGCCCAGUAACAGGACUAAUUAAAAAUUUUACAAUUUUUGGGCAUGGAAAUAGUAGUAUUAAACAUUAGAAAGGUAAGGUCGUUCUGUUAAAGAAUUGAUAUUGACAUAAUUUUUUUUGGUUUUCGGGGGAAAAAAAAUUGUUGACAAGCAAGAAAAUAUUUUUAUAUUUUAUAAUUUAUUAUACAUAUUUUAUCUUAUUAAAGUAAUUUUAAUAAUAAAUAGAAACAUAAUAUUACGAUAAAUAAAUUAAAGUUGAACUUAUUUUGAAUAUUAUAAAAAAUAAUUUUAAUAUUAUUAAUAGGAAGACAUUGUAUUAAUUUUAAACUUUUUUAACCCAAAGGUUUAUUUAAAAUCUUUAUUAGAAAUACAAAUAUAAAAUUAAAUAUCAUAAUUUAAAAUUUUUAAUAUUAUUUUAAGUAUUAAAAAUAUUUUAAUGUUAUUAGUCUACUACAUAGAUCAUAUUACUUAUAUAAUAUUUGUAUUAUUAAAAAUUGUUAAAAUCAAAUUUUUAGUUAGUAUAUUCAUGAGCUAUUAUGGUUAAAAAAAAAAAGACCUUAUUAUUACUUUUUUAAAAAUUGAGGGCCUGCGUGAUAAUUUUUUCAAAAAGAAAAUGCUUGGUAUGUAGGAGGGGUACAGAAACAGGACUCCCAAAAUCUCUCACCCUUUUUUAAUUAAAAAAAAAAAUUAAAAUAUCAAUAAAAAGUAAUAAAGAAAAUAGAAUUUUAUCUGCUCCUUACUCCAUUUUUGCAACUCUCUCACCAUCCCUAUCGAGCAGCCCUCUCUCUCACUGUCUCACUCACACAGUCCUUUUCACGAUUUGAAAUUCUUUGGCCCUCUGCAUUACAAGAAAUUAACGCUUUGGUUCUCCCAAGGGUAGAUUGGUUUUAUUGGGAAGCUAUUAAUUUUUUUUUUUUUUGAAUACUGAUUAAUCAUCAGAUUACUGCAUUACACAGAUAUUUACAACAACUGCUAUUGUAGCAGAGAUAUUAUACUGAUAUUUACAAUCAGAUAUACAUAAUUGGGACUUAUAUUAUGACAUUGAAUUCUAUGAAGUACAUGCCCAAACAAAUAACCCCUCACAGGAGAGGGAUGUCCAUACUCCACUCGCAUUUCGCAAGGGAGAAUGAUUUUUUGGAAGUAUAAAGAACAUUUAGCCCCCACAAUACUUUUGUGGGGGCUAGAACCGCUGCAGCAUUGUGAGGGCAGCAGCCCACCACUUCGGCCUUGGCCGAAGUGGCGGGAAGCUAUUAAUUAGAAGGAGGAAAAAGGACUAUAUUUAGAAUAUGAUUUGUUGGAGAAUCUCAGAGUUAGUCAAUUUUCAAGCCACACUUUCAAUAGCCAAUUGAUUUAGUAACCAUUAAUUACUUUAAUUUCCAUAAAUUGUAAUGACAGUGCAAAUGCAUCUGGUUGUGAUAGCUAAGGGUUAGCUUGAAGAAUUAAAUUUCAUAAGAUAUUACUGGAAAAUGCUUUGCAGAUAACGUGCUGCUUCCUUUGCUAGACUACAAUUUCAAAAAUCUCACGAGUUUUCCAUUGUUGUCACAAACCGAGAAAUUAUAAAAUACAUGGCCUGGUUCUUUGGCAAUGACCAUCUCAUCGUCGGCGGUCGUGUCGUCAUUGUCACUGUUCUUGCUCGACCGAGACAGUGAGAGAGAGGUUUGUUAGAUGGAGUUAGUGAGAGAGAGUUGUAAAGAUGGAAUGAUGAUAAAAGGAUUCUAUUUGUUUUUAUUGUUUUUUAUUAAUAUUUUAAUUUUUUAAAUUAAAAUGUGCUGCCGUUUCUCUAGCCUUUUUAGCUGCUUAACUUAACAGUAUUCUUUUCAAAAUUUAAGAAUGUAGUAGGUGUCCUUUUCUCUAAUAAUUUAUUUCAUUUUUAGGGAAUCCAAUGAGAAAUAUGAUAAAAGAACGUCAAUUACUUGUCGUUUUCAAUUUUUUCUAUAAGCUAUUUAUUUUGAGCAUUAGUGAUCUUGUCUGGACUACCCCAAUUAUUGACGUAACUCCAGUGGCUGCAUCCACUGGAAAAAGUGGAUGAGACCAUUUUUUUUUUCAUAAAGGUAACUACUCCAAUUAUUGACAUAAUUGAUGGUGCUUAAAUCAAUUUUUUCUUUCUUUUUUUUAAUUUAAAGAAUUUUGCUUUAAAAAAUAAUUAAUAUCAAAAUGCCUUCAAUGUUGUUACCGCCACAAGCCCAGUUAGAGGACUCAUUAAAAAUUUUAGAAUUUUUAGGCCUGGAAAGCAUAGUAUUAAACAUCAGAAAGCAAAGGUUGUUAUGUCGAAGAAUUGAUGUCGACAAAAUUUUAAUUUUGUUUUCGGAAAAAAAAAAAAAUUUUGUUGACAAGCAAGAAAAUAUUUUUUAUACUUUACAAUCUGCUAUACAUAUUUUAUCAUAUUAAAGUAAUUUUAAUAAUAUAUGGAAACAUAAUAUUAUAAUAAAUAAAUUAAAAUUACUUUGUAUUAUUGAAUAUUACAAAAAGAUAAUUUUAAUAUUAUUAAUAGGAAAACAUUUUUUAAUUGUAAAAUCUUUUUAAUACAAAAAUUCGUUUAAAAUCUUUAUAAUAAAUACAAAUAUAAAAUUAAAAAAUAUCAUAAUUUAAAAUUUUUAAUAUUAUUUAAAUAUUAAAAAUACUUUAAUGUUAUUAGUCUACUACAUAAAAUAUAUUAUUUAUAUUAUAUUCGUAUUGAUUAAAACGUUUUAAAGUCAAAUUUUUAAUUAGUGUAUUCAAAGGUACAAAAGAUUUAAGUAUUAUUUUUUAAAAAUUUCAAGAUACGAAUGAUAAUUUUUUCAAAUUUUAAAGAUGUAAAAAUCUUUUUUUCUGAUAAUUUAUUUCACUUUUGAGAGAAUCCGAAAACGUUAAUUUAACAUUCUUUACCUUUGUAAAAAAAGUGAAAAUCAAGAACUAUUCAAUUUUGUUUUUAUUUGUAAUUCAAAAACUUUAUUCAUUUUCGAUGCUUUUCAAAAGAGAUUCCUUUAAAUGUCUGCAGCUCCUGCUUUUCUCAUAAAUCUCCAUCCCACAUCUACACUAUCAAGUAUCAAACAAGUUGAUGGAAAUUCUUAUAAAAAAAAAAAAAAAAUUGAUGGAAAUUGAUCAAUUGCUUUUUGAAGUGGACCCAUUGAGUCAUGUUCAUUUCUGGUCAUUGUCUACUCUUUCUAUCAGCCAUUUAUUUUGACCAUUUGCGAUCUUAUCUGGACCUACUCCAAUUAUUGUUGUAACUCCGAUGGUUGUAUCUACAGUGGAAUGUAAGAUAGUGAAAGCUCUUUCUUUGAGAAAAUAGAGGGACCUUUCUCUGUUUCUCCGUUGCAACGUGCUCGUAUAAAUUUCUCUACCUUACAGUUUAUACGGUCUUGCUGUUAAUGAAUUCGCUGAGGCAUUAUUGAUCCAAUCUGAGUGAAGUAAUUGUGGGUGAAAAAUAAAUAAAGGAUAUGAGAACGUAGCUGAAGUGCUGAAGGGGCUAUUAAAGAAGAGUGUCACUUGAUCACAAUCACAUUGAUGCACAACUCACUCGUGGCAAAUUUCGACUAUACGUUCUGCAAAUUCAGCCAAACCAUACAUGCAUGAACAAAACUAAAAUGUAGUUCUAAUCACAACUGCAGUUAUGAUGUUUACCUCUCUGAUUUUUCUCCAAAACAAAUUCAGUUCAAAACAAUAAUCAAAAUAGCCACAUUUUGUUCGUCAAAAUAAAUGCCCAAAUUUUCAAUUAACAAAUCAUCUUCUCUAAACUAAAAAGCCCACAUCUCUAAAAUCAAUCUACAUAAUGUUGGAGAUGAGGGUUGAAUUGUUAACUCAGUAAAAAAAAAAAAACUCAUGCAUAAGAUUACUAAUAAUAUAAAUUAUAUAUUAAUCAUUAUAAAGAAUCAUAAAUUAGAAAAAUUAAUCAUUUUAUAAUUUAUUACACAAGUAAGAUAAAUCUCAUAAUAAGUUAUAACAUAAAAAACGUUAUCAAUAUAUAAUCAUUUAAGAAGUCAUUUAACAAUAAAAUCGUUCUUUGAUCAGUUGGCCAUGUCACAUAGUAUCAUCUAUAUUUAUGGUGAUACUAUUAUUACUCAGUAUUCUCAAAAAACAUGAUUUAACAUUUAGAGGAAAUUCUUGCCUUAAAAAAAAAACAUGUAUGCAACAGCUACCCAUGCUUUAUCUUACCAUGACAAAUAUUUUCUCAAUGAAAGAAAUUUUUUAAAAAAUUGAUUUAAUGCACAAAUAUGAUGAUUUUUGCAAAAAUUAGUUUUGGAAAACAUAGUGAGAGAAAAUAGUGACGAUUAUUGUUUAAAUGUAUAAAUAGCCUAAACAUAAUCCUUAAUACCAAUAUCCAUAUGCAUCUUAUCAUCUUUCAUGAUAUUCUUUCAUUUAUGUCCAUUGGUUCAAGAUUUGAAUUUGAUCAUUAAAUCAUGUUCAAUAAUAUUAGAGAUUCCAACAAUUGAGUACCAACUUAAAUCCCAAUGUUAUGUGUCAUUGACCAAUUUUGUGUCAUUGACCAAUUUUGUUAUUAACUAGGUGAUGAAUUUCUAGUUGAUAAAAUCACUUAAAAAUAUCUUAAAAAUUAGACAAUAGUUUGCUUAAUUUUUCCAAGUUAACUGCUCAAGAUGCUCUAUUAGAAAUGAUAACCUAAUUAUAUACAUAAAAAAUGAUGGAAAUUGAACAAUUGCUUUUUGAAGUGGACCCAUUGAGUUAUGUUCAUUACUGGUCAUUGUCUAUUCUUUCUAAGAGCCACUUGUUUUGAGCAUUAGCAAUCCUAUCUGGACUACUCCAAUUAGGAUAGUGUUAGUUCUUUUUUGAGAAUUUCUUUAUUUGUUUCUCCGUUGCAGCGUAUUAGUAUAAAUUUCUUUACCUUACAGUUCCUACAGUCUUCCUGUUAAUGAAUUCGCUGAGGCAUUAUUGAUCCAAUCUCGGUGAAGUAAUUGUGGGUGAAAAAAAAAAAAAAGGAUAAGAGAACGUAGCUCAAGUGCUGAAUUGACUAUUAAAGAAGAGCGUCACCUGAUCACAAUCACAUUGAUGCACAACUCACUCGAGGCAAAUUUCAUCUAUAAAUAAAAGAUCCCUUACUAUUCUCUUAACCCUGAGUUUUGAGAUAGAAAUUUCCCGAACUCCAACCCCACAUCCACAGACAAGUUGAUUGAAACAAUUGCUCUUGUAAUUAAGAGGAUGGGUUAGGGUUCAGUUCUUAUCAUUGUCUGUUAUUUCUUUGAAUCAUUAUCUUAAUUAAUUACAUCAAUUGUUUCUUUUUUUUAAUUUAAAGAAUUUUUCUUUAAAAAAAUAUAUUUUAAUAUCAAAAUGCCUUAAAUGGUAUUACUGCCGCAAUCCCAGUAACAGGAUUAAUUAAAAAUUUUAGAAUUUUUGGGCAUGGAAAGAGUAGUAUUAAAUAUCAGAAAGCUAAGGUUGUUCUGUCAAAGAAUUCAUAUUGGCAUAAUUUUAUUUUUGCUUUCGAGUAAAAAAAUAUAUAUAUAUAUAUUUGUUGACAAGCAAAAUACUGUUUUUAUAUUUUACAAUCAGUUAUACAUAUUUUAUCAUAUUAAAGUAAUUUUAAUAAUAAAUGGAAACAUAACAUUACAAUAAAUCAAUUAAAGUUUAAAUUAUUUGGAAAAUUAUAAAAAAUAAUUUUAAUAUUAUUUAUAGGAAGAUAUUUUGUUUAUUGUAAAAUCUUUUUAACCCAAAGGUUUAUUUAAAAUUGUUAUAAUAAAUAAAAUAUAAAAACAAAAUAAAUAUCAUAAUUUAAAAUUUUAAUAUUAUUUUAAAUAUUAAAAAUACUUUAAUGCUAUUAGUCUACUACAAAGGUUAUAUUACUUAUAUUAUAUUUGUAUAAAUUAAAACUUUUAAAGUUAAAUUUUUAAUUACUAUAUUGAAAAGGUAUUAUGGUUAAAAUAUGUUUUGGCAUUUCUUUUUAAAAAUUUGAGGGUCUGCAUGACAAUUUGUCCAAAUCCUAGAGGUAUAGGUGUCUUUUUUUUUCGAUAAUUCAUUUUACUUUUGAGGGAAUCCGAUGAGAAAUAAGAUAAGAGAAACGUCAAUUUAACGUUCUCUAUGGAAAACCAAGAACUAUUCAAUUUUGUAUUUUUUGUUUGUAAAACGAAAAACAGUUUGCCAAAAAAGGUACCAAACAUAUCCUUAAUGUCUCACAUGAUUUCUUAUUAAGUCCAUACUCGAUAUAUUUAUACAUUUUAGGUAUUUUAGUUAUAAAAGAAGUUGGUCCUCCCUCUAUUUAUAAAAGGUAACUUUAUUUCGAGAUUACCACUAAAGUCUUACAAAGAAUUAGUGUAAUGUUAACAGAGAGUAACAUAGUUUUCCAUUACCAUUUUGAAAAUAGAAAGAUAUGGAUGUGUGCAUUUAAUGGUGUGUUUACUUACCGGAUUGAGGAAUCAGAAUCUGGAAUUAGAAUGAUUGAUGGUGUUUACUUCGCAAAUAUGGAGCAGGAAUCGGAACUGGAAUGGUGGGGCCCACCACUAUUUGGGAAUGAGAGAUUGAUUCCCAUGGGGGAAGGUGGGAACGAGUCUCCCAUUCCCUGGACUGACCAUUUUGCCCUCCCUCAAAAUUAAAAAUGCCUACUUUGUCCUCUUUUAUAAUUAAUUAAUAUAUAAAUAUUUUAAUAACUAUAAUUAUUAAAAAUUAUAGUUCUUGAAUAAAUAAUCACAAUAAUUAAUUUAUUAUUUUUAUUUUUAUUUUAAUUAAUUAAUAUACUAUUAUAAUAAUUAUAAAUAUAAUUAAUUUAUAUAUUAUUAUUAUUAUUAAUGAAUUAAUAUAAUUAUUACUAUUAAUUAAUAUAUUAAUAUAUUAUUAAAAAUAAUAUAUUAAUAAUUAUUGUUCGUGAACAAAUAAUCACAAUAAUUAAUAUACUAUUAUUUUAAUUAAUUAAUAUAAUUAAUUUAUAUAUUAUUAUUAUUAUUAAUGAAUUAAUAUAAUUAUUACUAUUAAUUAAUAUAUUAAUAUAUUAUUAAAAAUAAUAUAUUAAUAAUUAUUGUUCGUGAACAAAUAAUCACAAUAAUUAAUAUACUAUUAUUUUAAUUAAUUAAUAUACUAUUAUAAUAAUUAUUAAUAUAAUUACUAUAAUUAAUUCAUAUAUUAUUAUAAUUAAUUAAUUAAAUUAAUAUUAUUAAAUAAAUAAAUAAUAUAAUUAUUACUACUAAUUAGUAUAUUAAUAUAUUAUUAAAAAUAAUUAUAAUUUUUGAAUAAAUAAUCACAAUAAUUAAUAUAUUAUUUUAAUUAAGUAAUUAAUAUUAAUAUUAUUAGUUAAUAUAUUUUUAUAAUAAUUUUUAAUAUAGUUAUUAUAAUUAAUUAAAUUUUGUUACAAUUAAUUAAUAUAUUAGUUAAUAAUAAUUAUGACAAUAAUCCACUAAGUAUUUUUGAGUAAUUUGUUACAAUCUAAUUCAUUUUGAUUCCGAUUUCAAGACAAAGUAAACACAUUAAUGACAAUCUAGCUCAUUCCGAUUUCGAUUCCUACAGUUCAAGUAAACAACUUAUUUUGAUUUUCAUUACCUAUUUACAUUCCAGCCCAUUCUCAUUUCUUCCCAUUCUCAUUUCUGCCAAUUCCAAUUCCAGCUCAUUCCGAUUCCAGUUUAGUAAACGCAGCAUAAGAGUUAUCAUGAAAAUCAUACAAUUCAAUUUCCUGAAAUAUAUAUUUUAUUCACAUGUGCCAAAAGAAUAAAUAGAUAGAAAGUAAAUUUACAAUCCUCACUCCCUCACAAUUGUUAAAGUGAAUAUGCAUUACAACUGUGAACUGUCACUACUUUAGCCCCUUUUUUUUUUUCAAUUAUAGUGUGAUGGAGACAGUGAACAUCAAGGAUAAAGUGCUCUGCUGAAAGCGGAACUUCCUCUGGCUAAUUAAUUUGGAAGUAAAACAGAGAAUAAAGUCCUACAUGCCUUCUGAAAUUAGAAAUACAUUUUAUAUGCUUUAAUUAUGAUUAUUUGGUAGACUAUUGACCAAAAGACAUGUUAAAGUAUAAAACAGAGCGAUUAAAGAAAAAAAAAGGAGUGUUUGUGACGUAGAAUAACAAUUUGUAAGUAAAGUCCUAAUUUGAGUUGUCAAAAAGCAAAUAUAACAGGGAAGGUAAGAGGGAUGCAGAAACAGAAAACUAUUAGCUUAUCUUGAUUUUCCCACUAUAUUCAUUUUCGAUGCUUUUCAAACGAGAUUCUUUUAAUCCUUCUGGCGUCUGCAGCCCCUGGUCUUCUUAUAAAUUUCCAUCCCACAUCUGCACUAGGAACAAGUUGAUUGAAAUUAAAUAACAUUGGAGAUGACGGACAGAUGAGCCGUCAACUUGGUAAAAAAACUAUGUUAAUAUUGUUAAUAAUAAAAAAAAAUAUAAUAAUCAUUACAAAGAAUCAUAAAUUAGAAAAAUUAAUUAUUUUACAAUCUAUUUCGUAAGUAAGAUAAAUCUUGUAAUAAGUUAAGUUAUAACGUAAAAAAUAUUUUCAAUUUAUAAUCAUUUAAGAACUCAUUUAACAAUAAAAUCUUUCUUUUGAUCAAUUGGUCAUGCCACAGAGUAUCAUCUAUAUUCGUGGUGAUAUUAUUAUUACUCCGUAUUCUCAAAAAACACGAUUUAACAUUUAGAGAAAAUUCCUACCUUUUAAAAAGAACAUGUAUGCAACAGCUACCCAUACUUUAUCUUACCACGACAAAACUAAUGGUGACUAAAUCAAUUUUCUCGAAUAAAGCAAAAUUUCUUAAAAUUAAUUUAAUAUACAAAUAUGAUGACAUUUUGCAAAAAUUAGUUUUGGAAAAUAUAGUGACAAAAAAUAGUAAUGAUUAUUGUUUAGAUGUGUAAAUAGCCUAAACAUGAUCCCUAAUACCAAUAUCCACGUACAUCUUAACACCUUUCGUGAUAUUCUUUCAUUCAUGGUCACUGGUUCAAGAUUUGAAUUUGAUCAUUAAAUCAUGUUCAAUAAUAUUAGAGAUCCCAACAAUUAAGUACCAACUUAAAUCCUAAUGCUAUGUGUCAUUGACAAAUGUUGUGUCAUUUUUUGUUAACUGAGUGAUGAAUUUCUAGUUGAUAAAAUUACUUAAAAAUAUCUUAAAAAUCAGACAAUAGUUUGCUUAAUUUUUUGAAGCUAACUGCUCAAGAUGCUCUAUUAGAAAUGAUAACCUAAUUAUAUACAUAAAAAAUGAUGUAUUUUUUGCGGUGUUGAUAGUGAGAUUAUCAUUCAACAUGUUAAAAUAUGAAAACAUAUGGAAGAAGGUUGUAAAUUGAUUGAAUGAAAAUAUUUCAGUGAAGUCUAAAAAAUUUGGUACUUGUUAUCUUAUCGAAAGUUUUCUAAAUUACAUUCGUGGCACUGCCACUGCUUCCAUGUGAAGGUCAUUAAAAUUUGUGUUAGUUACCUAUAUGUUGAAUAAUAAUUUUAUUCAUGAAUUGUUGCUCAAUAUAGCAGUUUCUAGAUGAAUUUUCCUACAUGUUUGUCCUCAUAUGACCUAGAAUGCUGCUAUAUCAAUUGUAUUGGAAAUUAUUCAAGUGGGUUUGUGCUCUAUACCCCCACCAAAAUUUAAGCAAUCUACAGAACAUUCCUUGUGGAAAGAAACUUAUUUCGCUACUAGGUGGGAGUAGAUUUCUAAGCUAAUGCUCGGCAGAUCUCUAGGCUAUACUAAAAAGUGUAUGCACUUUGACUCUCAAUAUAUACGAGUGAUUCUAUGAUGACUGAAAACAUCAGUACAUGCAUGAUUUUAUAAGAAAGAAUAUUCUAAAAUUAUUUAUGUAUCACCAUUUGUAGUUGUACCCUCUCGAAUGAAGGUGCAAUCAGCAACUAAAAUGAAGCCCGAAAUGUACACGCGUGAGGCAGUUUUUCUAGAAGAUUGAUACUUCUCAAACUAGCAAACCGUACAAGUCCAAAGCUAGAAAAGGAGUGCUUCUAAGCAGAAAACAUUGAUUAAAACAGAAUACACACACACAUACCAGUAAAUUCAAAAUAGAAAAAGGAGUUCAACUGUUCAAGUUUGUGGACAAUAUUGCAACCGUGGCAUAUUUAUAGCAAAUCCUUGAAAUCUGCUAAAUAAACAAUGCCCUGUCUCAUGAAUCAAAGCCGAAUUAAAAUUGAAAUUGAAAGUCCGGCUGGUGUUGUUUCCCUCUCCAGUUUUGCCCACAUAAGUGAAGGGAAAUGAGAAUCAUAAAUUAAAAUCUGCUUUUACAGUUUUUUAUUAGAUAGAUAUAAAGGGAUCUUUUUUGUUUCUCUGCUGCAAUUUGUGGCUAUCCCACUCUGUUUUGCCACUCAAGCUUAGUCUACGUUGAGACAUAAUUUUGACAUCAGAAGCAACCUCAAUUAGUUUGGCAUUUUUAUGACCUCCUUGUACGUUUUACGAUAAACAUAAAUCUACUGAGAAAGUGUGAAAAAAAGAAAAUGCAUAUAAAAGUAUGAGUUAUCAGACAUGAUUAAAACUCACCCAAUUCAAUCCAUUAGAUUCCGUAAGGAUAUAACUGGAUGUCAUACCGCCACUCCAUAUCCUCGAAAGUCCGUAGUCUUUGUCUCAACUCUGUCUGAGGCCAAUGUAAAUCCAAUUUGCGCAAGCUCUUUAUGCACCACAGCUCUUCUGGAAGCUUUCUCAAGUAAGCACAUGGGUUGACAAUUAAGCUUUCAAGUUUUGGCAUUGCUCCAGCCCCCAUCGUCCACUCAUCUAGCCAAUACAUUGAUUUCAGGUGCAAAACCCUAAGUUCCAGAAAGCAACCAGAGCCAACGCAGGCCAGCUUUCUUCCUAAAUACGAGUUCUGUUUCAGUUUCAGCACUUGAAGGCUUGGAAGCUUUUCCAGCAUUGGCAUGGGAUCCUCCAUUAGCUCAGUAUUCGAUAAGCUCAGAUGGCUCAGACUUGGAGGAAAUUGGUAUUCAGACAGGACAAUCCGUGAGCGCUUGCUCUCAUUCACCAGCUUCAAGCAUUCAAGUUUGUGGAGUUCGCAUAGGCUUUUGGAAACCCCAGAGUGAUAGCAACUCAAAUCUCCAGAUAUCCGAAGAGUUUGAACAUUAGGCAGUCUGCCCAAUAUAUCUGGAGUACAACUACUAGGGUGUAAGGCUGAUAUGAAAAUGAGAUUUUUCAGAGAGCUGCAAUAAUUUUUUGGAGGUGCAGGCAGAGUGAUGGAACCGAAGUUUAGAUGCAUGAGUUUUUGCAUCAUCCAAAUAUCCUCUGGUGAAUGAUCUAUGUAGCUUGAUGGCAUUUGUAGUGUUUGAAGGUUUAAAAGGGUGCAUAGCAUUGAAGGAAGGCAUUUGAGCGAAGGGAUAUUCAAUUUCAAAUACUUCAAAAGGAAUAAAUUUUCUAAUCCGGGUGGAAAUUGGUCGAGAACUGCAGAACCGAAGUUCAGUACCCGAAGGUGUUUGAACUUUUUACAAAAAUUCUCGCAAUCUAUAAGAGCGAGAUGAUCGCUUUCUGAACUGUGAUUCAGAAAAGAUUGGAGAUACAUGUCAGAAUAUUCUAAAGAAAGGAACUCAAUCAGAUCUUCCAAAAUGAAGCACCGUUUAACAUUUGCCAGUGAUUCCUCUUCCAUGUCAGGCGUCCAGACAAAUCUCGUCUUCUCUACUACCAAAGCCAAUAACGUAUAUACAAAACUUGGAACAUAACACGCUUUAAUUGUGCCGCCGGCGCUUCUCUUACUCACUUGAAUGAAGCCGCGAUGGAUUAGUUCUUUCAAGUAAUGUUCGGCAGUUUCUUCACCGUUGUAUGGUAUGAAACCUUCAGCUACCCACAACUGAUAUAAUUGCCUCGUUGAUAUCUCAUUGCAUGAAAGGAAGACACACAAAUAGAUGCAGCAGAUUUUCAAGUGAAAAGGUAACUCCAUCACAGAAAAAAGUUGUCUCCAAACUGUCGGAAUCGUUUCGCCUUGAAGAUAAUUUUCUAAGGGCAUACUUCCAUAGUGUAGGAUGAAAAAUUGCCAGGCCUCAUGCUUUAAUCUGAUCAAUGGUCCUCCUACGAUCACUGAAUCAAGCCGAAUCUUCUCUCCGUUUUCCAUUUCCAACAGCGUAAGGAGGUGUGGAUUAGUGACCAAUAUCAAUACUCUGCUUCCAUUCUGAUUAUCAGGAAGAACUUCUUCAAGAUCACUCCAUAUCUCACUGUCAUCGAAGACAUCAUCAAGCACAAUAAAGUACUUCCUGUUUGUUAGGUAAUCUCGAAGAAUAGAUUUCUUCAAUUGAUAAUCUUCCCCGAUAAUUACACUAACCCGAGAUGGAGGCAUCACAGACUUGAUUAUGUCAUCCAAUAUCUUGCGAAAAUCGUAGGCUACAGAAACCCUUACCCAAGCAUGACAGUCAAAAUAGAACUUGAUAUGGUUAUUAUUGUAAGUAUCUGCAGCAAAAGCAGUCUUAUCGAAGCCACUGCUGUCGAGAAUUGUAACCACUGCAAGCCGACGAUGUCCUAAAUCAAUAAAUCAAACAACUCCUCUCUGCCACUUUCAAAUUCAUUGAUAUCAAGCCGAGGUUGUCCCUCACUCAAUAGGCGAAUGAUUUUGUUUCUUUGUUCACUGACAUCAAAACCAUUGUCGCCGGGUGGAAGUUGUUGCAUCCGAUUACUAAUAUCAAUGAUUUUACUCUGGAGUCCAUCAAGAAGAGCCAUAUUAGUGCUGCUUUUACUUUCGUUUUCACUGUUUUGCUGCUGCAUGAUGUUGAUGAAGAAUCUGUCAAUGGCUUCCUCAGAUUCAUGGACAAAGCGAUUGAUGUCCUCCAGAAUUUCCAAAAUAUCUGGUCUUUUAACGUCUUCUUCAUCGCUUUCUUCUAAGUCCAACAGUUGCAAAAGAGGCAAAGAUAUUUUGGAGUCAUCGAAUUCUUCUCUAAUGAGUUGAAAGAAAUGCCGAGCCAUGUCAGAUUCAUAUUUUCCCAGCAGAGUAGUUGCAAUAAUUUCGGACUCCGUAAGAAGGUUUUGAAAAAGUGGGGUUAAAUUUGUUGAAUCAGGCAGUGUUAACGUGCCUUCUUCUCCUACUACCACCCUUUUCAACCUCUCACAAAAUAAUCGGAGGUGGGCGUCCAGCAUAUCUCCUCCUGUCUGUAGCAGCCAGAGGUAUUGUUAUUUGCUCCAAGAAAUGUUAAAAGGAUUGGUCCUACCUCAAAGUGGUUAGUGGUGUAAAAUUAAACACCAUGGGAGAAUUUGAAAGGAAGAUGCCAAGAAACUGGCAAAGUGGCUAAAUUCCACAAAUACGGCAUUAUUGCUCAUUUUUAACUCAACAAAUUGAUACGCGUUCAUUUAGAGAAAAGUCGAAGACGCGUGCCUUUUGAAAAGAACAAGUAUCCAAUAGGUAUCCAACCUUUAUCUUAUUUAAUUACUACCAUGACAUGAUUGAUGGUGCUUAAAUCAAUUGUUUCUUUUUUAAUUUAAAGAUUUUUUCAUUAAAAAAUAAUUUAAUAUCACAUUGCCUUCAAUGGCGUAACGGCCGCAAGCCCAGUAACUAGAUUAAUUAAAAUGAAAUUAUGAUUGCACUACUUUUUUAUUUAUUUAUUUAUCUAAUCACUAUAAAAUUUUAACAUAUUUUAUUUACUAUAUUUUUUUUAAAUUUGCAUCAAUUAGUCACUUUUACACUAAUACCGUUAAAUAAUUUAAACGGAAUGAUAAUUUUACCCCUAAAUAAAAUUAAAAGUUCAUUUUAUUUUAUAAAAACUUUGAAAAUAAAAAAUUAUAAUUAUAAAAUAUCCCUAAAUUUAAUAAAGAAAUAAAUCCCAAAAUUAGAAUGUUUAUUUUUAAUAAAAAUUAUUUUAAUAAAAAAUUAUAAUUAGAAAAAUAAUUACAAAAUUUUGGGAUUUAAUAAAAAUCCCCUAAAUGAUUAAAAUUUUAGGAUUUAUUUUUUAAUAAAUAAAUUCAGUUAUUUUAAUAAAAUUUUGCAAAAUUAUAAUUUUUAAUAAAUAAAUUCACUUAUUUUUAUUAUAAUUUUAAAAAAAUUUAAAUUUUUAAUAAAAAUAAUUAUUAAAAUUUUACAACAUCUAAAUUGAAUAAAAAUCAGCUGAGCACCUAUAUUUUGUAUUUAUUUUUAUUAAAUUUAGGGGUAUUUUUAUAAUUAUAAUUUUUUAUUUUUCAAAGCUUUAUAAGAUAAAAUGGUCUUUUAAUUUAUUUAGGGGUAAAAUUAUCAUUUCGUUUUAAUUAUUUAACGGUGUUAGUGCAAAAGUGGCUAAUUGAUACAAAUUUGAAAAGAAAUGUGGCGCAGAGAACAUAUUAAAAUUUUGUGGUGGUUGGAUGAACAUAAGGCAACAGAAAGGUGGUGCAAUAAUAAUUUCCCUAAUUAAAAUUUUAGAAUUUUUGGGCAUGGAUAGAGUAGUUUUAAUUAUGUUAAAGAAUUGAUAUUGACAUAAUUUUAUUUUGGUUUUCAACGAAAAAAAAUUUGUUGACAAGUAAGAAAAUAUUUUUUUUUUACUUUACAAUCGGUUAUACAUGUUUUAUCAUAUUAAAGUAAUUUUAAUAAUAAAUAGAAACAUAAUAUUACAAUAAAUAAAUUAAAGUUUAAGUUAUUUUGAAUAUUAAAAAAAUAAUUUUAAUAUUAUUAAUAGGGAGGCAUUUUGUUAAUUGUAAAAUCUUGUUAACCCAAAGGUUAUUUAAAAUCUUUCUAAUAAAUACAAAUAUAAAAUUAAAUAUCAUAAUUUAAAAUAUUUAAUACUAUAUUCAAUGUAAAAAUAUUUUAAUGUUGUUAAUAUACUACAUAGAUUAUAUUACUUAUAUUAUAUUUAUAUUGAUUAAAAAUUUUUAAAAUUAAUUUUCUAGUUACUAUAUUCAUAAGGUAUUCUGGUUAAAGAAAAUAUCUUGAUAUUACUUUUUGAAAAUUUGAGAGCCUGCAUGACAAUUUUUUCAAAUUUUAAGGAUGUAAUUAUCCUUUUUUCCAUAAUUUAUUUCAAUUUUGAGGGAAUCCAAUAAGAAAUAUGGCAGGAGAAUGUCAAUAGGCGAAUGAUUUUGUUACUUUGUUCACUGAUCUCAAAACCAUCGUCGCCGGGUGGAAGUUGUUGCAUCCGAUUACUAAUAUCAAUGAUUUUACUGUGGAGUCCAUCAAGAAGAGCCAUAUUAGUACUGCUUUCACUUUCGUUUUCACUGGUUUGCUGCUGCUUGUUGUUGAUGAAGAAUGUGUCAAUGGACAAAGUUAUUGAUGUCCUCCAGAAUUCCAAAAAUAUCUGCUGUUUCAACGUCUUCUUCAUCGCUUUCUUCUAAGUCCAACAGUUGCAAAAAAGGCAAAGAUAUUUUGGAGUCAUCGAAUUCUUCUCUAAUGAGUUGAAACAAAAGCCGAGCCAUGUCAGCUUCAUAGUUUCCCACCAGAGUAGUAGCAAUGAUUUCUGACUCCGUAAGAAGGUUUUGAAAAAGUGGUGUCAAAUUUGUUGAAUCUGGCAACGGCAACGCGCCUUCUUCACCUGCCAACACCCUUUUCAACCUCUCACAAAACAGUCGGAGGUGGAAUUCCAGCAUAUCUCCUUCUCUCCGUAGCACUCAGAGGUAUAGUUGAAAGAUUAAACACCAUGGAAGAAUUUGAAAGGAAUAUGCCAAGAAACUGUGUAAGUGGCUAAAUUCCACAAAUAUGACAUUAUUGCUCUUUUUUGAACUCAAAAAAAUGGUACGCGUUCAUUUAGAGAAAAGAACAGGUAUCCCAAUCGAUAUCCAACCUUUAUCUUAUUUAAUUACUACCAUGACAUGAUUGAUGAUGCUUAAAUCAAUUGUUUCUUUUUUAAUUUAAAGAAUUUUUCAUUAAAAAAAUAUUUUGAUAUCUAAUACCCUUCAAUGGCAUAUCUGCCGCAAGCCCAGAACAGGAUUAAUGAAUUUUUUUUUUAAUUUUUUGGGCAUGGAAAGAGCAGUAUUAAACAUCAGAAAGCUAAGGUUGUUCUGUUAAAAAAUUGAUAUUGACAUAAUUUUAUUUUGGUUUCGGGGAAAAAAAUAUUUUCUGAAAAGCAAGAAAAUAUUUUUAUAUUUUACAAUUUAUUAUACAUAUUUUAUCGUAUUAAAUUAAUUUUAAUAAUAAAUAGAAACAAAAUAUUACGAUAAAUAAAUUAAAGUUUAAAUUGUUUUGAAUAUUAUAAAAAAUAAUUAUAAUAUUAUUAAUAGGAAGACAUUUUGUUAAUUUUAAAUUUUUUUAACCCAAAGGUUUAUUUAAAAUCUUUAUUAUAAAUACAAAUAUAAAAUUAAAUAUCAUAAUUUAAAAAAUUUAAUAUUAUUUUAAGUAUUAAAAAUAAUUUAAUGUUAUUAGUCUACUAUAUAGAUCACAUUACUUAUAUUAUAUUUGUAAUGAUUAAAAAAUUUUUAAAUCAAUUUUCUAGUUAAUAUAUUCACGAGGUAUUAUGGUUAAAGAAAAGACCUUGGUGUUACUUUUUAAAAAUUUGAGCGCAUGCAUGAUAAUUUUUUCAAAAUUUAAGAAUGUAUGUGUCCUUUUCUCCAAUAAUUUAUUUCACUUUUGAGGGGAAUCCAAUGAGAAAUAUGAUAAGAGAAUGUCAAUUACUUGUCAUUUUCUAUUUUUUCUGUAAGGUAUUUAUUUUGAGCAUUGGUGAUCUUGUCUGGACUACUCCAAUUAUUGAUGGAACUCCAAUGGCUGCAUCCACAGUUGAAUAUAUGAUGGUGUUAGCUCUUACUUGAGAAUUCAGAGGGAUCUUUCUAUGUUUCUCAAUUGCAAUGUGCUAGUAUAAAUUUCUUUACCUUACAGUUUAUAUAGUCUUGCUGUUAAUGAACUCACUGAGGCAUUAUUGAUUCAAUUUCAGUGGAGCAAUCGCGGGUGAAGGAUAAAUAAAGGAUAACAGAACAGAGCUGAAGUGCUAAAUUGGCUAUUGAAGAAGGUUUUCACAUGAUCACAAUUAUGUAAAAUAAUCAUUUUUCUGAAAUUGUGUUUCCUAAAAUUAAUAAAUUUCCUUUUUUUUAAAAAAAAAAAAAAACUCUUCUACGACGUGGUUGCACAGCAAAUUAGAGAAUUAUAGGGUCUCUAAUCAAUACUCCAACCAAUAAUGAUAUGUGCACAAAAAAUAGUAUCAAUCACAACAAGAUUAAAAUUAAAAAAAGUAACUAUAAGAUGGAAAAAAAAAUUAUUACAAGAAAAUAAUUUUUUUGUCUUUUCUAUCUUUUAUACUAUUUUUGUUUAUAUGUACUCUAAAUUCAGCCAAACCAUACAUGCAUGAACAAAAAUUAAACCGUCGUUCUAAUCACAACAGUAAUUGAAGCUACAAAAGCCAGCAAAUCUGAACGAAGACUUAAAAGAAAGAUCUUAUUCAAGUUUGUCCCCAAAAGACAGCUGAAAUGAAAAAUAUUGACUAUUGAAUGGGUCAAUGCCGAAUUACAUUUCAAAUGGAAAGCUUGGCAGCAGUUACAAUGUUUCCCCCUCUGAUUUUCCUCCAAAACAAAUUCAGUUGUAAACAAUAACCGAAGUAGUAAUAAUUUAUUCAUCAAAGAAAAUACCCCCAAGUUUUCAACUAAAAAAUCCUCUUGUCCAAACUAAAAGAACUCAUAUCUCUAAAAUCUAUCUGCAAAAUGUUGGGAAUGAGGAGUGAUCUGUCAACUCCGUAAAUAAACUCAUGCAUAAUGUUAACAAUAAUGAUAAAUUACAUAAUAAUUAUUAUAAAGAAUCAUAAAUUGGAAACACUAAUCAUUCUACAAUCUAUUAUAUAAGCAAGAUAAAUCUCAUAAUAAGUUAAGUUAUAAUGUAAUAAAUAUUUUCAAUAUAUAAUUAUUUAAGAAGUCAUUUAACAAUAAAAUAAUUUUUUUAAAUCAGUUGAUCAUACAGCGUUAUCUAAACUCCUGACGAUAUUAUUAUUACUCACUUUUCUCAAAAAAAUAUGAUUAAUGUUUAGAGAAAAGUCAUGCAUUUUAGAAAAAAUAUGUAUACUAGCUAUCCGUACUUUAUCUUACCGUGACAAAAUUGAUGGUGAUUAAAUCUAUUUUUAAAAUAGAUUUAAUUCACAAAUAUGGUGACUUUUGGCAAAAAUUAUUUUCAGAAGAUAUAGUGGCAGAAAAUAGUGAUAAUUAUUGUUUAAAUGUGUAAAUAGCCUAAGUAUAGCCCAUAAUACCAAUAUCCAUUUGCACCUUCAUUUGGUUUAUCACAUUUCAUGAUAUUCUUUCAUUCAUGACCAUUGUUCAAGAUUUUAAUUUGAUUAUAAAUUAAGUUGCAAGGGAGCUUACUUCAGUCUCUAAGCUUUUCAAUCGUGAUUCCUGCAUGCCAACGUAACUGACCUUAUAAUUGGUCUGUAUAAGAAAUCAAGCCCUUUCAGGAUCGUUUUCUUUUUCUCCCUAUUGUAGUAGUCAACUAAAUAAAGAAUGAACAACUAAACUUGGUCUAUUUCGAGGAAGACUAAGGCUUCCAAUACUAGAUGAACUUUGAAGAAAAUUAAUCCGUUGUUUUUAUUCAUCUUUGGACUAUGAAUAUAUACAAAGACUUUAACAGAAAAUAACAAAGACACAGCUAAAUGCACUACUAAAAAAAUGAGUUUUACUGACACUAAUUUAGCGUCAGUAAUUACUUUUAUUGACACUUGUUAAUUGUGUCAGUGUUGCUCAAGCCAGAACACACUGACACUAAUUUUUGAUGUCAAUAAUUUUUGUGUCAGUAAUUUGUUUCACUAUAGUAUCACUAAAAUAAUGACACGAUGAUGUUGGUAUUUAAUAAUACUAUUUACACGUCAGUAAUUUAUGUGACUAUAGUAUCAAAAACUGACUCGAUAAUAUAAAAAAUUCUUAUUGUUAUUUUAAAUAUGUAGUGUCAGUAUUUAGUAAUGUUAUGCUGCUUUUGGUUAAUAGUAUAUUUUUUAUUUUAAUUAUAUUUUUCGUGUUUGUUGUACAACCAAAAGAAAACUCGAAAUAUAUUUAUUAUUAAAUAUCUUGCAACACAAUUCAUAUAAUAAACAUCUCAAAUACAUCACUUAAAUUCACACAAUUCAACUACAUCACUAUGUGUAAAAGACUUAACAUAAGUAUCAAAUUAAAUUUUCAACAAUCUCUAAACAACAAGUGCUAACUACUACUCAAUUAAGUUUCCAACCCAAAAGAAAAAAAAAAAAGCACAAGGUCACUCAAUAUCCAUCCACGGCUUCAUUUUGUUCCCACCUACAAAUGCAUAAAAUCAAUUAGUAUACUGUGAAAAAUAAAUCUUAGUUAUUUUGAAGCAAAAAUACUCAUAAAUUACUUCAACAUGGAAGAGUAGGAUUAAAAGAAGCAAGUUAAGGAAUCAGAAAAAGAAAUUGUAGAAUCUACACGUUCCCAAGUUAAUUACAGCCUGCAAUCAUGAUACCACAAAUUGCUUCACCAAAAGUAUUCUAUCAAGUAUUAAAGAGAACACUUAAUAAGUACAUCAAUAUUUAGUAAUGAUGACAUGAACAAUGGUGUCUACAACUUGACAAGCAUAAGUUAUUUUUUUUGUAAUCUAUUUCAUUGUCUAAAUUUAAAGUAAACAAUGCUAUAAUAUAUGAUCAAGUACAUUAAGUUAACAAGCACUAUAACAUUUAUUUAGCCCACAUUCAACGAUGAUCAGUUGGACCGAAAGCCAUAAAUUGAAAAACAAAAGAUAUUUAAUGAGCUUAAAGAGGAAAAAUAAAAGUUAACAAAAUUUAAACGACUAAUGAAGAAAUUAACCAAGCCGAGAUGAAAAACAGAAAUAGAAGGCCACUAUAAGCCAAACAUUACAAAUCAGGUUGCUUUUUAAGACACGAACCCAGUUUCCAAUUACAGUACUUUGCAAUUCUUUAAAAAAAAAAGGGUUUCCCAAUUACUAAAUCUUUUUAGGUUUGAAGUGGAUUGAUAAUUAAAUUGAUGAAAGAAAGGAAAGUGAAGCAAAAAUUAGAUUCAAGUAUGGGUCAAGUAAAAAAGUAAAAGAUAAAAAUCAGAUUCAGUGCAAACCUGGGUUUCAAAUGAUUAGCAAAGGAACAACUUCUUCUUUCUUCAAUCUAAUAUUCUUCUUCGAACAUGGAAUACUAACAAAAUACAAUUAGUAAUUCAUAAACAUAUAGUAAAAUGAGAUAGGUAUUUUUUGAGAGGAGAUUGAGAAAUACAUAUUUGAUUGAAGAAAGAAAACACAACAAAAAAAAAGGACCAGGUCUCCUCAAAGAAAAGCAAAAUGGGAAAAUAGGGGAAUAGUCUAUACAAAAGCCAACCCACCACCCUUGGAGGACCAUCCUUCUUCUGAGCAAAAAUCUAUACAAGAUUAGCCCAAACCUCCAAUAUAGUAAAAUGGGUUCGACAGACUAUUUCUAAUCUGUCAUUUGCAAAGUAAAGCUAAAAUUAGAAUUGUCUACUAACAACCUUCCUAUAGUUUGUCCACUAUAUUAUUACUAUAUUAUUAGAUGUAAAAUGCCCACUAUAAAAGGUAAUUAAUAGAGAAACUUCUCUGUAGUAUUUUCAUACCUGUGCCAAAACAGAGAAGAGAAAGAAAUGGUGUCUGACCUCGGUGGUAAAGGAACCGCUAUGGUAAAGGAUCGAACAUGGAUGAAAAAUAAACUUGUGCAAAUGGAGCCACCAGCAUUUUGCAAGAAUUAAAGAUUUUGGGUGAAAUCCUCUCUUAUAAACACUUAUUUGUAUUGGGAGCAUGCAUACUUCCGAGUAUGAUAUAAUUCUAUAAAAUUUAGACUCCUGAUAGAUAGAUAGAUAACACGUAUUAGCAUUAAUUAAAUGGAAGCAUCAACAAUAAUCAAUAAAUCAUUAUAGAAAAAAAAUUAAAAAUGAAAGGAGCUGAGGCACACCAUUGUGAUGCAAGAUUGACAAUCAAAAGAACCUUUCCUUUGUAGAUGCUAAGAUCAACAUCCUGUCCCUUCGCAUCCUGCAAAUAAGAUAAAUUUUUAUAAAAAUUAAAAAAUAUAUCUGUCAAAUCCCAAAUUGAAUUAAAAAUCAAAACAAGGGAAAGAAAAUGAAAGGAACAUGUCAUCAAAUUGUAGGUGGCUGGUGGUGCUUUUUAGUGAAGUGUUUGUAGAACUGUUAGAUGUAACCAUUCUUUACGCAUCAACUUCGCUAGUGAUUUGAUUUGAUGAAGAGGAUCUUUCCUUAUCUAGUUAUCUUCUUGUGUAGAUCCAUGUAGGAUUCCUUCACGAUUUCUUUUUUUUUUUUUUGGGGGGGGGGGGGGGGAGGUUUAAUUAACAAAACAAUAAGAGUAAAUGAGGAAUCAAUCCCUAAUUUAAGGCCUUCUAAGAUUGCUGAAGCUCUGCAUAAUCAAUGUCUCCAAGAAAAAGGUUUAUUUGCAGGCUGUAGCAGCAAUUUUCUUCCCCAUGAAAUCCAACUGAUCCAUUUGUAUUGAAUUUAAGCACACGCCUGAGGCUGGAAAAGACAAAGAAAUUAAUGAAAACAGGCUAUGUAUCUUUUUUACUUAUCAUUGCUCUAUGAAUUAAUUAUGCUACUAAUCACGACGCCGUUUAAAUCUUAGAACAAUAAUAAUCUUUUAGCAACAAAUAUGACGGUUCAAUAAUAUGUUCCGACUAGGGAUGUCAUAUUGUGAGGGCUGUUAAGUUUAAGAAACGAUCAAAUCUAAUUUUGUGUUCCAAAAACUCAUUGGCUUAACAGAUUAACUCCUCUGUAGUAUUUUCAUACCUGUGCCAAAAGAGAGAAGAGAAAGAAAUGGUUCUUGAUCUCGACGGUAAAGGAGCGGUGGCUGGCUGGGCUGAAGUUGAUGUGACGGCAUAAAAGCGGUAGCAGCGACAUACUGAAAGGUGGCUAGCUAGUCGUAGGUGGCUGAAGCUUGACAACAGUAGAGCAAAGGCGGCAGUGACGUCAAGGAACGGCGGCCGACAGCAGUGAAAGUCGAGGAGCAGCGGCCGGCAGCAGUGAAAGUCGAGGAGCAGCGGCCGGCAGCAGUGAAAGCCGAGGAGCAGCGGCCGGCAGUAGUGAAAGUCGAGGAGCAGGGGAGCGGUCGGCAGCAGUGAAAGUCGAGGAGCAGGGGAGCGGCGGCAGCAACUUAAGAAGUGGUGUGUUUGAUUCGGUUAGAUUUAGGGUUUCUUAUUUUCAUUUUAUACUUUGAAAAAUUAUACAGUGUAAUUGUUCGCAUUGUAAUUUAAUAAAACAACAAACUACAAGUCAACAUGUGGUCAAGUAAAAUUAUUAUUAUUAACAACGAAUUACAAGUUGACAUGUGGCAAAAUAAAAAAUAUUAUUCUCAAAACUAUUAUUAUUAUUAUUAUUAUUAUUAUUAUUAUUAUUAUUAUUAUUAUUAUUAUUAUUAUUAUUGUCCACAAAGUAAUUGUGUAAAAUUUAAUUAAAUAAAAAAAUUAAUCAAAUUGAAAAUUUAAAAACACAUGCAUCAAUGGUUUGCACUCUAAACUUACAAAUUUUAAGUUUAGAGAUCUUGAGUUCGAGUUCAAAUUAAAACAAAAUUAAUAUUAUUAUUUUUUUAUCACUGAUGCUUUAGUAUCAAUAAUCAUUGAAUUUUAAGCUACUGACACCUUAGUAUCAAUGAUUUAUGAUACAUACUUGUUAAAGGCGGAAAAUGGUCCAAACGUACACCAUUUCUGACACUUUUUACUAAGUGUCAGAAACAAAGUGUCAGUAAAUGUCAUUUUUGUAGUAGUGAUGAUAGCAAUAAGUGCUGACUUAGACACUUAGUGGACCGCUUCUACAAGUAAAUAAAAACUAAAUAUUUAUUUUGACUAUAACAACAACUACGCUGAUGAAUAGGAUUUCACAGCAGCCACGUGAGAACUAAUUUCUCCUUAAUAUUAUUAUUAGUAGAAGUAGAUUUUCAAACUAGUCUUGAUAUAUUUCAAAGUUGUAUUAUCAAUGUAUAUGUGUCUAGAUUGUAACUAUACUUUAAAAAAUAUAAAAUUUUUAAUUAUUGCACAAUAUAUGUAGAAAAAUAUCUAUAAAAUGAUAUUAUUAGGACUAAGAAUUUUUUAUUUUAUUUUAGAUAAGUUAUUUAUUUAUUAUCGAAUGAAUAAUUUAUUAAUUUAUUGAUAAAUGAAUAUUUAUUAAUUUAAAGAGAGAUUUUUUUGGUUUUAACAAGAGUUUGUUUGGUAAAUGUACACACUUAUAAAGAAACAUAAAAAGUGGUUCCUCAAGUCAAUAGUGUUUGCUUCAAUCGCAACGGUUCAUAAUAAUAUAGCUUAGUUAGGAAAUUUGUAAUUAUACUAUAACUUUGUUUGGUACAACUUUUCAAGUAAAACUUAUUUAAGUAGAGUUGUUAUUAGUAGAGCUUUUAUAAAUAAAGCUUUUACUAAAAAAAAUUUAAUUGUUUGGUUGUCAAUGUCCAAAUUGAUAAACUUUUGUUCUUUUGUUAAGAUAUGUUUGUUUUACUUAAUAAUAGCAUCGGCAAGAGUUUUCGAUUGUUGCAACUUGCAAUGCACGCGGUGAGAGAAAAUGAGAAUCUUGUUUAAUUGUCAAUAAUGACAAACCUAAUCCUUUCAUUAGGAGUAAUUUAAUAAUCGUUUGUUAUAACUGAAUAUGUAUAAAGAAAGGAAAAUUCUAUUCAUAGAUUUCGACUUAUUUUUUGUUUAAAGUAAUUAAUCAUUCAACCAUCUUCAUUUGCCUCUGGCCAAUGCCCUUGUAGAUUAGUUGAAGCGUUAAUUACUUAAUUAUGAUUAUAUACAUUUUCAUAUAGCAAGUGGCAUUGUAGAUCUAAACUAAGUUGCUAUUUCAAUACCAGCAAAUUCAAAAUAGAAAAGGAGUGCAACUAUUUAACUUUGUAGACAAUAUUGCAACCAUGGCAUAUUUAUAGCAAAUCCUUGAAAUCUGCUAAACAAAACAAUGCCCUGUCUCAUGAAUCGAUGCUCAAUUAAAAUUUAAAUUGAAAGUCCGGCUGGUGUUGUUUUCCUCUCCAGUUUUGCCUACAUAAGUAAAGGGAAAUAAGAAUCAUAAGUGAAAAUAUGCUUUGACAGGUCUUAUUUCUUUGUUUCUCUACUGCAGUUUUGCCUACUCAAGCUGAGUCUACGUUGAGACAUAAUUUCAGUAUUGAGGUAACAAUAAUUUCGGACUCCGUAAGAAGGUUUUGAAAAAGUGGAGUCACAUUUGUUGAAUCAGGCAACGUCAACGUGCCUUCUUCACCUGCUAACACCCUUUUCAACCUCUCACAAAAUAGUCGGAGGUGGACGUCCAGCAUAUCUCCUUCUCUCUGUAGCACCCAGAGGUAACAGGAUUAAUUAAAAAUUUUAGAAUUGUUGGGCGUGGAAAGAGUAGUAUUAAACAUCAGAAAGCAAGGUUGUUCUGCUAAAGAAUUGAUUUGUUGACAUAAUUUUUUUUUUUUUUUUUUGGUUUUCGAGGAAAAAGGCAUAUUUGUUGACAAGCAAGAAAAUGUUUUUGUAUUUUACAAUCUGUUAUACAUAUUUCAUCAUAUUAAAGUAAUUUUAAUAAUAAAUAGAAACAUAAUAUUAUGAUAAAUAAAUUAAAGUUUAAAUUAUUUUGAAUAUUAUAAAAAAAUAAUUCUAAUAUUGUUAAUAGGAACAUAUUUUGUUAAUUGUAAAAUCUUUUUAAUCCAAAGAUUUAUUUAAAAUCUUUAUAAUAAAUACAAAUAUAAAAUUAAAAUAAAUAUCAUAAUUUAAAAUUUUUAAUAUUAUUUUCAAUAUUAAAAUAUUUUAAUGUUAUUAGUCUACUAUGUAAGGUAUCAGAGCCAUACCCAUCCUUGAAUGGGUCAAUGCUGAAUUACACUUGAAAUGGAAAGCUUGCUGCAGUUACGAUAUUUCCCCCUCUGAUUUUUCUCCAAAACAAAUUCAGUUGUAAACAAUAACCGAAGUAGCAAUAAUUCAUUCAUCAAAGAAAAUACUCAAAUUUUCAACUAACAAAUCCUCUUAUCUAAACUAAUUAAAAAAAACUCAUAUCUCAAAAAUCUAUCUACAAAAUGUUGGAAAUAAAGGGUGAUCCGUCAACUCGAUAAAUAUACUCAUGCAUAAUGCUAACAAUAUGAUAAAUUACAUCAUAACUAUUAUAAAGAAUCAUAAAUUGGAAACACUAAUCAUUCUACAAUCUAUUAUAUAACUAAGAUAAAUCUUAUAAUAAGUUAAGUUAGAACAUAAUAAAUAUUUUCAAUAUAUAUAAUUAUUUAAGAAGUCUUUUAACAAUAAAUUUUUUUUCUUUUUCAGUUGAUCAUGUCAUAUAGCGUUAAUGGUGAUUAGUGACUGAUUACAAAGCAAAAUUGUUUAAAAUAGAUUUAAUGCACAAAUAUGAUGAAUUUUGGCAAAAAUUAGUUUCGGAAAUGUUGGGAUGAAAACCAUAUUAGUUGAGACUUAAAGUUACUUAAUAAAAUUAUAUCACUACCAUUCAAUGGAUGAAAACUAUUUUAGUUGAGACUUAAAUUUAGAUUUAAAUGUUGAGAUAUCUAGUAUUACUCAAUCAGAAUAAACAAGAACCAAUUCUGACUAUCAUGUAGAAGCAAAUAUUUAUGCUUGGAUUUUUUACUUCUUGAAUUUGAUUGGAAAAGUUUCUGAGACAGAGAAGUGUUUUGGAUAAUCUUUUUCGGGAUUGAAACCACAAAUUGGUCGAGGAAAUUAAUUUUGGACAAAUUUUUAUUGAGUUGUGCUAAACAUCAAGAAGGGCGAGAGAAUGCUGAGAGAAACGGCAGCUUUGUGCUGCUGUUUCGACUUCUCACUCUCUCGCCAUUCUAAUAAUUUUUUAUUAUUAAAAAUAAAAAAGCGGAGAAAAUGAUAGCAGACAACCCACAUCUACCAAAUCUCCAUCACUCCAUCACUCUCUUUCUCUCUCUCCCUCUCUUGAUUUUCAUCCUCUCUCUGGCUUCCUCACUCUCUACGGCUCCCCAUCAAGCUUCCUCAGUCUCUUCGGCCUCACUAUCUCUAGCCUCACUCUCUCCAGAUUCUUUCAUUUUCUCCUUUUUUUUAUAUUUUUAACAAUAAAAAAUUAGCAUUCUGCUGAGAAAGAGAGUGGUACACGACUCUUGAACAAUUUUUUUUCUGUCGUGAUCGUCUAUCAAACCACCUAAAAAUGAGCCAAGGGGGUUCUCAGCCCUAGCAGCUCACGUACUUUCAAGAUUUAGAGUAUGGUUCCAGUCCAAGCUAUUUAAUUAGUAUUGGGAUUCGAUUUAGUUGUUCUUCUAAUUUAAUAGGAUAAAGAAUUUAAUUGGAGAAAUGUCAUUAAUAUCAUAGGAGCAUAUAUAUUGUUUUGAUUUAAAUAUUGCUAUUUUUUUAUUGUUGAAAAAAAAAACACUAGAAAAUGGGAAGCCAAAAUCUUAGCCCUGUGUUUUUACUUUUACUUUUCUCUUAAACAUUUUAAAGAUGUAAAGGAAAAUGCUCAGAAUGGUGAGAGAGUGAUGGACGUGAUGGGCUAUCUUCUAUCCUUUUUUUAAUAAAUUUUUAAGAAUAAAAAAUUUAUUAAAACAGUAAGAGAGCGAAACCAAAACGGCAGCUUGUGCUGUCGUUUCUCUUAACAUUCUCUCGUCAUUCUUGAUGUUAAGCAUUUUCCAUUUUUAUUAUGUUGUAGCACCUUUUUGGUUCCUUUUGUGUCGGCAGCCCCUUACUAUUCUCUUAACCCUGAGUUUGAGAUAGAAAUUUCCCGAACUCCAACCCCACAUCCACAGACAAGUUGAUUCAAACAAUUGCUCUUUUAAUUAAGAGAAUGAGUUAGGUUUCAGUUCUUAUUGUUGUCUGUUAUUUCUCUGAAUCAUUAAUUUUGAGCAUUACUGAUCUUAGUUAUCUGUAUUUCUCCAAUUAUUGAAGAAUUUAUUAUUGAAUGAAUAAUUUAUUAAUUUAUUGAUAAAUGAAUAUUUAUUAAUUUAAAGAGAGAUUAUUUUGGUUUUAAGAAGAGUUUAUUUGGCACAUGUACACACUUAUAAAGAAACACAAAAAGUGCCUGCUCAAGUCAAUAGUUUUGGUACAUUUACACACUUAUAAAGAAACACAAAAAGUGCUUGCUCAAGUCAAUAGUAUUUGCUUUAAUCGCUAUAGUUCAUAAUAAUAUAGCUUAGUUAGGAAAUUUGUAAUUAUACUAUGGCUCCGAUUGGUACAACUUUUUAAGUAGAACUUAUUUAAUUAGAGUUUUUAUUAGUAGAGUUUUUAUAAAUAGAGAUUUUACUAAAAUAAAAUUUAGUUAUUUAGUUGUCAAUGUCCAAAUUGAUGAAAUAUUGUUCUUGUUAACAUAUGUUUGUUUUACUUAAAAAUAAAAGUUUAGUUUACAAUUACACCAGUAUAAAAUCAGCAGAGCAUUUUUGCUUAAAUAUUUAUUAAUUUAAAGAGAGCUUAUUUAAAUAGAGUUUUUGUUAGCAAAACUUUUAUAAAUAAAACUUUGCUUAAAAAAAUUUAAUUAUUUAAUUGUUAAUGUCCAAAUUGAUGAACUUUUGUUCUUUUGUUAACAUGUGUUUCUUUUACCUAAUAAUAAAAAUUAGUUUACAAUAACACUGGUGUCAAAUCAGCAGAGAUAUUUUCCAGCCAGUCACAUUAUACAUACGGGAGCCUCUAUGUUACAUUGAAUGUACCAUACACAACUAAUAAGAACCACAUAAAUUGUGGGACCCACAUAAUUGUGUGGUUCUUAUUGGUUGUGUAUGGUACAUUCAAUGUAACAUAGCAAAAUCCUAUACAUUAUACUAAUAGCAUCGGCAAGAGUUUUCGAUUGUUACAACUUGCAAUGCACGCGGUGAGAGAAAAUGAGAAUCUUGUUUAAUUGUCAAUAAUGACAAACCUAAUCCUUUCAUUAGUAGUAAUUUAAUAAUCGUUUAUUAUAAUUGAAUAUGUAUAAAGAAAGGAAAAUUCUAUUCAUAAAUUUCGACUUAUUUUUUGUUUAAAGUAAUUAAUCAUUCAACCAUCUUCAUUUGCCUCUGGCCAAUGCCCUUGUAGAUUAGUUGCAGCGUUAAUUACUUAAUUAUGAUUAUAUACAUUUUCAUAUAGCAAGUGGCAUUGUAGAUCUAAACUAAGUUGCUAUUUCAAUACCAGCAAAUUCAAAAUAGAAAAGGAGUGCAACUGUUCAACUUUGUAGACAAUAUUGCAAGUUGCAACCAUCCAAAGGUGAAGAUCUAUGCUUAUUAUCUAUUUAACAGCUAAUAUAUAUAUAUAUAUAUUUAUUUAAAUAUCAAGAGCUAUGCUUUUAAAUAAGUUCAAAUGGGAUGAGAACAGACUUAUAUUUAUUUAUUUAAAUAUGACCCAGGCUAAUUUCUCUGAAUUUGGACAGAGUAGAUUUCUAAGCUAAUGCUUGGCAUAUCUCUGGCGAUACUACAAAGUGCAUGUACAUUGACUCUUAAUAAAUAUAAACGAUUCUCUGAUAUGAUUCAAAACAUCACUACAUGCAUAAGUUAAUAAGAGACAAUAUUCUAAGAUUAUUUAUGCAUCACCAUUUAUAGUUGUACCCUCUCUAAUGAAAUUGAAGGUGCAGCCAGCAACUAAAAUGAAGCAGAAAUGUACACGCAUGAGGCAGUUUUUCUAGAAGAUUGAUAUUUCUUUAACUAGAAAACCAUACAAGUCCACAACUAGCCAAACUGUACCUGCAUGUGUCUAGGGCUUAAAUGGAGCACUUCUAAGCAUAAAACAGUAACUAAAACACAUACACAAACAUACAUACCAAAAAAUUCAGAAAAUAGAGAAAGGAAUACAACUAUUCUUGUUUGUAGACAAUAUUGCAACCAUGGCAUCAGUUAUAGCAAAUCCUUGAAAUCUACUAAACAAAAUAAUGUCCUGUCUCAUGAAUCAAUGUUGAAUUACAGCUGAAAUUGAAAGUCUGGCAUCAGUUAUAGGAAAUAUUGAAUUACAAUAUUUCCCUUGCCGAUUUUGUCUACACAAGUAAAAUGGAAAUAAGAAUCAUAGAUGAAAAUCAACUUUUACAGUUCUAAUUAUUAGAUAGAUACAGAAUGAUCUAUCUUUGUGAGUUUGUUUUUCUGCUGCAAUGUGCGAUCCCACUCUGUUUUGAUACUCAAAUUGAGUCUAUGUUGAGACAUAAUUUUGACAUUGCAAGCAAUCCCAAUUAGUUUGGCAUUUGUAUGACCCUUUGAAGGUUUUACAAUAGAUGCAAAUCUACUGAGAAAAUGGUAAAAAAGGUGCAUAUAAAAUGAGGCAAGUAACAGAAGUAUGAGUUAUCAGAUUAGAUUAAAAGUCACCCAAUUCAAUCUAUCAGAUUCCGUAAGGAUAUAACUGGAUGUCAUAUCGCCACUCCAUAUCCUCGAAAGUCCGUAGUCUUUGUCUCAACUCUGUCUGAGGCCAAUGUAAAUCCAAUUUGCACAAGCUCUUUAUGCACCAUAGCUCUUCUGGAAGCUUUCUCAAGUAAGCACAUGGGUUGACAAUUAAGCUUUCAAGUUUUGGCAUUGCUCUUGCCCCCAUCGUCCACUCGUCUAGCCAAUACAUCGACUUCAAGUGCAAAAUCUUAAGUUCCGGAAAGCCACCAGAGCCAACGCAGGCCAGCUUUCUUCCUAAAUAUGAGUUCUGCUUCAGUUUCAGCACUUGAAGGCGUGGAAGCUUUUCCAGCAUUGGCAUGGGAUCCUCCAUUAGCUCAGUAUUUGAUAAGCUCAGUUGGAUCAGGCUUGGAGGAAAUUGGUAUUCAGACAGGACCAUCCGUGAGAGCUUGCUCUCAUUCACCAACUUCAAGCAUUCAACUUUGUGGAGUUCGCAUACGCUUUUGGAAACCCCAGAGUGAUAGCAACUCAAAUCUCCAGACACUCUAAGAGUUUGAAGAUUAGGUAGUCUGCACAAUAUAUCUGGCGUGCAACUACUAGGGUGUAAGGCUGAUAUGAAAAUAAGAUUUUUCAGAGAGCUGGAAUAAUUUUUUGGAGGUGCAGGCAGAGUGAUGGAACCAAAGUUCAGAUGCAUGAGUUUUUGCAUCUUCCAAAUAUCCUCUGGUGUUUGAUCUACGUAGCUAGAUGGCAUGUCUAGUGUUUGAAGGUUUGAAAGGGUGCAUAGCAGUGAAGGAAGACAUUUGAGCGAAGGGAUAUUCAAUUUCAAAUACUUCAAAUGGAAUAAAUUUUCUAAUCCGGGUGGAUAUUGGUCCAGGACUGCAGAACCCAUGUUCAAUACCCGAAGGUGUUUGAACAUUUUACAAAAAUUCUCGCAAUCUAUCGGAUUAAGAUGAUCGCUUUCUGAACUGUGAUUCAGAAAAGAUUGGAGGUACAUGUCAGAAUGUUUCAAAGAAAAGAACUCAAUCAGAUCAUCGACAAUGAUGUACCGUUUGGCAUUUGCCAUUGAUUCCUCUUCCAAUCCAGGCGACCAAAAAAAUCCCGUCAAUGCUGCCGGCAAAAGUAACGCAACAUAUGCAAAAGUUGGAACAUAGCACGCCUUAAUUGUGCCUCCGGCUCUUCUCUUAUUCACUUGAAUGAAGCCACGAUCGAUUAGUUCAUUCAAGUAAUGCUCGGCAGUUUCCUCACUGUUGUGUGGUAUGAAACCUUCAGCUACCCACAACCAAUAUAAUUGCCUGGUAGAUAUCUCAAUGCCUGGAUGGAACAAACACAAAUAGAGGCAGCAGAUUUUCAAGUGAACAGGUAACUGCAACACAGAAUAAAUUGUACUCCAAGCUGUCAGAAACGCUUUUUCUCCCAUGUAAAUUCUUAAUGUCGUUUUUCCAUAGUGUAGGAUGAAAAAUUGCCAGGCUUCAUGCUUUAAUCUGAUCAAUGGUCCUCCAACGAGAACUGAAUCAGGAUGAAUCGUCUGUCCAUUUUCCAAUUCGAACGAGGAAAGGAAGUCUGGAUCAGUGACCGUCAUUAAUACUCUGCUUCCAUUCUGAUUCUCAGGAAGGACUUCUUCAAGAUCAUCCAAUACAUCGUCACUCUCUUCACAGUAAUCAUCAAGCACAAUAAAGUACUUCUUGUUUGUUAGGUAAUCUCGAAGAAUAGAUUUCUUCAAUUGAUAAUCUUCACCGAUAACUACACUAACCCGAGAUGGAGGCAUCACAGACUUGAUUAUGUCAUCCAAUAUCAUGCGAAAAUCGUAGGCUAUAGAAACCCUGACCCAAGCAUGACAGUCAAAAUAGAACUUGACAUGAUUAUUGUUGUAAGUAUCAGCAGCAAAAGCAGUCUUAUCAAAGCCACUGCUGUCGAGAAUUGCAACCACUGAAAGCUGAGGUUGUCCCUCGAUCAGUAAAUCAAACAACGCCUCUCUGCCGCUUUCAAAUUCACUCUUAUCAAGCUGAAAUUGUCCCUCAAUCAAUAAGUGAGUGAAUUCGUUCCUUCGCUCUUUGAAAUCAAAACCAUUGCCUCCAGGUGGAAGUUGUUGCAACCGAUUUCUAAUAUCAAUGAUUUUACUGUGGAUUCCGACAAGAAGAGCAAUGCAAGUAGUGCUCUCACUUUCACUGUUUUGCUGCUGCGUGAUGUUGAUGAAGAAUGUGUCAAUAGCUUUCUCAGAUUCACGGACAAAGUAAUUGAUGUCUUUCAGAAGUUCCCAAAUGUCUGUUCUUUUAACAUUUUCUAAGUGCAAGAGCUGCCGAUAACGCGAAGGCAUUUCGUCUUCAUCGAAUUGUUCUCUAAUGAGUUGAAUUAAAACUCGAGCCAUGUCAACUUCAUAUUUUCCCAGCAGAGUAGUAGCAAUAAUUUCGGACUCCGUAAGAAGGUUUUGAUAAAGUGGAGUUAAAUUUGUUGAAUCAGGCAACGUUAACGCGCCUUCUUCACCUGCUAACACCCUUUUCAACCUCUCACAAAAUAGUCGUAGGUGGACGUCCAGCAUAUCUCCUUCUGUCAGUAGCACCCAGAUGUAUUGUCAUUUGCUUCAAGAAAUGUUGAAAGGAUUGGUUCUAUCUCAAAGUGUUUAGUGGUGUAAAAUUAAUUAAUUAAACACCAUGGAAGAAUUUGCAAGGAAGAUGCCAAGAAACUGGCGAAGUGGCUAAAUUCCACAAUUAUGACAUUAUUGCUCAUUUUCAACUCAAAAAAAUGAUACGCGUUCAUUUAGAGAAAAGUCCAAGACGCGUUCCUUUCGGAAAGAACAAUUAUCCAAUAGAGAUCCAACCUUUAUCUUAUUCAAUUACUACCCUGACAUGAUUGAUGGUGCUUAAAUCAAUUGUUUCUUUUUUAAUUUAAAGAAUUUUUCAUUCAAAUUUUUUUUAAUAUUAAAUUGCCUUCAAUGGCAUUACUGCAGCAAGCCCAGUAACACGAUUAAUUAAAAAGUUUAGAAUUUUUGGGCCUGGAAAGAGUAGUAUUAAACAUCAGCAAGCUAAGGUUGAUAUGUUAAAGAGUUGAUAUUGACAUAAUUUUUAUUUUGGUUUUCGGGGAAAAAAAAUUGUUGACAAGCAAGAAAAUAUUUAUAUAUUUUACAAUUUAUUAUACAUAUUUUAUCAUAUUAAAAUAAUUUUAAUAAUUAAUGAAAAACAAAAUAUUGCAAUAAAUAAAUUAAUGUUUAAAUUAUUUUGAAUAUAAUAAAAAUAAUUUUAAUAUUAUUAAUAGGAAGACAUUUUGUUAAUUUUAAAAUCUUUUUAACCCAAAGGUUUAUUUAAAGUCUUUAUUAUAAAUUAAAUAUCAUAAUCUAAAAUUUUUAAUAUUAUUUUAAGUAUUAAAAAUAUUUUAAUGUUAUUAGUCUACUACAUAGAUCAUAUUACUUAUGUUAUAUUUGUAUUGAUUAAAAAUUUUUAAAAUCAAUUUUCUAGUUACUACAUUCACGAGGCAUUAUGGUUAAAGAAAAGAUCUUGAUGUUACUUUUAAAAAAUUUGAGGGCCUGCAUGAUAAUUUUUUCAAAAUUUAAGGAUGUAGGUGUCCUUCUCAAAUAAUUUAGGGUGAGGCUAUUUGAAUCCACCAAUCUACUCACUACACCCAUUUACUAAAUAAACCCGCACUUAAGUUUUGAAAUUUUAAAUUUUACUCAACAAACCGACCUAAAUGUCCAAUAUACCCUUAUUGAACCCAAUUAUUAUAAUAAUAUGUUUUUGCUAAUUAAACCCAUUUAAUUCAUUUAAAGUUAAUAAAUGAUUAUAUUUAUUAAAUUGAAAACUAAAAGAUUAUACAAAACAUAAACAAUACUCUCAAUUAUAUAUUUUGGAGCAAAAAUUCCAAAGUGUAGUAAGCAAAGCCAAUGCAAAAUGGCUGGAGCAGCUAAUAAUGGUAAAAGUCAGAGCCUAGUAAUGUGGUACCGCUACUUGACUUUGGGAAAGAAGUGAUAAUUAUAUCAAUUUCUUCAACUUGGAAGUUGGAAGUGCUGUUGAAAGCGGUUGAUGCCAGAAAAAUAAUUAGAUAUCUGUCAAAAAAAAACUUUGGUAUUUUUAGAAAUAAAAUCCUAUAUCCAGUAUUUCAAUAUGAAAAGUCUCUAGUAUUUCUUUCAAUUGAUUCUUCCUUUGUCUUCUUCGACUCCAUGAAGGUUUAAUUAUGAUGAGAAAGCCAAGGGGAAUCAAUAAAGAAUAUCAAUUUAGGGUUUAAGAAAAAUAUCAUAAAGUUGAAUGUAAAAUGGAUUCAAAGAGUAAAUUUUAUUUUUAAAACUAUAUUUUAAUGUCUAAAAUUGUAAUUUAAUUUAGGGAUAUUUUAAUAAUUACAAUUUAUUUUUAAAAGUGAGUUUAUUAAGUAGUUUGAUGGGUUCAAAUAGUCCCAUCCAAUAAUUUAUUUCACUGUUAAGGGAAUCCAAUGAGAAAAAUAAUAAGAUAUCGUCAAUGACUUGUCAUUUUCUAUUUUUUCUAUGAGCUAAUUAUUUUGAGCAUUAGUGAUCUUGUCAGGACUACUCCAAUUAUUGAUGCAACUCCAGCGGCUGCAUCCACAGUGGCUACUCCAAUUAUUCAUGCCUUUUAAAAAGAAUAUGUAUACAAUAGCAAUCCAUACUUUAUCUUACAUUGAUUUUUUUCAAUUAAUGGUGAUUGCAUUGAUUUUUUUCAAUUAAAGAAAAAUUGUUUAAAAUAGAUUUAAUGCACAAAUACGAUGACUUUUGGCAAAAAUUAGUUUCGGAAAUGUUGGGAUGAAAACCAUAUUAGUUGAGACUUAAAUUAAGAUUUAAAUGUUGAGAUAGUAUUGCUCAGUCAGAAUAAACAAUAACCAAUUCAAAUUAUGACUAUCACGUAAAAACAAAUGUUUAUGCUUGGGUUUUUUACUUCUUGAAUUUGAUUGGAAAAAUUUCUGAGACAGAGAAGUGUUUUGGAUAAUUGUUUUGGGGAUUGAAACCACAAAUUGGUCGAGGAAAUUAAUUUUGGACAAAUUUUUAUUAUAUUGUAGCACCUUUUUGGUUCCUUUUCGGCGGCCCCAUACUAUUCUCUUAACCCUGAGUUUUUUUUUUUUUUUUUUUUUGAAAAGUCUUAACCCUGAGUUUGAGAUAGAAAUUUCCCGAACUCCAACCUCACAUCCAGGGACAAGUUGAUUGAAACAAUUGCUCUUUCAAUUAAGAGGAUGAGUUAGGUUUCAGUUCUUAUCAUUGUCUGUUAUUUCUUUGAAUCAUUAAUUUUGAGCAUUACUGAUCUUAGUUAUCUGUAUUUCUCCAAUUAUUGAAGAAUUUCAUGUGGCCACUUUUUCUCCUUUUCAUAUAUGUUUCGUUUUUGGACUGAUCAAACGGUGCAAAACCAAGUAUUUGCUGGUCCUUAGUUUAGCCAAUGAUGGCUGAUCCACAGUUGAAUAUAUGAUACUAUUAGCUCUUAUUUGAGAAUGUAAAGGGAUCUUUCUUAUUUGAGAAUACAAGUUGCCCAAUAGAGUUGAACUAUGUUACCCAACUCCAUGCUCAUACAUUAAAUGUUUAGGUAGUUUUACAAAAUGAUAGCAGCAUGCCAAAACUUGUUGUUGUCAUUUUCGACAUUUCAAAUUGAAAAAUAUGCAAGCAAUCUUCAGUGAACAUUACGUUUUUAUUGAAUAAUUUAAAUGGCCAGCAAAUCAACAGUCCGUGAGUUUUAAAUCUAUUAUGACUUAAUGUAUCUUUCUGUAUUCGUACACAGGUUAUAUUAUCAUAGUUUAAAAUUUUAAUAUUAUUUUAAAUGUUAAAAAUACUUUAAUGCUAUUAGUCUACUACACAGGUUAUAUUAUUUAUAUUAUAUUUGUAUUAAUUAAAACUUUUAAUGUCAAUUUUCUAAUUACUAUAUUGAAAAGGUAUUAUGGUUAAGAAAAAGUUUUGGCAUUUCUUCUUGAAAAUUUGAGGGUCUGCAUGACAAUUUUUCCAAAUUCUAAGGGUAUAGGUUUGAAAAUUUAAUGUUCUUUAACUUAAUGAAACAAAAGGGGGAAACCAAGAACUAUUCAAUUUUGUAUUUUUUGUUUGUAAUUCAAAAAAUGCAUCCACCAAACAAGUUUUACGCAUUAAUGCUGUCAUAAAACAAAAAACAGUUUGCCAAAAAAUGGUACCAAACAUAUCCUUAAUGUCUCACAUGAUUUCUUAGUAAGCCCAUAUUAGAUAUAUUUAUACAUUUUAGGUAUUUUAAUUAUAAAAGAAGUUGGUCCUCCCUCUGUUUAUAAAAGAUAACGUUAUUUCGAGAUUACCACUAAACUCUUACAUAGAAUUAGUGUAAUGUUAAGAGAGAGUAACACAAUUUUCCGUUACCAUCUUUGAAAAUAGAAAGAUAUGGAUGCGUGCAUUUAAGGGUUAUCGUGAAAAUCAUACAAUUCAAUUUCCUGACAUAUAUAUUCGUGCACAUAUGCCAAAAGAAUAAAUAGACAGAAAGUAAAUUUACAGUCCUCACUUCCUCACAAUUGUUAACGUGGAGACAUUAAGGAUGAGCAUAAAAGUUAAAGAUGACUCAUUUCUCAUUUUCUUUUUAAAGUGCUCUGCUGAAAGCCAAACUUCCUUUGGCUAAUUAAUUUAGAAGUAAAGCAGAGAAUAAAGUCCUAGAUGCCUUCUGAAAUUAGAAAUACAUUUUAUAUGCUUUAAUUAUGAUUAUUUGGUAGACUAAAGACCUAAAAGAUAUGUCCAAAGUAUAAAACAGAACGAUUAAAGGAAAAAGAAAAAAAACAGAGUAUUUGUGACGUAGAAUAACAAUUGGUAACUAAAAUCCUAAAUAUUUGAGUUGUUAAAAGCAAAUAUAACAGAGAAGGUAAGAGAGAUGCAGAAACAGAAAACUAUUAGCUUAUCUUGAUUUCCCACUAUAUUCAUUUUCGAUGCUUUUCAAACGAGAUUCUUUUAAUCCUUCUGGCGUCCGCAGCCCUUGCUCUUCUUACAAAUCUCCAGUCCACAUCUGCACUACGAACAAGUUGAUUGAAAUUAAAUAAUGUUGGAGAUGAGGGGUGAGCCGUCAACUUGGUAAAAAAAUUCAUGUAUAAUAUUAUCAAUAAUAUAAAAUAUAUAAUAAUUAUUACAAAGAAUCAUAAAUUAAAAAAUUAAUUAUUUUACAAUCUAUUUCUUAAGUAAGAUAAAUCUCGUAAUAAGUUAAGUUAUAACGUAAAAAAUAUUUUCAAUUUAUAAUCAUUUAAGAAGUCAUUUAACAAUAUAUUUUUUUUAUCAGCAGGCCAUGCCACAAAGUAUCAUCUAUAUUCGUGGUGAUAUUAUUAUUACUCCGUAUUCUCAAAAAACAUGAUUUAACAUUUAGAGAAAAUUCCUGCCUUUUAAAAAGAACAUGUAUGCAACAACUACCAAUACUUUAUCUUACCACAACAAAACCAAUGGUGACUAAAUCAAUUUUCUUGAUUAAAGCUAAAUUUCUUAAAAUUGAUUUAAUGCACAAAUAUGAUGACUUUUUGCAAAAAUUAGUUUUGGAAAAUAUAGUGAGAGAAAAUAGUGACGAUUAUUGUUUAGAUGUGUAAAUAGUCUAAACAUAAUCGCUAAUACCAAUAUCCAAGUGCAUCUUAACACCUUUCGUGAUAUUCUUUCAUUCAUGGUCACUGGUUCAAUAUUUGAAUUUAAUCAGUAAAUCAUGUUCAAUAAUAUUAGAGAUCCCAACAAUUGAGUACCAAUUUAAAUCCUAAUGCUAUAUGUCAUUGACCAAUAUUGUGUCAUUUUUUGUUAACUGGGUGAUGAAUUUCUAGUUGAUAAAAUUACUUUAAAAUAUCUUAAAAAUUAGACAAUAGUUUGCUUAAUUUUUUUAAGCUAACCGCUCAAGAUGCUCUAUUAGAAAUGAUAACCUAAUUAUAUACAUAAAAAAUGAUGUAUUUUUUGCAAUGUUGAUAGUGAGAUUAUCAUUCAACAUGUUAAAAUAUGAAAACAUAUGGAAGAUGGUUGUAAAUUGAUUGAAUGAAAAUAUUUCAGUGAAGUCUCAAAAAUUUGGUACUUGUUAUCUUAUCGAAAGUUUUCUAAAUUAUAUUCGUGGCACUGCCACUGCUUCUAUGUGAAGGUCAUUAAAAUUUGUGUUAGUUACCUAUAGGUUGAAUAACAAUUUUAUUCAUCAAUUGUUGCUCAAUAUAGCAAUUUGAUUGAAAGUGCCGCUGCACUAAUUUUCUAGAUGAACUUUCCUAAAUGUUUGUCCUCAUAUGACCUAGAAUGCUGCGAUAUCAAUUGUAUUGGAAAUUAUUCAAGUGGGUUAGUGCUCUACAUCCCCACCAAAAUUUAAGCAAUCAACAAAACAUUCCUUGUGGAAAUAAACUUAUUUCGCUACUAGACUUCUAAUGAGGCCCAUUUUCCAGAAUCUGGAUACGAGUUAGAUGUCUCCCAAAAUAUUGGUGGGAGUAGACUAUACUAGCACUCGACAACAUACUAACGACGCUAUGGUCCACCAGAAAGACCGGUCUCCGGUCAGCCGAAAAAUCUCACGUUCAGUCUCUUCUCAAUCUCCCUUCUCCCAGCCAAGUCGAUCCCGUAACAUGAUACUAAUCCACAGUUGAAUACAUGAUACUAUUAGCUCUUAUUUGAGAAUAUAAAGGGAUCUUUCUUAUUUGAGAACAUAAAUUGCCCAAUAAAGUUGAACUACGUUACCCCGCUCCAUGCACAUACAUUAAAUGUUAACAGCAUGCCAAAACUUGAUGUUGUCAUAUUCGACAUUUCAAAUUAAUAUGCAAGCAAUCUUCGGUGAACAUUACGUUUUUAUUGAAUAAUUUAAAUGGCUAGUAAAUCUAGAGUUCUUGAGCUUUAAUCUAAAUCAAAUCUAUUAUGACUCAAUGUAUUUUUUUGUGUUCGUACCAGUAAUGCAGGGGAUUAUUUACGCAACUCUUAUUAUUGACUGAGAUGUUCACCUUCAUCCAAUUAGAGAAAGAGUGACUGUAGAGGUGGCAAAAAUACCCGCCCGGUCCGGACCCGGACCGUACCCAUUACCUGGUCCGGGUAUGAAGCCGGGUCGGUCUUGGGCAUCACUUGAUAAACCUGGAACCCGGAUUUUAUUAAAAAAAUUAUAAAAUAUAUAUUAUUUUAAAUAUUUUAUAUUUAUUUGACUCAUUUAUUAUACAUAUAUAAAGUUUUAAACACUUAAAGUUUAUAUUUUCAUGUCAAAUUUUAUUGAAAUAAAUUUAAAACUUAUAAAAUUACUAAAAAAUAAAAAAUAUAUACACAUAAAAUAUUAAAAAAUAUAAAAUUCGGAUACCCGGAUUAAAACCCGGCCCGAACCCGGACCCAGACCGGUUGCAUCCGGGUAGGGUCCAGUCAUGGCAAUACUCGGACCUGGUCCGGGGUUUUGCCAUCUCUAAGUGACUGGGUUCCUAUAAAGGGACUCUUAACCAUUACGAGAGUAUUCAGACUACAAAUCUUUGUAAUUAAAUUCAAAGGUGAAGAUCUAUGCCUAUUAUCUAUUUAACAACUAAUAUAUAGUUAUCUAUUCAUUUAAAUAUCAAGGGCUAUGCUAAUAAUUAAGUUGAAAUGUUGAUGAAAGUAGCCUUACAUCUGUGUAUUACUCAUCUACUCUAAUCUUUUUUUUUUUUAACUUAAUGUACUUUUUCUAAUGUUGUUUACUCUUCCCCCCCCCCCCCCCCCCCCCCCCCCCCCCCCCCCCCCCCCCCCCCCACCUCUCUGACAAAAUAAUAAGAGUUUAGACUUGAAAAUAUCUUAAAGAUCAAACAGUAAUUUACCUAAUUUUUUGAAGCUAACUGCCAAAGAUAUUCUAUUAGACAUUGAUAACGUAGUUAUAUACAUUUAAAAUGAUAUUUUUUUGUGGAAAGGGAUUAUCAUUCAACAUCUUAAAAUAUGAAAACAUAUGGAAGAUGAUUGUAAAUUGAUUGAAUGAAAAUAUUUCAAUGAAGAUGGUUGUAAAUUGUUAUCUUAUUGAAAGUUUUCUAAAUUUACUACUAUUUGAACUUAGCCCUCCUGGUACCGCCACCAUUUCUGCUUGAAAGUCAUUUAAGUUUGUGUUAGCUGCCUAAAGCUUUUUUUUUUUUUUUUUUCUUUUUCUUUUUGAAAAGAGCUGCCUAUAGCUUGAAUAACUAUUUUGCUCACGAAUUGUUGUCCAUUAUAGCAAUUUAUUUAAUUGAAAGUGCGGCUGCAAUAAUUUUCUUGAUGAACUAUUCCACAUGUUUGUUCUCAUGUGAGGCAGUUUUUCUAGAAGAUUGAUAUUUCUUUAAGUCUUUAACUAGCAAAGCAUACCAGUCCAAAGCUAGCCAAACCAUACCUGCUGGUCCAGGGCUUAAAUGGAGUACUUCUAAGCAUAAAACAGUAACAAAAACACAAUAUAUGCAUACAUACAUACACACAUACAUACAUACCAGCAAAUUCAAAAUAGAAAAAAGAGUGCAACUAUUCAAGAAAUUGGUUAUUGUAGACAAACACACAUACAAACACAUACCAGAAAAUUCAAAAAAUAGAGAAAGGAGGCCAACUAUUCAAGUUUGUAGACAAUAUUGCAAUCAUGGCAUUACUUAUAGCAAGUCCUUGAAAUCUACUAAACAAAACAAUGCUCUGUCUCAUGAAUCAAUGUUGAAUUACAGACGAAAAUGAAAGUCUAGCAGGUGUUGUUUCCCUCUUCGAUUUUGCCUACACAAGUAAAGGGAAAUAAGAAUCAUAAAUGAAAAUCAGCUUUUACAGUUGUAAUUAUUAGAUAGAUCUAGAACGAUCUUUCUUUGUUUCUCUGCUGCAAUGUGCUAUCCCACUCUGUUUUGCUACUAAAAUUGAGUCUAUGUUGAGACAUAAUUUCGACACUAGGAGCAACCGCAAUUAGUUUGGCAUUGCAUUACCCCUUGAAGGUUUUACAAUAGUUGUAAACUUACCGAGAAAGUGGAAAAAAAAGGGCAUAGGGAAUUAGGCAAGUAACUAAAGUAUGAGUCAUCAGAUAUGAUUAAAACUCACCCAAUUCAAUCCAUCAGAUUCCGUAAGGAUAUAACUGGAUGUCAUAACGCCACUCCAUAUCCUCGAAAGUCCGUAGCCUUUGCCUCAACUCUGUCUGGGGCCAGUGUAAGUCCAAUUUGCGCAAGCUCUUUAUGCACCAUAGCUCUUCUGGAAGCUUCCUCAAGUAAGCACAUGGGUUGACAAUUAAGCUUUCAAGUUUUGGCAUUGCUCCUGCCCCCAUCGUCCACUCAUCUAGCCAAUACAUUGACUUCAGGUGCAAAAUCUUAAGUUCCGGAAAGCCACCAGAGUCAUCACAGGCCAACUUUCUUCCUAAAUACGAGUUCUUCUUCAGUUUCAGCACUUGAAGGCGUGGAAGCUUUUCCAGCAUUGGCAUGGGAUCCUCCAUUAGCUCAGUAUUUGAUAAGCUCAGAUGGCUCAGACUUAAAGGAAAUUCGUAUUCAGACAGGGCAAUCCGUGAGAGCUUGCUCUCAUUCACUAGUUCCAAGCAUUCAAUUUUGUGGAGUUCGCAUACGCUUUUGGAAACCCCAGAGUGAUAGCAACUCAAAUCUCCAGAUAUCUGAAGAGUUUGAACAUUAGGUAGUCUGCACAAUAUAUCUGGCGUGCAACUACUAGGGUGUAAGGAUGAUAUGAAAAUAAGAUUUUUCAGAGAGCUGGAAUAAUUUUUUGGAGGUGCAGGCAGAGUGAUGGAACCAAAGUUCAGAUGCAUGAGUUUUUGCAUCUUCCAAAUAUCCUCUGGUGUUUGAUCUACGUAGCUAGAUGGCAUGUCUAGUGUUUGAAGGUUUGAAAGGGUGCAUAGCUGUGAAGGAAGACAUUUGAGCGAAGGGAUAUUCAAUUUCAAAUACUUCAAAUGGAAUAAAUUAUCUAAUCCGGGUGGAUAUUGGUCCAGGACUGCAGAACCCAUGUUCAAUACCCGAAGGUGUUUGAACAUUUUACAAAAAUUCUCGCAAUCUAUCGGAUUAAGAUGAUCGCUUUCUGAACUGUAAUUCAGAAAAGAUUGAUUAGUUCUUUCAAGUAAUGUUCGGCCGUCCCCUCACUGUUGUAUGGUAUGAAACCUUCAGCUACCCACAACUGAUAUAAUUGCCUCGUGGAUAUCUCAAUACUUGGAGGGAAGACAAACAAAUAGAUGCAGCAGACUUUCAAGUGAAAAGGUAACUCCAUCACAGAAUAAAUUUGUCUCCAAGCUGUCGGAAUCGCUUCGCCUUGAAAAUAAUUUUCUAAUGGCAUACGUCCGUAGUGUAGGACGAAAAAUUGCAAGCCUUCAUACUUUAUUCUAAUCAGUGGUCCUCCAACGAGCACUGAAUCAAGCCGAAUCUCCUCUGCGUUUUCCAUUUCCAACGAUGUAAGGAGUCUUGGAUCAGCGACCAAUAUCAAUACUCUGCUUCCAUUCUGAUUAUCAGGAAGAACUUCUUCAAGAUCAUCCCAUAUCUCACUCUCAUCGAAGAAGCACAAUAAAGUACUUAUUGUUUGUUAGGUAAUCUCGAAGACUAGAUUUCUUCAAUUGAUAACUUCACCGAGGCAUCACAGACUUGAUUAUGUCAUCCAAUAUCUUGCCAAAAUCGUAGGCUAUAGAAACCCUGACCCAAGCAAGACAGUCAAAAUAGAACUUGACAUGAUUAUUGUUAAAAGUAUCUGCAGCAAAAGCAGUCUUAUCGAAGCCACUGCUGUCGAAAAUUGCAACCACUGAUAUCGAUAGAUCAAACAACUUCUCUCUGCCCUUUUCAAAUUCACUGAUAUCGAGCCGAGGUUGUCCCUCAUUCAAUAGGCGAAUGAUUUUGUUACUUUGUUCACUGAUAUCAAAACCAUUGUCGCCGGGUGGAAGUUGUUGCAUCUGAUUUCUAAUAUCAAAGUGAAAAAUUGCUGCUUUCACUUUCGUUUUCACUGUUUUGCUGCUGCAUGAUGUUGAUAUUGACAUAAUUUUAUUUUAGUUUUUGGGGAUAAAAAUAUUUGUUGACAAAUAUUUUUAUAUUUUACAAUUUAUUAUACAUAUUUUAUCAUUUUAAAGUAAUUUUAAUAAUAAAUAGAAACAUAAUAUUACGAUAAAUAAAUUAAAGUUUAAAUUAUUUUAAAUAUUAUAAAAAUAAUUCUAAUAUUAUUAAUAGGAAGACAUUUUGUUAAUUUUAAAAUUUUUUAACCCAAAGGUUUAUUUAAAAUUUUUAUUAUAAAUAAAAAUAUAAAAUUAAAUAUCAUAAAGUGUAUGCACGUUGACUCUCAAUAUAUACAAACGACUCUCUGGUAUGAUUCAAAGCACCAGUAUAUGCAUCAUUUUAAUGAGAAAGGAUAUUCUAAGAUUAUUUAUGCAUCACCAUUUUUAGUUGUACCGGCUCUAAUGAAAUUGAAGGUGCAAUCAGCAGCUAAAAUGAAGCCAGAAAUUGAAGGUGCAUGAGGAAAUUUUCCUAGAAGAUUGAUAUUUCUUCGACUAGCAAACCAUACAAGUCAAAGCUAGCCAAACCAUAUCUGCAAGUCCGGGGCUUAAAUGGAGUACUUCUACGCAAAAAACAUUAAUCAAAACACAAUAUGAGCACACCCCCGUCAACCCACCCCCCCCCAACACACAUACCGGCAAAUUCAAAAUAGAAAAAGGAGUGCAACUAUUCAAGUUUGUAGACAAUAUUGCAACCAUGGGAUAUUAAAGAAUAUCUUUGAAAUCCGCUAAACAAAACAAUGCCCUGUCUCAUGAUUCGAUGCUCAAUUAGAAUUGAAAUUGAAAGUCCGGCUGUUGCUGUUUCUCUCUCCAGUUUUGCCUACAUAAGUAAAGGGAAAUAAGAAUCAUAAAUUAAAAUCUGCUUUUACAAUUCUUAUUAGAUAGAUAUAAAGGGAUCUUUCGUUGUUUCUCUGCUGCAAUGUGUUGCUAUCCCACUCUGAGAAAGAUCUUUCGUUGUUUCUCUAUGUUGAGACAUAAUUUUGACAUCAGAAGGUUUUAUGACCUCCUUGAAGGUUUUACGAUAAACAUAAAUCUACUGAGAAAGUGGGAAAAAACGAAAAUGCAUAUAAAAGUAUGAGUUAUCAGAUAUGAUUAAAACUCACCUAACAUCAGAUUCCAUAAGGAUAUAACUGGAUGUCAUACCGCCACUCCAUAUCCUUGAAAGUCCGUAGUCUUUGUCUCAACUCUGUCUGAGGCCAAUGUAAAUCUAAUUUGCGCAAGCUCUUUAUGCACCAUAGCUCUUCUGGAAGCUUUCUCAAGUAAGCACAUGGAUUGACAAUUAAGCUUUCAAGUUUGGGCAUUGCUCCAGCCCCCAUCGUCCACUCAUCUAGCCAAUACAUUGACUUCAGGUGCAAAACCUUAAGUUCCGGAAAGCCACCAGAGCCAACACAGGCCAUCUUUCUUCCUAAAUUCGAGUUCUGCUUCAGUUUCAGCACUUGAAGGUGUGGAAGCUUUUCCAGCGUUGGCAUGGGAUCCUCCAUUAGCUCAGUAUUCGAUAAGCUCAGAUGGGUCAGACUUGGGGGAAAUUGGUAUUCAGACAGGAACAUCCGUGAGCGCUUGCUUUCAUUCACCAGCUUCAAGCAUUCAAGUUUGUGCAGUUCGCAUAGGCUUUUGGAAAUCCCAGAUUGAUAAUAACUCAAAUCUCCGGAUAUUCUAAGAGUUUGAAUAUUUGGUAGUCUGCCCAAUAUAGCUGGAGUGCAACUACUAGGGUGUAAGGCUGAUAUGAAAAUGAGAUUCUUCAAAGAGCUGGAAUAAUUUUUUGGAGGUGCAGGGAGAGUGAUGCAACUGAAGUUUAGAUGCAUGAGUUUUUGCAUCAUCCAAAUAUUCUCUGGUGAAUGAUCUAUGUAGCUAGAUGGCAUUUCUAGUGUUUGAAGGUUUAAAAGGGUGUAUAGCAGCGAAGGAAGGCAUUUGAGCAAGGGGAUAUUCAAUUUCAAAUACUUCAAAAGGAAUAAAUUUUCUAAUCCGGGUGGAAAUUGGUCGAGAACUGCAGAACCCAAAUUCAAUACCCGAAGGUGUUUGAAAUUUUUACAAAAAUUCUCACAAUCUAUCAGAGCGAGACGAUCGCUUUCUGAACUGUGAUUCAGAAAAGAUUGGAGAUACAUGUCAGAAUAUUCUAAAGGAAAGAAGUGAAUCAGACCUUUCAAAAUGAAGCACCGUUUAACAUUUGCCAGUGAUUCCUCUUCCAUUUCAGGCAUCCAGACAAAUCCCGUCUUCUCUGCCACCAAACCCAAUGAAGUACAUACAAAACUUGGAACAUAACGCGCUUUAAUUGUGCCUCCGGCUCUUCUCUUACUCACUUGAAUGAAGCCGCGAUGGAUUAGUUCUUUCAAGUAGUGUUCGGCAGUUUCUUCACCGUUGUAUGGUAUGAAACCUUCAGCUACCCACAACUGAUAUAAUUGCAUCGUGGAUAUCUCAAUGCCUGGAGGGAAGACCAACAAAUAGAUGCAGCAGACUUUCAAGUGAAAAGGUAACUCCAUCACAGAAAAAAAUUGUCUCCAAACUGUCGGAAUCGCUUCGCCUUGAAGAUAAUUUUCUAAUGGCAUACUUCCGUAGUGUAGGAUGAAAAAUUGCCAGGCUUCAUGCUUUAAUCUGAUCAAUGGUCCUCCAAAGAGCACUGAAUCACGCCGAAUCUUCUCUCCAUUUUCCAUUUCCAACGACGCAAGGAGGUCUGGAUCAGUGACUGUUAUCAAUACUCUGCUUCCAUUCUCAUCAUCAGGAAGAAGUUCUUCGAGAUCACUCCAUAUCUCACUGUUAUCGAAGACAUCAUCAAGCACAAUAAAGUACUUCUUGUUUGUUAGGUAAUCUCGAAGAAUAGAUUUCUUCAAUUGAUAAUCUUCACCGAUAAUUACACUAACCCGAGAUUGAUGUCCUCCAGAAUUCCAAAAAUAUCUGCUGUUUCAACGUCUUCUUCAUCGCUUUCUUCUAAGUCCAACAGUUCCAAAAAAGGCAAAGAUAUUUUGGAGUCAUCGAAUUCUUCUCUAAUGAGUUGAAACAAAUGCCGAGCCAUGUCAGCUUCAUAGUUUCCCAGAAGAGUAGUAGCAAUAAUUUCGGACUCCGUAAGAAGGUUUUGAAAAAGUGGGGUUAAAUUUGUUGAAUCUGGCAGUGGCAACGUGCCUUCUACACCUGCUAACACCCUUUUCAACCUCUCACAAAACAGUCGGAGGUGGAAUUCCAGCAUAUCUCCUUCUCUCCGUAGCACUCAGAGGUAUAGUUGAAAGAUUAAACACCAUGGAAUAAUUUGAAAGGAAAAUGCCAAGAAACUGUGUAAGUGGCUAAAUUCCACAAAUAUUACAUUAUUGCUCAUUUUUUAACUCAAAAAAAUGGUACGCGUUCAUUUAGAGAAGAGUCCAAGCCCAGUAACAGGAAUAUUUUAUUUACUGGUGCUUAAAUCAAUUGUUUCUUUUUUAAUUUAAAGAUUUUUUCAUUAAAAAAUAUUUUAAUAUCAAAAUGCCUUCAAUGGCAUUACUGCCGCAAGCCCAGUAACAGGAUUAAUUAAAAAGUUCAGAAUUUUUGGGCAUGGAAACUGGAAAGAGUAUUAAACAUCAGAAAGCUAAGGUUUGUUCUGUUAAAGAAUUGAUAUUGACAUAAUAUUUUUUUUUUUGAGGAAAAAAAACAUAUUGGUUGACAAGCAAGGAAAUGUUUUUGUAUUUUACAAUCUGUUAUUAAAUAUUUUAUCAUAUUAAAGUAAUUUUAAUAACAAAUAGAAACAUAAUAUUACAAUAAAUAAAUUAAAGUUUAAAUUAUUUUGAAUAUUAUAAAAAAUAAUGUUAAUAUUAUUAAUAGGAAGACAUUUUGUUAAUUUUAAAAUCUUUUUAAUCCUAAGGUUUAUUUAAAAUCUCUAUAAUAAAUCCAAAUAUAAGAUUAAAAUAAAAAUCAUAAUUUGAAAAUUUUAAUAUUAUUUUAAAUGUUAAAUAUACUUUAAUGUUAUUAGCCUACUACGUAGAUUUUAUUAUUUAUAUUAUAUUCGUAUUGAUUAAAAUUUUUUAAAGUCAAUUUUUUAGUUAGUACAUUCAAGAGGUAUCAUAGUUAAAGAAAAGAUUUUGGUGCAACUGUUUUAAAAUUUCAGAGUGUAAAUGAUAAUUUUUUUUAAGUUUUAAGGAAGUAGGUAUUAUUUUUCCGACAAUUUAUUUUAUUUUGAGGGAAAUCCGAUGAGAAAUAUCAUCAGAGAACAUUAAUUUAACAUUCUUUAUCUUUGUGAAAAAAGUGGAAACCAAGAACUAUUCAAAAUUUUUUUUUUUUUGUAAUUCAAAAAAUGCAUUCACCAAACAAGCUUAUCUUAAUUUUCCCACUUUAUUCAUUUUCGAUGCUUUUCAAAAGAGGUUCCUUUAAUCCAUCUCCAUCCCACAUCUACACUAUCAAACAAGUUGAUGGAAAUUGGAACACAUUAAGUUAUGUUCAUUACUGGUCUUUGUCUUUCUAUGAGCCACUUAUUUUGAGCAUUAGCGAUCUUAUAAGGAAUCAUGCCUUUUCAGGAUCGUUUUCUUUCAUUUCCUUAUUGUAGUAGUUAAUUAAAUAAAGAACGAACAGCUGAACUUGGUCUUUUUGGAGGAAGAACAAGGUUUCCAAUACUAGAGGAACUUUGAAGAAAAUUAAUUGGAAGCCUUUAUUCAUCUUUGAAGAAAAUUACCACACUUUAAAUCCUGGAUAAAAAAAAUUUUAUUCAUCUUCGGACUAUGAAUUUAUAAAAUAAUAUUGUUAGGACUAAGAAAAAAUAUUAUUUUAGAUAAGUUAUUUAUUUAUUAUUGAAUGAAAAAUUUAUCAUGAUAAAUAAAUAUUUAUUAAUUUAAAGAGAGAUUUUUUUUUGGUUUUAAGAAGAGUUUUUUUGGUACAUGCACACAUUAAUAAAGAAACACAAAAAGUGCUUCCUCAAGUCAAUAGUAUUUGCUUUAAUCGCUAAGGUGCAUAAUAAUGUAGCUUAGUUAGGAAAUUUGUAAUUAUAUUAUGGCUCUAUUUGGUAUAACUUUUUAAUUAGAACUUAUUUAAGGAGAAUUUUUAUUAGUAGAGUUUUUAUAAAUAGAGAUUUUACUAAAAAAAAAUUAUAGUUAUUUAGUUGUCAAUGACCAAAUUGAUUAACUAUUGUUCUUUUUGUUAACAUGUGUUUGUUUUACUUAAUAAUAAAAGUUUAUUUUACAAUUACACCGGUGUCAAAUCAGCAGAGCACCGGCAAGAGUUUUCGAUUGUUGCAAUUUGCAAUGCACACGGUGAGGGAAAAUGAGAAUCUUGUUUAAUUGUGAAUAAUGACAAACCUAAUCCUUUCAUUAGGAGUAAAUUAAUAAUCGUUUGUUAUAAUUGAAUAUGUAUAAAGAAAGGAAAAUUAUAUUCAUAGAUUUGACUUAUUUUUUGUUUAACGUAACUAAUCAUUCAACCAUCUUCAUUUGCCUCUGGCCAAUGCCCUUGUAGAUUAGUUGAAGCGUUAAUUACAUAAUUCAGAUAAUUACAACGUCCUUUUCGCUAAUUAAUUAUGAUUAUGUACAUUUUCAUAUAGCAAGUGGCAUUGUAGAUCUAAACUACGUUGCUAUUUCAAUACGUUAAUUAAGUGAUUCUCCUCAUUGUCAUCAGCGUUAUAAACAGGAAUUGUGCAAACAGUACACAAUGCUGCGGCAAGGCGUGGGUGGCUAGAGUUUUGCAACCACCCUCGAGAUCCUGUGCUGCCAGUAGUAAAAGAAUUUUACACCAAUUUGGUAAGCCUUGGUCAGCACAACAUUUGGAUAAGAAACUCACUUGUUCCAUUAGACUCUCGAGUUAUAAAUUUUUUUUAUAAUUUACCUGCCGAAAUUAAUUGUGAGUAUGCCAAGUUGCUUGACAAAUUGACCUCGCAACAAUGGAACAUAAUUUUCACGACACUUACAGUAGAGGGUGCAUCGUGGGCUAAUGAGGAGGAGCGUGUAAUUAACAGGAUAGAUUUAAAACUCAUUGCUAAGGUGUGGGUGAAAUUUCUGAAAUCUAGGCUUAUGCCAACCACCCACACCACUACUGUUUCACAGGAAAGGUUGGUGUUGUUAUAUGCUAUUGUUAGAGGGCUUCCCAUAGAUGUGGGAAGUAUUAUCGAAAAAGAAAUUCGAGAUUGUGCCAUGAAAAACCACAAGGCUGCUGCCUUGUUAUUUCCUUCACUCAUAACCAGCAUAUGUGUAGUAUCAGGUGUUCAUCUUGAUGCAAAGGAUGAAAUUUGUAAUUAUAUUAUGGCUCCAUUUCGUAUAACUUUUUAAUUCGAACUUAUUUAAGGAGAAUUUUUAUUAGUAGAGUUUUUUAUAAAUAGAGAUUUUACUAAAAAAAAAUUAUAAUUAUUUAGUUGUCAAUGUCGAAAUUGAUGAACUAUUGUUCUUUUUGUUAACAUGUGUUUGUUUUACUUAAUAAUAAAAGUUAAGUUCACAAUUACACCGGUGUCAAAUCAGCAGAGCAUUUUUCCAGCCAGUCACAUUAUACAUUUUUGCAACUUGCAAUGCAAGCGAUGAGAGAAAAUGAGAAUCUUGUUUAAUUGUCAAUAAUGACAAACCUAAUCGUUUCAUUAGGUGUAAUUGCAUAAUCGUUUGUUAUAAUUGACUCUGUAUAAAGAAAGGAAAAUUAUAUUCGUAGAUUCGACUUUUUUUUUUUUAAGGUAAUUAAUCAUUCAACCAUCUUCAUUUGCCCCUGGCCACUGCCCUUGUAGAUUAGUUGAAGCGUUAAUUACUUAAUUCAGAUAAUUACAACGUCCUUUUCGCUAAUUAAUUAUGAUUAUAUACGUUUUCAUAUAGCAAGUGGCAUUGUAGAUCUAAAUUAUGUUGCUAUUUCAAUACGUUAAUUAAGUGAUUCUCCUCAUUGUCAUUAAGUGGAAAAUAGCUCAAUUGUUUCCCUGCAUCGAUUUUCAUUGGUAAGUGAUUUCUUAUGAUAUUCGUUUGAGCUUUCCUUAUUAAAAAAGCUUGAGCCUUGAUCACCUAAUACUGAUAUCAAUUUACUUGUGAACGAUUUUGUAAUGAAAUUAGGAGUUAAAUAUACAAGAUUUUUACCUGAUGAAUUUUGAUUUUUUUAAUUUUUUGAUGUAGUCAAUUUGCGAAUUUUAUAUAUUUCAUAUUCAACGGAAUUUGGGCACGGAAAGUUUGGAUUCUAAUAUUUAUAGAGUAAUGAUACAGCCACAAACUCUUGUACAAAAUUGAUGUGGCGUUAAUUCAUUAGUUGAAUUAAAUAUCUUUUUGCCCACAUGAUUUUUUUUUUUAUUUUUUUUUUUCAUUCAAUCAAUGAAUUAAUGCCACAUCAGUUUGUACAAAAUAAGUUUGUACAAGAGUUUGUGGUUAUAUCAUUAUAUUUAUAUAUUUAGCUUUAAUCAGUUUGACUUUAGCAAUCUUUUUCCCUCAUCAUUAAGGGAUUCAGAAUUAGAGAAACGCUAGGAAGAGGAAGAAAAUAACUUUGGAAAUAAGUAAGAGGGAAAAAAUUAUGAAAUUUUGAAUUAUUUUUUGUAAAGUAUGUUGCGUUUACUAAACUUGAAUUAGAAUGAGCUGAAAUCAGAAUGAAUAGGAAUGCGAAUGUGCUGAAAUCGGAAUAGGUAAUGAGAAUAAGAAUAAGUUGUUUACUUGAACUGUAAAAAUCAAAAUCGAAAUGAGCUGAAUUGCAAUUACUUUGUCUUGGAAGCGGAAUUAGAAUCGGAAUGAGUUAGAUUGUAACAAAUUACUAAAAAGUACUUAAUGAAUUAUUGUCAUAAUUAUUAUUUUAUAUUUUAAUUAUAGUGAUUAUUUAUUCAAAAAUUAUUAUUAUUAAUUAUUUUCAAUAAUAUAUUAAUAUGUUAAUUAAUUUUAAAAAUUAUUAAUUAAUUAAUUAUAAUAAUAUACUAAUUAAUUAUAAUAAUUAUAAAAAUAUAUUAAUAAUAAAAUUACUAAUUUAAUUAUAAUAAUAUAUGAAUUAAUUAUAAUAAUUAUAUUAGUAAUUAUUAUAAUAGUAUAUUAAUUAAUUAUAAUAAUAAAAAUAUAUUAAUUAUGUGAUUAUUUAUUCAAAAAUUAUAAUUAUUAAUAAUUAUUGUUAAUAAUGUAUCAAUAUAUUACUUAAUUAUAAUAAUAUAUUAAUUAAGUAUAAAUGAGGACAAAGGGGGUAUUUUUAAUUUCACGUAGGGGCAAAAUGGUCAAUUCUAGUAAUGGGAGACUCACUCCGACCCUCUCCCUUGGGAAUGAGUCUCCCAUUCCUCAUUCCCAAAUUGUGGUGGGCCCCAUAAUUUUGACUCUGAUUUUUGACUCAAUUUUGCGAAGUAAACGCUACCAAUGAUUCUGAUUUCGGAUUCUGAUUCACUUAUCCGAGAAGUAAAAGCAACAUAAAUGUGUAUGAAUAAUUGAUACCUAUGAAUAGUUUUGGGAGUUUUAGUUAGGAGUCGUUUAUUGAAGAUGUUUAGCAAUUAAAGAUCUCUGUCUCAGCAGUUUUCCCAAUCAAAAUCAAGAAGCAAAACAACUUGCCAUUUUUCUACUUGAUAAUUAAUUGAAAUUUAAGAAAAUACAAUGGCAUUUCAAUUAGAAAUGGUAAUUGUUUAUCUUUUUUCAUUGAUCAAAUUCUAAUCGUGAUCCAAUAGUUAUGGAUGAAGGAAAUAUUAUGAGAGGCGAUAGGCCAAGUGAAGACGUACCAGCAAAUUCAAAAUAGUCGGGAGGUGGACGUCCAGCAUAUCUCCUCUCUGUAGCACCCAGAUGUAUUGUUAUUUGCUCCAAGAAAUGUUAAAAGGAUUGGCCCUAUCUCAAUGUGGUUAGUGGUGAAAAAUUAAACACCAUGGAAGGAUUUGCAAGGAAUAUGCCAAGAAACUGGCUAAGUUCCACAAAUAUGGCAUUAUUGCUCUUUUUUUUUAAAGAAAAAUUAUACACGUUAAUUUAGCAAAAAGUCUAAGACACAUGCCUUUUGAAAAGAACAGCUAUUACCAUGACACAAUCGAUGCGGCUGAAACCAAAAUUUUCUUUUCUUAAUGUAAAGAUUUUUUUUAAAUAGAUUUUAAUAUCAAAAUGCCCUUCGAUGUUAUUACUGUCACAAGCCCUGUAACAGGAGUAAUAAAAAAUUUUAGAAUUUUUGGGCAUGAAAAAAGUAGUAUUAAGCAUCAGCAAGCAAAGGUUGUUCUGUUAAAGAAUUGAUAUUUUCGUGAUUUUAUUUUGGUUAUCGAGAAAAAAAAAUAUAUAUUUGUUGACAAGUAAGAAAAUAUUAUUAUAUUUUACAAUCUAUUAUACAUAUUUUAUUAUAUUAAAUAAUACUAAAUAGAAACAUAAAAUUAGAAUAAAAUAAAUUAAAAUUAAAAUUAUUUUGAAUAUUAUGUAAAAAAUAAUGUUAAUAUCAUUGUUACUUCUAAAAUAUAUUUAGCCCAAAGAUUUAUUUAAAAUUUUAUAAUAAAUAAAAAUAUAAAAAUAAAUUAAAUAUCAUAGUUUAAAAUCUUAAUAUUAUUUUAAAUAUUAAAAAUACUUUAAUGUUAUUAUUCUACUACACAUGUUAUAUUAUUUAUAUUAUAUUUGUAUUAAUUAAAAAUUUUAAAGUCAACUUUCUAGUAACUAUAUUCAAAGGUAUUAUGGUUAAAUAAAGGUCUUAGUGUUUCUUUUUCAAAAUUUGAGGGUCUACAUGAUAAUUUUUCCAAAUCCUAAGGUAUAGGUGUCCUUUUUGUCAAUAAUUUGAGAGAAUACGAUGAGAAAUAAGAUCAGAGAAAUGUCAAUUUAAUGUUCUCUAGCUUAAUGAAAAAAAAAAUGGAAACCAAGAACUAUUCAAUUUUGUAUUUUUUGUUUGUAAUUCAAAAAAUCCAUCCACCAAACAAGUUUCACGCAUUUAUGUUGUCAUAAAACAAAAAAACAGUUUGUGAAAAAAUGGCACCAAACAUACCCUUAAUGUCCCACAUGAUUUCUUAUGAAGCCCAUAUUAGAUAUAUUUAUACAUUUUACUGCAUUUAGGACAUAUUUGAUAGCCUGCAUUAUAUAGGAUAAAAACACAAUUUUGUAUUAAAUUAAUGCACACUCACGUUUGGCGCUAAAAGUAACUCCAGCCGCAUUGCAUUAAUGGGCUGCUAAUGCGGCAAUUGCCGCACUAGCUUGCCUCUUUUUCUUUUUAAUUUUAUUUAUAAUAAUAAUAAUAAUAAUAAUAAUAAUAAUAAUAAUAAUAAUAAUAACAUAAUAUAACUUUUUAUUUUAAUAUAAUAUUAUAUAAUAUUAAGUAUAAUUUUUAUUUUUACAUUAUAAUUAUUGAUAUAAAUUAAUAAAUGUAUUAUUUAUUAUUCAAUAAUAUUAUAUUAUAUAUUUUUAUUUUUACAUUAUAAUUUAUUAGUAAAUUUAUAAUUUAAUAUAAUUAAUAAUAAUAGAAAAUAUCAUUACAUGUACUACAAAACUCUUACUUUGAUUAUUUAACACAAUUUAUUUUAUUCGUGAAUAUGUUAUAACAAUUGUAUCACUUUAUUAUUUUGUUAUUAUUUUGUGGUAUGUAUAAAUUUUUAUUCUAUUAUCCUAGGAUGACUUUGAACUAAUGUUAUAGGUUUUAACUAUUUAUUUAUGUUGUUAUAUUAUUAGAGAUUAUUUGAUUAAAUUAUUUGCUUCGAUCUUUAUUUUGCAGGUCAUAUAUUUAGAAAUUGCUGAAAAAUAAAUGUUAUACUUCAAAAAAUUUAAGGCUAUAAGCUCGAUCUUUAUGAAGAAUUGUGAUAUUUUUUAACAUUUACACCAAAAAAAAUUGUUAAAUUUCUAAAAUUUAAGACUUCUAUAUUUAGUAUUUUUCUAAUUACUAAUAAGUAUUAUUUUCUAAAUAUAUAAUUUAAAUUAAUCACAAAAAAUUAAUACAGUACAGUGCAAUAUCAAAUAUAGUAUAAUAAAAAUUAUACAGUAUAAUGUAACACCAAAUAUUAUAUAAUAUUAUUAUAAUAUAGUACUAAUAUAAUAUAAUAUAAUACAAUAUAGUGUGCCAAACGCACCCUUAGAGUGUGUUUGGAACAUGGGAUUAUAGGGUAUUAAAACACUAUUCUUAUUAGCUUAAUACCAAUAUCAUGUUUGGAAAGAAAUUUUAAGGGAUUAAAGGGGGGUGAGCUAAUGCCAUAACUGCGGCAGUAGUGUCUUGGUUUUUUUUUUUAAAUAAUAAUAAAAAAUAUAAAUUUCUAAUUUUAUGUAAUAUUAUAUAAUAUUAAUUUUGAUUUUCUUUGAUCUUUACAUUAUAAUUAUUAAUAUAAGUUAAUACAUUUGUAAUUUAUUAUUCAUAUUUUAAUUUUUAUUAUAUUAAAAAUAUAACUAAAUAAUUUAAUUUUAAUUAUAUAAUAAUUAAUGUAUAAAAUUGAUUAAUAUUUAAUAAGUUAAUACAACUAGUAAUAAGUGCUUAAAUAAUACAUAAAAAUAAAAAUAUAACAUAAUAUUACAUUAUUUAAUUAUAUUACAAUAACUAAUAUAUAAAAAUUGAUUAUUAUUUAACAAUUUAAUAUAGCUAAUAAUAGAUACUUAAAUAAUAAUUUAAUAUAACUAAUAAUGAAUAUAUUUAAAUAAUAUUAAUUUAAAAUUAAUACCAAUAUAUAUAAUAAUAUAAAAUAUUAUUACAUGUACUGUAGUAUUCUUACUUGGAUUAUUUAGCGCAAUUUAUUUUAUUAGUGAAUAUGUUACAACUAUUGUAUCACUUUAUUAUUUAAAUUAAUCAAAAAAAUUAAUACAGUACAAGAUAAUACUAAAUAUUGUACAACAUUAUUAAAAUACAGUAUUAAUUCAAUACAAUAUAAGACAAUAUAUCUAUAUUAAAAUAAAAUAAUAUAAUUUAAUAUAAUACAAUAUGUCAAACGCACCCCGUGUAUUUUAAUUUCAAAAGAAGUUGGUCCUUCCUUUAUUUAUAAAAGAUAACUUUAUUUUCAGAUUACCACUAAACUCUGAAGUAGAAUUAGUGUAAUGUUAAGAGAGAGUGACACAGUUUUCCAUUACCAUCUAUGAAAAUAGAAAGAUAUGGAUCAGUGUAUUUAAGAGUUAUCGUGAAAAUCAUACAAUUCAAUUCCCUGACACAUAUAUUUAUGAGCAUAUGCCAAAAGAAUAAAUAGAUAGAAAGUAAAUUUACAAUCCUCACUUCCUCACAAUUGUUAAAAUGAAGACGCAUUACAACUGUGAACUGUCACUACUUUAUCCUUUUUUAUUUUUUAUUUUUUAUUUUUAGUUAUAGUGUGAUGGAGACAGUGAACAUCAAGGAUGAGAAUAAAAGUUAAAGAUGACCCACCCACUUUCUUUUUAAAGUGCUCUGCUGAAAGCCAAAGUUCCUCUGGCUAAUUAAUUUAGAUGUGAAGAGAGAAUAACGAUAUGUUAGAUUAUUUGGUAGACUAUAGACCUAAAAGUUCCUUCUGAAAUUAGAAAUACAUUUUAUAUGCUUUAAUUAUGAUUAUUUGGUAGACUAUAGACCUAAAAGACAUGUUAGAUUAUAAAAUAGUGCGAUUAAAAAAAAAAGAGUAUUUGUCACGUCAAAUAACAAUUGGUAACUAAAAUCCAAAAUAUUUCAGUUGUUAAAAUCAAAUAAAAAAAAAGAAGGUAAGAGUGAUGCAGAAACACAAUAUUAGCUUAUCUUGAUUUUCCCACUUUAUUCAUUCUCGAUGCUUUUCAAAAGAUAUUCUUCUACUCCUUCUGGUGUCUGCAGCCCCUUGUCACGGGAUGAGAGGUUUCGAGCCCGUGCGGCACUCUCACAUCCCAUACUACGAGAGUAAACCUAGUGGAAGUGGCACAAUAUCGACUAGUUUCGCCCUGCCUUGGGCUCAUCAGGAGAACGGCUCCAGUUCCCAACCAGUGUGUGUAGGGCUCUGAUACCAAAUUGAAGUUUAACCAAGCUAUUUAUGCUUGUUUGGUUGCAGAGAAAAUGAAGGAAAAUUCAAUGAGUAAUAAGAGAAACUAUAAGAGAAAUGGAUCGAAUCUUAUUCAAUGAAUUAUGAAUACAGAGGUUGACCUUAUAUACUAAGAUCCAGAACCUUCUGUAUUGCUCACACACGUGUUGAGAGUGAGCUGUGAUUAACAAACUUCUCAGCUCUAUAACAAACUUACAAACUAACAAUAACAGCCUUGCUUACUCAGCUACCACAUCAGCAGAAUCAUUACAAAAAUAUUCUUUAUAUUUAUAACUCUAACAUCCCCCCUCAAGCUUGCUGCGCAAAUAAGCAAACUGAUCAAAACAGAGGGGCUUAGUAAGAACAUCUGCUAAUUGAUCUGAACUGGGAACAUAAGUGACUGAAAGCUGCUGUUGAGCAAUAUGCUCUCUGAGAAAAUGAAGAUCAAGCUCAAUAUGUUUAGUACGAGCAUGAUAUUUAGGAUUACUGGCCAAAGCUUCAGCACUCUUGUUAUCACAAUGCAGAAGAGGAAUCUGAUCAAAAGAUAUGUUAAGCUCUUGAAAUAAGUAUGUAAUCCAGAGAACUUCAGAGGUAGCCAUAGCAAGAGCUCUAUACUCUGACUCAGCUGAUGAUCUGGACACAAUGGGCUGCUUCUUAGAGGACCAAGAGAUGAGAUUGGAACCUAAAAACACACAAUAACCUCCAACAGAUCUGCGAUCAUCAGGAUAUGCUCCCCAAUCAGCAUCAGAGUAGGCAGUUAACUUUAAAGAACCAGAACUGAAAAACUGAAGACCAUAAUCAGCUGUACUUUGAAGAUACCGUAACACCCUCUUGCAAGUUUGCCAAUGAAGAAUGGUGGGAGCUGAUAAAAACUGACUAAGCUUGUUGACUGUGAAAGCUAAGUCUGGUCGAGUUAACAGAACAUAUUGAAGAGAUCUCAUAAUGCUUCUGUAUAAGGAUGGAUUUUCAAAUGCAGCACCUGUAUCCUUGUGCAGCUUCUCAGAAGUACUCAUAGGUGUAACACAACCUUUACUGUCCAGCAUAUUUGCCCUUUUAAGAAUAUCACCAAUGUACUUAGUUUGAGAUAGAUGAAUACCUUGAACAGAUGGAGUAACUUCAAUACCAAGAAAGUAAUGAAAAUUCCCCAGCUCCUUCAAGGAAAACUCAGAAUGUAAUUGCUGAAUAACAUUUCCUAUGAGCUUUGAAUCUGAACCCGUGACUAAAAUAUCAUCCACAUAAAUGAGAAUGAGCAAGAUAUCUUUCCCUGCAUGCUUAAUGAACAGAGAAGUGUCAGAUUUGGAGACCUGAAAACCCCAUUAAAUUAAUGACUCCUUUAAUCAAUCAUACCAGGCUCUUGGAGCCUGUUUGAGACCAUAUAAGGCCUUGUUAAGCUUACAAACAUAAGAAGGGUAAGUGGAAUCAACAAACCCUUGUGGUUGAUGCAUGUACACAUCUUCAGUAAGAAUGCCAUUGAGGAAAGCAUUGUUUACAUCCAGCUGCUUAAUAGGCCAGUGAUGCAUGACUGCUAGGCUUAAAAUGAUUCUGACAGUACAAGGCUUGAUCACAGGGCUAAAUGUCUCAAAGAAAUCAACCCCAUAAGUUUGAUGAUAUCCCUUGGCAACCAACCGAGCUUUAUACCGAGAGAUACUGCCAUCAGCAUUAUACUUAACUCUGUAAACCCACUUGUUGCCAACAAUUUUCCCAGCUGAUUCAGGAGGCACUAAAGUCCAGGUUUGAUUUCUUUGGAGAGCUUCAAAUUCUUCAUUCAUAGCUGAGUACCACCUAGGAUCUGUCAAUGCUGCUUUGACAUUGGAUGGUUCAAGGUCUUGAGAAACAGCUAAGUAGGUUUUGGGUUUGUAGAUACCAGCUUUAGAUCUGGUAACCAUAGGAUGAGUAGAGAUUACUGGUGGAGAAGAAUUUGAAGAUCUUGAGGGUUGAUCUAGAGAUUGUGAAUGAACAGAAUGUGGCAAGGAAUGAGACUCUGAUGCAGGAGACAGAGCAGGACUAGAGACUGCAGCUGAUGGCUCUUCAUUGCUACUGUGACUAAGAACAGGUGUUUGAGGAAGAAAGAAAUGAACUGAAGAUGGAGUGGAGGUAGCAGAAUGAGAUAAGGUGUUGGACUUGUUUUUCAAAAACAGUUCAGAAUACAGAAAUUCCAGUUCAUUGAAAGUAACAUGUCUAGCAACAAAGACUUUCCCAGUUCGAUCAAGACACUUGUAGCCCUUAUAAAUGGGGCUAUAACCAAUGAAGACACACUUUUGAGUAUGAAAAUCUAGCUUGUGAUGAUGAUAAGGUUGAAGAAAAGGAAAACAAGAACAGCCAAACACUUUAGGAAACUUGUAAUCUGGAAGCUGAUUGUAUAGUUUUUGAAAAGGAGAUAAAUUAUUUAGAACAUGUGUUGGCAUUCUAUUCACUAAGUAAGUGGCUGUAUGAAAAGCUUCCCACCAAAAAGAGAGAGGUAAAUGAGCUUGAGCUAAGAGUGUGAGUCCAGUUUCAACAACAUGCCUAUGCUUCCUUUCCACCACACCAUUUUGAUGGUGAGUGUGGGGGCAACUAUAUCUAAAUUGAAUACCCUCUUGUUGGAGAAAUGAUCUGAAGGCUAUAAACUCACCCCCCAUAUCAGUUUGUAGUGUUUGGAUGGAUAAAGAAAACUAUUUUUCGACAAGAGACUUGAAAUAUUUGAAGGUGUCAAAUGCCUCAGAUUUGAGUGUGAGUGGAAAUACCCAACAAUAUCUUGUGAAAUCAUCAACAAAAGAAAUAUAGUACUUGUAUCCAUCCAUAGACAACACAGAAGCUGGACCCCAUAAGUCAGCAUAUAAGAGUUGGAGAGGAAAUUUUGAUUUUAUAUCAGUGACUGGAAAAUGGAAUUGAUGUAAUUUGCCAUAUUGACAAGCAUCACAAAAAUUAAGAGAUUGAGAAUAUGUUGAAUGCAUAGGAAGACUUUUCAUUAUUGUUUGCAAGACAUGUUUGGUUGGAUGACCAAACCUAUUGUGUAGCAACUGCAUAGACUCACUACUGGAAGCUAGAAAACUGACAGAAUUCUCAUUAUUGGAAUUGAUCAAAUUUGAACAGACAUUUGUUUGGUGAUUCAACUCUUUCAAAGAGUGUACAUUCUCUUUAUUUGAAAAAACAGACAACAUUGAACUAGGUUUGAGACCCAAGGCUUUAGAAUCAGAAAAAGGUGUAUCUUGAGUCAGUAGCUUAAAGAGACCAUCCUCAGCAAUCCCCUGUGCCAGCAAAGUUCCUUGCAUCUUGUCCUUAAUGAAACAAAGAUUAGAAACAAAUUUAAUGAUUAUAUGAUUGUCAGAGAGAAGUUUAGAUAAGCUAAUCAGAUUCUUGGUAAUUUUGGGAACACAUAGAACAUUGGAAAGGUUUAAUUGAUUACCAAAGGAUGUAAAGAGACAUAUAUUGCCUAUGGAAGUAAUUCUAAGACCUUGUCCAUUACCAACUAACAGCAACUGAGAUCCAAGAUAAGGUUUACCUUCAGCUAGGUUCUCCAUAUUGUUUGUGAGAUGAUGUGUUGCUCCACUAUCCAGAUACCAUCCUUGGUCAGCAACUCCUUCUGAUGUAGCCAUGAAGGCAGCUCUGGAAGUUUGAUUCUGAUCUGAAAAAUUUCCUUGCACAGAAAAAUUAGGAACAAAAUUUCUAUUAAAUAUGUCUUUGCAAUCAGCUGCAGUAUGAUUGUGCUUGAAACAAAUCUGACAAACAAUAUUUCCUCUGCCUCCUCCUCUUCCAAAUCCAUUAUAGCCACCAGGAAAUCUACCAGAAAAAUUUCCAGCAGCACCAGCAAAAUUGCCUCUACCCUGAUUUCCAUUCCAGUUAUUCCAAUUAUUAUUCCAUUGUCCUCUACCUGAAUUUUGUCCCCUUCCUGGAUUGAAACCUCCUCUAUUUGUAAAGUUUCCAUUCCAGUUAUGAAAUCCAGGUUUGUUUCCAGUGUUUCCAUUCCAGCCUCCUUGACUAUCAUUAUUCAAGCCUCCCUGAUUGUUAACUUUCUUUUGAUUAUUCCCAGCCUGAGCUAAGUUAGCAGCAUAGUUCUGUUUCACUUCCUUGAAAGAAUUAGAUUGAUUGCUUUCUAAACGUGCCUCAUGUGUCAACAACAUUGAAUAAGCCUCAUUAAUACUCAUUUUUAGAACAUUUGCUUCAAUAUACACAACUACUGGAUAAUAAGGCUGACCUAAUCCAGAGAUGAGAUGAGUUAUAAAAUCCAAAGAACUAACAGGACUUCCAGCAAUAGCAAGCUCAUCUAUAACUGACUUCAACUUACUAAAAUAUUCUGUCAUAGUCAUAGAUCAUUUCUUUAGAUUAUUCAACAUCAUUUUGAGAUGAACUUUCUUAGCAGCAGUUUCAGAUCCAAAUUGUUGCUCUAAACUAGACCACAGUUCAUAAGAGGUUUUAGAGUUUACCACAAGGCUGAGGAUUUCAAUGUUGAUAGAGGAUAGCAGCCAGCUCAGCAGCAUCUGAUCUUGCUUUCUCCACACAUGAAACUCAGGAUUCUCUUGUGAAGCAACAGUUGAACUUGCAGAAGUAUUGAACAUAGCAUCUGAAUUUCCUUGAGUGCUUGAGAGAAAUUGAUCUGGACAGAUUCUGGAUCCAUCAAGCAAACUCUCAAGCUCAUUUGCUCGAACUGAGGAUAGAAUUUGAGAUUUCCAGAUUAAGUAAUUUGAUCGAUCAAGUUUUAUUGGAGUUGUAAAAGUAAAGGUUGUUGCUGAAGAAGAGAUGUUUGUGGUCAAGCUUGAUAAUGCCAUGAGAUUAGACUAGACGUGGCUCUGAUACCAAAUUGAAGUUUAACCAAGCUAUUUAUGCUUGUUUGGUUGCAGAGAAAAUGAAGGAAAAUUCAAUGAGUAAUACGAGAAACUAUAAGAAAAAUAGAUCGAAUCUUAUUCAAUGAAUUAUGAAUACAGAGGUUGACCUUAUAUACUAAGAUCUAGAACCUUCUGUAUUGCUCACACACGUGUUGAGAGUGAGCUGUGAUUAACAAACUUCUCAGCUCUAUAACAAACUUACAAACUAACAAUAACAGCCUUGCUUACUCAGUUGCCACAUCAGCAGAAUCAUUACAAAAAUAUUCUUUAUAUUUAUAACUCUAACACGCUUAGUCUCCUCUUCAACGUUAAGUCCUCGACUAGCAACAAGCUCCCCAAACUCAACUGGGUUGGCCUGCCUGAACUCCAAGAAAUCUAGGAUCAUUGUAUUCCCCACACACACGCCCCUGAAGCACGUCUCCUACAAUUAGCACAACUAUUAUCGAUGCAAGUGUACAAGCACAUAUCUUCGGCAUCACAAUUGCAGUCCGUGACACCCUGCUCUUCUUAUAAAACUCCACCCCAAAUCUACACUACAAACAAGUUGAUUGAAAUUAAACAAUUGCUUUUUCAAGUGGACCCAUUGAGUCGUGGUCAUUACUCAUCAUUGUCUAUUUUUUCUAUGAGCCAUUUAUUUUGAGCAAUAGUGAGCUUCUCUGAACUACUCCAAUUAUUGAUGUAACUCCAGUGGCUGCAUCCAUAGUUGAAUAUAUGACAGUAUUAGCUCUUAUGUGAGAAUAUAGGGGGAUCUUUCUUUGUUUCUUUACGUAGCUAGAUGGCAUGUCCAGUGUUUGAAGGUUUGAAAGGGUGCAUAGCGGUGAAGGAAGACAUUUGAGCGAAGGGAUAUUCAAUUUCAAAUACUUCAAAUGGAAUAAAUUAUCUAAUCCGGGUGGAUAUUGGUCCAGGACUGCAGAAUCCAUGUUCAAUACCCGAAGGUGUUUGAACAUUUUACAAAAAUUCUCGCAAUCUAUCGGAUUAAGAUGAUCGCUUUCUGAACUGUGAUUCAGAAAAGAUUGGAGAUACAUGUCCGAAUGUUUCAAAGAAAAGAAUUCAAUCGGAUCAUCGAAAAUGAUGUACCGUUUGGUAUUUGCCAAUGAUUCCUCUUCGAAGUCAGGCGUCCGGACAAAUCCCAUCAUUGCUGCCGUCCCAACUAACGCAGCAUAUGCAAAAGUUGGAACAUAACACGCCUUAAUUGUGCCUCCGGCUCUUCUCUUAUUCACUUGAAUGAAGCCACGAUCGAUUAGUUCGUUCAAGUAAUGCUCGGCAGUUUCCUCACUGUUGUAUGGUAUGAAACCUUCAGCUACCCACAACUGAUAUAAUUGCCUGGUAGAUAUCUCAAUGCCUGGAUGGAACACACACAAAUAGAGGCAGCAGAUUUUCAGGUGAGCAGAUAACUCCAACACAGAAUACAUUCGACUCCAAGUUGUCAGAAACGCUUUUUCUCCCGUGUAAAUUCUUAAUGUCGUUUUUCCAUAGUAUAGGAUGAAAAAUUGCCAGGAUUCAUGCUUUAAUCUGAUCAAUGGUCCUCCAACGAGAACUGAAUCAGGACGAAUCGGCUCUCCAUUUUCUAAUUCGAACGAGCAAAGGAAGCCUGAAUCCGUGACCGUUAUCAAUACUCUGCUUCCAUUCUGAUUCUCAGGAAGUACUUCUUCAAGAUCAUCCAAUACAUCGUCACUCUCUUCACAGUAAUCAUCAAGCACAAUAAAGUACUUCUUGUUUGUUAGGUAAUCUCGAAGAAUAGAUUUCUUCAAUUGAUAAUCUUCACCGAUAACUACACUAACCCGAGAUGGAGGCAUCACAGACUUGAUUAUGUCAUCCAAUAUCAUGCGAAAAUCGUAGGCUAUAGAAACCCUGACCCAAGCAUGACAGUCAAAAUAGAACUUGACAUGAUUAUUGUUGUAAGUAUCAGCAGCAAAAGCAGUCUUAUCAAAGCCACUGCUGUCGAGAAUUGCAACCACUGAAAGCCGAGGUUGUCCCUCGAUCAGUAAAUCAAACAACUCCUCUCUGCCGCUUUCAAAUUCACUCUUAUCAAACUGAAAUUGUCCCUCAAUCAAUAAGUGAGUGAAUUCGUUCCUUCGCUCUUUGAAAUCAAAACCAUUUUCUCUAGGCGGAAUUUGUUGCAACCGAUUUCUAAUAUCAAUGAUUUUACUGUGGAUUCCGACAAGAAGAGCAAUGCAAGUAGUGCUUUCACUUUCACUGCAUUGCUGCUGCGUGAUGUUGAUGAAGAAUGUGUCAAUAGCUUUCUCUGAUUCAUCGACAAAGUAAUUGAUGUCUUUCAGAAGUUCCCAAAUGUCUGUUCUUUUAACAUUUUCUAAGUGCAAGAGUUGCCGAUAACGCGAAGGUAUUUCGUCUUCAUCGAAAUGUUCUCUAAUGAGUUGAAUCAAAACCCGAGCCAUGUCAGCUUCAUAGUUUACCUUCUUCACCUGCUAACACCCUUUUCAACCUCACACCAAAUAGUGUGAGGUUAAUUUCCAUAUCUUUCCCUCUGUCAGUAGUACUCAGAGGUACGUAUUGUUAUUUGUUAGUGUUGAUGACGAAAGCUGAAUAUCAAAGGAUAUAAAUCAAACAAAAGUUUUUGUAGAUUGAGAAUGGAUGGAUGCAAAGAAUGACUGAUGUUAAAUGAUUCUAUAAAUGAGAUAUGCAAAGAAUGAAUGAUAUUAAGUGAACAUCAAGGAUGGGAACAAAAUUUAAAGGUAAUUUUUUUUUUUAAGUACUCUGUUGAAAGCCAAAGUUCCUUUGGCCAGUUAAUUUAGAAGUGAAGGAAUGAAUAAAGUUAGUCCUCGACGUCUUUUGAAAUUAGAAAUACAUUUUGAAUGCUUUAAUAGAUGCAGAGCAAACUGGCUCGAUAUCUAACUAUUUUAAGAGCUAAAAUCAUUUAUUAGAAGUUGUAGCAUUAAAAAAAAGGGCUUGAUAUCCAAUUUUGUUAUUGAAUAUGUCUCACGUGAGAGUAUAUAACUGUUGUGUUACUGGCAGAUGGCUACGCUAGGUUUUAUUGCUCCCUGAAUUUGAUUGAAAAAUUAUUGAGACGGACAAGUUUGGACCGUCGUUCGAGACUGAAACUACAUAUCAGUCUUAGAAAAUUGUAAUUUUGUUGGCUUAUCAUGAUUUUCAUCGCCCCAUAUUGAUUUUCCUAUGAUGUCUCUGUAGAGUGGCUAUGCUUACAUUUUUAGGUAUUUACUUCUAAAGGUUAACUUAUUAGAUGGAGGGACCAAUUCUACCUAUAAAUCCAAGUGGCUUCCCUUUACUAACUCAUAUGAGACACAACAAUAAUUUUCUUUGGACAAAACCAUUGUUGGAAGGUUAUUUUCGUUCAACAUACAUGAGUUGUUCCACCGCUAUAUUUUGAGGGUUUGCUUUGGAUACGACUUGGGGGAGCUAAUGCUAAGAUUUCUAAGUAUCAACAUAAAAACCUUGCCUAUUAGGUGGAAGGACCAAUCCUACUUUAAAGUCUAAAUGACUAAUUCUUGAGGACACAACUCAACAGACCAAUAUAAAAUUUUGACGUCCCAUUUUAUUACUUUCCAGUGCUUUUACUUUUGCUGUCUAGAGCCCUACUAUUCUAUUAAGCAGAAAAUAUUUCAAGGCACUCUCGGUCUAGUAGAUAACUUUGGUAUUUAUUAUCUAUUGGGAAAAUGACACAGACACCCCCAACGUUUAGUAAAGGGACACAAAACUCCCUAAUGUUUGAAAAAAGACAUACAGACCCCCAUUUCAUGACGGAAACAGUUUCGUUAAAUCAGUCAAAGGUUAAUAUCGUAAUUGCACAUUAACAACAAAUGAAUUGACCAAAAACCCACACACGAACAAAACGCUUAACACACGCACUGACACUGCUCCUUCCAGAUCUUGACAAAAUCCUUAACGGACACACUCACACGGUUCGCCGGAAACUGCUGGAAUUGCUGGGGUUGCCGGAAGUCGCUGGAACUGCUGGGCCUGCCGGAAGUCGCUGGAACUGCUAGGGCUGCCGCAAGUCGCUGGAACUGCUAGGGCUGCCGCAAGUCGCUGGAUCUGCUCGCGCUGCCGCAAGCUGCUGGAUCUGCUCGCGCUGCCGCAAGCUGCUGGAUCUGCUCGCGCUGCCGCUGCGUUGAUCGAGACCGCAUCUGGCUGCUGCUCGUUCGUGUGGCUGCUGCUCGUGCGUGGUUGCUGCUCGUUCACGUGGUUGCUGCUCAUGCAUCUUCAAUCCACGGUUCACUUAUCUUAAACUAGCUUUUCCCUCUUUAAUUUUCUUUUUUUUUUACUAAAUUAACUUUAUUUCUUUUUAUUAUCAUUCAAAAUCCACCAGAAUUUUUGAGAAUUUUUGGACAAUUAAUUAAUUUUGGAGAAUUUUAGACAAUUAAUUUCACCGAAGAAGUGAGCUUACCAUGGGCAUAAUGCCAAAAAAGCUUGUACUGGUUUAUUGGAGAUUUAUUGUGCUUAAUUUAUCAAUGAAAAGCUUGUACUGGUUUGCAUAUGGUAACAAAUAAAAGCAGGCAAUACUACAACGACGUCCCAACAAGCUAUGAGAGGAAGUUCACAAGCUAGGAGCCAGAGUUGUCAUACAAAUUUGUGAAUAAAUAAUGUUUUUUUCUCAAAAAAAUAUUAUGGUUAUUGUUGUAAUGAUUACCAGUAUCAAUUUGAUACAAUAUUAUGAUAUAAGGAUUAUUUGUUAUGUUUAUUGGUGGUUUUUUAUGUCUAUUUGAUAUGUUAUUUAGUACAAUUAAGAUGUUGUUAACCAGUUUUUUUUUUAAAUUUUUUUUAUUAUACUGGUUUAAAUGAUUGACAUAUGAAGAAUUGUUAUUUUUAUAGUAUUAAUAAUUAAUUUUAUUUAUUUUUAUUCUUGAAUAAUGGAUUAAAAUUAUUUAGCUUGUAGAGAAUUUGAUAAAAAAUUAUUAAUGAUUUUAUUAUAAAAAAUUUAAUAGAGAAAUUGGAUAAUGAUGGUAUAUUCGUAAUUUUAUUAAUAAUAUAUGGGUAAAAUAGACAUUGAACAAUUUUUUUUUAAUGCUAAAAGGAUAUAACGGUAAUUACAUGUUAAAAUUAUAAUUUCCGUUACUAACGGUUUUCGUUAAGAAAUUGAGGUCUGUAUGUCUUUUUUCAAACAUUAGGGAGUUUUGUGUUCCUUUACUAAACGUUGGGGAUGUCUGUGUCCUUUUCCCUUAUCUAUUUUCGUUCCGUUUUAUGUAUACCCCGAUCUUUACCUCUGAUUGGUUGUAGAUUCUUUUGUUGCUUUGGGGUUAGGGGAUGGUUUUCAUAACUAUUAAGUUAAUCAAUGCAGAAAAUCUCCAUCAACAAAUGAUAAAGGAUUGUUAGUUCUGUCUGACAAACAACAUUAAUAUGAAGGAUGAUGAUUGUUCUGUUCAAGAGUUUAUAAUGACAUAAUUCUACUUUGGUCUUUUAAAAAAAGUAAGUUAGAAACGAGGAGUAUGUGAGUGAUGAUUUUUACAAAAUAAAUUGCAUGCAUGGUGAUGAUUUUGACACAUGAAAAUGAAAAAAGAAAUAUAAAUUGUGAAUAAUAAUUGAAGUACCUGCUAUUGUUAUAUUGAGUAAUCAAGGACUUCAAUAUUCGGACGAUAUAAGCAACACAAUCAAAUAUUAGUUGGAAGGCAUAGCAAAAUUAGAAUGUAGAACAAACUGGGUAUUGAUAAAUGGAUGGUUUUGGAAGAAUUGAAAAUGAUGGCAUAAGUAAACCAGAGUUAAAAGAAAAGAGAAAGAGCAUUUGAACUUUACUUGUAAGUAAAGGCAAAUUUCUUGGUUCAAGAAAAGAUAAGAGAUAUCAAACUAGCAAUAGGAAAAAGGAGGAAGGUUAAGACAGCAUCUCAACAAAAGCUAAAGAAAAGAAAAACUUAGUUCAAGCAAAGAACAAUGUGCUAAUGUCUGUGUAAUCUUGUUUAAUUUCUUUUUCUUCUCACAUUUUCCAGGGCUUAAAUAAUACAAUAUACAUUUUCAAGCAAAGAACAAUAUGCAAUUGCAGUACUUCUGAGCACACAACAACAAAUAAAUAAUACAAUAUACAUACCCACUAAAUUAAAAAAAAAUAUUAUUCAAGUUUGUGGACAAUACUGUAGCCAUGACGUCGUCGAAAUCUGCUGACAGCUGAAACAAAGAAAGAAUGGAUGAAUGCUGGAUCACAGUUGAAAUUGAAGGUCUGGUAGGUGAUGUUUCCCUCUCUGAUUUUACCUAAACAAAUACAAGAAAAUAAGAAUCACAAAUGAAAAUCUGCUAUUACACUGUUCUUACUUAUUAAAAUACAGAGGUUUCUUUGUUUCUCUGCAGCAAUGUCCAUGGCUAUUAGAAACAAGAACAAUUAGACCAGCAUUUGCAAGAGUCCUUUAAGGUAUUACUGCAGAUAUAAAUCAAGACUGAGGAAAUGGAAAAAUUGAAUACCAAAUUAGGCAAGUUAACUGAAGAUUGAGUUAUCAUAGAAGAAUAAAACUCAUCCAAUUCAAUCCAUCAAAUUCCAUAAGGAUACAACUGGAUGUCAUACUGCUGCUCCAUUUCCUCAAAAGCCCGUAGAUUUUGCCUCAACACUGGCUGAGGCCAAUGUAACUCCAAUUUGCAAAAGCUCUUUAUGCACCAUAGCUCUUCAGGAAGCUUUCUCAAGUAAGCACAAGGGUUGCCAAUUAAGCUUCCAAGUUUUGGCAUUGCUCCAGCCCCUAUCAUCCAAUCCUCUAGCCAAUACAUUGAUUUCAGGUGCAAUACCUUGAGCUCCGGGAAACCACAAGAGCAAACACAAGACAGUUUUCUUCCUGAAUAUGAGUUCUGCCUCAAUUUCAGCACUUGAAGGUGUGGAAGCUUGUCUAGUGUUAGCAUGGUAUCCUCCAAUAACUCAGUAUUUGAUAAGCUUAGAUGGAUCAGACUUGGAGAAGCUGGUAUUUAGACAGGGCCAUACGUGAGAACUACCACCUCUUGGUUUCGUUCACCAGCUUCAAGCAUUCAAGUUUGUGUAGUUCGCAUAGGCUUUUGGAAACCCCAGAACAAUCAUAAUUCAAAUCUCCAGAUACUACGAGUUUGAAGAUUAGGUAGUCUGCCUGUUAAAGUAGCUCACUAUGCCGAACAAAAGAAGGAGAAAGCUAAAGUGAAGAAAAUACAGAGCAAGAGUAUUAGCUGUGCCAGUUCAACUGAUAGCUCAGCAAAAUCAGUUAAAUUUUGUUACAAGCCCACUGUGCAUUGUGCUGAAGAUUAGUUAGUUUAAUAAUGAUUAGUUUUAGAUUAGUUAAAAUGUAAUCAUGAUUAAGAUAUAUAUAUAUAUAUAGCUGCUGUACUGAUAUCAUGGAUUAAGUUGUUGAGAAAUAAAAUUCAUUAAGCAUUUCCAGAACAGUUGAUUUUCUUUCUCAGUAGCCAAACAACUUCAAUCUCGUUUUUUUUCAACAAUGAGUUCUCAAACCACUCAAGUAUCAUUUUCAGAGAUUCUUGGCCUUAUACUCACCAUCAAAAUGGAUUGGUUGAGAGAAAACAUAGGCAUAUUGUUGAAUUAGGUUUGACUCUGUUGGCUCAAGCUCAACUUCCUUUUAAAUUCUGGUGGGAUGCAUUCCAUACUGCUCUAUAUCACAUCAAUAGAUUACCAUCUUCUGUUUUCAAACUUUUGACCCCAUAUGAGAAGAUAUUCAAGCACAAACCUGAUUAUGAUUUUCUCAAAUGUUUUGGUUGUAUUUGUUAUCCUUACUUGAGAGACUAUAACAAAAAUAAGUUUGCCUAUCAUUCCAGAACGUGUAUAUUCAUUGGUUAUAGUCCUUCACAAAAGGGUUAUAAAUGCUUACAUUCUUCAGGUCAAGUCUAUGUGGCAAGACAUGUUAUCUUUGAUGAGUCAACCUUUCCUUAUGCUACUGAAUCUGUUUUUCAUAGUCACACAAAUUCUGAUUCUCAUUCUUCAAAUUUAUUUCUCCACAGCAUGUCUAUUAUCUUUCUACUUUACCUGUCAUACCAGUAUUUCUAAAUAACAACACUGACAAUCUAAACUCUACAAAACUAAAAUGCCAGCUUUUUGGUGUUAGCGAUAAGAAACAACUUACCACAACCAUUAAUUAUCCAUAAUUUCAUUGUUUAUCCUCAGUUUUCUUCAUAAAUGUUACAGCGUUCUUCACAACAAAGUGCAAGGGCAUCUCAAAAGUUCUAAAAUAAUACCUCAAUUCUAUUGCAAAAAUAAAUAAUCUCAAACAAGAACCAAUAAUCAUAUGAAUAAACAAUUAAAGAUAGAGAAAAAAGGCUUAAACCUUGGGGAAAAAAAGUGAAAAAACAUGAAAGACAAAUUACACAUGUGCAGUAACCAUCGAACUUAUCAAUGACAGCUGCAUCCAUUACAUUGCUCCAACAACACAAUGGCAAACCACCAGUUUCAAAUUGAGGAUAGCUAUCGAGAAUGAGAAAGUGUCCAAAACGUCAUCAAUAGACAUGUUCCUAUUGUGCAUAAUUUACAUUAUAGGCAAAUAUUCUUAUACCAUCAAAGGCAAAACAUGACACUAACAAUUGAUCCCCCCCCCCCCCCCCCGUCCCCCCAACAACAAAAAAAAAAGGAAAAAACAACACAGAAAAGAUUGAAACAGAUAAGGCUACACUGAGCACAGGAUGCCAUGAAACAUAAUCCAGGAACCAAAUUAAUAAAAAAGGAAGCCAAACCAUUAUUUAACAAUCUGUUUUGUAUUUGGGAAAGUCUGAUAAAAUCUACUUAGGGAUAAUUAGAGAACCUCAACUAUUAAUCACACCUCAUAAAUGAACUAACAUUAACCAUCCCCACAUCACACAAACAUUCUAACCUAAUACUUCCAUCUUCAAUUGGGGGUUUUUUUUCUUUUUUUUUUGUUGGGGGGGGGAGCUUGCUUAGCUUCUGUGUGGGAUUGAAAUGCUGAUUUCGAAUCACUAACAGUAAAAUUGGAAUCUCAUGAAAAAACAGUUUUAUCUUAAAAUUACAUCUCGAUAUAAAUUCUCUUUUCAUUUCCUUCAACUUUCUAAUUAAGCUUAAAAAAUGUACCUUCAACCACAAAGGGGUUUAAAAUUUAAAAUAUAAAAAAUAAAUUCAGAUAACAAUAAUUAAUUUAAUUAAAAAUAUAAAUAGAGUUACAGAGAAAGAGAAAAUAGAGAAAGACCUAAUGUUGAGUCCUUUGGCGCAAGUCUCUUCAUAGGUCCGAACCAUUUCUUCGGGCGUGGGUUUCGGGUCUUUAGGAAACUCCAUAGUGAUAAGCCAGUGAUUGUAAUCGCAACCCUCGAACAGAAUCCUGUCGGGUGUGAUCUCGUCGCCGUCCUUAUACAAGUGGUACGUCUUGUUACCCGACGGCGUAGACGAGAGGGAGAUCGUCGGGGACGAUCUGAACGGCCGACGCCGAUGAAAUGGAAGGGUUUACCAGAGGAGUGGAUGCGAAGAGUGCAGGGACGGCCGCAGAGAGAGGGCGGCGGAGAGCGGCGACGGACGGUAGUGACCAGCGGAGGCGGAAGAUGGCGAUAUGGGCCAUUGCUUGCGCGUCAGUGAGUGUCUCGAGUGAGAGAGUGAAGGGUUUUGUUUAGGGUUUUGGGAAAUGAAAAAUGCAAAUGUUUGAUUUUGUUGCUAGAAACUUCUUCUGCCGCUGCCUUUUAUUUUCGCUAUAAUAAUAAUAAUUUAUUAAUCAAAUAUUUUCUUAAAAAAGAUAAAUUUCUACAACAAAAUUUAUAUUAAAUCAAAUUGUAAAAAUGUCUAUUAGGGUUAAUUUCUCCUUAAUAUUAUUAUUAGUAGAAGUAGAUUUUCGAAUUAGUCUUGAUAUAUUUCAGAGUUGUAUUAUAAAUGUAUAUGUAUCUGGAUUGCAAUUAUAUUUUUAAAAAAUAUAAUUUUUUUAAUUAUUGCACAAUAAAUGUAGAAAGUAUCUAUAAAAUAAUAUUAUUAGGACUACGAAAAAAAUAUUAUUUUAGAGAAGUUAUUUAUUUAUUAUUGAAUGAAUAAUUUAUUGGUAAAUGAAUAUUUAUUAAUUUAAAGAGAGAUUUUUUUUUUUUGGUUUGAAGAAGAGUUUUGUUGGUACAUAUACAUACUUAUAAAGAAACACAAAAAGUAGUUCCUCAAGUCAAUUGUAUUUGCUUUAAUUCAUAAUAAUAUAUCUUAAUCAAGAAACUUGUAAUUAUACUAUAUCUUUGUUUCUUUGUUCAGUUUGGUGGGACAUUGUGAUAAAUCAUUGGAUUAAAAUGCAUUUCUAAAUGAAAACUAGUUAAAACCUAAUUUAUUUGGGAACCACAUUUUAUUUGUCAGUCGUAUUUCUCAACUUAGCAAGUUAUUUCUAACUUAUCGGUCUCUAUUGAUUCUCUUAAGUGCCUGUUUGGUAUGACUUAUUUAAUGGCAAUAAGUGCUUAUUUAAUCUCAUAAGCUAUUAUCAUAAUUUUUGUUGUUGUUUGGUUGUUUUUCUAAUAAAGUUUUUGAAGCUUAAAUAAGUAAUUUUACCUCUACUAGCAAAAGCUCAAAUUUUGAGUUUUUUAGGAGUAGAGAUUGAAAAACUUUUUUAAAUGUCAACAUAUCUAUAAUAUCCUCUACUUAUUUAACAAUCUUAUUUAUUGUUUUCAUAAUAUAACUUUAAAAAACUUGUCUAUUAAAGUAAUUUCAUAAUUUUUUAAUAAAAGCUCUUAUUGACAACCAAACAAUUAAACUUUUUUUUAACAAAACCUCUACUUAAAUAAGUUCUACUUGAAAAACCGUACCAAAUAGAGCUUAAAGUUAAUAGUCUCGUAUCUCCCGCAUUUGAUAUCUUAUUGGCAUCAGCGUGUUACCUAAGAUUGGGAUUCAUUAAAAUCCUCAAUGUAAUCGGUGGAACUAAUGGAUUUCUUCUGUUCACCAAUCCACCAAAUUUUUUGUAAUUAAAUUCAAAAGUCAAGAUCUAUGCUUAUAAUCUAUUCAAUAGCUAAUAUUCUAUUUUAUAUUUACUUAAAUAUGAAGAGCUAUGCUUGUAAUUAACUUCAAAUGUGAUCGAAGCAGUAGGGAUGGCAAUGGGGAGGGGAGGGGAGGGGACCAAUCUCCCCAUACCCAUCCCCGAUAUUUUGCGUAUGUCCCUGUCCCCUCCCCGUCCCCGUCAGAAUUGCUUGAGAGAAUCCUCAUCCCCUCCCCGAAUAAUAACAGGGGAUCCCCGAGGGUCCCCGGUCCCCGAAUAAUUAAUAGUCUAAUACAUUUUUUUAUUUUCGAUUUUAAAUUAAUCAUAUUAAAAUAAAAAAUUCAGAUAAAAAUAAAGUUUAAAAUAUAUCUUACAUUAAUAUUGAUCCAUUACAAAGUCACAUUCAAAAUAUAAAUUAUUAAAAUAAUUAUCUUUAUCAAUGUCUCAAUCUUCAUAAUCCUACAAUAAAAAGAAAAAAAUUAUUUUUUAUAUCGGCAAUAAAAUAAAUGAAAUAAAUGUAGAUACUUAAUUAAUAUUUUUAAUAAAACUAUUUACCUCCUGCUAGUCAUGCUCGUCCUGUUCUUCCUCGAGAAAUGUGACAAAUUGAGAGAUAGCCUCAGAUUUCAAACCUAAAACAAUGAAAAUGAUAUAAGUAACGUAACUUAUAAGUGCAAAUAUUAAUAACUGUAUAAUAUAAUUACAAUGUAAAAUAAACUCAUACUGCUAUUGUAAGCUCGUAACCAACUUUAACAGCACAUUAAGGCCUCCAAUGUGCUUGGAUGAAGUUUGUUACGGUGUGGGCUCACAACUCUACCGCCGGUGCUAAAAGCUGAUUCAGAAGCAACUGUUGUAAUUGGAAUUGCCAAAAUAUCUCUAGCAAUUCGAGCUAAUGUAGGAUACCUAUUAGCAUUUGUCUUCCACCAACUCAAAAUAUUAAAAUCUUCCAUCCGGGGUAUAACUUUUUCAUCCAAAUAUGAAUCUAAUUCAUUUGCAACAAUUGCACAAUCUCCAUUGUUUACAUAAUCAUCAAAACCUGUCAUUCAUUUGGUUGCUUUCUUAUAAGAAUCCCCUGUAGAUCUAAUAGAAGAACUACUACCAGUAUAAUCAAAGCAAUAAACAGUUGGUGAAAACUUCAAUUGAUACUCUUCCACUAAUUCUCGGCAAAGGGUGACGACUUUCCCAACAUACAACUCUUUAACACCACCAUAAACCAUAGAAAAGUAAUAUUCAAUGAACUUCUUUUUAUACCUUGGAUCAAAGAUACAUGCCACACCCAAAAUUCCACUCAUAUCUUGCCAAUAUUUAUAAUUUUGUUAUUUAUUUAUUAGUAAUUUUAAAAAUAAAAAUAAAAUUAAAAUGGGGAAAUGGGUAGGGGAUGGGGAUUCCACCUCAUCCCCGUCCCCUCCCUGAAUAAAAAAUUGGGUAAAAAAUUUUCCCCGUCCCCUCCCCGAAUAAAAAUUUGGGUAUAAAAUUAUCCCCGUACCCUCCCCGAAUGGGGAAAAUCCCCGAGGGUACCCGUCCCCGUGGGGAUUUUUGCCAUCCCUACGAAGCAGCCUUGCAUCUGUAUAUUACUUAUUUACUCCCAACCUUUUUUUUGACUUCAUAUACUUUCUUUUCAUGUUAUUUACUCUUUUUUUUUCCCUCUCUGACAAUUGAGGUAGGGGGUCAAACUUGAAAGUAUCUUAAAAUCAGACAACAAUUUAACUAAUUUUUUUUUUUUAGAUAACUGCUAAUAUGCUCUAUUAGACAAUGAUAAGUGAUAACCUAGGUGUUUGCAUUAAAAACGAUAUUUUUUGUGGUGUUGAUAAAGAGGUUAAUUAUGAUUCAACAAUUUAAAAUAUGAAAACAUAUAGAAGACGGCCGCAAUUAAAUUGAUUGUAUGAAAAUAUUUCAAUGAAAUUUUAAAAAUUUAGUACUUGUUAUCUUAUCGAGAGUUUUUUAAAUUAUAUUACUACUUGAACUUGACUGCUUUUGUAUUGAAUUCCUAGCGUUGACAUUGCUUCUACUCAAAAGCCAUUUAAGUUUGUGUUAGAGUGCAAUUUAUGCACUAGUUUUGCAUUGUUUACUUCCCUUAAUAUCGAUGUUUUGCACUUAAUAAUAAUGAUUUACUUGUGUUUUACUUUUGUAGGUGCAAUUCUAUUGAUUUGUGAUAAAAUUGAGCUAUAAGAUGAUGUUUAAAGAUGAUUGUUCUCUUGGAGAAAUUAUGAGCGUCAGAAGAACUUUGUUGAUAAGGCGUGGGCGCGUGCUGUCAACUGCGGACCUGCAGUUUUUAGUUUAACGUGUUUUGUAUUUUUGGUUAUUUUUGUAAUUACGAAUUUAAUAUUUCAGAUAUUAGUAUUUUAUUUUAAAUAGAAUUCUAAAGGAGAAGAGAGAGAGAGUAUUUAAGAGAGGAAUCUAUUGUGAAAAAAAGGGGAUUGGAGAAAAGAAAGAAACCCUAGAUCUAAACUUUUCUCUUCUCUCUAUGAAGAACUAAACAUAUUUUUCUGGUUGAAGGUUAAUGCAGCUUUGAUUCAUCACUACUGUGAGAUCUUUCUUGUGCUUUAAUUGUUUUAUUGCUUUUUGGGUAUUUGUUUAUUCUCUGAAUUAUUUUCAUGAUUAUAUUUGUUAAUUAGGUAAUUGGCCACUAUUUAAUUAUCAACUUAAUCUAUUGUCAAUUAAAGGAUUCAUAGUAUGAAGAAUUUAAUGUUUGUGACAAAUAACAUAGCAGAUAGUUGUGUUGUGAGAAUAAACAAUCUAAUUUAAAUGAAUCAUCAUAUGUGUUGAUUAGGAUUUGGGUCUCUAUAGUUUUUCAGGCUGUCAAUUGAUUAAAUCCUAUGAUCGUAUCUAGGGUUGUCUAUUGAUUAGGGAAAUAACCAACGGUCGUACCUUGGUUAUCGACUAGUUAAGGAGAGAUUGGCUAUUAGAGGGUCUCAGUAGCUAUAACCGGUCUAUUCAUAAGUAAUAAUAAUCUAUAUUUGAAUCAAUGAUCAGUAGUCGAAUCAAGCUGAGUUAAUUCCUUCAACCAUAGCUUUCUCUAAUUUGAAUUACAACUUUAAUUUGUAUUCUUGUUAUUUUAAUUUGAUUUUUAUUAUUGUCAACAAUUCUCCCAUUUUACGUUUUACGUUUCAAAAGGAUUUAAAUAAUUACCGAUCUCUGUGGACACGACCCUACUCAAUCACUAUACACAAUUUAUUUAGAGUAGGAAUUUAUUUUUGUUGGCUUCGACAACCAUCAGUUUGUGUAAGCUACGUAUAGUUUGAACAACAAUUUAUUCAUGAAUUGUUGCUCAUAAUAGCAAUUUGAUUGAAAGUGCGGCUGCACUAAUUUUCUAGAUGAAUUUUUUCCUACAUGCUUGUUCUCGUAUGACCCAAAAUCCUGCUACAUCAGUUGUAUUAGAAAUUUUUUCCUACAUAAUUAUGCAUCCCCACCAAUAUUUAAGCAAUUUACAGAAACAUUUCUUGAGGAAAGAAACUCAUAUCGCCACUAGGCUUUUAAUGAGGCUCAUUUUUAUGAAUCUGGAUGGCAUUAGAUAUCUCUCCGAAUAUUGGUGGGAGUAGAUCGCAGAUCUCUGGGCUAUACUACAAAGUGUAUGUACGUUGACUCUCAAUAAAUACAAACGAUUCUCUGAUAUGAUUCAAAACAUGCAUAAUUUUAACGAGAAAGAAUAUUCUAAGUGUUGAAAAGUCAAAUAGUUGGCUUACCAAUUUCAAAAAAAGCAAAGUUAGGUUUUGAAAGCAUGCAAAUUGAAUACAUGGCAUGGGACAACUAGCAUGCAUUGCAUUUGUGAAUUUGGCCAAUCAAAGUCAAAUUGAAACCGGGUGGUAGGUGAGCAUGCUUUGCCUAUAAAUAGAGACGCAAAAUGCAUUUGUAAAUGCAUCCCAAUUUGAGAGAAGUAGAGAGCAAUUGCAAGUGAGUUCUUUAAGAGAAUUUGAGAGAGCUUCCACUUGAGUGUUCUAGUGAGGUUCCAUUUGGGUGUAUUGGGGUUGUGGGUUUUGUGAGUUUUUUCCACUUUUGUAAAUUUCCAUUGUUAGUAAAAUUAUCUUUUAGUCUUUGCCUGUGGAUGUAGGCAUUACGCCGAACCACGUAAAUCAUUGUGUUAUAUUUUCUUUGCAUUUGUUUAACACCACAUUUAUAUUUCUCCAGAAGUUGCAGUAUUAGUAAUUACUCAACCCGCGUUUCCGCAACACUAAGAACGAAAUUGAACGUGCAAUCAGCAACUAAAAUGAAGCCAGAAAUGUACAUGCAUGAGGAAUUUUUCCUAGAAGAUUGAUAUUUCUUUGACUAGCAAACCAUACAAGUCCAAAGCUAGCCAAACCAUACCUGCAAGUCGGGGGUUUAAAUGGAAUGCUUCUAAGCAUAAAACAUUGAUUAAAAUAGAAUACACACAUACAUACCAACAAAUUCAAAAUAGCAAAAGGAGUGCAAAAGUUCAAGUUUGUAGACAAUAUUGCACCCAUGGGAUAUUAAAGCAAAUCCUUGAAAUCAGCUACACAAAACGAUGCCCGGUCUCAUGAAUCGAUGCUCAAUUAAAAUUGCAAUUGAAAGUCCGGCUGGUGUUGUUUCCCUCUCCAGUUUUGCCUACAUAAGUAAACGGAAAUAAGAAUCACAAAUGAAAAUUUGCUUUGACAGUUCUUAUUAGAGAGAUAUAAAGGGAUCUUUCUUUGUUUCUCUGCUGUAAUUUGUGGCUAUCCCACUCUGUUUUGCCAGUCAAGCUAAGUCUACGUUGAGGCAUAAUUUUGACAUCAGAAGCAACCUCAAUUAGUUUGGCAUUUUUAUGACCUCCUUGAAGGUUUUAUGAUAAACAUAAAUCCACUGAGAAAGUGGGAAAAAGAGAAAAUGCAUAUAAAAGUAUGAGUUAUCAGAUAAGAUUAAAACUCACCCAAUUCAAUCCAUCAGAUUCCAUAAGGAUAUAACUGGAUGUCAUACCGCCACUCCAUAUCCUCAAAAGUCCGUAGUCUUUGUCUCAACUCUGUCUGAGGCCAAUGUAAAUCCAAUUUGCGCAAGCUCUUUAUGCACCACAGCUCUUCUGGAAGCUUUCUCAAGUAAGCACAUGGGUUGACAGUUAAGCUUUCAAGUUUUGGCAUUGCUCCAGCCCCCAUCGUCCACUCAUCUAGCCAAUACAUUGAUUUCAGGUGCAAAACCUUAAGCUCCGGAAAGCCACCAGAGCCAACACAGGACAACUUUCUUCCUAAAUACGAGUUUUGCUUCAGUUUAAGUACUUGAAGGCAUGGAAGCUUUUCUAGCGUUGGCAUGGGGUCCUCCAUUAGCUCAGUAUUUGAUAAGCUCAGAUGGGUCAGACUUGGAGGAAACUGGUAUUCAUACAGGACCAUUCGUGAGGGCUUCCUUUCAUUCACCAGCUUCAAGCAUUCAAGUUUGUGGAGUUCGCAUAGGCUUUUGGAAACCCCUGAAUGAUAGCAACUCAAAUCUCCAGAUAUCCGAAGAGUUUGAACAUUAGGUAGUCUGCCCAAUAUAUCAGGAGUACAACUACUGGGGUUUAAAGUUGAUAUGAAAAUGAGAUUUUUCAGGGAGCUAGAAUAAUUUUUUGGAGGUGCGGGCAGAGUGAUAGAACCAAAGUUUAGAUGCAUGAGUUUUUGCAUCAUCCAAAUAUCCUCCGGCGACUGAUCUACGUAGCUAGAUGGCAUUUCUAGUGUUUGAAGGUUUAAAAGAGUGCAUAGCAGCGAAGGAAGGCAUUUGAGCGAAGGGAUAUUCAAUUUCAAAUACUUCAAAUGGAAUAAAUUUUCUAAUCCGGGUGGAAAUUGGACGAGAACUGCAGAACCCAAGUUCAGUAUCCGAAGGUGUUUGAACUUUUCACAAAAAUUCUAGCAAUCUAUCAGAGCGAGA
RNAcentral lists this long non-coding RNA (183883 nucleotides) under Citrus maxima (pomelo). RNAcentral's name for it is "long non-coding RNA (CMAX_LNC001224)". Lineage: Eukaryota; Viridiplantae; Streptophyta; Magnoliopsida; Sapindales; Rutaceae. The record is from RNAcentral.